ACCAAUCCAACUAAGCACACGCUUACAAUAUAAAUACUCUCAUCUCAUGGAAAGACUUCAUUCUCUCAGGAUGAUGAGCAGAUUUCUCUUACUCCAUUGUUUGAUUCUUAUUUCCUUACUUAUCGCAGCUGCAACAGCCAACACAAGUACUAUUACCGCAGACCAAGAUGCUCUGCUUUCCCUGAAAGCUCACAUAACUCAUGAUCCAACCAAUUUCUUGGCCAAAAAUUGGAACACGAGUAUCUCUUUCUGUAAUUGGACAGGCGUCACUUGUGAUGUCCAUAGCCAUAGAGUCACAAUCUUGAAUAUUUCUGGCUUAAAUCUCACCGGCACCAUUCCUUCUCAGCUUGGGAAUCUUUCUUCUCUGCAAUCACUCAAAUCUCAGUUUUAACCAACUUUCUGGUUCCAUUCCCUCCGCUAUCUUCACCACGUAUACACUGACAUAUGUUAGUCUCUGUCAAAAUCAGCUCUCUGGGAAAAUUCCUGCAAAUAUUUGUAGCAAUCUUCCUUUCCUUGAAUUUCUUUCUUUGUCCAAAAACAUGUUGUAUGGCGGAAUACCGUCCACUCUAUCAAAUUGCACAUAUUUAAGAAUCUUAAGUUUGGCAUACAAUGAUUUCUCAGGAGCCGUACCUAGAGAAAUCGGGAACUUGACCAAACUUAAGGAAUUAUAUCUUGGCGUUAAUAGACUUCAAGGUGCGCAUGAUCACGAAGUUUAAUUAUAAGAAUUGUUCCCUGAGUUGUAGUAUGAAUAACGUUCCAUAAUACACUUUACACACGUUGAUUAAUUUGCAGGAGAAACUCCUCGAGAGUUUAGCAAUCUUGCCGACUUGGAGCAUAUGUCGUUGGCAGGCAACAAUCUCCAAGGCAUGAUUUUAAAGUUUUUGCAAUUUUAUUUUAGCGAUGCUUGCUUCUGUAUUCAUUCGCUUGUUCUUUGAUUAUGCGAUGAUUUAUUGUUUUUCUUUCAGAUAGAGAUAAAGCUCCAUGUCUCCCCUCACUCAUUUCAUUCUUUAAUUUAUGCAGAUAAAAAUUUAAAAAAAAUGUUUUGUAAUUUUCUUUUGUCAUAUUGCCACUUCCGUUUUGAAGCUCCCAAUCAAGUCGAUGAAAAUGAAUGAUGUUUCAUUCUUAUUCUUGUCAGCCUAAUUCUUAUAUAAUUGAAGAGUAAAUUGUUAUUAUGAUCAAAUUGUUUGCGCAUAUAUAAAUGUACUUUAUUUACAGGAGGUAUUCAACGGGAAUUGGGGAAUCUUACAAAAUUGGAGGGGUUACAGCUGUUCCAGAAUAACUUGAUCGGUAACUUUCUUUACAAUAUAUAUACGAGACAUCUUCCGCUUUUUAUUAGAAAUUAUAAAUUCAAGUUAAAUCUUAAUUAAAAGAUUUCAAGUCUCUCAUUAUAAAUUCUCAUAUGAUGAUGUGUCGUUACCACUAUCUAACAUUAUUCCCUUUUUUAUUAGAAAUUAGUUUGUGUUAAUUCAAAAUUCUGUAGCAUUUAAAAAAAUUAAAAACACGUGGAAUAAAUUGUUAAUCUUUCUUCUUUACUGAAUUUGGAUUUCUCAAAAAUAAUCAUGACAAGUAUGCUUCACUAAUGAUAAACAUGUGUGACAACUUCAUAAAAUAUUUUAUAUGGAAUCACUAAUUAUCUCUAAAGAUGCCAUCAGUGAUACAUAAUUUCUUAACAAGCACCGUACCAAAAGAAAUCAACAAUUUUAUUAAUCUUAAAGAGUUACAUCUUCACUGCAAUUAUGACAUAAAUUUUUAGUCAUCAAUCACAUAAUAUUUUAUCUUAACGGAUGAUGUUCAGUCUUGGAAUUUAUAAUAUCAUGAAGGUUAGUAGCAUUGAAAAUAAGAAAUUGUUCAUGUGCUAAAAAGUCAACUUAGUAUUUAAGUUUUUCACUUGAAAUUUUUGAAAAAAGUGUUGAGAACUAGCCCUCCUUAGUAUUUCAGCGGAUAAAUAUGAAAAAUGGGCUAGAAGAAAUUAUUUUAUUGUAAUAAGAGUUAGAAAGAGAGGAGAAGUACAGUACUCAUGACUUAGGCUUGCUGUGUGUGUGCUUAUUCUACUUGGGCUUUGGGCUUGAUUACACGGUCGAACGCUUACACCUGUUAAAAUAAUGGGCUUUUGCUUUCGCCGCACAUCUGAUAAUUUCCUAACCUUCCAAUUAGGUUAUAGCAAUUUAAAUAUAAAUAAUAAAGCAUGCUAAAGCUAGCAUUGGUGUAUGGCUGAGUGGUGUAAAAAGUGGAUCUGUUUUCAUGUAUUAUUUAUUCUCUAAAACAUAUUUGAAUACAAUUCUUUCAAAAUACCGAGGAAAUAGCACAUGAAAUCAGAAAUAUUUUAUUGUGAUGAGAAUUCAUAUACUCAUUGUAGUAGAACAUAUAAAAUAGACUAUAAAUUUAUUAUUCUUCGAAACAAACUUGAUUAUAAUUCCUUCAAAAUUAAGUUUGUCAUUAAAUGAUUUCUCAGGAGCCAUACCAAAAGAAAUCGGGAAUUUGACCAAACUCAAGGAAUUAUCUCUUGGCGGUAACAGGCUCCAAGGUGCGCAUGAUCACAAAGUUUAAUUAUGAAAAUUGUUGCAUAAGUUAUAUGGAUAUCCUUGAUAACCGCAGCAAGCAAACAAAAUCAAAUAAAAGCUAACUGAGACUCGAAUAUCCUAAACCCUGAAAAGGAAUGGUAAUGGUAUAAUAUGGAUUUUGAAGGCAUAUUUCACCGGACUCAACAUUUAUGGUUAAUUUACAACUCUUUGUUGGAAAGUCUGAGAAAUUGCUUUAUAUUAGGGGUGGGGAAAAUAAUGCUGGGCCACGAAUUUCAGGCAGAAUCCAGAUUGGGCCCAAUUAGACUUAUAGCUCAGCUCUGUGUAGAUAUCUGGGCCUUUACAAAUAAUUAAUGGGCCAAUUAAUAAUAAUAAAUAAAUUGAGAAGGGUGUGAGUGAAAUUAGAUAUGAAUGAAUCUGCCAAUGUAUGUACACAUUUUUAGCAAAAGAAAUCGGGAAUUUGACCAAACUCAAGGAAUUAUCUCUUGACCGUAACAGGCUCCAAGGUGCGCAUGAUCACGGAGUUUAAUUAUGAAAAUUGUUGCAUAAGUUGUAGUAUGAAUAAUGUUCCAUAAUACAGUUUAGACACGUUGAUUAAUUUGCAGGCGAAAUUCCUCGAGAGUUUGGCAAUCUUGCCGACUUGGAGCAGAUGUCGUUAUGGGAAAACAAUCUCCGAGGUAUGAUUCUAAACUUUUUGCGUUUUUUAUUAGAAAUUAAUUUGUAUUAACUAAAAAUUUUGUAGCAUCUGAAAAAAUUAAAAACACAUGGAAUAAAUCGUCAAUCUUCUAAUUUGGAUUUCUUAAAAAUUAUCUUGACAAGUAUGCUUCACUAAUGAUAUGCAUGUGUGACAACUUCAUAAAAUAUUUUACAUGGAAUCACCAAUUACCUUUAAAUAAUUGGAGAUGCCAUCAGUGAUACAUAAUUUCUUAACAAGCACCUUAUCAAAAGAAAUCAACAAUUUUAUUAAUCUUAAAAAGUUACAUCUUUACUGCAAUUAUGAAAUAAAUUUUUAGUCAUCAAUCGCAUAAUAUUUUAUCUUAACGGAUGAUGUUCAGUCUUGGAAUUUAUAAUACCUUGAAGGUUAGUAGCUUUGAAAAUAAGAAAUUGUUCAUUUGCUAAAAAGUUAACUUAGUAUUUAAGUUUUUCAAUUGAAAAUUUUGAAAAAAGUCUUGAGAACUAGCCCUCCUUAGUAUUUCAGCGGAUAAAUAAGAAAAACAGGCUUGAAGAAAUUAUUGUUGUGUGUGCUUAUUCUACUUGGGCUUUGGGCUUGAUUACACGGUUGAGCACUUACACCUGUUAUAAUAAUAGGCUUUUACUUUCACCACACGUUUGAUAAUUUCUUAACCUUCCCAAUUAGGUUAUAGCAAUUUAUAUAUAAAAAACGAAAGCAUACUAAAGCUAGCAAUUUUUUGACUGGUAUCAUUCCUUCAUCUAUUUCACGUCUUUCAUUAUAAAUUCUCAUAGGAUGAUAUCUCAUUUUUUAUUAGAAAUUAAUCUGUGUUUAUGCAAAAAAAUUUAGCAUCUAAAAAAAGUAUAAAAACACGUGGAAUAAAUCGAAAAUCUUUCUUCAUUACUGAAUUUGGAUUUCUCAAAAAUUAUCAUGACAGCUAUGUUAGUGUCUUACUAAUGAUAUGCAUGUGUGACAACUUCAUAAAAUAUUUUAUAUGGAAAAUAUUAAAAAUAGACUUGAAAAAAAUUAUUUUACUGAAAUAAUAGUUAAAAAGAGAGGAGAAGUAUUACCUAUUACACAUGGUCGAACACUUACACCUGUUAUAAUAAUAAUAGCAUCCGCCGGUCGACUAUGAGUGAUCAAAUUGUUUGCACAUGUGUAAUUUGCAGGAGCAAUUCCACGGGAGUUGGGAAAUCUUACAGGAUUGGGGUUCUUAGAGCUGGGUGAAAAUUUUUUAACCGGUAUCACUCCUUCAUCUCUCUCCAAAUUGCUUUUCUCUAUUAAAUUUGGAACUCUCAUUUAAUAACUUAACAGGUAACUUCCCUUACAACAUGUUUGUGUGACAUGUUUUGCUUCUCAAUUAAAAUAUUUCACUUCUCUCAUUAUAAAUUCUCAUAGGAGGAUGUGUUGUUAUUACUAUUUAACAUUAUCUCGUUUUUUAUUAGAAAUUAAUCUUUGUUUAUGCAAAAAAAUUUAGCAUCUAAAAAAAGUAUACAAACACGUGGAAUAAAUCGAAAAUCUUUCUUCGUUACUGAAUUUGAAUUUCUCAAAAAUUAUCAUGACAGCUAUGUUAGUGUCUUACUAAUGAUAUGCAUGUGUGACAGCUUCAUAAAUUAUUUUACAUGGAAAAUAUGAAAAAUAGACUUGAAAAAAAAUUAUUUUACUGAAAUAAUAGUUAAAAAGGGAGGAGAAGUACACUACUCAUGACUUAGGCUUGCUGUGUACUUAUUUUACUUGGGAUUCGAGCUUGAUUACACAUGGUCGAACACUUACAUCCCACGACAUAGGCUUUUAGGGACGAGUGGCGUCAAAUGUGUAUAUGCUUUUAUGUAUUAUUAUUCUUUGAAACAAAUCUGAUUAUAAUUCUUUUAAAAUACAGAUUAAAUGGCACGUGAAAUCGGAAAAUAUUUUACUGCAAUAAGAAUUCAUAUAUUCAUUGUACUAGCACAUAUAAAAUAAACUAUAAAUUUAGUUCCAAAAUACAUUCUUAUCUUCAUAUAAAUUUUACAUUAUUAAUUUAAAUUAAUAUUAAAAUAUGUUGUUUCUUUCACUAUGUUAUUUUAUUUACACAAUGAUGUGACUAUUGGAAUUAAUAAUACUUUUAAUUAUUUUGUAAAAAUAUAAAUUUAAUACUUUGUUAACAUUUUAACUACAUAUAAUAAUUAAACUGAAACUUGUAUUUAAAAAAUUCGAGUUACGCAUAUUCAUUUCAUGACAUAAAAGUGUAUAUUUAUGCUAAUUUACCAUUAUCAACAAAAAGAUUUGAGACAAAUAAUCUAAUUUAUAUUUUUAUAUUUAAAAUCUUGCAUUUAUUAUAUUUUGAAAAAAAUUUAUUUGCAAUUAUUUUAAACGGUUGGAUUCAAAUUUUCAUAGUUACUAAAGUCAAAGGGUAUAAAUGUAUAAUAGUCAAAAACAUAUUUGUAUGAUCAUUUUUCAAUGUAUAAAUUUUCUUAGUUAGUAGGAAAAUUAGAAAUUGUUGAUUUACUCAUAAAUAAAUUUAAUGUUUAGCAUUUCAAUUUUGGAAAACUUGAACUAAAUGUUGAUAACUUCGAAUCGGUCGAGCCGAGUUUCUCUUCCUUGACCCACGGACCCAUUGAAAGUUCUAUUCGAAUUGAGUUUCCUGGUGCUUAUAAAAAGCAUUUCUUUUCCUUGUUGCAGUAAUUUAUUCACAAAUGAGUUGAUUAGCAUCGAAGUUACCUGAGAGUCUGAGACCAUGCUAGUAGGAGAAAUUUGAUAAGAAAUUAUUUUACUGAAUUAAUUUAUUUUAUCUUGUUGCAACUGGAAUACUACUUUUUUUUUUGGGCCAUCACUUGGGCUUGAUUUACUUUAAUAGUAGCAUCCACCGACUUAGGCGUUUUUUACUUCUCACCACACAAUUUGAUCUUUUAAUUAGUUUUAACCACAUAAUCUAUCUAUUUCUCACCUAUUGCUUACUUAAAUCGCAUACAUAUUUUACCUACUAAUUUUUAUAAAUAUUAGUCAAAUAUAUUUUAUUACGUUUUUCUCGUAACUGCUCCAAAUGUGUACUAUUAAUACUUAACCCUCCCUUUUAAUUUACUGUGCAAUCUAUCUAUCACUUAAGUCAUAUAUAUUUGACCUAUAUUUUACCCCAAAAAAUAUAAAAAUAAAAGAAAAAGAAUGUGUAGCAAUUUGCAUAUAACUAACAAAGCAUUGAUGGUGUGUAGCCUUUCAAUACUUCACGACUGGCUUUUCUUGUGUGUUAGUACUUGUAAUAAUUGUGUAGUGUAUAAAUGGCAUUUUAUUAUUAAAGUGCGUCCAUUUUUAGAUAUUACUUAUUAUUUGAAAAAUAAUCUGAAUAUAAUUCUUUUAAAAAACAGGGGAGAUACCACUUGAAAUUGGUAAUCUCCAAAAUCUGGAGGAGUUGGACCUUCGUCAAAACAAAUUAGUUGGUAUUGUCCCCGCUGCAAUCUUUAAUGUGUCCACGCUCAAAUUACUUCAGCUUCAGAAUAAUUCUCUCUUGGGAUGUCUUUCGUCCAUCGCAGACGUCCGACUACCAAAUCUUGAAGAGCUUUCUUUAUGGGGUAAUAAUUUCAAUGGCACAAUUCCUCGUUUCAUCUUUAAUGCUUCUAAGCUCUCUAUACUAGAAUUGGUAGGCAACUCAUUCUCCGGUUUUAUUCCCAACACAUUUGGCAACUUAAGAAACCUUGAGCGGCUUAAUUUACAAGAUAAUUAUUUGACAUCUUCAACUCCAGAAUUGAGCUUUCUAUCCUCGUUGUCAAAUUGCAAGUCUUUAACACUUAUUGCCUUAUCAAAUAAUCCACUAGAUGGCAAUCUUCGUAAGACGUCUGUCGGUAAUCUUUCUCAUUCUUUGGAAAUCUUUCUCAUGUACAAUUGUAACAUUAGUGGCGGAAUCUCUGAAGAGAUUAGCAACUUGACCAACUUGACAACCAUUAAUUUAGGAGGCAAUAAAUUGAAUGGAUCAAUUCCGAUUGCCCUUGGCAAAUUACAAAAGCUACAAUAUUUGGGUCUUGAAGAUAACAAAUUAGAAGGAUCAAUCCCAGAUGAUAUUUGUCGUUUGGAUGAACUGUAUGAAUUGGAGUUGGGUGGCAAUAAGCUUUCAGGAUCAAUCCCUGCAUGCUUCGGUAAUCUGAUUGCUCUGAGGAUACUGUCGUUGGGUUCCAAUGAGUUAACUUCUAUUCCCUUAACUUUUUGGAACCUUAAGGAUAUCUUGCAACUCAACAUUUCAUCAAAUUAUUUUACUGGUCCACUCCCAUUAGAGAUUGGAAAUUUGAAGGUUUUAAUUGGAAUUGAUUUUUCGAUGAAUAAUUUUUCAGGCGUUAUCCCAACAGAAAUUGGAGGCCUAAAAAAUCUAGAAUAUCUCUUCUUAGGAUAUAAUAGAUUGCGAGGAUCGAUUCCUGAUUCAUUUGGGGAUUUGAUAAGUUUGAAAUUCUUGAAUUUGUCCAAUAAUAAUCUCUUUGGGGCUAUUCCUGCAUCUUUAGAGAAACUCUCAUAUCUUGAAGAUCUAAAUCUUUCUUUCAACAAGCUAGAAGGAGAAAUUCCUAGGGGAGGAUCUUUUGGAAACUUCUCAGCUGAAUCAUUUGAGGGAAAUGAAUUAUUAUGUGGUUCACCCAAUUUACAAGUCCCGCCAUGCAAAACUAGGAUCCACCACACAUCAUGGAAAAAAUCUCUUCUCCUGGGGAUUGUCUUGCCAUUGAGUACUACAUUAAUGAUAGUAGUCAUUUCGUUGAUCCUAAGAUAUCGACAGAGAGGAAAACAACCAUCGAAUGAUGCUAAUAUGCCACUAGUAGCAACGUGGAGAACAUUUUCAUACCUAGAACUUUGUCAAGCAACAGACGAAUUCAGUGAAAACAAUCUAAUCGGCAGAGGAGGUUUUGGCUCUGUUUAUAAGGCAAGACUUGGGGACGGGAUGGAGGUUGCAGUGAAAGUUUUCAAUUUGCAAUGUGGAAGAGCGUUCAAGAGUUUCGAUGUUGAAUGUGAAAUUAUGAAAAGUAUUCGCCAUCGAAACCUUAUCAAAGUUAUUAGCAGUUGUUCAAAUGAAGAGUUUAAAGCGUUGGUAUUAGAAUACAUGCCUCAUGGAAGUUUGGAGAAGUAUCUGUAUUCAAGUAAUUGCAUUUUGGAUAUUUUUCAAAGAUUGAACAUAAUGAUAGAUGUUGCAUCAGCUUUGGAAUAUCUGCACUUUGGUUGUUCAGCUCCAGUAAUUCAUUGUGACUUAAAGCCCGACAAUGUAUUGUUAGAUGAUAAUUUGGUUGCUUAUUUGAGUGAUUUUGGCAUCGCGAAGCUCUUAAUUGGAGAAGAUCAGUCUAUGACUCAAACGCAAACACUUGCCACAAUAGGUUAUAUGGCACCAGGUUUGUUCAAUAUAAACAUUUUCUAUUUCUUGUAAACUUCCUAAUAAGUUAUUUAUGUUUCAUGAUCUUCAUUAGAUCAGGAAAUUAUUGUUAAUGAUAUAUCUUACUAUGUAACUGUUGCAAUUCAUAGAGUAUGGAAGAGAAGGACGAGUAUCCACAAAUGGAGAUGUUUAUAGCUUUGGAAUUAUGUUAAUGGAAACUUUUACCGGGAAGAAACCCACAUAUGAAUUUUUUAAUGGAGAAAUGACAUUAAAGCAUUGGGUUAAUGAUUGGCUACCCAUUUCCACUAUGGAAGUUGUUGAUGCUAAUUUGCUAAGUCAGGAGGACAUACAUUUUGUUGCAAAGGAGCAAUGUGUGUCAUUUGUCUUCAAUUUGGCUAUGGCGUGCACUGUGGAAUCUCCUGAGCAGAGAAUCAAUGCAAAAGAAAUUGUAACAAAACUCUUAAAAAUUAGAGACUCAUUACUUAGAAAUGUUGGAGGCAGACGUAUAAGACAAUCAAAUUUAAAUUGAUUCUACCCCUCCACUACUUGCUAUCCUUUUCAGAGACUUGAACAAUUAUCCUUAAUACAAUUUUUGUUGAUGUGCUUUGUUAUUGCUCUUACUCAUGUUUAUUUCUCUAUUUCUUUAAUUUGCAUGCAUGUAUUUUUCGUUCUCUUUUAUGUUUUUGUUGGUUUGUAUGUAGUUUGUUUUUAGGUUGAUUAUGUCCUCCCCUAAUUAGACGCAUCCUUUUUAUGUUUAUUCAAUAAAGCUUCUCUAAUACUAUCGAGGUUCAUCAAAAGAAAAUUUUAAAUUAAUUUUCUUUUCUUUGACAGGUAAUGAAAUUCUAAUCUUCAUAGUGAAUAACUUCAAUAAUAGAGUGUAAGUGUAUUAGUAGUUAUGGUUGUUUUUUGAACCUGGAGUCAAAAGCAAUUUAAUAGCAACAAACAAGUCUCUUGUAUUAUAGGCAAAAUUAUUUUCAUUAAUCUUAUUUUUCUACAUGUUCUCCUAUUUUCUCCAUUUAUCUUCGCUCAAGGUUUCAUGCUUCCUCUUGGAUAAAGGAAAACUUACUUGCGAAUAUUUCAAUUUGACAUAAGAGACUGUUUUGCCAACCAUUUGAUAAAAUGGAUAUGAGCGGAGCUUUCAAUCAUCACCUCCACCAAAAUCCUUACUACGCCACUUUUAAAUUGUAUUUUUUAAAAUGCAUUCAGUUUAAUUUAUAAAAAAUAAAUUCAUUUGUUAAAAUUAAUCUUUUUCUCAUAAAUUUCAGCCUAAAAAAUAUAUUUCUUUUAAACUUUUAAUUAUAAAAUACAUACAAGUUCUAAACUGUUAUAUUAUUUUCUUCUUAUUAUAUAGUUCAUAUCUCCAUAACUCUAAACUCCUAUAAUUUUUUUUAAAAUAUUUUUAAUUUAAAAUAUAAAUAUAAAAUAUAAAAUGGAGUGGGUAUAAAAAAACUUGUUAAAAGAAUAAUUCAUUUAAGUAUUUAACUGAAUUUAAAUUAAAAUAAGAAAUAAAUAAAUUUAUUUUUAUUAGUUAAGUAAUUUUCAAUUGUAAAAGAGCUUUAUGAGUAAUAUUAUUGAAAUAUGAUUAAAAUUCUUAUGAAUUAAACAUUUUCGUAUAAAUACUAGUGAUAAUUAUAGAGAAAAUGUGAUGAACCAAAGAAAACUUGAGUAUAAAUACUCCAAUGUAAUUUUACACAUGCAAAUUAUGAACCAAUGAUCUUUAGAGCAUCAUAAAAUUAUUUUGACACAACUAUUUAUUUUGAAAAACUGGUAACAAUGUUUAAAGUGGGAUUGAAAAGAUUAUGCUACUUAUAUAAGACAUGAUAUCAUUUAAGACGGCUUACAGAUUAUGAGAAAUAUAUUCAUCUUACAAAUAUUUAAUAUGUUAAUUAGACGGGUCUAGCUGCCUUUCACCCGCUGGAAGGUACAGCUUAUUUUGUCCUCUAGUGUUGUGGCCGUUGGAUAUUUGAGAAGUUGAUCUAUCGGUUCUUGUUCGGCAGCGUGAAAUUGAAUUUCAAUCAGCAACCAUUUCAUGAACUUUCAGGAGACAAUUAUCUACAAAAAAAAUUUUUUAAAAAAUAAUUUUUCGCUUUCAUCAACCGCCGCUGCCACCCACAACCCCUUAAUAUCAUCACCACCAUCCCAAUCCUUAGCCGCCAUCCACAAACUCUAACAACCACCAUGACUGCCAUCACAACCGCCACUCCUCACAACCCUAGCCACCCCUACAAAUGACUGUAUUUUACGUUUGAGCAUUAAUUGCCGGCAUGAUCUCUUAGACUUCUCUUGCAUUGAAUGAAUGGAUGAGUGCUAAUCCAUGCAAAGACUUCCAUGCAUGCACAAUGAAUGCUAAAUCUAAGGUAUAGCAAAAUGUCAGCAACCUUGGCCCAAAUUAUCAAGAUGGUUUGGUGGCUGCUAGAUUUGUUCAUCCGGAUUUUGGACCAUUUUCCUUGACAAUGAGAAAAGCUCCAAGAUGUGUAAUGUUAGUGAAUCAGAUGAAGCUGGAGCAGAGCAUGAUGUUGCUGUGUAGCUGGAGCAGAGCAUGAUGUUGCUAUGUAGCUGGUUGUAUCAGAUCAAAUCAUUAAGCUGACUUGUCAAAGUUAGUUAACUGGUUGAGCUGAUGUGUCAAGUUAGUUAUACAGCAAAUGGUUAUGUGUUGCAACAAUCUCGUGUGUGUGUUAAGAGAUUGUAGCUCAAUAUAAAUAUCAAUUGGUAAUCAUUAAACUGUAAGCUUGGAAUAAUAAGAAGAUCUAACAGUUUUCUUUGCAAAGCUUUUCUUUUAUUUUCUUUCAUUUUCUAGCCUACCAAACAAUAUAGAACUAAGUUUCUUUCAUGGUAUCAGAGCCAUAAAUGGCAAAUAUAGUUCAAAACAACAACUCUUUUAGUUUUGUUACACCAGUAAAGCUAGAUCAAAACAACUUCAUUCUGUGGCGCACACAAAUUUUAACUUCAAUCAAAGGAAACGGUUUGGAAGGGUUUAUCAAUGGCGAUCGAGAAUGUCCUGAGCAAUUUCUUUCUUCUGGAAACAACAAUGGAGCUGAAGUUUUAACUGAGUCUGGAUCCAGAUCUGUUAAUCCAGAAUUCGAAGCUUGGAUGAAGACUGACCAACUCUUACUGAGUUGGAUGAUGUCAUCGAUACAGCAAAAUCUGCUUGCUACUGUGAUUGAUUCUACAACUUCAAAACAGCUUUGGGAGACUCUUGCUAGUAUGUUCAUCUCUCAAUCACAAGCUAGAAUUCAAACACUUAGAAUGCAGAUUCAAACUAUUAAGAAAGGUGCCAUGCAUAUUUCUGAUUAUUUUGUUAAAGUAAAACGCAUAGCUGAUACUUUAGCUCUAGCUGGAAAACCUAUUGAGUUAAAUGAUCUUGUGAUGCAUAUAUUAACUGGUCUUGAUUCAUCAGACUAUGAAUCUUUAGUCACAGCUAUGUUAGCUCGAGGUGAAAAGAUCACAUUAGAUGAACUAUAUUCUUUGUUGUUGAAUCAUGAAAAUAGAGUUGAGCAAAAGAAAGGGAAAAUUGCUAGUGAUGUGAUGCAUAACAUGACAGCAAAUAUUGCUCAGAAAAAUUCAUAUGCUGGAAAGAAUAAUGGAAAUUUUCAGAAAAAUUAUGGAAAUAACUAUCGAAGAGGUAAUAAUUCUGGAUAUGGAGGUUCUAAUGGAUAUGGAUAUGGUCAGUUUAAUACUAGCAGUAAUUCCUCUGAAGUUGUUUGUCAAAUUUGCUUUAUACCUGGUCAUGCAGCAAAUAGAUGUAGGAAUAGGUACAACUCAUCCUUUGUUCCACAGAGGAAUCAUGGUAGAGGAAAUAUGAAUGGUGGCAGAGGUUUUAAUCAAGGGCAAUAUGGCAGAGGAAGAGUCUAUAAUGGUAAUAGUGGAAGAGGAUUUGGAGGUUUUGGUUCAAAUGCUGGUUUUGGACAAAAUGCUAGUUUUGGUCAUGCACCCAGGGGUUUUGGCUAUUAAGGAAAUAUAGUGUAUCCAGAUAGCAAUCCUUCUGCCUAUUACUCUUUCACUCCUGGAUCAUCUAAUUUUGUUGCUGGUCAAGGAAACAACAAUCCUGGACAGUCAAGUGCUUCAUCUUCCUCAGCUAUGUCUUUUUCACUCCCAGAAUACAUUUAAGAUCCUUCCUGGUACAUUGACAGUGGAGCAACAAAUCACAUUACUAAUGAUCUAGGUAAACUUCUAGAUUCACAAGCUUAUACUGGUACUGAAAAGUUAUUUGUUGGGGAUGGAAAUGCAUUAGCUAUUACACAUAUAGGAUCAGUUGUGCUAAACACUUCCAAUUCUCAAUCUUUAUUUCUUAACCAUGUUCUUCAUGUCCCUUUUAUUACUAAGAAUUUGCUUAGUAUCUCAAAAUUAUUGGCUGACAAUCCAGUUACUGUUGAAUUUCUUGGUGAUUUCUGUUUUAUAAAGGCCAAGAACACAAGGAAAAUUUUACUUGAAGGUGUUGCUAAAGGUGGCUUGUAUAGAGUCUCUUCACAUGCUGCUGCUCACUCAGUCUUUCUCAGUUCAGUUGGUCAAAACAAAAUUUAGUCUCUCUUUGCUUGGUCUCCUGUUUUUACUUCUGAAAAACCUUCUGUUGUUAGUUCUUAUAAACUCAAUAAAAAGUCAUGUAUGUCAGUUGUUGCAAAGGGUUUAACUGAUGUAAAUCUUCUGCAUAGAAGAUUAGGACACCCAGCCCCUUAUACUCUCAAAAUUAUUCUCAAAGCUUGUAACAACUUUACUGCUCUUAAUAAAGUUGAAAGUUUGAAAUUUUGUUCAGCAUGUCAAUAUGGAAAAAUCAUAUGCUGCAUUUUAAUUCAGUUGAAACAAAAACUUCAGCACCUUUAGAAUUGAUAUAUGCAGAUUUGUGGGGUCCUUCUCAUGUUUGUUCUACCCAAGGAUAUAACUACUACCUAUCAAUCCUAGAUGAUUACAGUAGGUUUACCUGGAUAUUCCCUUUAUCAGCAAAAUCUGAUGCUCUUGAAGUGUUUAAAAAUUUCAAAACAUUCAUUGAAAAGCAUCUUCAACUUUCAAUCAAAACUGUCCAAACAGACUGGGGAGGGGAGUUCAAAUCUUUUUCCUCAUUACUCACUACUUCUGGUAUCCAUUUUAGACACCCUUGUCCACAUAUUCAUCACCAAAAUGGAAGAAUUGAGAGGAAGCAUAGACACAUAGUUGAUGUAGGUCUGACUUUAUUAGCUCAAGCACAUUUACCACUCAAAUUUUGGUGGAAUGCAUUCCACACAGCUGUCUAUUUGAUAAACAGACUUCUCACUCCAGUUCUAAAUAGCAUUUCUCCCUUUCAAAAGUUGUUUCAUUAUCAACCAGAUUAUUCAACACUUAAAACUUUCGACUGUGCUUGUUAUCUAACACUCAGACCAUACAAUAGAUAUAAGUUUGAUUUCAGAACUGCUAGAUGUAUAUUCAUUGGCUAUAGUUCACAACACAAGGGAUAUAUGUGUCUUCAUUCUUCUAGAAGGGUCUAUAUUUCUAAUCAUUUCACUUUUGAUGAAAAUUCCUUUCCUUAUGAGUCUGGGGUAGAUUUUUCUUUAACUUCUUUAAGUUGUCAGUCCACUUCACACUCUGAGUCCUCUUUUCAGUCUUCCCCUUCUUCUGUUACUCAGUUACAAGCACCUUUAGCAGCAUCAUCAGCACUUCAACCAACUCACCCUGCUGAUCAUCAAUCUAAUGCUUCUACUCCUGUUUAUUUUUCUGAUAACUCCAACUCAGCUUCUCAUUUCUCAUCUUCUCAUUCUUCACCUCCACAUACAUUACCCCAACCUGUACCAUCUGGUCAUCCAAUGGUAACCAGAUCAAAAGUAGGUAUUUUCAAGCCAAAAGUUUAUUUGUCAGCCUUGUUAGCCCAGCAAUCAGAACCAACUUCUGUUUCCAAAGCACUCUCUGAUCCUAUGUGGUAUAAGGCUAUACAAGAAGAGUAUCUAGCACUUAAAGCUAAUCACACCUGGGAUUUGGUUUUACAUACUACUCCAGUGAAGAUAGUUGGUAACAAGUGGGUGUUUCGAAUUAAGUAUAACUCAGAUGGCUCGGUUUCAAGGCACAAAGCCAGACUUGUUGCUAAGGGGUUUCACCAGACACAUGGGGUUGAUUACACAGAAACCUUCAGUCCAGUGGUUAAGUCUUCAACUAUCAGAGUUAUUCUUAGCUUAGCAAUAUUGAAUCACUGGGUUAUUCGGCAAGUGGAUGUUAAUAAUGCCUUCCUCAAUGGCAUUUUAAUUGAAGAUGUGUACAUGGCUCAGCCUCAAGGUUUUGUUGAUUCAACUAAACCUAAUCAUGUUUGCAAGCUGAAUAAGGCUUUAUAUGGUUUAAAACAGGCUCCUAGAGCCUGGUUUGAUAGAUUUAAGGAUGCAAUGCUCUCCUAGUGGCAUUUUCAGCAUUCAAGGUCUGAUAACUCUCUCUUUUAUACCUGGAACAAUGGUCAUGUAACUAUUGUUUUAGUCUAUGUUGAUGAUAUUAUCAUCACUGGCUCAAGUCCAUCACUAAUUCAGCAAGCUAUUCAGAAUAUGCAUCAAACUUUUGCUUUAAAAGAUCUGGGGGAACUUAACUAUUUUUUGGGGAUUGAAGUCAGCAAGUCCUCCACAGGGGUUUCUUUGACACAAGCAAAGUAUAUUGCUGAUGUUCUGGAAAAACAUGGCAUGAUUGAUUGCAGUCCCGUGCCAACUCCCAUGUCUACAGGUUAUUACUCACCAAAGACUCAGGGGAGCCAAUUGACAAUGUCUCUCAAUACAGGAGUGUUAUAAGAGCUCUUCAGUAUGUUACUCUUACCAGACCUGACAUUGUUUUUUCUGUCAAUAAGUUAAGUCAGUUCCUUUCCGAUCCUAGAACUCAACAUUGGGAAGCAUGCAAAAGGUUAUUGAGGUACUUAAAAGGUACUAUCCAUCUUGGGCUACAAUUCUACAACCAAGGAGCUCUGCAAAUCCAUUGUUUUUCAGACUCUGAUUGGGCUUGUGAUCAUGAUGAUAGGAAGUUAGUAGCUGGCUUUGCUGUUUAUCUAGGUCCUAAUCUUGUUUCUUGGUAGUCCAAGAAGCAAGCUAUUGUUUCUAGAUCCAGCACAGAGGCUGAGUACAGAUCUCUUGCUCAUGCUGCUUUAGAGGUUACCUGGAUUAAGUCUUUACUUGGUGAACUUAGCGUCAACUUGAGCUCUACUCCUAUGAUGUGGUGUGAUAAUCAAGGAGCUAUUGCUUUAGCUUAUAAUCCAGUCUAUCAUGCUAAAACUAAGCAUGUUGAAUUGGAUAUCCAUUUCAUCCGAGAUAAAGUUACUGCUAAAGAAGUUGCAGUCUGCUAUGUGCCUAGUCAAGAUCAAACAGCAGAUGUGUUGACUAAAGCUCUCUCUUUCAAACAGUUUAGUUACUUCCAAAGUAAGCUGAAUGUUCAUCCUAAACAUUUCAGCUUGAGGGGGGGUGUUAGUGAAUCAGAUGAAGCUGGAGCAGAGCAUGAUGUUGCUGUGUAGCUGGAGCAGAGCAUGAUGUUGCUAUGUAGCUGGUUGUAUCAGAUCAAAUCAUUAAGCUGACUUGUCAAAGUUAGUUAGCUGGUUGAGCUGAUGUGUCAAGUUAGUUAUACAGCAAAUGGUUAUGUGUUGCAACAAUCUCGUGUGUGUGUUAAGAGAUUGUAGCUCAAUAUAAAUAUUAAUUGGUAGUCAUUAAACUGUAAGCUUGGAAUAAUAAAAAGAUCUAACGGUUUUCUUUGCAAAGCUUUUCUUUUAUUUUCUUUCAUUUUCUAGCCUACCAAACAAUAUAGAACUAAGUUUCUUUCAUGUAAAUUGAAGACUCACUGAACGCUCCAAGUUUCAGGUAACUCUUGUGUUGUGUGCUCGGAGUAUUCUCUAUUGUAUUUUUUUUGUUUGUUAUUUAUUUGACGUAUUGCUAGCAGAGAUCUUGGGUGGGAACCAGAAAUUCCCAACAAUUGUCAAUUGUUUUAAACUCUAUUCUGAACAGAGCAUAAAGGGACUCACUUAUCUAAUUUUGUCUUUUAUGCUUUAACUUCACUUGAUUUCAUCUUUUCCGUCACCUUUGUUAAAGUUGUAUAUGUUGGAGUAUUAGGUUCAUCAUAAGGAUCAUUUUAUGGCUAAGGAAGGAGCACACUUUAUCAGCUACACUCAAGUGUAGCAGAGAAUUUGGAUUCAAGACUGUUAGAAGGUUGUUACAGAUGCAAGGCUAUUGCUGUGUAAUUGUAAUGCUGCGUAGCACCGUAAGUAAGAAGAAAAGUGUCUAAGGUUGCCACGUGUUGUCUCAACGUCUGUGUGAAAACCGAUUUGUUUAAUCAAAAUCAUAAACACCAUUUUGAAAAUCCAUGGCCAUGGUCGUGAUGUGUCUUUAUCAAUCACGGAUACCAAAUUUAAUCAAAAUUAUCGAUUGUUUUAAAUUCUGUUUUUAACAGAGCAUGAAGAUGUCGCUUAUCUAGAUUUACUUUUUAUGCUUUGACUUCACUUAAUACAGCUUCUUCCUCCUUUAUCUGUAUGCCAUGCCGGCAAGUGUAUUGUACAGAUUUCUAGAGUAUUACCUGUCUAUUUUUUUCACCGAUGACGAAGCUAAUUAUUAGUAAUCAAUCUAAAGUCUACCUAUAAAUACAAUAGGUUGCUUAGGUGGCACCAAUAUCCUAACUUUAUGCCAUGUUUCUGGUGUGUCUUCACAAAUUCACCGAUACAAAUUAAUUUCUACCAAUAUUACCAAAUGAUUGUAUUUUACGUUUCUAUUUACUUGUAAUAAAGAUCUUCAAUUUUAUUGGUUACAAAAUUCUCUAGGAUUGCAUGUACAUUAUACUUUUAUAUACAUAUUUUCUUCUUUCUCAUUCGUUUUCUGGGUGAACAUAUUAUUUUCGUCAUCAUCUCUAUAACAAUGAAGUGAAAAUAGUCCUCAUUUAAAGUAUUGACAGCAAUGUUAUACUCAAUAUAACGCAUAAAGCACGCAUAAUUUAAUUAAUGGGGUAGCUGCUAGUACCUUCUUUAGAAGAGAAUUAUUGCAGCAAGGUAAUUGGAAGCUCAAAGAGUUUCCGUAUUAGCCGAAUCUAAGCGAUAAGUGUUUCCAUGUGAGCCAUAAUUUGGGAAAAAGACCAAUUCGAGUUAAAGAUCAGAAAACAGACACUGUCAACAAGCAUUAAUAUCAUUUGAUGCAUGAAAGACAGUUAGUCCCAUUUUUUUGUCCUGUUUACUUGAGUUGGGCAAUUUGCCGUCAACUUUUCUCAUCCACGUCAGGUAAUGUGGCUUUUAUUUGGUAUGAAAAAGCCAAUGCUUUACGAUAAAACUGUCACACACAUAUUAUCCAUCUGUAAUGUUCAAAUGACACUGAAGUAUUACCUAAAUUAGGCUUUCAAAAAUUCAUUUUCAAAAACCCAUGGUUGUGAUGUGUCUCUAUAAAUUAAGAUCUAUCUGUUACCAACUGUUUUAACUCUGUUCUGAACAGAGCUUGAAAGGGUACAUUCACUUAUCUAGUUAUGUUUUUUAGGCUCUCACUUUACUUGAUUCACCUUAUCCCUCUUUUGAAACAAUUGUUCACUGGCUGCACUCAGUUGACAAAAUAUUUUGGGAUUCAAGACUGUAGGUUGUUACGGAUGCAACUUGCAAGGCUGUUGCCAUGCUGGCAAGUGUGCUGCUAUAACAGAUUGUUGAGAUGGCACCAAAGAUUGUAAACUAAUUAGUACUGGAAAAUCAUGAGUUUGGUGAUGAAGAGGACCAAAAACAUUAUUUUAUUAUUUAAAAUAAGACUAUCAAUUAUUUCCAUGGUCAUCUUUUUUUUUAUUUAUUAAUUGGCCUAAAUAUUGUAUUUUUUGUCAGGAGUCUUGCAAUGUUGCUUAACACCGUAAGUAAGAAGAAACGUGUCUAAGGUUGCCACGUGUUGUCUCAACAUAUGUGUGAAAACUGAAUUAACCAGUUUGCGUUCGACAACAAAGGAAAAUACUUCUUGUUGCUGACCGGUUGAUAAGUAUUUCAAUACCUCCACCAAAAUCUUUAUAACACCCUUUUUAAUUUUAUUUUCUGAAAUACACUUAGUUUUUUAAAAAAGAGCUUUAUGAGAAAUUUUCAGUGUGUCAAAAGGCCUACUUAAUGGACUGGAUCCCGACUCAUUAAUUUUAUAACCCGACUUACAAUCCGACUCAUUAUUCACAGAGAUUAAUUUUCUAUUGCUUAAGGCACAAUAUUUACUAAGCAAUUUAUCGGCAAUAAAACAUGUAUAUUAUUGUGGUUUGUAAUAAAAUUGGAAGAAGACAUCACGUACGAAUUGGAUUUAUCCAAUGAAAUUUGAUUAACGAAACUGUAUGAAAAUAUAUCAAGAAAAUAGUAAAAAAAAAUGUUGUGUAAAUGCUGUAUAGGUGAUAUAUUACUUUUAUAAUCCAUCAAGGUACAUUUGAUUUUAAUGAUGAAACAAAUACAAAUAAAUCUAUGUGCGUCAAUGCUAGAUGGCUCCAUAUUAAACUUGUGAAGUAUAGAAAAUAAGCAGGAUUCGUAACAAAUAUUUUAGAUAAUACCACUGAAAAGUUAUAAAAAUAUUUUUUAAAAAAAGAAAUACAUGCUCGAGACACCACGACCGACGCGCACAAACUCACAUAUUUAUAUAUUAAUUGAGGUAAAAAAUGAUAUUCUGAGUAAUAUUGUUGACAUAUGAUUAAAAUUCUUUUUGAUGAAACAUUUUCGUAUAAAUACUAGUGAUAUUUGUAGAGAAAGUAGAAUGAAGUGAAAAAAACUUGAAUAUAAAUGCUCCAAUAUAAUUUUUCCCAUACAAAUUAUGAACUAGUGAACUUUAAAGCAUCAUAAAAUUGUUUCAACAUAAGUAAUUAGUUUGAAAAAUUGCCAAUAAUGUUUAAAGUGGGAACGAAAAGAUUAUACUAUAUGAGACACGAUAUUAUUUAAGACAGCUUACAAAUUGUGGGAAAUAUAUCGAUCUUACAAAUAAUAUUUAAUAAGUACAAAUUUCAAAUUAAAUAAUAAACCCUUAAUUUCCUUUUAAUCAUAAUUAUGAUCUUAAUAAUUAAAGUCAUUCAAUCUUAAUCACUUUUUUAUUUUUUUAAACUAUCUAAAUGACAUCGAAAACUCUACUCAAUAUUAAUUUAUUCGAAUGUUUUGUUUCAAAAAAAUUGAAAACUGUAAAUGAAACAAAUGCUUGCAAUCACAAAUGGCCUAAAAUAGGAUUUUUAUUUUUUAAUAUUGCAAUGUCUUUGAUCUUGAUAUUGGAAAUUUAUUUGUAACUUAUACCAAGUCUUCAAUUUUAUCAUAAUUAGUUUCUAAAGAUGCAUUUGCCAUACUGUGUAGUUGUAUUGUAUGAUGAUAUAUUACAUUAGGGUGCAUUGUAUUGAGCUGUAAUGCAAUACUAUUUUAUAUUAAUGUUAAAACUAAAUCAACAUUAUUUAAAUUUAUUAAUAUUUUAGGAUUUUAUUAGUAAUUUCUUAAAUUAAGUAUUAAAUAAUUAUUUUUAUAAUAUACAAACUAUUUAAUAAUAUUUUACUAUUAAAUAAUAAAAUAUUACAAUAUUAUGUUAUAUUAUUAAUAAUUAUUCUGUUAUAAUAUAAUUUAUUUUUAUAUAUUAGUUAUUAUAAUUUAGUAGAAUCAUAUUAUAAUAAUAUUAUAUUUUAAAAAUAUAAUACUAUAUAACUGUAUAAUAUAAUAUGAAUUAAUUUAUAAUUUAACAUUAAAUUAUAAAUUUAUUUUAUUUAUUAAUGUCAAAUAUAAUUGUCUAAUUUAAAUUUAGUUUUAAAUUUAGUAUUUUUUUAAAAAUAAACUAUUUAGUAAAAUUUAAAAAUAUAUUUUUAUUUAUUAAAUAAAACUAAAAUAUACUUUUAUGCAUUUAAAGUAAAAUUACUAAAAUGAUUUUAUAUAAUAAAGUAAAAUAAUGUAUUAUUAUUUAUUAAUUAAAUAUUUAGGUUUAUUAAUAUAAUAUAUUAUUAAUUAAAUUAAUGAAUAUUAAUUAAUAAUUUAAAUUUAUUAAAUAAUAAAAGUUAAAUGAUUAUAUUUAAAAUAUAAAUAGUAUUUUAAUGCAAUAAAACCUAAAUCCCACAUGUAUGCCACAUUUGUUAUACAGUGUAAUGCAACUAUAAAUUAUAAUUAUAUAAAAAUAAUAUUUUAAUACAAUAUAAUACAAGUAUAAUGCCACUUGAGAAAUUGAUAUUUUAAUCAUAAAAACCAAUAUAAUACAAUGAUUCUGUCCUCUUUAUUAUUUUUCUAAAUGCUUCCAUGGCAUAAUCUCAUUGGUCCAUUUUGUUUCACAGCUUAGAUUCAACUGCAAGAUUUUCAAUUUGAAGCAAGCUGUGGUCCACUGGCCGUGGCCAAACAAACAUGCCUCAUGAAGUCAUGGUGACUGAAUCAUCUCUUAUGUCAGAAUUUGAACUUAAACAAUUUGAACAUAGACUGUUUUUUGAUUGUCGAAGAUUCGCUUCAAAAAUUAGUAUUUUUUAGUGGAGUUUGGUUGUCUCGUAUCCUUCAAUUGUUGUUUGGUUAUGAAAAUAAUUUUUGAUUUUAGGGAAUUUCGAUUAUCUGGUUUAGUUUGAGUGCAAUUUCCUCUAUUUACGGUUUCAGUGUGACGGAUAAAUUGCAAUUUCGAAUUUUUGAUAAAAUUAAAAUUAAAAUUGGGCGGUUAUUAAUUAAUUGAUGGCUAGUGAUACUGCAACGGCGGCCGAAGCUCCGGAAGAAGCGGAGGCGGUGGAGGAGUAUGAUAGCGAUCCAGAUGAAGUGAAACACUCUCUCGUGAUGCGCAGAAUGGAAGCAAGCGAUGAUGAGUGUUAAGGAAGCUCAUGUUGCAGUCAAAGGAGCAGCUCAGUUAGCACGUGUGAAUCAAAGCACUCAUUUAAUGGAAAUUUUUCUAGAUGCUUCAAUGGCAGAAUCUCGUUGGUCUAUAACUCUCACGCCUUUGACUCAAGAUUCAAUUUCAAACCAACGCCGAACAAACAGUAUAAACCUUAAUAAGUCUGUGGCUCACCGAAUAAUAUCUCUUACGUCAGAAUUUAAACUUAAACAAAGCUACAUCCCACGUGUCCCCAACUUUCUUCAUAUUCCCAGAAAACCCCUACCAGAUCCAGAUAAUUACCUUCACUCUUCUCGUAUAAAUAGAGAAGAUGAUGAUUCCUACAAAGCCACGUAAGUCAAGUGAACGUUACGGCCAUGGGACGUUGGAAUUGGAUCAAACCACCGGAAUGUAAAGCAAAAUUAACCGAAUAGACUAAAUUAGAUCCAACCAUUUGAAUCGGUUGAGUGUCACUCAAAAAACAAAUAAAUAUAUAAAACAACACAAUUAUCAUAUUAAUGGGGUUCAGUGGAUGCUUCUUUUUUUUCAUUUUCAAUGAAUGCUUAAUAUGCAUUCAAUAUGAAAAACAAUCUGUCCCAUUGAGCACUGUUGAAGUCAUUGAAUGAAAAUGAAUACUUCUAUAAGAAACAAUCAUUCCCCUAUUUAUUUGACACGCAAAGAACUUUCUUACUCAGCUCGGCGGCCAAACCUUUAACAUUUGUUGAAAUUCAGUUAAUUGGUGAAUGUGACAUAACUCGAUAAAUCGUUUAAUUUGUAUAAUUGAUAAAAAUUUGAACUUCAAAUAAUAUAUGUUUUCAAUUUUAGAUAAUGGAUAUAUGUCAUGAUACUAUGAGCAAAUGAAGCGUCUGAUAGAAAACAUAAUGUUUGUAUUAGAAAUUUUAAGUGUGAAUCUAUUUACUGUUGGUUUUAUAUAUAAAAAAUUAGUUACCAACUUGUCUUGUUUCUCAUUUUGUUCAAUUUUCAUAAAUUUGACUAACGAUUAAUUGUGAGCGAAGAGUUUGUUGUAAAAAUAUGGUCUUCCAUUUACUAUAAAAAGAUUAGUGUGAUUUAAUUAUUUUUUCCUUUUGCUUCAUUUCUAGAAAAUUAUGAAUACUUUGGCAAAUAAGAUAAUUAAUUAUAAACAUCGUUUUCAAAAUCCAUGACCAUGGUUGUGAUGCGUCUUUGUAAAUAGCUAAUACAAAAUUAAUUUCUAUCAAAAUUACGGUAAUUACCAUUUGUUUUAAACUCUGUUCUGAACAGAGCAUGAAAAUACCACUUAUCUAGAUUUGCUUUUCAUGCUUUCACUUCACUUAAUCCAGCUUGUCCCUCCUUUGACUGUAUGCCGUGCUGGCAAGUGUGCUAUGCAGAUUACUGAGCUGACUAAUCAAUUUGAAGUGUACCAAUAAUAGAUUGGUGCCAGCUACUAACCUUAUGCCAUGUUAGUGCACAAUAACAGAUUGCUUAAGUUGGCUGGCACCAAUCUACUAACCCUAUGCCAUGUUUCUAAUGUGUCUAUAAAUUCACUAACACGUAUUAAUUUCUGCCAACAUUACCGAAUGAUUGUAUCGAUUUUUAAGCACGUAAACAUACCAGCUUUCUUUCUUUUACUCUCUAUUUCAUGUUUAUUCAAUUUCAAUCUUCUGCAAGUUUCUUUUACAUGCAUUUUUUCUUCUCUCUUUUGUUUUUUUGGUAAACAUAUUAUUUUAUCAUCUAUUACUAUAAGAAUGAAAUGAAAAUAGUCCUCAUUUAAAGUUUUGACAGCAAUGUUAUACUCAAUAUAACGUAUAAAGCACGCAUAAUUUAAUUAAUGGGGCUGCUAAUAUCUUCUUUAAAAGAGAAUUAUCGCAGCCACGUAGUUGGAAGCUCAAAGAGUUUCCAUAUUAGCCGAACCUAAGUGAUAAGCGUUUCCUUAUGAGCCAUGAUUUGGGGAAAAAAACCAAUUCAAGUUAAAGAUCAGAAAAGUGUGUCCCUCACGAAUACAAUAAUUCAAGCCACACAUUUAUCAAACGCAUGGCAGGGACGCUUCAACAUGUUGUCUCAUGGAAAGAAAUCCUUGUCUUUGACUUAAUACAAUGUUACAGAAAAAAUAUUGGGUGCUCCCACUGGCUGCUUUUAUUGAGUGGCAGAAUCAGAAUUUUAUUUCGGGUAAAAUCUCGUUUAGUCCCUAUAUUUUGAGGUUAGUGUCCGUUCAGUCCCUAUAUUUUUAAAAAUAUCUCAAAACAUCCCUGACAUUAAAUUAUUAGCACAUUUCCUCUUAUUUUUUGUUGCUUUUGGCUUAAUUUUUACAAUAUUACCCUCUUAUAAUAUUUUUUUUGGACAUUAGUAAAAAGAAAAAAAUUAAUUAUCAAUUUAAUCUCAAAAAAUAAAAUAGUAACAAAAUUAAUAUAUCAUACUUUUUUGUAACACACUACUGAGGAAUUAAUAUAAUAAUUUUUUUAUUACUAAUGUCCAAAAAAAAGGUAAUUUAAUUAUUUUAUUUUUGGGGUUAAAUUGAUAAUUUAAAUUUUUUUCUUUUUAUUAAUUUUAUAACAAGAAACAUUAUUGUAAGAGGGUAAUAUUAUAAAAGGAAGUCAAAAGAAACAAAAAGUAACAGCAUGGAUGUCAAUAAUUUAAGGGUAAGGAUGUUUUGAGGUAUUUAUAAAAAUAUAGGGACUAAAUGGGCACUAAUCUUAAAUUAUAUGGAUGAAACGAGCCUUUACCCUUUUAUUUCCAUGGUGGCAAUAAUGAUUAAACUGUAAACUUAAUUUGGUUGUGACAUGAAAAUAACGUUGUAAAUACUGGCUCUGCAUUUUAUAAAAUGCAGAUAUCUGUACUAGAAAAGAACUAUGACACACACACACACACACACACACACACACACACAUAUAAUCAUUCUCAGGUGCAGACGUCCGGAUUUUUUUUAAUGCAAACAAAUUUUUAAACCGUGCAAUUUUAAAGAAUUAGUUGUUGAAUAAACUAUAAAAUCAUGCUGUUUAGAAGAGUUAAAAGCUAACUCUCUUAUACCAUGCAGUUUUAAAGUGUGUCCGCAUAAAAAAAAAUGAGGACGCUCACACUAGAGAAGACUAUAUAUAUAUAUAUAUAUAUAUAUAUAUAUAUAGGUAUUCUCAUUUUAUUUUCAUGCGGAUACACUGUAAAACCGUAGGGUUUAAAAGAGUUGGUUAAUUUUUAACUCUUUUAAACUGCAUGGAUUAAAAGUGUGUCCACAUUAAGAAAAAUAUGGACAUCCGCACCCGAUAAUGAUUAUAUAUAUAUAAUAGUUUUUUGGUCCGGAAUUUUAAAGUGCGGGAAAGGUUAGGGAAAUCUUUAAAACCACAGAAUUUUAAAGGCUUAAAACUUGAAGCACUUAAACUGCACAUUUUAUGCAUUUUCCCGGACGUCCCCGUAAUUUAAAAUUCUAGAUUAUAUAUAUAUAUAUAUAUAAAGUUUUUUUUUCAAUUAACUAUUAUACCAUAUGAUUAAUAGCUGAUCCACACGAAAUUUACAUUUAGGCAAUUACUAUCAAAUAUCGAUACGUGUUUGAAUAAACUCUUAAAAAUCGAUUUCCACCUUCAUUAUUACAGCCCUUGUAUAAACUAACGCGGCAACAUAUAAUCAGUUGGUAAAAGAAUAAAUAUAUGUCAAGUGGGUUCUACCAUGUUUUUAAUUCAACGAAUGACAAUAUGCCACCUCGAUUUAUACAAUAAUAUUUAUGACUAUAUCAUUACUCAUUAAUUAAUAGGAACACUAAUUUAUUUUCUUAAAAGAGAAUUCAUCAAUUUGUACAAUAGUAUUUUUACAAAAGUAUUUGUGACUGUAUCAAUACUUGUUAGCUAUUAAUAGACCACUAAUUUAUUCUUCUUAAAAGAGAAUUACUGCAGCAAGUUUGGAGGCACAAAGAUUUCCCAUAUUAGCCAAACAUAAGAGAUAAAGAGUUCAUAUGAGAGGUAAUUUGGAAAAUCAAUUCCAUGCAAUAGGUCUUAGUGGGUUCGACUCAGUAUACGAUUAUUUUCAAAUUUUUAACGUAUUAAAGAUUCCUAUAUCACAUUAUAAUUUUCAAACAAUCAAAAUGAGUCAAAUCAAAUUUAGAACUUUGAGGUCUACUAUAGACUUGGACGUAUUAAAUUUAAGACAAUUAAGCAAAUCCUAGACAAAAUCUAACUUGUAAAUAUACCUUACCACACGAUGAACGUACUGAUAAAUCUUAACUGAUUGCUCACCAAUUAAUUGUUAUUUUGCAAUUUUUAUGUAUCCUUUUUUUCCCUAAAACUUCUAGUUUCCUAACAUACGGUUCUCAAUUGGUCUAAUUAUACUGUAAAUUGUAUUUUAAAUAUAAAUAAAAUGAAUUUAUUUAAUGGAAAUUUGAAAAAGGGACACUUAUCUACGAAAGCAAAGUUGCAUUCUCUUUGUGGGGACCCUAAAAAAAAAAAACGAGCCAGAAUGAUACUCCGAUGACGAUAAUCCUUAAGCUUAAGCAUUAAUUUUCUUUGCUUACAAUUUGGUUUGAAGGGUUAAGUUCAAGUUCGAAUUGAUAGAAAGAAUGGGCUGGUCAGUAUGAUGAUGAUGAUGAAGAAGAAGAAGAGGGGGAUGUCUUUGAGGAUGAAGAGAAAGAAAGUUCUAAAAAAAAAAAUACAGAUUUGUGGAAAUUAAAUUAAAAGCAACUAAUUAAGCAUUAUAAAUUACUUAACAGAGUAAUGCUGAGCUAAUCAAGUUUGUUUUUGAAGAAGGUAUCUUUAAAUCUCUUGGAGUUAAAGAUAAUUAUCAUAUCGCCAUAUCAAACGGACCGAUUAAAAAAUAAACUUAAAUAUUAUUUAAAAUCAUUUAAAUUUAACUUAAUAUAAUCCAAUAUAGACAAUACUAUAUAUAAUCUAGUCUAAUCCAAUUCAAUUGUAAUAAAUAAUACAAUCCAAUCUUGCGAGACAAAAUUGGCCUAAGGGUACCAAUUGCGCAAUAAUCUUUAUAGCCCGUUUCCCAGCCACGCACCCUUUUGUAUUAGUAUUCUCACAGCCGUUGGAAAUAUGGUUCGUAAUCCAAUAAAUGACAUUUUAUGGCUGUUGCUUGCUAGUUUUUGUAAGGUGGCCAAGGCCUUUUAUCAAACACUAUAGGAUCAACUAGUACAAAAUGAAUUCAUUUGGGAUGCGUUUAACGUACUGUGUUAGCUAUAUGCCUAUUAUGAUGUAUUGCAUUAACAUGCAUUAUAUUAAGUUAUAAUGUUAUACUUUGAUAUAGUAUAAACUGUAUUAUAUAAGGUAAUGUUUUAUAUUAAUGUUAAAACUAAAUUAAUAUUAUUUAAAUUUAUUAAUAUUUUAGGAUUUUAUUAUUAAUUUUUUUAAUUAAGUAUUAAAAAUUAUUUUAUAGUAUAUAAAUGAGUUAAUAAUAUAUUAUUAUUAAAUGAUAAAAUACUAAAGUACUAUGUUAUAUUAUUAAAAAUUAUUAUAUUAUAAUAUAAUUUAUUUCUAGAUAUUAAUUAUUAUAAUAUAGUAUAAUCAUAUAAUAAUAUAAUAUAAGUUAAUAUUAUAUUGUAAAAAUAUAAUACUGUACAAUUAUUUAAUAUAAUGUAAAUUAAUUUAUAAUAUAAUAUUAAAUUAUAAAUUGAUUAAAUUAAAUUAAAAUACUUUUUACGUAUUUAAAGUAAAAUAAUUAAAAUAAUUUAUGUAAUAGAAGUAUGAUAAUGUAUUAUCAUUUUCUCAUUAAAUAUUUUAGGUUUGUUAAUUUGUUAAAUUAUUAUUGAAAUUAAAAUUAAUUGUUUAAAUGUAAAUAUAAAUAUAAAUGAAUGCUUAAUAAAAUCUACUCCUAUGGAUCUAUUUUAUACACUUUUUAUUCUAUGAACCACGCUUAUAAUGUAGUUGUAUAAUAGAAACUGGAUAUUUAAUGGAAGCAAAAUUGCGCACGGUUUGUGGGUCUGUCAAAAAAUGAUAAAAAGACCAAUAUGAUACACUGACUCUGUCCUCUUUAAUAUUUUUCUAGAUGCUUCCGUGGCAUAAUCUCAUUGGUCCAUUUUUCUUCACGGCUUAGAUUCAACUUCAAAAAUCAAUUUGAAGCAAACACAACAAUUCAACAAAUAUAAUUAGUGUAGAGUGUUCUGAUUUAUUCUAUAAGUAGCUCAUUUGUGCUUAAAACCUACAUGUAUUGCACGUUUCUAUCGGUAAUUUGAUUACCUUUCCGUACUUUAUCAAUUAUUGAAUGAUUUUACCGGUUUAAUCGCUUGAUUGUUUGAGUAUAAUCGGUAAUUUGAUCGUCUGUCAGCAAGUGAUUUACAAUUCACUCUCCAAUUUUCAUUAAUUUAGUGUAGCCAAGCUUUAACUAGAUAGGUAGAUAACGUGGUCAUGAAAACUUGAUUAAGAGUUUAAUGCAAUCAAAUCUACUUUAAUGAUUAUUUAAUGCACGGAGAUUUAACAUCAAUUAUCAUCACGUUAUUCUAACAACGAAAUUGUAGAGCUUGGAUCUUUACUCGAACAGUUUCACUGGCACUAUUUCUGACACAUUGGGCAAGCUGAAGGAAUUGCAAUUCCUGUAUGAUCAUUUCCCCAACUAUUAUUUGAAUAAUUAUUUAAUGCCGUUCAUUCCAGCUCUGUUUGGCUGUUAACUUUAUUUUGUUAUUUAUGAGGAGAUUCAUUUCUCACCUGAAGCUAGAAAAUUUAUUGUAAUACAUGGAAGUAUAUAUUGCAUUGAAUAAAAUGAAAUUGUUCAAAAAUUAACAAAUUCAGCUUUAUUAUAAUCUAAAACAAAGUAAAUAGAAUAAUACCCAUCAUGUGUAAAAAUAAAAAAUAAAAUUUUUUAUACCACUUGGAAUUUAUUUUAAAUGUUUUGGUCAAAUCUAAGAAGCACAAACUUUGAACAAUGAUAAUAGGUAAAAACUAAUAAUCUUAUAAUAAAAAGUAAGAAAAAAAAUCAAGUUGAUUUAGCAGCUAAGAAUAAAAAAAGAAAAAUAGAAAGAGAGAGAAAUUAGUUUAGUCUUUAACCAUUGUUAUACUAGAGAAAAAAAAUUAAUUAAGAGUAAUUUUAUGAAUUUUUAGAAAUGAGUGAAUUUAAAAUAAUAAAUUAUAAUUUAAUAAUUAUCUUAAUUAAAAAAAUGGGUGUUGAAAUAAAAUUAGUGAAUGACUCUUUAUUUUACGGAUCAAUGACUCUUUAUUUUUUCUUUUAUAUGAUAGCUUGCAAUCCCUGGUGUGUGUUGAUAGUGCCAUACAUAAAUACAAAAAUGAACAAUUUUUUUUUUUUUUUGGGGGGCCAAUUGCAGUUUUGAUAACUAAAAUCUGUGUGGUCCGGUUACCACAAAGGCUUGCCGCAGAUCCCUGCCAUUUUCUCCUCCACCUCCAUUUGGGGAAAUUACUACUUACUUUUUGCAAGUUUUUCUUGAAAUAUUUAUUCUGAUAAGAAAACCAAUAAUACAUUUUAAGAUUUGGGCUGUUUCAAAGAUCUUCCCUUGAUGUCUCUGCUACUGAUGAUAUAUUGGGAUCGACUUUUUUUAUGAAAUAGGAGUUAGACCGAACAACGUUAUAUUUUUUACGGACUCUCAUACCAUGGAAAAACUCAGCCUUAAAGAAUGGUAUGAUGCUUUGAUAUAUGAAGUAAUUGGUAUAUAUUUUGUACCUUCCAUACACGGUGUCUAGAAUUUUGAGAUUAAGAAGAGUAUAAAUGCUAUACAAAUACACUCCUUUCAUUUUAUACAACUUUGAUUGAUCAAGUUGUAUCUCUUUGAUAAUAUGUUCUAUCUUCUUUCAUUUUAAACUUCAAUUGAGUUGCUAUCUAUUUAACUUUGGCAAGUCAGAGAGAGGGAUGGGACUGUCCAAUUAAAAUUAAGUUCCAAUUGCCAAUCCCACCAUUGUUGUCUCAUGUUUGCCAAAUUCAAAUUUGAAAAUCUCACCAAGUCAGUAUGGUGAUGUUGUGGGAUUGUCUCGCCUAGGUUUUUAGCCUCAUGACCUCCUUUAUUAGAAAAAGUCUUAAGUGUUCUUACUCAAUGGUAGAAUCAUGAUUUUACUUCAAUGGAAGCCAUAAUGAUUAAAAUAUACUCUUUUGAUUAAUUACUUAUUUGAUGUUGCUCUCUCUACCAUCAUCUCCAUCUUUAUGAAAAAAUUUAUUGUAAUACAUGGAAGUAUAUAUUGCAUUGAAUAAAAUGAAAUUGUUCAAAAAUUAACAAAUUCAGCUUUAUUAUAAUCUAAAACAAAGUAAAUAGAAUAAUACCCAUCAUGUAAAAAUAAAAAAAAAUAAAAAUUUAUACCACUUUGAAUUUAUUUUAAAUGUUUGGUCAAAUCUCAGAAGCACAAACUUUCAACAAUGAUAAUAGGUAAAAACUGAUAAUCUUAUAAUAAAAAGCGAGAAAAAAAAUAAAGUUGAUUUAGCAGGUAAGAAUAAAAAAAGAAAAAUAGAAAGAGAGAGAAAUUAGUUUAGGCUCUAACCAUUGUUAUAGUAGAGAAAAAAAAAUUAAUCAAGAGUACUUUUAUGACUUUUUAGAAAAGAGUGAAUUAAAAUAAUAAGUUAUAAUUUGAUAAUUAUCUUAAUUAAAAAAAUAGGGGUUGAAAUAAAAUUAGUGAAUUUAAAUAGCCUGCCCAAAAUCCAAACUUGCAUAUCAAUUAUUUUCUAAUUUACAUAAAGUUUUUCUAUAUGUUUGAUAACAUUUGAUUCUCAAUUGGUCUAAUGGAGAAACAACCAGCAAAAAAAUAAAAUGAAUGAAAUUAAAUGGAAUUUUGAAAAGAGCAGUAGAUGACAUUUAUGUGCAAGCAAAAUGCAAAAUUGCAUUCUGUUUGUGGGAUCCUGGAAAAAAUAAAAGAAAGAAAACAGAGUAAGACGCUGGUACUGUGGGCUUUAAUAUUUUUCUAGAUGCUUCAAUGGCAGAUUCUCGUUGGUUCAUUUUUCUUUACGCCUUAGAUUCUAUGAUUCAAUUUCAAUCAAAUAAGACAAACAAAAGAAGCUUUUAAGCCUGCAGCUCAAAAAGAUGGCACUUUAAUUUUCGGCUGAACAUACAUAUGGCAAGAUUAUUAUUAUUGAGCUUGAUAAGUGGGGAUAGCAAAAUCCGAAUUCGGAUGUAGGUGCAUUCGGAUUUGGAUUCGGGAAAAAUUAUGUGGAUGUGGAUUUGGAUGCGGGUAAUAUCUGCACGAAUUGCGGGUGAAUAUUCUAAAUAUUUAGAUCCGCAUAAUAAUAAAUUUAAUUUUAAUUUUAAUAAUUUACAUAAUAAUAUUAAAUAUAAUAUAAUUAUACUUUAACAAUCAUUAAUUUAACAUCAAUUCAACAUAAAUACCAUACAACAACACCAUAAAUUCACAAACAAUAAUUUCACAAUAUAAAUCAAACAUAAAAAAUAAAAAUAAAAAUCUAUGGUAAACCGAUUUAUUACAAUAUUCUCUAAUUAUUAUUAUUAUUAUUAUUAUUUGUUUUUUAAUAUAUUCAUAGUUAAUGAAGAUUAUAGAGUUAAUUAUGCUUAUACAUUUAUAUAAAUAAUUUAAUUUAUAUAUUUUCAAUUGAAAUUUAAUUAAAUAAAUAAUUUAAUUAUAAAAUAAUGCAGAUCCGGAUAUCUAAUUUUUCGGAUGUAAAUGCAUCCGGAUCCGUACGGAUCUUAAUUUUUAAGAUUCGGAUUCUUUUUUUUUAACAUACAGAUUUAAAUUUUUUUGAAUUCGGAUCUUCUGAAUCUUUGCAGAUCCAGAGUUUAUUGCCAACCCUAAAUUGAUAAGGCUAUAGAAAAUUCAAUAUCCAGAUCGGAUAAGGAUCCAAUAAAUUAUAAAAUAUUGCGGCUCAAAGCCCAUAUGAUCAUGGGCCACCGCUUGCUCAUGCUUUGAAUCAAAAUUUUCUAAUGAAGUGAGGUUGGAAGCUAAAAGGGGCAAAUGAUGAAAUGGGGUUCAUCAUAUAUUGAGCCCAACGGGACAAGAUCAUCAUUUAAUUCCCUCCUCUUGUCGAUAGAUAUUUGCCGAAUUUUUUCAUUUAAAAAAUAUUAUAUUGGUUAAUAGAAUUUGAAGUUUUACAAAAUAUAAGUUUAAUUUAAAAAAAAAUUAUGUUUGUUAAUUUAAAAUUUUCAUUUGGUGGUUGUGUUUGAGAAAAAAUUUAGGUAUACUCGGAUAUACUCUCUUAUUAUUCAUUGAAUUUGGGUAUUUAAACAUACUAGUAUGUAGUAUUUUUAGGUAAUUAGCAGAGAAGUAUACGUGACAAAAAUAUAACACGUGAAACAAUACACAAUGAAAUUAUCUACAAUUUUCCAUUGACUUAGUCAACUCUUCAUUAAUUUCAUUGACUUGAUCAACUCAUGAUCUAACUUGACAACUUAAAAAUUAAAUUAUGCUAGUAAUUCCGUAAAAUUAAAAUUUAUCUCCCAAAAUUGAUAAAUACCAUGUCACUUUGUCAAAUUACUUAGGGUAAAAACUCUGUGGCUAAAAACUUUUAACAUUAGUUGUAUGCUAAUUGAGAAGGACAAGACACAAAAGAAUUAAAUUAAUGCCACAUCAUGCAACACUAACACUACUUACUCUUAACAAAUUCUUACAAACGUGAUUCAUGAAAUUAACUUGACUUUUUGUCUAAAAAAGGCCUAAAGAAUCAUGCCAAGCAACAAAUAAAGUAGUCCAAACGUGAUUCAUGAAACUUGAUAGGCACUAUCUAAAUAGUAUUAAUAUGGCCACCAAAAACAUGCGCGCAAAAUAGACUUUCUUGGACGAUCCAUGCCAAUCAGCAAAUAAAGUAGUCCGAACGUGAUUCGUGAAACUUGACUUCUUGUCUAAAAAUGCCUAAAGAAACAAGACCACAAUUUCCAUGCAAUAUCAAUAUGGUGGCCACAAUGCACUUUUUAAGCCAUUUUUCAAAACUAAGUUUCUUCGUUUCACAUGCACUAUUCAAGCAAUUUUUCAACAUUUUCUCCUUCCCCUAAAAGCUACAUGCAUGAAUCAUGUCCCAAUCAAUUUCUUGGCAAAAAUUGGAACGCAAGAACCGAUUGGAGCAUAAGGACAAUGUCACGAUUCAAGAUUCUCAGCAAGACCACGUCACAAUGCAUCACUUUUGGAAAGUAAUCUAGCAAUUUCCAAUGCCUUAGCUGAUUAAUGGCUUGACCAUGUCACGAUUGGUCCACAUUAUGCACAUGGCAAGAUCAAACAAAAUAUCACAGCUAGCUCGACGACUACUAGCCAAAAUAACAAGACAAUGACGGCCAGUUACAAACUCUUUACGAAGGAAAUACCGAAAUAUGAAUUUCCCUCCUAAUCACUUUCUUAUAUUAUCAUUAUUUUGUACAUAUAACAGAACACGUUCUCUCUUGUAAAGAAGUCAACAAAACGGUUUUAGUUUUCAUAUCAAUAAUAGAAUCCAAAAUCUUUCACAGCUUGCUUCUCCUUUGGACGCUUGAAAGACUUUCUUACCUGGCUAAAACUGUGAAAAUUGUUCAAACUAAUUUGAUUGAUAACUUUCUGACACUAUAAUGUAUUAUUUAUAUGAAGGCUACAUUUAAAUGUGAAAUAAAAAUGAGUGUUUAUAUUAAAAAACAAUCAGUCUCAUUGCGUCCUCUUUCAUUGACAUAGGCAGUUUGCGGUCAACCCUUUAUUAGGUCAUGACUGUCCGAUUGUCUUCGCUUUCAUUGACUUCGCAACUGUGAAUUCUAAGCCGGGUUAACGAUUGACAAAAUGUUAUAACCCAUAAAGCACGGAUAAUUAAUUAAUGGGCCACUGAUUUCUUCUUUAAAGGCUAAUUCUUGGUAAAGAUCAGAAAGUUCUCAAAUAAAAAUUCGGCUUUGUGGAAAUUAAAUUAAAAGCAAUUAAGCAUUAUAAAUUACUUAACAGCUUAAUCGAGUUUGGUUUUGAAAAAUAUAUCCUUAAAUCUCUUGUAAUUAAAGAUAAUUAUCAUAUUACCGUCUCAAAUGGACCGAUUUCAAUCAAAUGAAAUCUAGAAAAUUGAGCAGCUCAUUGAUGUAUUUGGUCGAAUUGUGACUUGUGUCAGAGUCUUCGUUUUAGAAGAGUGCACAGCAGCUGCCAGGUCCACUCGGCAGUUGGCAGCAAAUUAUCUAACACCACUUUACUAUCAAAAUUUUUUGACAAUAAUUUUUUGUCACUUAAUAUUUCAAUUUUUAUCAUUUUAUCAUCAAAAAAUAGUAAAUGCAUGUUUAGUGUAAGUUAUCCACAAACAUGGUUGUUGAAUUGUCUUGUUUCUCAUUUGGUUUAAUUUUCAUAAAUUCGACUCACACAAUUCAAUUAUGAGUGGAGUUUUUUUGGAAAAAAUCUGGUCUUCCAUUUACUAGAACCAGGUCUGAAUGAUUUUAUUAUUUUUCUUUUGUUUGAAAUAUACGUGGAAAAUGUUGAACACUUUGUAGGAUUUAGAAGAAUUUGAAAGUUUGAAUGCAUAUAGUUUACUAUCCAUCAGCUAGUGCAUAUUCUGUAUUUUAUGAAAUCAAAGCUGGUUGAUUGAGAAAUGGACCUUAUUACAUGUCAUAAGAUUUUACAGUGCUUUCUAAUGGGGCAAAAUAAAAUGAUUCUUAUCUGCACAGAAAAUUAGAAACGAAAAGGAGGGUUACUGAUCCACAGAGUUGUUAUUUACGAGAAGCACAUGGAUAUUACACUUAAUUUAUUAUCCAUCUGUAUUGUUUAGAUGACACUGAAGUAUUACCUAAAUUUAUUAUCCACAAAACUUCUUUUUCAAAAAUCUAUGGUUGUGAUGCGUCUCUAUAAACUCACUCGUACAAAUUCUAUCUAAUGCCAAUUGUUUUAAACCCUGCUCUGAAGAGAGCAUGAAAGGAUAUGUUCACUUAUCUAGUUAUGUUUUUUAUGCUUUCACUUCACUUGAUUAUAUCCAUCACAAGGAUCAUAUUAUAUCCUACGGAAGGAGCACAGUUCAUUGGCUGCACUCAGUUUACAGAGUAUUUCGGGAUUCAAGACUGUAGGUUGUUGCGGUUGCAACUUGCAAGGCUGUAGCUGUGUGACUGUAUGCCACGCUGGCAAGUGUGCUCUGACGGAUUGUGGAGAUGGCGCCAAAGAUUGUAAACUAAUUAGUACUGAAAAAUCCUAUUUGCACAUAAAAUUGCACAAAAUAAAUAGAAUGAGAAUAAUUGUACAAAGAAAUAAGAUUAAUAAAGUAAAUAAAUUUAUCUUUUAACAAAAUAUUUCUAGUCUUUUAGUGUUUUUGUGUACGUACAAGUAGCAUUACUCAUUCUAAUAAGUAGCUCACUUGAGCCUAGGACUUGUAACUAUGUUUUACCUUUCUGUAACUUUCUUAUAAAGAUUUUUUUUUUUUUUACAUUUUCAAUUUCUCUUCCAUUUUCCCGACUCCCAACACCACCAAUCCUCGGUUUUCUAGAGUAUCAGCUAUCUCUUUCUACAAACACAAAACUGCUAUUUACUUUCAAGAAACAACGUAUUCUGUGGUUUAUUGGCUUGAGCCUUGUGAACCGGGCUAAUGUUGGUCUAACUACUUUCACGAAACAACGUACUCCGUGGUUUAUUGACGCGCACGGUAGCUGCUAAGUGCUAACUGCCUUCUCCAUUUGACGUGCAAAACACUUUCUUGAGUCGGGUUAAAAUUAAUUGAUCAUUUUAUUUGGUGAUAAUGACUUAGUUGUCAAGUCAUGAGUUUGAUGAUGAAGAGGAUGAAAAAUAUUAUUUUAUUAUUUAAAAUAAGACUAUCAAUUAUUUCCAUGGUCAUCUUAUUUUCUAAAAUAACUAAAUGGAAUCUCACAGAAUUAAAGUGCUUGACUUCUUCAUACAGUGGUUGACUUCUUUUUACAGAAUUAUAAAGUGAAAAAGGAAAUUAAGAAAUUAAAUACUUUUCAUGCGAGUGGAGAAGAUUGGGUAGCGAUUACAUGAAAUAAAAGAAAAAUAAUUUAAAAGUACAACACUUUAAUAAUCUCAUUCCCAAUCAUAUCGGUAUAAAAAUUCUGUAGAUUUAUUGAAUAACUAUUGAUUUUACUUUGGUAAUUUCUUUCUAAAAGUGAGGUAAACAUUUUUAUUUUCUUUGCAUUCGAGCUUUCUUUCUUUUGCGCUGGCCUUCACACUCUUGACCGUAUUUCAUGGGGCACAUUCAAUCUCAAUCUACUGCAAGUUUGUGGCAGUUUUGUUAAUAACGAACAUUUGUAGGAUUUUAUGUAGAUGAUACUUUUACAUACAUUUUUCUUUUCUUUUUUUCUUCGGUGAACAAAUUAAAAAUUUAGUUUUUGUCAUCAUGACUAGUGAAAUGAAAAUUGUCCUCAUUUCAAGGAUUGACAAAAACGUUGUGCUCAUACCGAUUAAUGGGGAACUGAUUUCGUCUUCUUAAAAGAGAAUUAUUUGCAGCGCCGUAAUUCGGAGAUUUCUGUAUUAUAUAGCCAAACCUAAGUGAUAAGAAUUUCCAUAUGAGAUAUAAUUUGGAGGGAAACAAAAAACUAAUUCAAGUUAAAGACCAGGAAUUUGUGUUCCUCACAAAAACACUUCAACGUCUAUUCUCUCAUAGAGGGGAAUAUCCUUCACUCUUUGACGUAUCCCUGGGGCAAUGUAAGUUGACUUUACAUUAAAACAAAAAAUAAUUACAAUCACAUAAUUACAAUUAUCAUCACUGAUUUGUAUAAUUUUCAGGACUAGUAAAUUAUCUCAAUUUUUAAAAAACAUAAUUACAAUUAUCGAUCGAACACCACUAAUUCCAACAAUUCAUCCAAGUUUUUCAACUUUUUAGAUAUUUGAUAUAUGUCAUGUUUUAACUUAGUACGAGAAAAAAAAUAUAGAAUAAUUUUUUUUCAAAUUAGUGGAAUUAUUUUACGAUAAAACUAUCACAAUCACAUUGAAAAAUAUUCUUUAAAUUUUCACUAUUUCUACUGUUAUUCUUUAACCUUUUUUCUGAACAGAGCAUGGAGGGUUGCUUAUCUAAAUAUGUUUUCUGUGCUUUCACUUCACUUGAUUCAUCUUGUCCCUCUUUCAUAGCUUCUAUCUCGUGUGAGCUUAGAACCUGCAACUCGUAUUUUACGUUUCUGUUACUUUCUCUUUCAUUUUCCCGACUCCCAAACACCAUCAGUCCUUGAUGUUAUAGAGUAUUAGCUGUCUAUUUGUACAGACAUAGAGCUACUGUUCCCACUGUAGAUCUUCAGAUGGUUAGCUCACUAUUGUUUGAAUAUUAAAAUUAAUUUGUUAAAUAAAUAAAGAAAACAAGAGACAAUUGCCAUAUAUAUUCCAUAUUAAUUAGUCACCGUCCGAUUGUCUCCACUUCCAUUGACUCUGUUGAUUCAUGCUUUCAUGAAGUGAAACGUUUAACACUCUGUUCUGAUCCGCAGGAGAGGAGGAAAAACAUAAUUUUAUUAUUUCAUUCCUGACACGCGCAAAGAGCUUUCUUAAUUGAUGAAUGUGACAUGAAGCUCUAUAAAUAGUUUAAUUUGUAAAAUUGUUAAAAUUUGUUAAAUUUCAUUUAAUUGAUGAAUGUGACAUGAAGCUCUAUAAAUAGUUUAAUUUGAAAAAUUGUUAAAAAUUUAAAUUUCAAGUAAGGUAGAUAAAAUGAUUAAAUUUUUUCAAUAUUUAGAAAAUUAACAUGUGUCAUGUAACUAUGAGUGAAUGAAUGAAAUUUUUGAAGUGCGAAUCCAUUUACAAGUUACGACUUGUCUUGUUUCUCAUUUUACUUAAUUUUCAUAAAUUUGACUCACGAUCAAUUAUGAGUGAAGAGUUUGUUGGAAAAAUAUGGUCUUCCAUUUAUUGUAAUCAGAUGAGUGUGAUUUAAUUAUUUUUUCCUUUUGCUUGAUGUCCCGAAAAUUAUGAAUGCUUUUGUAGGAUGCAGAAGAUUAAAAAUUUUAAUGCAUAUCUAUAGUCAAAACUGAGGAAACAGAACAUUACUGCUUCUAUAAAUAGGUCAUUUCAACCUAAAACUUGUUACUUGUAUUUUACAUUUUUUUUUUUUAACUUUUUCUUCCAUUUUCCCAAACACCACCAAUCCUUGAUUCUUUUCCUAGAGUAUUAGCUGUCGAUUGUUACAAACAUAGACAUAUUGUUUGUCUAAUUACUAUCAAGAAACAACAUACUCUAUCCUGGGGUCUCUUCGUUUAUUUAAUAUUUAGGUUUAUUAAUAUACUAUAUUAUUAAUUAAUAAUUUAAAUUAAUUAAAUAAUAAAAGUUAAAUGAUUAUAUUGAAAAUCCAAGUAGUAUUUUAAUGUAAUGAAACCUAAAUCCCACCUCUAUACCACAUUUGUUAUACAAUGUAAUGCAACUAUAAAUUAUAAUUAUAUAAAAAUAAUAUUUUAAUACAAUAUAAUACAAAUUACAAGUGUAAGGCUGUAAUAUUAAUUAGCCUGUGUAAUAGUAUGCCAUGCUGGCAAGUGUGCUAUAACAGAUUGUCGAGCUGGCACCAAUUAUUUUAAACUAAUAUUAGUAAUUAGUCUAGAGUGUUCUGAUUUAUUCUAUUAAUAGCCCAUUUAAGCUUUGAACAUGUGAACUUGUAACGUGUACUGUACUUUUCUAUUACUUCUAAUAAAGAUUUUCUCUAUUCCUUUUUCUUCACUUUCUCUUCCGUUUUCCCGACCCUCAAACACCGUCAAUCCUUGAUUUGAACUGCUGUUUGUUUGUCUAAUUACUUUCAAGAACAAUACCCUCCAUCCCACGGUCUCUUCGUUUAUUGACUUGUUACUUGUGAACAGGGCUAAAUAAAGGGAAAAUACAACAAUUCAAGCCAGCCAUUUAUCAAACGCAUGACAGAGACGCUUCAACAGGUUGUCUCAUGGAAAGAAAUCCUUCAGUCUCUGACGUAAUACUUGGGGCAACGUAAAUUGACUUUACAUUGAACGAAACACUGGCCACAAACAUUAUCAAAAUUAAAUUGAUCGGUUUAACGUAAGUUUUUCUUCAAGAACGAAUGCCAAGAGCUCAAGAAAGUCCUAUCCUUUAGACACGUUAAGAAUUACUUUUCUUUUCAUAAUAAAUUAGAUUGAGUUAAUAAUAUUUGCCUGUGUGAAAUGAAUAAUCAGUUUAGUGUCACCCCAUUAUUAAUUUGUGACUGUCCGAUUGUCUCCUUUUUCAUUGACUUUGCAACUGUGACUUCUGAACCGGGUUAAGAGUUGACAAAAAUGUUAAUGUUAAUAUGUUAUAACUCAUAAAACACGCAUAAUUAAUUAAUGGCCCGCCAAUUUCUUCUUCUCAAAAGAGAAUUUUUGUAGGAGAUUGAAAAAAGGCUAAUUCAUGUUAAAUAUCUUAGAUGAGUGUCUAUCAGGGAUACAAGUCAAGCCACACGAUUUUUCUUGUUAUACUAUUUAUUGGCACUUGUGAAUCCUUGAAUUAUCAAAUGAAUAGCAACAACACUUCAAUAUCUAUUGUUACACGGAGAGAAAUCCGUUCUCUCUUUGAUGUACUACUUGGCAAUAUACAUUGAUCUUUCAUUAAAACAAGCAUUCUCAUAUUGUUGAGAAAAGCUCACGUUAAACUAUUCAAUUUAAUCAUUUAUUAAACAGAUAUUUGGUUUGAUUCAUUUAAUUCAUUUAGUAGAAUUAAUAAACGAAUCGGAUCGAAUCCAGAUUCAUUUAUUCUAUUACGAAUCCACAACGAAUUGAAUAGAAUCGAAUCAGAAUUCAUUUACAAUUCGUUUAGAAAAAUAUAAUUGAUUAACAAAAUUAAGCAAAAUAAAAUAUAAAAAAGCCGCAAAUUUAAUAUCCUACAACAAAAUACAAAUAACACAAACCAUAUUCUAGGAUUAAAUAUACAGUCAUCCAAAUUACAACAUUAACCUUCAAAUUUUAAAAUAAAUAAAUAAAUUUAAGGACAAAAAAAUAAUUUUAUUAAAUGAAUAAUAAACGAAUUUUAAACGAAUCGACAUGUAUUCGAUUUGUUUAUCACUUGUUUAUUAAACGAAUCCUAGACAAAUAUAACGAAUCAAUAUCUUCAAAGCUGGAUUUGAUUUGUUUAAUUAGCGAAUCGAAUCAAAUUAGCCCAUUUAUUAAACGAAUCAAUUUUUUCGAACCCAAACCCAUUUAAUUGGCAUCGAAUCAAAUAAACAAAUCCUGACCUAUAUUGUCACCCCUAGGCUUUUGGUGUUUCUUUGCGUAUUUUUGUGUACAAGUUUGUGUGCAAAUAGCAUUACUUAUCAAUAAUUAGUCUGGAGUGCUCUAAUUUCUUCUAAUAAGUAGCUCAUUUGGGCUUAGGACCUAUAACUAGUAUUUUACGUUUUUGUUAAUCUCUGAUAAAGAUUUUCUCUAUUCUUUUUUUUUUUCCUUUCACCUUCUCUUUCAUUUUCCGAGUCUCAAACACCACCAUUCCUUGAUUUUCUAGAGUAAUAGCUCUCUAUUUCGACAAUCGCAGAACUGUUGUUGAUCUAACUACUUUCAAGAAAUAACGUAUUCUGUGGCAUAUUGACUUGUGAACGGGCCUAAUUAGUCACGGUCCGAUUGUCUCCUCUUCCAUUGACUCGGUCAAUUCAUGACUUUGACCUGCACAGUUGAUACGAACUGACUUCUCCAUUUGACGUGCACAAAACUUUCUUUAGUCGGGUUCAAAUUAAUUGAUCACUUUGUUUGGUGAUGAUGAAUUGGAUGUCCAAUUCAUGAGUUUCAUGAUGAAGAGGACGAAAAACAUUAUUUUUUGAUUUAAAAAAGACAAACAAUUAUUUCGAUGGUCAUUUUAUUAUUAUUUUUUUAAAUAUCCAAAUGGUAGAAUCUUACAGAAUUAAGGUGCUUGACUUCUUUAUACAGAAUUACAAAGCGAAAAAAUAAAGAAAUAAAAUACUCAUCGUGCAAGUGAGAAGAGAUUGGGUUGUUGAUACAUUAAAUAAAAGAACAAUGAAUUAAAAGCAUAACAUUUCAAUAAUUUCAUUCUCAAUCAUAUCAAAAAUAAAAUUUACUGUACAUUGUUGUUCGGUUCUGCAAAAAAAAAAAAAAAAGGAUUUGCGGUUUUGCUUGAGUGUAAUUUUCGUUAAUUACAGUUUGAUUUGAAGGGUUAAGCGCACGUUCGGGUUUCUUUUAUGUAAUUUAAAUCAACAUUGAUAUAACAAAUGAGCUGAGUACGAUGAUGAAGAAGAGGAAGAGGGGUAUCAUCAAUUUAUUAUCAAAUCUUUUCUCAUACAUCACUUUAUCAUUAUAAGCUUUUGACAAUUAUUUUUAUCAAUCGGGGUUCUUGACUUUUUGUUUGAAGUCUAAAGCUUAAUAAUUUUAAAGCAUUUACCAUUUUUAUUUUGUUUUUUUAAUCACUUAUGUCUGAUUAUAAGAUGUUUAGGUAUGAAUAGAAAAAGUUAAAUAUUUUAACUUUUAUCUGAAUGACAAAAUAUAUAAAUGGAUUUUAAUAUUCUCUCUUGUUAAUACCCCUAUUCGAUAAAUUUAUUUCUUGUUAUAUAAAUUAUUGUUUUAUUUUUUUAUUUUUUUAUUUUUUUAUUUACCCCUCUCUUUUGUUAUAUACAUGCAUUCAACUAUCAUUUUUUUUUCUAUGAAUGAGAAUUUUAGACAUAAUAGAAAUUUAGGUGAGUAUGUUUUAUAAUAGAUCUAUCUCUUUGUAUUUACAUUUACUAUUUUAUAAUAAAAUUUUGAAUUUUAUUUACUACAUUAAUUUUAAUUCAAAUGAUAAAGCAAUUCUUGAUUGACUUAUAUAAUUAACAAGAAAAAAAUAUCAAUAUAAAAUACAAAAAAUAGCAUUAUAUUCAAUACUUUAAUAAUCUCAUUCCCAAUCAUACCGGAAAUAAAUUUUUCUGUAUAUUUAUGAAAUAACUAUUGAUUUUUUUUUUUAAAGGUAAACAUCUUUAUUUUCCUUGCACACGAGCCUUCUUUCUUUUGCUUUGGCCUUUACUGUUGAUUUCAAGGUCAUAUUCAAUCUCAAUCUUCUGUAGGUUUGUGGCUGUUUUAUGAGUUACGAUUUUUAUAGGAUUGCAUGUAAAUGACAUAUUUAUAUACAUUUUUUCUUUUCGGUGAAGAUAUUAAAAAUUUAGUAUUUGUUACCAUGUGAAAUGAAAAUAGUCCUCAUUUCAAGGAUUAAUGGGCCACUAAUUUCGUCUUCUUAAAAGAUAAUUAUUUGCAGCGAGAUAAUUGGAAGCUCGAAGAUUUCUAUAUUACAUAGCCAAACCUAAGUGAUAAGAAUUCCCAUAUGAGAUAUAAUUUUGGGAAAAAAAAAACCAAUUCUAGUUAAAGAUAAAAAAUUUGUGCUCCUCACAAAAACAAUAAUUCAAGCCACACAAUUUUUCUUGUUUUAUUUCAAAAACAAAAUUGUGUUCCUCACAAAAACACUUCAACAUCUGGAGAAAUUUUAGAAUAUAUCUGUUGUAACAUGUCAACCAUACAACAAACAAAUAAUUUCAUGACAUGUAUGUAUUUAUUUUAUAAGCUAUCAUUCAAGUGGUGGUUGUAUUAAACUCAAUUACACAUGUCAUGCAUGUAUUAAUUGGUUGUAAUACAACAGAUGUAUUAUAGAAUUAUUCCAACAUCUGUGGUCUAGUAAAGGGAAAAAUCCUUCACUCUUUGACGUGUCCCCAGGGCAAUGUAAGUUGACUUUACAUUAAAAAAAAAAAAAGAAACAUUGUCAUAUAGUUAAGAAAAACGUAAUUUUGACAAGUGCAAGAGAUGGGUAGGACUCAUUUGAUGCAAGAAAAACAAUGAGUAUACGCAAAGAGCUUUAUUACUCUGCAGCCAAUACUUUGAUGAAUGUGACAUUAUUGGUUUGUAUAAUUUUUUGGACUAAUAUUUUAUCUCAAUUUUUUUAAAAAAAUAUAAUUGCAAUUUUCAAACACGAUUAAUCCCAACAAUUUAUCCAAAAAUUUGAGUUUCAAUAAAUGUAGCAUUUAUGAUAGCAUGGCUAAUUUUUUUCAACCAACACUUUAGAUAAAUGAUAAAUCAAUAUUUGACAUGUUACUAACUUACUACAAGAAGGAAAUUAUAGAAUAAUUUUUUGAAUUAGCAGAAUUAUUUUACGAUAAACCUAACACAAUCUAAUUUAAAAAUAAAGUUAUUCUUUAAAUUUCCCGUUCCUAUUCCUACUUUUCUUGUUAUACUACUUUGGCACCGGUGAAGCCUUGAAUUAUCAAACAAAAAGCAAAAAACACUUCAACAACUGUUGUCCCACUAGGCAUUGUUAAAUUCAUACGAUAAAAUGAGUACUUGUAUUAAAAAACAAUGAGUCUCAUUGUGUCCUCUUUCAUUGAUAUAGGCAAUUUCCAGUCAAUUUGUGGCACCCUUACUGACACGUAAAAAACUUACUUACCCCUCACCCAAUACUUUUAUGAAUUUUCAGGACUAGCAAAAUUUUCAAAUUUAAAAGAAAAAAAAUGCAGAAAUAUAAUUUCAAUUUAUCCAGAUAUUUGGGUUUCAAGGAACAUAGCAUUUAUUAUAUGUCAUGUUAAUAUAGAGACUAAUUUUUUUUAAAAAAAAAUUGAAUGAAUAAAAGUAUUUUUUUGAUAAAAAUUUCACAAUCAUAUUUUUUUAAAAAAGUUUUUUUAAAAAAGAAAAUUCACUCCUCUUCUUACAUAAUUUAAUAAUUUAACAUUAUAAAUUAAUCUUUUUAAUCAAAGUAAUAAUCUCUCCUUCGGUGUGCGAAUGCUAAAAUUUAAUAUUAUAGUCGUUGAUGAUAUUUGCGUCAAAUUCACGUGAAUAAAAUUUCUAACAGAAUUAUGAAAUUCGUUACUAGAAAUUUGUAUAAAAGUAGUGAGAAUAGAAGGUUUGAUCAAAGGAAAUUAAUAUAUCCCUAUCCGAUGCAAAAAUUACAUUCUAUUUUCCAAUUACUAAGGUCAGCCUUAACGCAUGCCGGUCUUUUUCUCCUCUACUUUCUAGAAAUUUUGGUUUCACUAUAAAAACUCGGUAUAUAACAAACUUAUGAGUGUUCUUGCAUUACCAAUCCAAUUAAGCACACGCUUACAAUCUAAAAUACUCUCAUCUCAUGGAAAGAGUUCAUUCUCUCAGGAUGAUGAGCAUAUUUCUCCUACUCCAUUGUUUGAUUAUUAUUUCCUUAUUUAUCGCAGCAACAACAGCCACCACAAGUUCUACUAUCACAGACCGAGAUGCUCUGUUAGCCCUGAAAGCUCACAUAACUCAUGAUCCGACCAAUUUCUUGGCCAAGAAUUGGAACACAAGUACUCCUGUCUGUAAUUGGACAGGUGUCGCUUGUGACGUCCAUAGCCAUAGAGUCACAGUCUUGAAUAUUUCAAGCUUAAAUCUCAGAGGCACCAUCCCAUCUCAACUUGGGAAUCUUUCUUCUCUGCAAUCACUCAAUCUCAGUUGUAACCGACUUUCUGGUUCCAUUCCCUCCACCAUCUUCACCAUAUACACACUAAAAAAUGUUAGUCUCGGUAAAAAUAAGCUCUCUGGGCAAAUUCCUACAAAUAUUUGUAGUAAUCUUCCUUUUCUUGAAUUUCUUUCUUUGUCCCUAAACAUGUUCCAUGGCGGAAUACCGUCCACUCUAUCAAAUUGCACAUAUUUAAGAACCUUAAGUUUGGCAUACAAUGAUUUCUCGGGAGCCGUACCUAGAGAAAUCGGUAACUUGACCAAACUUAAGGUAUUAUAUAUUGGCGCGAAUAGACUCCAAGGUGCGUAUGAUGAUGGAGUUUAAUUAUAAAAAUUGUUCCAUGAGUUGUAAUAUGAAUAAUGUUCCAUAAUACACUUCUGAGCCCGAAGUCCUUUCUUUUCCUCCUUGACUCUUCUAUCGUCGAGCUAAGUGACUCUGUCAUGCCGCUUCAAGUAAUACACACGUUGAUUAAUUUGCAGGAGAAAUUCCUCGAGAGUUUGGCAAUCUUACCGAAUUGGAGCAGUUUUCGUUACCAACAAACAAUCUCCAAGUUAUGAUUUUAAACUUUUUGCAAUUUUAUUCUAGCUCUGCUUGAUUCUGUAUUCAUUCGUUUGUUCAUUAUUUAUGCUAUGAUUUAUUGUUUUUCUUUCAGAUAGAGAUAAAGCUCCAUGUCUCCCCUCACUCAUUUCGUUCUUUGAUUUAUGCACAUAAAAAUAAAAUAAAAAUGUUUUGUAAUUUUCUUUUGUCAUAUUGCCACUUCCCUUUUGAAGCUCCCAAUUAAGUCGAUGAAAAUGAAUGAUGUUUCAUUCGUAUUCUUGUCAGCCUAAUUCUUAUAUAAUUGAAGAGUAAAUUGUUAUUAUGAUAUUCGUCAGCCAAUAAAUUCUUUUUUUUUUUCAAAAUAUGAGUGAUCAAAUUGUUUGCGCAUAUAUAAUUUUACUUAAUUUGCAGGAGGUAUUCCACAGGAAUUGGGGAAUCUUGCAAAAUUGGAGAUUUUACAGCUGUUCCAGAAUAACUUGACCGGUAACCAUCUUUACUAUAUAUAUAUGAGACAUCUUCUGCUUCUUAAUUAAAAGAUUUCAAGUCUCUCAUUAUAAAUUCUCAUAUGAGGAUAUGUCAUUACUACAAUCUAACAUUAUUCCCUUUUUUUAUUAGAAAUUAGUUUGUGUUAAUUCAAAAUUUUGUAACAUGUAAAAAAAAUUAAAAACACGUGGAAUAAAUCAUCAAUCUUUCUUCUUUAUUGAAUUUGGAUUUCUAAAAAAUUAUCUUGACAAGUAUGCUUCACUAAUGAUAUGCAUGUGUGACAACUUCAUAAAAUAUUUUACAUGGAGUCAUCAAUUAUCUUUAAAUAAUUGGAGAUGCCAUCAGUGAUACAUAAUUUCUUAACAAGCACCAUAUCAAAAGAAAUCAACAAUUUUAUUAAUCUUAAAGAGUUACAUCUUCACCGCAAUUAUGAUAUAAAAUUUUAGUCAUCAAUCGCAUAAUAUUUUACCUUAACGGAUGAUGUUCAGUCUUGGAAUUUAUAAUACCUUGAAGGUUAGUAGCUUUGAAAAUAAGAACUGUUCAUUUGCUAAAAAGUUAACUUAGUAUUUAAGUUUUUCAAUUGAAAAUUUUGAAAAAAGUCUUGAGAACUGCCCUCCUUAGUAUUUCAGCUGAUAAAUAUGAAAAAUAGGCUAGAAGAAAUAUUGUUGUGUGUGCUUAUUUUACUUGGGCUUUGGGCUUGAUUACAAGGUCGAGCACUAACACCUGUCAUAAUAAUAGGCUUUUACUUUCACCACACGUUCAAUAAUUUCUUAACCUUCCGAAUUAAGUUAUAGCAAUUUAUAUAUAAAUAACUAAAGCAUACUAAAGCGAGCACAAAGUACUCAUGACUUAGGCUUACUGUGUUACCUAUUACACACGGUCGAACACUUACAUCUGUUAGAAUAACAAUAGCAUCCACGGAUCGACUAUCAGUGAUCAAAUUGAUUGCACAUAUGUAAUUUGCAGGAGCAAUUCCACGGGAGUAGGGAAAUAUUACAGGAUUGGGGAUCUUAGAGCUGCCUGAUAAUUUUUUAACCGGUAUCAUUCCUUCAUCUAUCUACGAAUUGCUUUUCUCUAUUAAAUUCGGAACUGUCAUUUAAUAACUUAACAGGUAACUUCCCUUACAACAUGUCUGUGUGACAUGUUUUGCUUUGAAAUUAAAAUAUUUCACGUCUCUCAUUAUAAAUUCUCAUAGGCGGAUGUAUUGUUACUACUAUUUAACAUUAUCUCAUUUUUUUAUUAGAAAUUAAUCUGUGUUUAUGCAAAAAAAUUUAGCAUCUAAAAAAAGUACAAAAACACAUGGAAUAAAUCGAAAAUCUUUCUUCAUUACUGAAUUCGGAUUUCUAAAAAAUUAUCAUGAGAACUUCAUAAAAUAUCUUACAUGGAAUCAAUAAUUAUCUUUAAAUAGUUGGGGAUGCCAUCACUAAUAAAUAGUUUCUUAAAAAGCAUCAUACUAAAAGAAUUCAAUAAUUUUAAUAAUCUUCAAGGGGUACAUCUUCGCUGCAAUUAUGACAUAAUUUUUUAUCUAAAUAUAUUUUUAGUCAUCAAUCGCAUAAUUUUUUAUCUUGACGGAUGAUGUUCAAUCUUGGAAUUUAAAAUAUCUUGAAGGUUAGUAGCUAUGAAAAUUAGAAAUUUUUUAUUUGCUAAAAAAUUAACUUAGUAUUUAAGCUUUUCAAUUGGAAAAUUUGAAAUAAAUGUUGAGAACUGGCCCUCCUUAGUAUUUCAGCGGAUAAAUAUGGAAAAUAGGCUAGAAAAAAUUAUUUUAUUGAAAUAAUAGUUAAAAAUAGAGACGUACAGUACUCAUGACUUAGGCUUGCUGUGUACUUUUUUUACUUGGGGUUCGGGCUUGAUUACACACGGUAGAAUACUUACACAACUCCCCCCAUAUAGGGUUUUACUUUCAUCCCACAUUUGAUAAUUUCUUAACCUUCCCAAUUAGAUUAUAGCAAUUUAUAAAUAAAUAAAUAACUAAAGCACACUAAAGCUAGCAUUGAUGGACAGAUGAGUGGUGUCAAAAGUGUAUCUGUUUUUAUUAGGGUUGGCAAUUUAAGGGCCUGGGCCGGGCUUUGCCAAGCCCAGGACCAGGCCCAUAUAAUGUUAAAUAAGUUCAGGGCCUCUCAAAGCCCAUCCAAGUUGGGCGGGCCGGGCCUUGACCGGCCUCGGGCCGGGCCCGGGCUUUUAUGAAUUUUCAAAUUUUUUUAAAAAAUAAAACUAUAAAUUUUCAAAACAUAAUUAUCCAAUACAUAAUACUACAAUAGGCUAAAAACUUAAAUAUAUUUCUCUAAUACAUGAUUAGCCAACACAAAAUAUAAAAAUACUAACAAUACAAGUACCGUACAUAACAUACAAAUCAACCACUAAUAUAAAAAAAAAAACUAAUAGAGAUUUACCAAUUUAGGAAUUUUGACAUUUUGUGACAAAACCUUUGCCCUUUCCCUUUGCCCCAUUUUUUUAUUGUUUUGUUUAAUUUUUUUUUUCAAUUUUAUAAUAUAUUAUACAUUUUUUUUAAAAUAUAUAUAUAUAUAUAUAAAGCCCUUAUCCAUAAUAUAUAAUAUAUAUAUUAUUUAUUAUAAAGCCCGGGCUUUUCAUUUAGGCCCUUGACUGAGCCCAUAUGUUAUGGGCUUUAUUAAUUAUGAGCCCUUACCCAUACUUUCAAGCCACGGGCCAGGCUUAAAGCCCGCGGGCCUGGGCCGGCCCGGGCUUUUCUGCCAACCCUAGUUUUUAUGUAUUAUUGUUCCCUGAUACAAAUUUGAAUAAUGGAAAAUAUAAAUUUAAUAUUUUAUUUAAUACUUUGUUAACAUUUUAUCUAUAUAUAAUAAAUAAACUGAAACUUGUACUUAAAAAAUUUUUUGGUUACGCAUAUUCAUUUCAUGAUAAAAAAAAUGUCUAUUUACACUAAUUUACCAUUAUCAAUAAAAUGCUUUGAGACAAAUAAUCUAAUUUAUAUUAGUAUAUUUAAAAUACUUGCAUUUAUUAUAUUUUGAAAAAACAUUAUUUGCAAUUAUUUUAAACCUUUGAAUUCAAAUUUUCUUAGUUAUUAAAGUCAAAGGGUAUAAAUGUAUAAUAGUCAAAAACAGAUUUGUAUGAUCAUUUUUCAAUGUAUAAAUUUUCUUAGUUAGUAGGCAAUUAAAAUUUGUUGAUUUACUCAUAAAUAAAUUUAGUGUUUAGCAUUUCAAUUUUGGAAAACUUGAACUAAAUGUUGAUAACUUCGAAUCCAUCGAGCCAAGUUUCGCUUCCUUGACACACAGACCCAUUCGAAGUUCUAUUCGAAUUGAGUUUCCAAGUGCUUAGAAAAAGCAGUUCUUUUCCAUGUCGCUAUAAUUUAUUCACAAAAGAGUUGAUUAGCGUCGAUGUUGCUUCAGAGUCUGAGACCAUGUUAAUUUAUUUUACUGAAUUAAUUUAUUUUAUCUUGCUGUAACUGAAAUACUACCUUUUUUUUUUUUUUGCUAUAACUGGGGCUUGAUUAACUUUAAUAAUAGCAGCCAUAGACUUAGGCUUUUUUACUUUUCACCACACAAUUUGAUCUUUUAAUUCGUUUUAACCACAUAAUCUAUCUAUCUCACACCUAUUGCUUACUUAAAUCGCAUACAUAUUUUACCUACUAAUUUUUACAAACAUUAGUGAAAUAUAUUUUAUUACAUUUUGCUCGUAACUGCUCUAGUUGUGCACUAUUAAUACUUAACUCUCCCUUUUAAUUUAUCGUGCAAUCUAUCAACCACUAAAAUUACAUAUAUAUUUUACCUAUAUUUUGCCCCAAAAAAUAUAAAAGUAAUAGAAAAAGAAUAUGUGUAGCAAUUUGUAUGUAACUAACAAAGCAUUGACGGUGUGUAGCCUUUCAAUACUUCAUGAGUGGCUGUUCUUGUGUGUUAGUACUGGUAAUAAUUGUGUAGUGUAUAAAUGACCUUUUAUUAUUAAAGCGCGUCUGUUGUUAGAUAUUAUUUAUUAUUUGAAAAAUAAUAUGAAUAUAAUUCUUUCAAAAUACAGGGGAGAUACCAACUGAAAUCAUAAUCUCCGUAAUCUGGAGGAGUUGGACCUUGCUCGAAACAAAUUAGUUGGUAUUGUCCCAGCUGCAAUCUUCAAUGUGUCAACACUCAAGCAUCUUGGUCUUCAAGAUAAUUCUCUCUUGGGAUGUCUUUCGUCCAUCGGAGACGUCCGACUUCCAAAUCUUGAAGGGCUUUAUUUGUCGGGUAAUAAUUUCAGUGGCACAAUUCCUAGUUUCAUCUUUAAUGCUUCUAAGCUCUUUAAGCUAUCGUUGCAAAGGAACUCAUUCUUUGGUUUUACUCCCAACACAUUUGGCAACUUAAGAAACCUUAAGUGGCUAUCUUUAUAUGAUUCUUAAGUGGCUAUCUUUAUAUGAUAAUUAUUUGACAUCUUCAACUCCAGAAUUGAGCUUUCUGUCCUCGUUGUCAAAUUGCAAGUGUUUAACAUUUAUUGACUUAUCAAAUAAUCCACUAGAUAGCGUUCUUCCAAAGACAUUUGUCGGUAAUGUUUCUCAUUCUUUGGAAUUCUUUGUCAUGUCCUAUUGUAACAUUAGUGGCGGCAUCCUUGAAGAGAUCACCAACUUGACCAAAUUGACAACCAUUAUUUUAGGAGGCAAUAAAUUGAAUGGAUCAAUUUCGAUUACUCUCGGCAGGUUACAAAAGCUUCAAUAUUUGGGUCUUGACGAUAACAAAUUAGAAGGAUCAAUCCCAGACAGUAUUUGUCGUUUAGCUUAACUGUAUGAUUUGGAGUUGGGUGGUAAUAAGCUUUCUGGAUCAAUCCCUGCAUGCUUCAGUAAUCUGGCUUCUCUGAGGAAACUGUCGUUGGAUUCCAAUGAGUUAACUUCUAUUCCCUUAACUUUUUGGAACCUUAAGGAUAUCUUGUACCUCAACUUUUCGUAAAAUUUUUUGAUUGGUCCACUCCCAUUAAAGGUUGGAAAUUUGAAGGUUUUAGUUGGAAUUGAUUUUUCGAUGAAUAAUUUUUCAAGCGUUAUCCCAAUAGAAAUUGGAGGCCUACCAAAUCUAGAAUAUCUCUUCUUAGGAUAUAACAGAUUGCAAGGAUCGAUUCCUGAUUCAUUCGGUGAUUUGAUAAGCUUGAAAUCCUUGAAUUUGUCUAAAAAUAAUCUCUCAGGGGCUAUUCCUGCAUCUUUAGAGAAACUCUUAUAUCUUAAAGAUCUAAAUCUUUCUUUCAACAAACUAGAAGGAGAAAUUCCUAGGGGAGGGUCUUUUGGAAACUUCUCAGCUGAAUCAUUUGAGGGAAAUGAAUUAUUAUGUGGUUCACCCAAUUUACAAGUCCAGCCAUGCAAAACUGGCAUCCACCACACAUCAUCAAAAAAUUCUCUUCUCUUGGGGAUUGUCUUGCCAUUGAGUACUACAUUUAUGAUAGUAGUCAUUUUGUUGAUCCUAAGAUAUCGACAGAGAGGGAAACGACUAUCGAAUGAUGCUAAUAUGCCAAUAGUAGCAACAUGGAGAAUGUUUUCAUACCUAGAACUCUGUCGAGCAACAUACAAAUUCAGUGAAAACAAUCUAAUCAGCAAAGGUGGUUUUGGCUCUGUUUACAAAGCAAGACUUGGGGACGGGAUGGAGGUUGCUGUGAAGGUUUUCAAUUUGCAAUGUAGAAGAGCAUUUAAGAGUUUCGAUAUUGAAUGUGAAAUGAUGAAAAGUAUUCGCCAUCAAAACCUUAUCAAAGUUAUUAGCAGUUGUUCAAAUGAAGAGUUUAAAGCGUUGGUAUUAGAAUACAUGCCUCAUGGAAGUUUGGAGAAGUAUCUGUAUUCAAGUAACUGCAUUUUGGAUAUUUUUCAAAGAUUGAACAUAAUGAUAGAUGUUGCAUCAGCUUUGGAAUAUUUGGACCUUGGUUAUUCAGCUCCAAUAAUUCAUUGUGACUUAAAGCCCAACAAUGUAUUGUUAGACGAUAAUAUGGUUGCUCAUUUGAGUGAUUUUAGCAUUGUAAAAUUGCUAACAGGAGAAGAUCAAUCUAUGACUCAUACACAAACACUUGCAACAAUAGGCUAUAUGGCACCAGGUUUGUUCAAUAUAAAUAUUUUCUAUUUCUCAUAAACUUCUGAUGGGUGUCGAAGCCAACAAAAAUAAAUUCCUACUCUAAAUAAAUUGUGUAUAGUGAUUGAGCAGGGUCGUGUCGACAGAGAUCGGUAAUUAUUUAAAUCCUUUUGAAACGUAAAACGUAAAAUGGGGGAAUUGUUGACAAUAAUAAAAAUCAAAUUAAAAUAACAAGAAUGCAAAUUAAAGUUGUAAUUCAAAUUAGAGAAAGCUCUGGUUGAAGGAAUUAACUCAGCUUGAUUCGACUACUGAUCAUUGAUUCAAAUAUAGAUUAUUAUUACUUAUGAAUAGACCGGUUAUAGCUACUGAGACCCUCUAAUAGCCAAUCUCUCCUUAACUAGUCGAUAACCAAGGUACGACCGUUGGUUAUUUCCCUAAUCAAUAGACAACCCUAGAUACGAUCAUAGGAUUUAAUCAAUUGACAGCCUAAAAGACCAGAGAGACCCAAAUCCUAAUCAACACAUACGAUGAUUCAUUUAAAUUAGAUUGUUUAUUCUCAUAACACAACUCACUGCUAUGUUAUUUGUCACAAACAUUAAAAUCUUCAUACGAUGAAUCCUUUAAUUAACAAUAGAUUAAGUUGAUAAUUAAAUAGUGGCCAAUUACCUAAUUAACAAACAUAAUCAUAAAAAUAAUUCAGAGAAUAAACAAAUACCCAAAAAGCAAUAAAACAAUUAAAGCAUAAGAAAGAUCUCACAGUAGUGAUGAAUCAAAGCUUCAUUAUCCUUCAACAAGAAAAAUAGAUUUAGUUCUUCACAGAGAGAAGAGAAAAGUUUAGAUCUAGGGUUUCUUUCCUUUUCUCCAAUCCCUUUUUUCACAAUAGAUUCCUCCUUAAAUACUUUCUCUCUCUUCUCAUUUAGAGUUCUAUUUAAAAUAAAAUACUAAUAUCUGAAAUAUUAAAUUCGUAAUUUCAAAAAUAACCAAAAAUACAAAACACGUUAAACUAAAAACUGCAGGUCCGCAGUUGACAGCACGCGCCCACACCUUAUCAAUAAAGUUCUUCUGACUCUCUAAAUUUCUCGAAGAGAACAAUCAUCUUUAAACAUCAUCUUAUAGCUCAAUUUUAUCACAAAUCAAUAGAAUUGCACCUACAAAAGUAAAACACAAGUAAAUCAUUAUUAUUAAGUGCAAAACAUCGAUAUUAAGGGAAGUAAACAAUGCAAAACUAGUGCAUAAAUUGCACUCUAACAAAUUCCCCUACACCAAGAUGAUGCUUGUCCUCAAGCAUAUAACUUAAGACUAAUCACAAAUCUCCACUCAAUUUUCAUCUCAACUCAUCCAAAAACAAUUUUAAGCAAGCAUACCUCAAGAAUUUAAGUCGAUCAACAUUCGAGAGCCAAGGAUUUUAAAGCAUAGAAUCUCAUAAGCUAGAAUAAAAACAUUCAACCAUCAAGAAGAUCCAUUCAAAAUUCAAGUGCAACAAGAUUUAAUAGCCCUCUCAUUGACUUCACUCGAUGCACUCAAAGUGUUUAGGGUGUCAUUUAUGCACUCAAAUCAAAUCAAAGAAUGCUAUUACCAUAAGCUUGCUUAUAUAUCAUAUCUCAAUCCACAAAACAUGAAUUAAAUGCAAAAAUCUAAGGGUCUUAAAAAGGUUGUAACGGGGUUAAAUGGGUUAAAUGAAAAAGAAAGGUCUAUGAAAGAAAAAAAGAUUAAAAUGAGAAGAAUGAACUCAUUGAAUGAACUUCUGAUAUCAAAAUGCUUAUUUCUACUCAAGUCACCAAGAAUGUAAACUUUUUUUUUCGAUUUUUCUUUUUCUUUUUUUUUUUUUAAUCAAACAAAAGAAACGAACCUUGCACAAUUUAAUUCAAGCAUAAUGCUUGUUGAUCUAAUUGAGAAACUUUAAUACAAGGUAGAAAAAGCAACAAAAUAUAUCCAUACAAUGAGUCCAAAAAUCUCCUUAAAUUGAGGCUCAAAAAGGAGAAAAAUGGUUAAGUAGACGGAGAGAAUUAGAUGGGUAAUGGUUAAGGCUCAAACAAAGAUAGCAAAUAAAGGUCUUCGAGUAGAGAAAAAAAAAUACGAGAAUAGAAAAUUGGAAAAUGGUUUGCCCUUAUCAUUUUAAUGCAUAAAAUCCCGUAAUGCGGCUUCAACAUGCAUAACAAAGCAAGUUCUAGAAUAAACAAACUAAGAUUGAUAUUCACAUAACAAAAAUAAUUAGAGCAAAGUGGCUGCUCAUAGGCUCAAAUCCUCACAAAGUUGGUAAAUUUUCCAUCAAAUCAUGUACACUCUUCAAAUGAAUCAACCAUCAAUAGUGGUGUAGAAUGAGAAGAAGGUAUGAGUGAGAUAUAAAAGGAAAGGUAAAAAGGAUAAUAAGCGAGAAAGAUGUAUGUAGUAAAAAAAAUGAAAGAUAAAAUGUGAGUGAUGAAAGAGUAUGAUAGAGAAAAAAAAUAGAUGUAAAUAAUUUGAGAUAGAUGGGAAAAGAGUAGUGAGAGAGAAGGGAAAAGAAAAUUAAUAAUAUAUGAAGCAUACUAACUCCAAAAUCAUUUAAGGAUGAGUAGAGUGAAAAUAGUACUUCUAGACAUCAAUAAUGUAAAAAUCCCUCCCCAACACCAAGAACUUACAUUGUCUCCAAUGUAAGAUAAUCAAAGCUCACAUAAAAAUUAAAGCGUAAGGAUAAAAGAUUAAAGGCAAAAAAAAUUCCCUGAAUUGUGAGCUUUGAUCCACAUAAUGUCUAUGGGCUUGGCAGAAAGGGUGGGGUAAAUCCCAUACUCUCGAAGUAUGCGGCCAAAUUCUGCUCCAUCUUGUUCAGCUUGUGCUCCAUCUUCUCUAACUGAAUGCUGGUAGUGCGGAUGUAGAAGGAAUAGUUGGCGGGCCAGCAGUGUCGUCUUCAAACUCGUCAUUAGAGGUAACACCACUCCUAGCAUAAAGCUUCUUUGGAGGUUGAGUGGGUCUUGGUUUAGUAAACUAAAAUCUCCCCUCCUUGAAUUCGACGACACCUGUUCUUUGAAACACAGACAUAUCCAAAAAUUCCUUUUUGCAAGCAGGAUGCAAAUCAUUAUUGUCAGGAUCAAGCACACAUAGGUUUAUAGCUAACAGAGUAAUGUAUGGACCAAGAAAGAAAGUCCGAUACCGUUUAAGCACACUUUGAAAUUUAUCCGCUAACCAAAAACCUAAAUUAGGCCUCACAUCAUUUAACAUGCACCAGAUAAAAUAAAAUUCAGUUUUAGAGAAAACUCCUGAGUGAUCUUUCUUUCCUAAAAAAUUAUAUGCUAAGAAUCGAUGCACACAUUUCAAAACAGGAUCACGUAAGAAAUAACUCUUUGAUUUACUCAGGUCAUAGGCAUUGUGAUCAACACAUAAAUUACGCCAAAGACCAUAAGGCUCAAAAUUGUCACUAAAGUCACAAGUUGUUCCUAAAUAUGCAUCACUAGAAGAAUAAUCAUCAUCAAGGAAUCCUAAAGCUAGGUUAAAAUCCGUGAUAGAGGUGAAAAAUUUUGUCCCAUUAACCUAAACUUUAUGACAUCUGGGGUAUGCAAAGUAAAAUCAUUCGGUAUAUUAAAUUGAAAAGUCGCAUAAGACUCCUUAAUCAACUCAACAUAACCCAAACAAUCAACAUCAACAAACUUACGCAACCCAAUCUUAUCUAUCAAAUAAUCAAAAUUAUCCUUAACAUUCAAUUUUUCAAGAGUCGGGUAAUUAAUAUACUUAGCUGGAAGUAUUUUGCACGUGGAAAUAUCUUUGUAUCUCUCUUUCUCUUGUUGAGUCGCGAAUGCAAGGCAUCCUCCGAGAUUGGAUUCCGCAAGUGGCAAAACACUCAUGCCUUUUUCAUGUUUCGAUCUUUGUCUCAUGGCUUGGCGUGAAUCUGAACUUGUGUUCCAUGGAACCGGAAUGCGAGCGACAAUCUUAGAUUUCUUUGUGACGGGUAUCUUUUUAGAUGACUUGGAAGUAGAUGCUUUCCUCUUCGGCAUUGUUACAAUAAUUGCACUCACGGAUUUCGAUUUACCCGGCUGGAAUACAGGGCGUAGGCUGGUUGCGUUGCACUUGCUGCUCGACUGGAGCUUGCUGCGCGGGUUGGGGUUGGUUGCGCGCGCAGCUGGUUUUGCAUGCUGGUGAUGCUAGUUGCGUUGCGUGCGCGAGCUGGAGACUCUGGAUCUGCGUUACGAGGCGUGCUCGUCUGCUGUUCGUUGGGACUGUGUUGCGCGCGCGGGAUUGAUGCGCUGCGUGAUGGUGAUGGCCAAAGCUUGCUGCGCGCGGGCUGGUUGUGUUGCAGGUGGGACUGAUACGACUGCUGCUGGUGAAAACAAUAAUCAACAGUGAAUUUUUUUUUUAAUUAGGGAAUUGUAAAUAGUGAUUUGUGGUUUUUGCUUUUUUUGUUUUUUUUCUUUUUUUUUUAAAUAAAUAAAUAAAAUAUAUAUAUAUAUAUAUAAAAGAAAGAAAAAAAGGAAAAAAAAAAUAAAUAAUUUUUUUUUAAGUGAUGAAUCACUUUGAGUCACUAAAAAUUUCAGACGUACUUUUCUAAUAAGCACGUGGGCACACCUUAAAACUAUUUUACUUUAAAAAUUAUAGAAGUACUUAUUAGUUAAGACGUGGGCACGCCUUAUCAAAAAUUUUCUUCUGACCAAAAUAAGCAAACACAUUAAUUUUUUUUUUAAAAAUCUGAAUCAAAACUAAAAGAAGACAUAACAAAAACCAAAAUAAAUAAAUCAUUUGGGUUGCCUCCCAAAAAGCGUCUUUGUUUUAUGUCUUUGGCUAAACACAUUUAUGCAACAAUCUCCAUAAUUGGGACUCUCGAGAGCCACAUCCUCCACAAUAUUCACCGAAAAACCUUCAUAAAAAGGUUUUAAGCGAUGACCAUUAACAUUCAAAACUUUGUCAGAGGUCGGACUCCGAAUCUCAACUACACCAUGAGGAAAAAUAUUAGUAACAAUAAAAGGUCCAACCCAGCAAGAACGUAAUUUACCCGGAAAAAGUUUAAGCUUAGAAUGAAAAAGAAGAACUUUUUGACCAAUAGAGAACUCCUUUCUCAAACUCAUUCUAUCAUGAAAUGUCUUCGUCUUUUCCUUGUAAAAAACUUCAUGCACUAUAGGGUUAAUAAUAUCCACAGAAAAUACUGAAUGUUCCUCACUAGGAUAUUUCAUGGCAUCAUUCAUAUUGAAUUUUAUAACCUCUCCAUCAAACUCCAUAGUGAGAGUCCCUUUAUGUACAUCUAUUUUAGUCCUAGCAGUCUUAAGAAAAGGUCAUCCUAACAAAAUUGGGACAUAAUUAGAGGAGUUAUCAUCUUCCAUAUCAAGUACAUAAAAAUCAGCAGGAAAAACCAACUCAUUAACUUGUACUAAGACAUCUUCUAAUACCCCAUCAGGAUAUGCAUUAGACCUAUCAGCUAGUUGAAUUAUCACGCUAGUUUCUUUUAAUGGACCAACAUUCAAAGAUGAAUAAGUGGAACGAGGCAUGACAUUAAUAUAAGCUCCUAGAUCUAACAUAGCCUUUUCAACUCUAACACUACCAAUUUUACAAGGAAUGGUAAACAUACCUGAAUCCUUGCACUUAGGAGGUAGUUUCUUUUGGAGAACUGCUGAAACAUUCUACCCCAUGUGAACUUUUUCAUCUCCUCUUAAUUUUCUCUUGGAGGUGCAUAGUUCCUUAAGGACUUUAGCAUAUCAAGGUAUUUGUUUUAUAGCAUCUAAUAAAUGAAUAUUUACCUCAACCUUGCAAAAUGUCUUAAAGAUGUCUUUCUCUUGUUCCUCCUUCUUGGAUUUUACAAACUAGCUUGGAAAAGGAGGAGGUAUCACAAUAGGUAGGGGUUUCGUUCUGGUGGGUUGCGCAUCUUGAGAUUUAGGCAUCAAUUCAUUCUUCCCAAGCUCAUCUUCUACAUGCUUUGUCACUUUCUUACUAGGCUCUUGUAACUCCUUCCCGCUUCUAAGGAUGACAGCACUAACGUUUUGCUUUGGAUUCACCUCAGAUUGUGAAGGCAAUCUCCUUAAUACUUGAGACUCCAGACGGCUCACUGUAGUCGCCAAUUGACUCAUUUGGUUCUCUAAAUUCUGAAUGCUUUCUGUAGUUGCCUGCUGAAAUUGUUGAGUGUUAGUCGCAAGUGAUUUAACAAUUUCUUCAAGAGAUAUACUUGACUUGGAGUUUGACUGUGGAGGUGCUGGUUGUCUUGGUGGAUACUGUUGUGGGAAUCCUGACGGUCUAACUCCAUAGCUGAAGUUGGGAUGAUCCUUCCAUCUCAGAUUGUAUGUUGUGCAUAAGGAUCAUACCUCCUCUGAGGCAUGCCUGGAAAUCCUCCAACUGCAUUGGCUUGUUCAACGGGUUCUUCUUGAAGUGUAGGACACAUAUCAGUUGAAUGACCCAUAUUGGAACAAAUGCCACAAGUCUUUACCUGUUGCAUAUUAUCUACAAUAAACUUUUCUACAAGAGAAGUAAGUUUAUCUAAACGUUGUUCAACAGAAGAAAUAUUUACCUCAUUCACCGUUCUUGAAGUGGCAUCUUGCCUGCUGCCAAAUUGUUGUGCAUUGGCAGCCAUAUUUGAGUUCAACUCCCUUGCUUGAGUAAGGGUCUUAUUCACCAACACACCUCCACUGGCAACAUCUAUCAUACUCCUAUCCAAUAAUGAUAGUCCUUCGUAAAAAUAUUGAAUAAGAAGUUGAUCAGAAAUCUGAUGCUGAGGACAGCUGGCACACAAUUGUUUGAAUCGCUCCCAAUACUCAUACAAAGUCUCCCCAGGAAGUUGUCUAAUCCUACAAAUAUCUUUUCUGAUGUUGGCAGCUCUUGAAGCAGGAAAGUACUUCUCGAGGAACUGCUUCUUUAAACCAUUCCACGUUGUAAUCGAUCCAGGAGGCAAGUAGUACAACCAAUCUUUAGCUAGCCCAUCUACAGAGAACGGAAAAGCACGCAACUUAAUCUGCUCUUCAGUCACGCCUUGUGGCCUCAUACUUGAACACACAACAUGAAACUCCUUAAGAUGUUUAUGAGGAUCUUCACCUGCAAAACCAUGAAACUUGGGUAAUAAAUGAAUAAGACCAGACUUUAAUUCAAAAUUUACCUCCAAGUCUACAUAUUGAAUGCAGAGUGGUUGUUGAUUCAAGUCUGGUUCAGCUAACUCUCUAAGAGUUCUUUCUACAGGUGCAGGUCUAUCCAUCACUUGUUCUUCUGAAUCGCUAGAUGAUUCAACUAAAUCAAGUAUUGUAUCAAUUUCAGAAAGCAAAGGCAACGAGGAUCGUUGCUUAGCUCGCUUUGUCUGCUGUCUCAACUGGCGAGCUGUCUUCUCAAUUUCAGGAUCAAACGAAAGUGUACCUGUACGAGAAGAACGAACCAUACACCAAGUAAAACGUAAAAAUGAUUAAAUAAACGACACCAAUCCCUGGCAACGGCGCCAAAAUUUGAUGGGUGUCGAAGCCAACAAAAAUAAAUUCCUACUCUAAAUAAAUUGUGUAUAGUGAUUGAGCAGGGUCGUGUCCACAGAGAUCGGUAAUUAUUUAAAUCCUUUUGAAACGUAAAACGUAAAAUGAGGGAAUUGUUGACAAUAAUAAAAAUCAAAUUAAAAUAACAAGAAUGCAAAUUAAAGUUGUAAUUCAAAUUAGAGAAAGCUCUGGUUGAAGGAAUUAACUCAGCUUGAUUCGACUACUGAUCAUUGAUUCAAAUGUAGAUUAUUAUUACUUAUGAAUAGACCGGUUAUAGCUACUGAGACCCUCUAAUAGUCAAUCUCUCCUUAACUAGUCGAUAACCAAGGUACGACCGUUGGUUAUUUCCCUAAUCAAUAGACAACCCUAGAUACGAUCAUAGGAUUUAAUCAAUUGACAUCCUGAAAGACCAGAGAGACCUAAAUCCUAAUCAACACAUACGAUGAUUCAUUUAAAUUAUAUUGUUUAUUCUCAUAACACAACUCACUGCUAUGUUAUUUGUCACAAACAUUAAAAUAUUCAUAUGAUGAAUCCUUUAAUUAACAAUAGAUUAAGUUGAUAAUUAAAUAGUGGCCAAUUACCUAAUUAACAAACAUAAUCAUAAAAAUAAUUUAGAGAAUAAACAAAUACCCAAAAAGCAAUAAAACAAUUAAAGCAUAAGAAAGAUCUCACAGUAGUGAUGAAUCAAAGUUUCAUUAUCCUUCAACCAGAAAAAUAGGUUUAGUUCUUUAUAGAGAGAAGAAAAAAGUUUAGAUCUAGGGUUUCUUUCCUUUUCUCUAAUCCCCUUUUUCACAAUAGAUUCCUCCCUUAAAUACUUUCUCUCUCUUCUCAUUUAGAGUUCUAUUUAAAAUAAAAUACUAAUAUCUGAAAUAUUAAAUUCGUAAUUUCAAAAAUAACCAAAAAUACAAAACACGUUAAACUAAAAACUGCAAGUCUGCAGUUGACAGCACGCGCCCACGCCUUAUCAACAAAGUUCUUCUGACUCUCUAAAUUUCUCGAAGAGAACAAUCAUCUUUAAACAUCAUCUUAUAGCUCAAUUUUAUCACAAAUCAAUAGAAUUGCACCUACAAAAGUAAAACACAAGUAAAUCAUUAUUAUUAAGUGCAAAACAUCGAUAUUAAGGGAAGUAAACAAUGCAAAACUAGUACAUAAAUUGCACUCUAACAACUUCCUAAUAAGUUAUUUAUAUUUCAUGAUCUUGAUUAGAUGAGGAAAUUAUUAUUAAUGAUAUAUCUUACUAUGUAAUUGUUGCAAUUCAUAAAGUAUGGAAGAGAAGGACGAGUAUCCGCAAAUGGAGAUGUUUAUAGUUUUGGGAUUAUGUUAAUGGAAACAUUUACUGGGAAGAAACCCACAGAUGAAAUGUUUAAUGGAGAAAUGACAUUAAAGCAUUGGGUUAAUGAUUGGCUACCCAUUUUCACUAUGGAAGUUGUUGAUGCUAAUUUGCUAAGUCAGGAGGACAUACAUUUUGUUGCAAAAGAGCAAUGUGUGUCAUUUGUCUUCAAUUUAGCUAUGGAGUGCAUUGUGGAAUCCCCUGAGCCAAGAAUCAAUCCAAAAGAAAUUGCAGCAAAACUCUUAAAAAUUAGAGACUCAUUACUUAGAAAUGUUGGAGGCAGAUGUAUAAGACAAUCAAAUUUAAAUUGAUUCUACCCCUCAUUCAUUGCUUGCUAUCCUUUUCAGAGACUUGAACAAUUAUCCUCCAUAGAAGUUUUGCUGAUAUGUUUUGUUAUUGCUCUUGCUCAUGUUUAUUUCUCUCUUUCUUUAAUUUGCAUGCGUGCAUUUUAGUUCUCUUCCAUGUUCGUGUUGGUUUAUAUGUAGUUUGUUUUUUGGGAUAUGGUUUAUUAUGGCCUCACCCUAAUUAGAUGUAUCCUUUUGAUUUUUAUCAAUAAAGCUUCGCUAGUACUAUCGAGGUUAAUCGAAAGAAAAUUUUCAAUUGAUUUUCUUUUCUUUGACUAGUACUGGAAAUUCUAAUCUUUAUAGUGAAUAACUUCAAUAAUAGAGUGUAAGAGUAUUAGUAGUUGUGGUUGUUUCUGAACCUAGAGUUAGAGUAGUUUAACAGCAACAAAUAGGUCUCUUGUAUUAUAGCCAAAAUUCUUUUCAUUAAUCUUAUUUGUCUACAUUUUCUCCUAUUUUCUUCUUUAAUCUUCGCUCAAGGUUUCAUGCUUCCAUUUUGAAAUGUGAGAUUGUUUGUCAUCCAUUUGAUAAAAUGGAUAUGAGAGGAGCUUUCAAUCAUUACCUCCACCAAAAUCCUUACAAUGCAACUUUUAAAUUUAUUUUUUAAAAUACGUUCAGUUUAAUUUAUAAAAAAUAAAUCCAUUUGUUAAAAUUAAUUUUUUUCUCAUAAAUUUCAACCUAAAAAAUAUAUUUCUUUUAAGUUUUUAUUAUAAAAUACAUACAAGUUCUAAACUAUUAAAUUAUUUUCUUCUUAUUAUAUAGUUUAUAUUUCCAUAACUCUAAACUCCUAUAAUUUUUAAAAAAUAUAUUUUUUAAUUUAAAAUAUGAAUAUAAAAUAUAGAAUGGAGUGGGUAUAAAAAGUUUUGUUAAAAGAAUAAUUCAUUCAAGUAUUUAGCUGAAUUUUAAUUUAAAAUAAGAAAUAAAUUAAUUUAUUUUUUAUUAGUUAAGUAAUUUCAAUUGAAAAAGAGCUUAUAUUAUGGACAUAUGAUUAAAAUUGUCAUGAAUUAAACAUUUUCAUAUAAAUACUAGUGAUAAUUACGGAGAAAGUACGAUGAACCAAAGAAAACUUGAAUAGAAAUACUCCAAUGUAAUUUUACACAUGCAAAUUAUGAACCAGUGAUCUUUAGAGCAUCAUAAAAUUAUUUUAACACAAUUAGUUAGUUUGGAAAAUUGCCAAUAAUGUUUAAAGUGGGAUUGAAAAGAUUAUACUACAAAUAUAAGACAUGAUAUCAUUUAAGAGCUUACAGAUUAUGAGAAAUAUAUUGAUCUUACAAAUAAUAUAAAAUAUGUCAAUUAGAUUGAGUCUAUGCAAUAAAAGUUUCAAAUUAAAAAAUAAACCUUUAUUUUCUUUUAAUCAUAAGUGUGAUCUUAAUUAUUAAAGUCAUUCAAUGUCCAUUACUUAUUCAUUUUUUUAAUUAUCUAAAUGACAUUGAAAACUCUACUCAAUAUUAAUUCAUUCUAGUGUUUUGUUUUAAAGUAAUCGAAAAUUGCAAAUGAAACAAAUGCUUGAAAUCACAAACUGCCUAAAAUUAGAUUUUUAUUUCUUAAUGUUUUAGUGACUUUGAUCUUGAUAUUGAAAAUUUAUUUGUAACUUAUAUAAAGGCCUCGAUUUUAUCAUAAUUGAUUAGUAAGGCUAUGUACGGGAGCAUGGAUAAAUUUUGAGAUUGGAUUAUAUUUUUGGAACUAAAAAAUUAAUUUCAUCCAAUGUUAUGUAUAGCUGUCGGGACUAGCAAAUUAGUCUAAAAUUAUUGAAAUUAUUAGUCUUUUACAUUAUAAUUUUUUCGUUCCCACUUUAAACGUUAUUGGUAACUUAAAUCAUUUUUUAAAUUAAAUAUAAAGUUAAUUUAAUUAAAUAUAAUUUAAUUAAAUAUAAAAAUUAAUUUUAUAAUUUUUUCACCUAGAAUUUUAUAGUAUAUUAAAUACUAAAAUUAUAUUCGAUAAUGUAUUAUCAUUUAUUUAAUAAAUAUUUAGGUUUAUUAGUGUAUCAUAUUAUUAUUUAAAUUAAUUUUUUAUUUUCAUAUAGACAUAAAUUAAUAUUUACUAAUUUAAAUUUAUUAUAAUUUAUUAAAUAAUAAAAGCUAAAUGAUUGUAUUUAAAAUAUAAAUUGUAUUUUAAUGUAUUAUAGCCUAAAUCUUACCCCUAUGAAUUUAUUUUAUCCAUCUUUUAUUGUAUUAACCACAUUUAUAAGGCAGUGCGAUGCAACCGAAAAUUAUAACCAAACAUGAGUUAGUAUGAAAAUAAUAUUUUAGUACAAUACAAUACAAUGUAAUAUAAGCAAACAAAUAGAUAUUUAAUUGAAGCAAAAAUUGCAUAUGGUUUGUCGUCUCUCAAAAGACAGCAAAGAAACCAAUAUGACACAUUGAUUUUGAAUUUGUUGUUUUUCGUGUUAUGAAAAGGAAAAUGCAGAAAACUUAUUUGGUGAGCUUAUUUUGGUGGAAAACUGUACAGUGAUUAAAAACAAAAAAAUUAUCAUUUUCCAAUGUUUACAAAGAAAACAAGAGACAUUUUAUUUCACUUUUACUCUCUGCCAAGGGUCUCACUAUCUUAACUUUUAUAAGAUAGUGUAAUAAAUUACGUGGGCCCAUUUAAUAAAGAAAUAAUCUAAUAAAUAAACUAAUAUAACAAAUAUUUAAAAAUAAUAGCAAUAGUUUAUUCCAUACCUUGCAGCUUAACUACUUAAUAGAUUACCCAAAUUGUUUUAAAUAAAAAGUAAUAUCAUAUAAUUAUUAUACUAAAUUAUUACAUUGUUCGACCCAAUAUGCAGUUAUUUAAAAAUUAUUACAAAUUUUCAUACACUAAUGAAAAUAUUUCAAUAAUAAAGUUACUUCUUGACAGCUAAUAUAAAUAAAUAUAUGAUAAUUAUGAAAUAAUUUAAAAUUUUCUCAAUUACUAUUAUCUUAUAAGUACAAUUUAUUUACAUAAUUAAAAGUUUUUAAGAAAUCAUUAAAAUAUCAUCGUACCUAUAUGCAUUUAUAAUAAUAUAUAAUACAUCAUAAUAUAAUAGCUAAAUAGAUAAAUUAUUUAAUGACAUAAAAUAUAUAUUUAUAUUCAUUGUAUUAUAUUAUUCUUUCAUAAUAAUUUCAUUAAAUAAUUCCCUAUUCUCUCUCUCUCUUUUUGUCUUCAUUUUUUCAGAUAAGCAACCAAACAUCUUUUCACCUUUUUUUAUUUUCAAGUACUGUUUUUAAACUAAGGUACCAAACAUGUUUUUAUUUUUAACAAAAACUAAUCAUUCUUAUUUCAUAAAAUAAAUUUAAAAACACUAUUUAAAAAAUAAUACCAAAUGCACCCUUAAAAACUAUGAGAAAUAUACUGAUUUUACAAAUAAUAUUUAAUAUGUCGAUUAGACUGAAUCUUUGGAAUAAAAAUUUCAAAUUAAAUACUAAACCCUUAGUUCCCUUUUAAUCGUAAUUAUAAUCUUAAUUAUUAAAGACAUUUUAUUUUGUGCUUGUCUUUUUUUAUUCACUUUUUUUUUAAUCAAAAAUAUUGCUCUGCAUGCAAGUCUUUGGUCGCGGGCCUAGGUGUCCCAAACAUCCAGCUGACAGCGACGUUUCCACUUUGAUUAUCCGCACUUCCCAGAAGUCGCAAGGAAAGACCGAUUGAGUAGUUUGAUUGGUUUGAAGAUUCAUGAGACUGCUUUUCACUAGAAUUCCACGGCCUCAUUCAUUUUUUUUUUUAAUAAUCUAAAUGACAUCGAACACUCUACUCAAUAUAAGUUUAUUCGAAUGUCCUGUUUCAACCUAAUCGAAAAUUGCAAAUGAAACAAAUGCUUGCUAUCACAAACAGCCAAAAUGGAAUUUUUGUUUUUCAUUGUUGUAAUGACUUUGAUCUUGAUGUUGAAAAUUUAUUUGUAACUUAUAUAAAGGCUCAAUUUUAUCAUAAUUGGUUACAUCCAUAUGCAGCUUAUAUAAUGUUUAUUACAUCCAUAUAAUCUUUCUUAUAUAAUGUUUUUGUUACAUCCAAGAGAAAGACAGUUACGCUUAGAUCAGUCUUAUUUAAUAGAAUUAUAGGAUAAUAAAAUUGGUUUAAAGAAAUGUGAUUCUUAACUCUUGUAAUUAAAGUUAGUGUUCUUUGAUUUUAGUGGUGUAGGGCUUAUAAGUCUAUGCAACAAUUCUUGGUGAGUUUGAUUCAAUAUACGAUCAUUUUCAGUUCUUUAAAGUCUCAUAAUUAAAAAUUCCGAAAUCAUAAUUAGAAUUUACAAACAAGUCAAAGUGAGUCAAAGCAAACCUAGAAAUUUAAGGUCUAUCAUAAACUUUUGACAAAUUAAAGUUAAGGUGAUUAAUUAAAUGCUAGACAAAACAAAACCUAUAAAUUUACCUUACCACAUGAUGAAGCUAUUUCAAAGAUCUCAAAUUACACACUAAUUAAUAAUUAAUCUACAUUUUUUUCCGUUGUAUAUCGUUGAAACUUCUAUCUUCACAACAUAUUGUUCUUAAUUGGCCAAAUGUAUUUUUGUCUAGAAAUUUGCUAUGAACAAAUUUCAGAAUUCAUCAGAGAUAAUACAAACAACUAAUGUAUUUAUAAUAUACAUAAUUAAACUUAAUAUAACCAUCACUUACAUGAUAGUUUUUCAAAAUAAAUAAACACAUAUUAUAACAUAUUUAUUUAUUAUAUAAUUAAUAUAGUACCUUUAAUAUAUUGUAGAAUUUCUUCUUCCUAUGUUACAGAAAAUGUAAGUAACGGACACUAAUUUAACAAGAAACGUAUAUAUAAGUUUGCCACGUGUAGUCUCAACAUGUGUGUAAAAACCGAAUUAACCGGUUUGCAUUCGACAACAAAGGAAAAUAUUACUUGUUGCUGAUCGAUUGCAUAAUAUUUUAAUUCGACAUGUCUGACUGCUUUGCCAGCUCGUGUGAUAAAAUGGAUAUGAGUGGAUCUUCAAUGCCUCCCGCAAAAUCCUUGUAACACCACUUCAAAAUUUUAUUUUCUAAAAUACACCGAGUUUAAAUUAUAAAAUAUAAAUCUGUUUAUAAAAAUUAAUCAUCUUUCCAUAAAAUUUCAACCUAAAAAUUAUUUUUCUUUUAAUUUUUAUUAUAAAAGGUAUACAAACUCUAUUAUUAAAUUGUUUUCUUCUUAUGAUAUAGUUUAUAUCUCUAUAACUCUAAACUUGUGUAAUUUUUUUUUAAAAAUAUUUUUCAAUUUAAAAUAUAAAAUGGCGUGGGUAUUAAAAAAUUUGUUAAAAGAAUAAUUUAUUUAAGUAUUUAACUGAAUUUAAAAUAAGAAAUAAAUUAAUUUAUUUUUGAUUAUUUAUGUAAGUUUCAAUUAAAAAAGAGUUUUAUGAGAAAUUGAGAGGGGAAAAUGAUAUUCUUAGUAAUAUUAUUAACAUAUGAUUAAAAUUCUUAUUAAUUAAACAUUUUCAUAUAAAAACUACUGAUAUUUAUAGAGAAAGCACAAUGAAGUGAAGAAAACUUGAAUAUACAUACUCCAAUAUAAUUUUACACAUGCAAAUUAUGAACCGAUGAUCUUUAAAUUAUCAUAAAAUUAUUUCAACAUAAGUAAUUAGUUUGAAAAUUUUCCAAUAAUGUUUAAAAUGGGAAUGAAAGGAUUAUACUAUAUAAGACACAAUAUCAUUUAAGGCGGCUUAGAAAUUAUGAGAAAUUUAUCGAUCUUACAAAUAAUAUUUAAUACGUCGAUUAGACUGAAUCUUUGGAAUAAAAAUUUCAAAUUAAAUAAUAAACCCUUAGUUUCCUUUUAAUCAUAAUUAUAAUCUUAAUUAUUAAGACAUCUUGUUUUUUGCUUGCCUAUUUUAUUAACUUUUUUUUAAUGAAAAAUAUUGCGCUGCAUGCAAGUCUUUGGUCGCCGGCCUACGCGUCCCAAGCAUCCAGUUGACAGCGAGGUUUCCACUUUGAUUAUCGGCACUCCCCAGAAGUCGCAAGGAAAGACUUGUUCGAGUAGUUUGAAGAUUCAUGAGACUGCUUUUCACUAGAAUUCCACGCCCUCAUUCCUUUUUUUCUUUUUUUUUUUUAAUUAUCUAAAUGACAUCGAACACUCUACUCAAUAUAAAUUUAUUCGAAUGUUCUGUUUCAACCUAAUCAGAAAUUGCAAACGAAACAAAUGCUUGCGAUCACAAACGGCCUAAAUGGGAUUUUUGUUUUUAAAUGUUGCAAUGACUUUGAUCCUGAUGUUGAAAAUUUAUUUGUAACUUAUAUAAUGGCUUCAAUUUUAUCAUAAUUGGUUUCUAAUGCUAUGUUAGAGGGCAUGGAUAAACUGUGGGAUUAGAUUAGAUUUUAGGACUAAAAAAUUAAUUUCAUCCAAUGUCAUAUUUAGCUGUCGUGACUAAUAAAUUAGUCCAAAAUUAGGAUAAGAUUUAUAAUAUUAAAUGAAAUAUUUUUGUUCUCUUUAUCACUCUUUUCUUUUUCAUUUAAAUUGAAUAUAAACAGUAAUUUCAUAAUUUUUUAUGUAGAAUUUUAUAUUAUACUAAAUAUCAAAAUUCUAUUCAAAAUUUAUUUUAAGUUGUAUUUACUUAAGAUUAAUUAUCUAAAUUUAAUCCAAUAAUUUAGUUGAUCUAGUAUUGAAUAUUAAACAUUAAAAAUUAUUCGAUUAUUUGUUUAAAAUAAAAUUGAAUAUUAAAUAUUGAAAUAAUUAUUUAAUAGCAUAUUAUAUUAUUAAUAUAAUUAUUAAUAAGAAACAUAUCAUUUAUUUGAUUACUAUUUAAAGAUAAACUUAAAUACUAUUUAAAAUCAUUUAAAUUUAACUUAAUAUAAUCCAAUCUAAAAUUGUACCAGACAUGCAUAAUACUAUAUAUAAUUCAGUCUAAUCCAAUUCAAUCUUAAUAAAUAAUACAAUCUAAUCUUGUGAGUCAAAAUUGGCCUAAGGUUACCAAUUGUGCAAUAAUCUUUAUAGCCCGUUUCCCAGCCACACACCCUUUUGUAUUAGUAUUCUCACAGCCGUUGGAAAUAUGGCUCGUAAUCUAACAAAUGACAUUAUACGGCUGUUACUUGCUAGUUUUUGUAAGGUGGCCAAGGCCUUUUAUCAAACACUAUAGGCCUUUUAGUGCUGAGCUAACAGAUUAGUGCUGUCUAUUUCUACAAACACAGAACUGCUAUUUGUUUGUCUAUCCCGUGGUCUCUUCGUUUAUUGACUUGAACUGUGAUAACUAAGGGGGCAUUCCUUUCUUCAAGAGAGUACUACCCAAUGGAGACGUUAAGUAUUAUUUUGUUUUUUUUUCGAAAUAAUAAUGAGUCAUAGUCAAUUGGAUUGAAUUAAUAAUGUUUGUGUCUGUGUGGUGUAAAUUGUAUAAGAAUGGAAUUUUUAUACAUAAAUAUAUUUCUCAUUCAAACUAACGCGACCAUAUUUUAACAAAUAAUUGUCUUGUAUUUCAUAUUAUUUAUUUUAUUAUAUUAUUUUCAUUUUAAUAUAUCAUCACGCUACUCUUCCCCAGUUUUCAUAUACACCAUAUCUGUUUGUGUGAGAUUAAUUUGUACACACUACAAAAAAGGCGGCCUGAUGCGAGGCCGGAUUUGACGAAUAUCUGAGCCGACGUAAAUGAUGAUCGUCUGUCGGUAAUUUGAUUACCUUUCCGUACUUUAUCAAUCAUUGAAUGAUUUUACUGGUUUAAUCGCUUGAUUGUUUGAGUAUGAUCGGUAAUUUGAUCGUCUGUCAGCAAGUGAUUCACCAUUCACUCUCCAAUUUUCAUUAAUUUAGUGUAGCAAAGCUUUAACUAGACAGGUAGAUAACGUGGUCAUGAAAACAUGAUUAAGAGUUUAAUGCAAUCAAAUCUACUUUAAUGAUUAUUUAAUGCACGGAGAUUUAACAUCAAUUAUCAUCACGUUAUUCUAACAACGAAAUUGCAGAGCUUGGAUCUUUACUCGAACAGUUUCACUGGCACUAUUUCUGACACAUUGGGCAAGCUGAAGGAAUUGCAAUUCCUGUAUGAUCAUUUCCCCAACUAUUAUUUGAAUAAUUAUUUAAUGCCGUUCAUUCCAGCUCUGUUUGGCUGUUAACUUUAUUUAGUUAUUUAUUUAUGAGGAGAUUCAUUUCUCACUUGAAUCUAGAAAUUUACGGAUCAAUGACAUUUUAUUUUUUCUUUUAUAUGACAGCUUGCAAUCCCUGGUGUGUACUCAUAGUGCCUUACAUGAAUAAAAAAAUGAUUUUUUUUUUUUUGGGGGGACAAUUGCAGUUCUGAUAACAACUAAAAUCUGUGUGGUCCGGUUACCAGAAAGCCUUGCCCCAGGUCUCUGCCAUUUUCUCCUCCACCUCCAUUUGGGGAAACUAAACUAUUUACUUUUUGCAAGUUUUUCUUGAAAUAUAUAUUUUUGAGAAGAAAACCAACAAUACAUUUUAUGAUUUGGGCUGUUUCAAAGAUCUUUGCUUGAUAUCUCUGCUACUGGUUUUCAGCAGAGCGCCCAAAAUAAUCAGUGCACGCACCAUAUGCUUUAUUAUUAUCAGCAAAAAUCACUGCUGAUAUGUUGGGAUCGACUUUUUUAUUUGGGAGAGGAAGCAUGCUUGAAAGAGUAGAGCGGUGCAUCUUGUUCAAACAUGCACCGUAGAGCCAAUUCCAUUUUAUGAAAUAGGAGUUAGACUGAACAACGUUAUGUCUUCAUUAUCAUUUCAGGAGGAAAUAGAUCAAAUACAGCAAUUGCUGUAGGAGUUGAUGUUUGUGCUGCUAUAUUUUCUUCAGACUCUCAUACCAAGGAAAAAUUUAGCUUCAAAGAAUGGUAUGAUGCUUUGAUUUAUGAAGUAAUUGUUAUACAUUUUGUACCUUCCAUACAUUUUGCUCUGUUAAUAUUAUUAUUUGAUAACAUGCUUGUCGAGUUGCACAGCGUUUAGAAUUUUGAGAUUAAAUAGAGUAUAAAUGCUAUCCAAAUGCACUCCUUUCAUUUUAUACAACUUUGAUUGAUCAUUGUUUCUAAUUUACCUCAGGCAUCAAUGGAGUCUGUCCGAGUCUCCUUUGCUGGGAAAUCAGUCAAAUGACAGCACAGGUGCAUAUAUUCCAAGAGCCAGUAAUGUAAUAGCUCACAAUUUAGCAAGACUAGCUUUGGAGCAAUCUGAAGUUGUACUUUGGAUGGAUAAUAUUCCAGCCCAACAUUUGUAUUUAUUCACUAGUUUUUUUUUUUUUUUUGAAGAGAAAGUAAAGCUUUCUAACUAAACAAACUUAGACAGUAACAAUAUGAUUUGAACUGGAAAGUCCUCCAGCCAAACUACAGGGCUUUCAAAAUCUAAGGCUACUUUGGCCAAUGAGUGAGCUGCUACAUUACAGUUUCUAGGAACGAAUUGAAUUGAUGCUCUGCUCUGGUUCUUUAGACAUGCUUGAAUCUCUUCCACUGCCCAGCAAAUUUCUGCCAUGCUGCUCUUCCUUUGCAGUGAUAGCUCCACCACUUCUAAAGAAUCUGACUCUAUAAUGAUUGGAUUACAUUUUGCUUGGCAGGCAACUUGAAUUCCAAACAACACGGCUUCCGCUUCCAUACAAGCCACAUCACCUCUGAAUCCAGUGCUCUGAACUGCUGCAGCCAAAAUUUUCCCGCUUGAAUCUCUAACCACUACACCUAGCCCAGCCUUCGAAUCUGCCAUUUGAAUUGCUGCAUCCACAUUCACUUUAUACCAACCAAUUGGAGGGGGAUUCCACACCUGUUGAUUAUUAUUGUGCUGACUUGGAACAACUUGGACAUUUGGACACUUAAUUCUCAAGUACGACUCUACAGUUGCUGCAGCCCCGGCUGCUGUCAUUUGGGGAUCUUCUUGCUUACCUUCAUUUACCACUCUAUUUCUUGCAUACCAGAUAGCCCAACAAGUUGCAAUUAUCAGCCCCAAAUCAUCUUUUUUCCUCUUCCCGGCUAAAUCUUGAAGAAUACUCAGCAUAUCCUGGUGAGCCAUUAGCUUUAUAUCCUCAUAAAAUUCUGUCAACUUCCACACCUUCCUAGUAGCUCUGCAUCCCACCAAUGCAUGAAAGACAUCACUAGUUGAAUGCUUAAAAGGGAGACAUUUUUAUCAAAAAAAGAAAAAAAACUUCAAUUGAGUUGCUAUCUAUUUAACUUUGGCAAGUGAGAGAGAGGGAUGGGACUGUCCAAUUAAAAUUAAGUUUCAAAUGGUAAUCCCAUCAUUGUCGUCUCAUGUUUGUCAAAUUCAAAUUUGAAAAUAUCACCAUGUUUGUAUGGUGAUGUUGUGGGAUUGUCUCGCCUAGGCUUUUAGCCUUACGACCUCCUUUAUUAGAAAAAAUCUUUGGUGUUCUUACUCAAUGGUAGAAUCAAAAUUUUACUUCAAUGGAAGCCAUAAUGAUUAAAAUAUAUUCUUAUUAAAUUUGAUCAAUUACUUAUUUGAUGUUGCUCUCUCUAUCUACAUCUCCUUCUUUAUGAAAAAAAUUAUUGUAAUACAUGAAAGUAAAUAUUGCAUUGAAUAAAAUGAAAUUGUUCAAAAAUUAACAAAUUCAGCUUUAUUAUAAUCUAAAACAAAGUAAAUAGAAUAAUAUCCAUCAUGUAAAAAUAAAAAAAAAUUGUACCACUUUGAAUCUAUUUUAAUUUUUUUGGUCAAAUCUCAAAAGCACAAACCUUGAACGAUAAUAAUAUGUAAAAGCUAAUAAUCUUAUAAUAAAAAGUAAGAAAAAAAUAAAAUUGAUUUAGCAUGUAAGAAUAAAAAAAGAAAAAUAGAAAGAGAGAGAAAUUAGUUUAGGCUUUAAGCAUUGUUAAGUUCGGAGAAAAAUAAUAAUUAACUAAGAGUAAUUUUAUGACUUUUUAGAAAUGAGUGAAUUAAAAUAAUAAGUUAAAAUUUAAUAAUUAUCUUAAUUAAAAAAAUAGGUAUUGAAAUAAAAUUAGUGGAUUCAAAUAGCCCACCCAAAAUCUAAACUUGCAUACCAAUUAUUUUCUAAUUUACAUAAAGUUUUUCUUUAUGUUUGAUAACACUUGUUUCUCAAUUGGUCUAACGGAGAAACAACCAGCUAAAAAAUAAAAUGAAUGCAAUUAAAUGGAAAUUUGAAAAAGAGCAGUAUGUCACGGGAUGAGUGUUUUGCGCAGCUAACCCGUGCGGCACUUAGACAACUUUGCCGAAUGUUGCUAAGUAAGCCUAGAGCUUCUCGAACUAGAGAAGAGAGCAAUUGAGCCAAAGAAGAAAACUUGUAUUGCACAAAGAGAGAAUACAAUGCUUGAGUUGCUUACAAAGCUUGUUGGAUACAAAUGCCUAAUGCCAUCCCAUAUUUAUAGGGGAGGCUUGCCAAGCUCUAGAGAUUCUAGAGAAUUCUACCACUUCCUAGCUAUUUACAUGUGCUGGAAUUCUAUGGAGAAUUCUAGAGUUGCUUAGAACUUUCCGGAAUUGAGCCAAGCUAACACUCUUGGCCUUGUGUUGGCUCUCUAGCCCAAAAUUGUGAGCAAUUGGGCUAGCGAUUUGGGCGGUCCGCAACAAGUAGGUGACAUUUUUGUGCAAGCAAAAUUGCAUUCUGUUUGUGGGAUCCUGGAAAAAGUAAAAGAGAAAACACAGAAUGACACUGAUAUUGUGUUCUUUAAUAUUUUUCUAGUUGCUUCCAUGGCAGAUUCUCAUUGGUCCAUUUUUCUUUACGCCUUAGAUUCUAUGAUUCAAUUUCAAUCAAAUACCACAACCAAAAGAAGCUUUUAAGCCUGCAGCUGAAAUAGAUGGCACUUUAAUUUUCAGCUGAACAUAUAUAUGGUAAGAUUAUUAUUAGUAUCGAGCUUGAUGAGGCUAUAGAAAAUUCAAUAUCGAGAUCGGAUAAGGGUCCAAUAAAUUAUAAAAAUAUUGCAGCUCAAAGCCCAUAUGAUCAUGGGCCACUACUUGCUCAUGCUUUGAAUUAAAAUUUUCUAACGAAGUGACGUUGGAAGCCGAAAUGGGCACAUGAUGAAAUGGUGUUCAUCAUAUAUUGAGCCCAACGGGACAAGAUCAUCAUUUAAUUGCCUCCUCCACUUGUCGAUAGAUAUUUGCCGAAUUUUUCUAUUUAAAAAAAUAUUAUACUGGUCAAUAUAAUUAGAAGUUUUACAAAAUAUAAAUAUAAUUUUAAAAAAAUUUAUAUUUGUUAAUUUAAAAUUUUCAUUUGGUGGUUAUGUUUGAGAAAAAUCUUAGAGAUACUAAGAUAUACUCUCUUAUUAUUUAUUAAAUUUAGGUAUUUUGACAUAUUAGUAUUCAGUAUUUUUUGGUAAUUAGCUGAGAAGUAUAUGUGACAAAAAUUUAACACAUGAAAGAAUACACAUCGAGAUUAUCUAAAAUUUUCCAUUGACUUAGUCAACUCUCCAUUAAUUUCAUUGACUUGGUCAACUUAUGAUCUAACUUGACAACUUGAAAAUUAAAUUAUGCUAGUACUUUUGUAAAAUUAAAAUUUAUCUUCCAAAAUUGAUAAAUACCGUGUCACUUUGUCAAAUUACUUAGGGUAAAAGUUCUAUAGCUAAAACAUUUAAGAUGAGUUAUAUGCUAAUUGAGAAGGACAAGACACAAAAGAAUUCAAUGGGGCAAAACUAUGUUACAACUGUGGUAUGGUACCACAGUUGCUUUCAGUCGGUAGAUCCACAGUUGUACAGUUACAUUAGUUAGAUCUAAUGGUUGAAAGUAACUGUGAUACCAUACCAUAGUUGCAACAUAGCUGGACCCAAUUCAAUGAAUGCCACGUUAAGUAACGUUGCUUACUCUUAACAAAUUAUUACAAACGUGAUUCAUGAAACUUGACUUUGUGUAUAAAGACGACCUAAAGAAACAUGCCAGGGCAACAAAUAAAGUAGUCCAAACGUGAUUCAUGAAAACUUGAUAGGCACUAUUUAAAUAGUAUUAAUAUGGCAACCAAAAACAUGCGAGCAAAGUAGACUUUCUUGGACGAUCCAUGCCAAUCAACAAAUAAAGUAGCCCAAACGUGAUUCGUGAAACUUGACUUUCUGUCUAAAAAGGCCUAAAGAAACAAGAUCAAAAUUCCAUGCAGAAGCAAUAUGGUGGGCACAAUGCACUAUUUAAGCCAUUUUUCAAAACUAAGUUUCUUCUUUUUCACAUGCACUAUUCAAGCAAUUUUUCAACAUUUUCUCAUUCCCCUAAAAGCUAACACGCAUGCGUGAAUCAUGUGCCAAUCAAUUUCUUGGCAAAAAUUGGAACGCAAGAACCGGUUCGAGCAUAGGGACAUUUUCACGAUUCAAGAUUCUCAGCAAGACGGCGAGACCAACGUGCAUCACUUUUGGAAAGUAAUUUAGCAAGUUCCAAUGCCUUAGCUGAUUAAUGGCUUGACCAUGUCACGAUUGGUCCCCUAAAAGCUAACACGCAUGCGUGAAUCAUGUGCCAAUCAAUUUCUUGGCAAAAAUUGGAACGCAAGAACCGGUUCGAGCAUAGGGACAUUUUCACGAUUCAAGAUUCUCAGCAAGACGGCGAGACCAACGUGCAUCACUUUUGGAAAGUAAUUUAGCAAGUUCCAAUGCCUUAGCUGAUUAAUGGCUUGACCAUGUCACGAUUGGUCCACAUUAUGCACAUGGCAAGAUCAAACAAAAUAUCACAGCUGGCUCGACGACUACCAGCCAAAAUAAGAAGACAAUUACGGCCAGUUACAUCAUUAUUGCUAGUAAACUCUUUACGAAGGAAAUGUGAAUAUCCCUCCUAAUCACUUUCUUAUAUUAUCAUUAUUUUGUACAUAUGACAGAACAUGUUCUCCCAUGUAAAGAAGUCAAGAAAAUGGUUUUAGUUUUCACAUCAAUAAUGGAAUCCAAAAUCUUUCACAGCUUGCUUCUCCUUUGGACGCUUGAAAAACUUUCUUACCUGGCUAAAACUGUGAGAAUUGUUCAAACUAAUUUGAUUGAUAACUUUCAGACACAAAAAUGUAUAUGAAUGCUACAUUUAAAUGUGAAACAAAAAGGAGUACUUAUAUUAAAAAACAAUCAGUCUCAUUGCGUCCUCUUCCAUUGACAUAGGCAAUUUGCGGUCAACUUGUGGCACCCUUAUUGACACGUAAAUAACUUACUUACCCUGCAGCCAAUACUUUUAUGAAUUUUUAGGGUUGGUAAAUUUUUCAAAUUUAAAAGAAAAAGUACAGAAAUAUAAUUUCCAUUUAUCCAGAAAUUUGAGUUUCAAGGAACAUAGCAUUUAUGUUAAUAUAGAGAAGAAAUUUUUUAAAAAAAAAUUGAAUGAAUAAAAGUAUUUUUUGAUAAAUAUUUGACAAUCAUAUUUAAAAAAAAAAGUUUUUUUAAAAAAAAAAAUUCACUCUUCCUACAUAAUUUAAUAAUUUAACAUUAUAAAUUAAUCUUUUUAUUCAAAGUAAUAAUCUCUCCUUCGGUCUGCAAAUGCUAAAAUUUAAUAUUAUACCAUAUGAUGUAAUAGCAAAUCUGCAUGAAAUCUGCAUUUAGUCAAUAACUAUGAAAUAUCGAUACGUGUUUGAAAAAACUCUUAAAAAUCGGUUUCCACCUUCAUUAUUAUAGCUCUUGUAUAAACCAACUUGGCAACAUAUGAUUGAUUAAUAUAAGAAUAAAUAUUUAUUAAGUGGGUUCUACCAUGUUUUUAAUUCACCUAAUGAUAAUAUGUCACAUCAAUUUGUACAACAAUAUUUGUGACUAUAUCAUUACUCGUUAAUUAAUAUGAACACUAAUUUAUUCUUCUUGAAAGAGAAUUACUGCAGCGAGGUUUGAGGCUCAAAGAGUUCUCAUUUAGCCAAACAUAAGAGAUGAGAGUUCACAGGAGACGUAAUUUGGAAAAUCAAUUCCAUCCAAUAGGCAAUAGGUCUCAGUGGGUUUGACUCAGUAUACGAUUAUUUUCAAUUUUUUAACGUCUUGUAAUUACAAAUUCCGAUAUCACAUUAUAAUUUUCGAACAAAUCAAAGUGAGUCAAAUCAAAUUUAGAAAAUUGAGAAAUUUAAGAUGAUUAAGUAAAUGCUAGACAAAAUCUAACUUGUAAAUAUACCUUACCACAUGAUGAACGUACUUAAAGAUCUUAACUGAUUGCUAACCAAUUAAUUGUUGUUUUACAAUUUUUAUAUAUCCUUUCUUUUCCCUAAAACUUCUAGUUUCCUAACAUAUUGUUCUCAAUUGGUCUAAUUAUAAUAUAAUUUUUUUAAAUAUAAAUAAAAUGAAUUUAUUUACUGGAAAUUUGAAAAAGAGGCACUUAUCUAUGCAAGCAAAGUUGCAUUCUGUUUGUGGGGACCUUAAAAAAAAGAAAAAAGAAAAAAGCAUAAUGACACACUGAUGACGACAAUCCUGAAGUAUUUGUUUUCUUUAGUUACAGUUUGGUUUGAAUGGUUAAGUUCAAGUUCGAAUUUUCUUUACGUAAUUUAAAUUAAAAUUGAUAGAACAAAUGGGCUGAUCAGUAAGAUGAUGAAGAAGAAGAAGAAGAAGAGGGGAUGUCUUUGAGGAUGAAGAGAAAGAAAGUUCUCGAAUAAAAAUCCGGCUUUAUGGAAAUUAAAUUAAAAGCUAUUAAGCAUUGUAAAUUACUUAACAGAUUAAUGCUGAGCUAAUCAAGUUUGUUUCUGAAGAUGAUACCUUUAAAUCUCUUGUAGUUAAAGAUAAUUAUCAUAUCACCAUAUCAAAUGGACCGAAUUCAAUCAAGUGAAAUCUAGAAAAUAGAGCAGCUCAUAGAUGUACGUGGCUAAGUCGGGGUUCAUUUGGAAGUACUUGGUCGAAUUGCGACUUGCAUCGGAGGCUUCGUUUUAGAAGAGUGCAGAGCAGCCGCCUUGUCCAUUUGGCACGCCAACGACUUUCUAUUGACCAAUAAUUUUGAAAGCGAUAUUAUUAAUUUACCAUCUAAUAUAUUUAUGAUAUUAUCAUUUUACUAUAAUAUUUUUUUGAUAUUAUCAUUUUACUAUCAAAGUUUUUUGACAAUUAUUUUGUUCACUUAAUGUUUUAGUUUUUGUUAUUUUACUAUCAAAAAAUGGUAAACGCACCCCUAGUAUCGGUUAUACACAAAAAUGGUUACCGAACUGUCUUGUUUCUCAUUUUGUUUAAUUUUCAUAAUUCGACUCACGAUUCAAACGUAGGUGAAGAGGUCUUUUGGGAAAAAUCUGGUCUUCCAUUUACUAGAAUAAGCUAUGUGUGAUUGUUUGACCGCAUAUGGCUUUCUGUCCAUCAGCUAAUGCAUAUUCUGCAUUUUAUGAAUAUCAGAGCUGGUAGAUUGAAAAAUGGACCUUAUUACAUGUCAUAAGAUACUUUGCUCAAAGCUGCAAUUGGGCAACGCCGUGCUGUUCGUAUCGGCCAAGGCAAGCCAUUUACUAUUCUUUCUAAUGGAGCAAAAUACGAUGAUUCUUACCUGCGUAGAGAAUUAGAAAAGAAAAGGAGGAUUACUGAUCCACAGAGCUGUCAUUUACUAGAAGCACAUAAAAUCUUACACUUAAUUCAUUAACCAUAUGUAAUGUUCUAAUGAUACUUAAGUAUUACAUAAAUUAGCCUUUCAAAAUUUCACUUCGAAAAAAUCCAAGGUUGUGAUGUGUCUGUAUAAAUUCGCUAAUACAAGUUCUCUCUAUUCCCAAUUGUUUUAAACUCUGUUCUGAACAGAGCAUGAAAGGAUAUAUUCGUUUAUCUAGUUAUAUUUUUUAUGCUCUCACUUCACUUGAUUCACCUUCUCCAUCUUUUAAAACAGUUGUAUAUGUCGGAGUAUCAAGUUCAUCACAAGGAUCAUAUUAUGGCCUAAGGAAGGAGCACAGUUUAUUGUCUGCACUCAAGCUUAGCAGAGUAUUUUGGGAUUCAAGAGUGUUAGUAGGCCGUUACAGAUGCCAUGCUGGCAAGCGUGCUAUGACUGAUUGCUAUUUGCACGUAAAAUUUGCCCAAAACAAAUAGAAUGAGAAUACUUGUACAAAAGGAUAAGAUUAAUAAAGUGAAUAAAUUUUAUCUUUUAGUGAAUGCUUCUUGUCUUUUAGAAUUUCAGUGCAUUUUCGUGUGUAAUUUUAUGUGCAAAUAGCAUUACUCAUUAGUAAUUAGUCUAGAGUGUUCUAAUUUCUUCUAAUAAGUAGCUGAUUUGAGCUUAAGACUUGUAUUUUAAGUUUUUAUUACUUUCUAAUAAAGAUUUUCUCCGUUCUUUUUUACUUUCACUUUCUCUUCCAUUUUCCCGACUCCCAAACACCACCAAUCCUUGAUUUUCUAGAGUAUAGCUAUGCAGUUCUACAAACACGAAACUGCUGUUGGUCCAAUUACUUUCAAGAAACAACGUACUCUGUGGUUUAUUGACUUGUGACAUGGGCAAAUUAGUCACGGUCCGAUUGUCUCCUCUUCCACUUACUGUCAAUUCAUGACUUUGGCACACAGUAGACGCCAGCUGCCUGCUCCAUUUGACGUGCAAAAAACUUUCUUGAGUCAUGUAGUUAAGAGAGACUUAAUUUUGAGAAGUGCAAGAGAUUGGUGGGACUCAUUUGAUUCAAGAAAAACAAUCAGUCUCAUUUGAUACGCAAAGAGCUUUUCAACUCUGCAGCCAAUAUUUUGAUGAAUGAGACAUUACUGGUUUGUAUAAUUUUUUGGAUAUUAUCUCAAUUUUACUUCUGUAGGUUUGUGGUUUGUAUAUUACCUCAAUUUUUAAAAAAAUGUAAUUGCAAUUAUCAAACACGACUAAUCCCAACAAUUUAUCCAAAAAAUUUUGUUUCAAGAAAUGUAGCAUUUAUGAUAGAAUGGCUAAUUUUUUCAAUCGACUUUCUGGAUAAAUGAUAAUUUUUUGAUAGAAAUGUUAAUUACUUAUUACAGGAAGAAAAUUAUAGAAUAAUUUUUUGAAUUAAUAGUAUUACUUUACGAUAACACUAUCACAAUCUAAUUUUUUUAAAAAUAAAGUUAUUCUUUAAAUUUCGCAUUACUAUUCCUACUUUUCUUGUUAUACUACUUAAUGGCAAAAAUAGUUCAUACGAUAAAAUGAGUACUUAUAUUAAAAAAAACAAUCGGUCUCAUUGCGUGCUCUUUCAUUGACAUAGGUAAUUGGCGGUCAACUUGUGGCACUUUUAUGAAUUUUCAAGACUGGUGAAUUUUUCAAAUUUAAAAGAAAAAAAUACAGAAAUGUAAUUUCAAUUUAUCCAAAAAUUUGAGUUUCAAGGAAUACAGCAUUUAUUAUAUGUCAUGUUAAUAUAGAGAAGAAAAAUUUAAAAACUUCUUUUUGGAUGAAUAAAAGUAUUUUCUGAUAAAUAUUUCACAAUCAAAUUUAAAAAAUUUCACUCCUCUUGGUACAUAAUUUAAGAAUUUAACAUUAUAAAUUAAUCUUUUUAAUCAAAGUAAUAAUCUCUCCUCGGUCUGCAAAUGCUAAAAUUUAAUAUUAUAUCCAUUGACAAUAUUUGCUCCCAAUUCACGAAAAUAAAAUUUCUAACAGAAUUAUGAAAUUCGUUACUAGAAAAUUGUAUAAAAGUUGUGAGAAUAGAAGGUUUGAUCAUAGGAAAUUAAUAUAUCCCUAUCCGAUGCAAAAAUGAUUGUAAAGAAAAAAUUACAUUCCAUUUUCCAGUUAUUAAAAUAAUUCUAAAAUUGCUAGGAUCACAAAGGAUAGGCUUUGGUUGACUGAGGUCAGCCUUAACGCAUGCCGGUCUUUUUCUCCUCUACAUUCUUAGAAAUUUUGGUUUCACUAUAAAUACACGGUAUAUAGCAAACUUAUAAGUGUUCUUGCAUUACCAAUCCAAUUAAGCACACACUUACAAUCUAAAAUACUCUCAUCUCAUGGAAAGGCUUCAUUCUCUAAGCAUUAUGAGCAGAUUUCUCUUACUCCAUUGUUUGAUUCUUAUUUCCUUAUUUAUCGCUGCAGCAACAGCCAACACAAGUUCUACUAUCACAGACCGAGAUGCUCUGUUAGCCCUGAAAGCUCGCAUAACUCAUGAUCCGACCAAUUUCUUGGCCCAGAAUUGGAACACAAGUACUCCUGUCUGUAAUUGGACAGGCGUCGCUUGUGAUGUCCAUAGCCAUAGAGUCACAGUCUUGAAUAUUUCAAGCUUAAAUCUCACAGGCACCAUCCCUUCUCAACUUGGGAAUCUUUCUUCUCUGCAAUCACUCAAUCUCAGUUUUAACCGACUUUCUAGUUCCAUUCCCUCCGCCAUCUUCACCAUAUACACACUUCAAAAUGUUAGUCUCCGUAAAAAUCAGCUCACCGGCACUUUCCCUUCUUUCAUCUUCAACAAGUCUUCUUUACAACAUCUUGAUUUUAGUUUCAAUACAUUGUCUGGUGAAAUUCCUGCCAAUAUUUGCAGUAAUUUUCCUUUUCUGGAAUAUCUUGCUUUGUCCAACAACAUGUUUCAUGGAGGAAUACUGUCCGCUCUAUCAAAUUGCACAUAUUUGCAAAAAUUAGAUUUGGUAUACAAUGAUUUCUCGGGAGCCGUACCUAGAGAAAUCGGUAAUUUGACCAAACUUAAGGAAUUACAUCUUGGCCGCAACAGAUUCCAAGGUGCGUAUGAUCACGGAGUUUAUGAAAAUUGUUCCACAAGUUGUAAUAUGUAUAAUGUUCCAUAAUACAAUUUACACACGUUGAUUAAUUUGCAGGAGAAAUUCCUCGAGAGUUUGGCAAUCUUGCCGAAUUGGAGCAGAUGUCGUUGGCAGAAAACAAUCUCCAAGGCAUGAUUUUAAACUUUUUGCAAUUUUAUUCUGUAUUCAUUCGUUUGUUCAUUAAUUAUGCUAUGAUUUAUUGUUUUUCUUUCAGAUAGAGAUAAAGCUCCAUGUCUCCCCUCACUCAUUUCAUUCUUUGAUUUAUGCAGAUAAAAAUAAAAAAAUGUUUUGCAAUUUUCUUUUGUCAUAUUGCCACUUCCAUUUUGAAGCUCCCAAUUAAGUCGAUGAAAAUGAAUGAUGUUUCAUUCUUAUUCUUGUCAGCCUAAUUCUUAUAUAAUUGAAGAGUAAAUUGUUAUUAUGAUAUUCGUCAGAAAAUAAAUUCUUUUUUUUUUCCACCCAAAUAUGAGUGAUCAAAUUGUUUGCGCAUAUAUAAAUGUACUUAAUUUGCAGGAGGUAUUCCACAGGAAUUGGGGAAUCUUGCAAAAUUGAAGACGUUACAGCUGUUCCAGAAUAACUUGACCGGUAACCAUCUUUACAAUAUAUAUAUGAGACAUCUUCCGCUUCUUAAUAAAUAGAUGUCAAGUCUCUCAUUAUAAAUUCUCACUAUCUAACAUCAUUCCGUUUUUUAUUAGAAAUUAGUUUAUGUUAAUUCAAAAUUCUGCAGCAUCUAAAAAUUAAAAACACGUGGAAUAAAUAAUCAAUCUUUCUUCUUUACUGAAUUUGGAUUUCUCAAAAAUUAUCUUGACAAGUAUGCUUCACUAAUGAUAUGCAUGUGUGACAACUUCAUAAAAUAUUUUACAUGAAAUCACUAAUUAUCUUUAAAUGUGUAUAUGCUUUUAUGUAUUAUUAUUCUUUGAAACAAAUCUGAUUAUAAUUCUUUUAAAAUACAGAUGAAAUAGCAAAUCGGAAAAUAUUUUACUGCGAUAAGAAUUCAUAUAUUCAUUGUAGUAGCACAUAUAAAAUAGACUAAAUUUUGUUCCAAAAUACAUUUUUAUCUUCAUAUAAAUUUUACAUUAUUAAUUUAAAUUAAUAUUAAACUAUGUUAUUUCUUUCACUAUAUUAUUUUAUUUACACAAUGAUGUGACUAUUGGAAUUAAUAAUACUUAUAAUUACUUUGUAAAAAUAUAAAUUUAAUACUUUGUUAACAUUUUAUCUACAUAUAACAAUUAAAUUGAAAAUUGUAUUUAAAAAUUUUUAGCUACGCAUAUUCAUUUCAUGAUAUAAAAGUGUAUAUUUAUACUAAUUUACCAUUAUCCAUAAAAUGUUUUGAGACAAAUAAUCUAAUUUAUAUUUGUAUAUUUAAAAUACUUGCAUUUAUUAUAUUUUUAAAAAAAAAAUAUUUGUAAUGAUUUUAAACCAUUGGAUUCAAAUUUUUGUAGUUAUUAAAGUCGAAGGGUAUAAAUGUAUAAUAGUUAAAAACAGAUUUGUAUGAUCAUUUUUCAAUGUAUAAAUUUUCUUUGUUAGUAGGAAAAUUACAAAUUGUUGAUUUACUCAUAAAUAAAUUUAAUGUUUAGCAUUUCAAUUUUGGAAAACUUGAACUAAAUGUUGAUAACUUCGAAUCGGUCGAGCCGAGUUUCACUUCCUUGACCCACGGACCCAUUGAAAGUUCUAUUCGAAUUGAGUUUCCCAGUGCUUAUAAAAAGCAUUUCUUUUCCUUGUCGCAGUAAUUUAUUCACAAAUGAGUUGAUUAGCAUCGAAGUUACCUAAGAGUCUGAGACCAUGCUAGUAGGAGAAAUUUGAAAAGAAAUUAUUUUACUGAAUUAAUUUAUUUUAUCUUGUUGUUGUAACUGAAAUACUACUUUUUUUUUUGGGCUAUCACUGGUACUUGAUUUACUUUAAUAGUAGCAGCCACCGACUUAGGCGUUUUUUACUUCUCACCACACAAUUUGAUCUUUUAAUUCGUUUUAACCACAUAAUCUAUCUAUUUCUCACCUAUUGCUUACUUAAAUUGCAUACAUAUUUUACCUAGUAAUUUUUAUAAAUAUUAGUCAAAUAUAUUUUAUUACGUUUCUCUCGUAACUGCUCCAAAUGUGUACUAUUAAUACUUAACCCUCCCUUUUAAUUUACCGUGCAAUCUAUCUACACUUAAAUCACAUAUAUAUUUUACCUAUAUUUUACCCAAAAAAAUAUAAAAAUUAAAGAAAAAGAAUAUGUGUAGCAAUUUGUAUAUAACUAACAAAGCAUUGACGGUGUGUAGCCUUCCAAUACUUCAUGAGUGGCUUUUCUUUUGUGUUAGUAUUUGUAAUAAUUGUGUAGCGUAUAAAGACUCUUUAUUGUAUAUGCGUGUCCGUUUAUAUAUAUCAUUUAUUAUUUGAAAAAUAAUCUGAAUAUAAUUCUUUCAAAAUACAGGGGAGAUACCACCUGAAAUCGGUAAUCUCCGAAAUUUAGAGGAGUUGGACCUUGGUCAUAACAAAUUAGUCGGUACUGUCCCAGCUGCAAUCUUCAAUUUGUCAACGCUCAAAGAAUUCUCCAUUCCAAAUAAUUCUCUCUCGGGAUGUCUUUCGUCCAUCGCAGACGUCCGACUACCAAAUCUUGAAGUGCUUAAUUUUUGGGGUAAUAAUUUCAGUGGCACAAUUCCUCGUUUCAUCUUUAAUGCUUCUAAGCUCUCUGCACUAGAUUUGGACGGCAACUCAUUCUCCGGUUUUAUUCCCAACACAUUUGGCAACUUAAGAAAUCUUAAGUGGCUCAUUUUAUCUGAUAAUUAUUUGACAUCUUCAACUCCAGAAUUGAGCUUUCUAUCCUCAUUGUCAAAUUGCAAGUCUUUAACAUAUAUUGACUUAUCAUAUAAUCCACUGGAUAGCAUUCUUCCAAGGACGUCUGUCGGUAAUCUUUCUCAUUCUUUGGAAGAUUUUGAAAUGAACAAUUGUAACGUUAGUGGUGGCAUUCCUGAAGAGAUCAGCAACUUGACCAACUUGACAACCAUUGAUUUAGGAGGCAAUAAAUUGAAUGGAUUGAUUCCAAUUACUCUCAGCAAAUUACAAAAGCUUCAAGGUUUGGUUCUUUAUGAUAACAAAUUAGAAGGAUCAAUCCCAGACGAUAUUUGUCGUUUGGCUGAACUGUAUGAAUUGGAGUUGGAUGGCAAUAAGCUUUCAGGAUCAAUCCCUGCAUGCUUAAGUAAUCUGAUUUCUCUGAGGAUACUAUCGUUGGGUUCCAAUGAGUUAACUUCUAUUCCCUUAAUUUUUUGGAACCUUGAGGAUAUCUUGUACCUUAACUUUUCUUCAAAUUUUUUGACUGGCCCACUCCCAUUAGAGAUUGGAAAAUUGAAGGUUUUGGUUGGAAUUGAUUUUUCGAUGAAUAAUUUUUCAGGCGUUAUCCCAACAAAAAUUGGAGGCCUAAAAAAUCUAGAAUAUCUCUUCUUAGGAUAUAACAGAUUGCAAGGAUCAAUUCCUGAUUCAUUUGGUGAUUUGACAAGUUUGAAAUCCUUGAAUUUGUCUAAUAAUAACCUCUCUGGGACUAUUCCUGCAUCUUUAGAGAAACUCUCAUAUCUUGAAAAUCUAAAUCUUUCUUUCAACAAGUUAGAAGGAGAAAUUCCUAGGGGAGGAUCUUUUGGAAAGUUCUCAGCUGAAUCAUUUAAGGGAAAUGAAUUAUUAUGUGGUUCACCUAAUUUACAAGUCCCACCAUGCAAAACUAGCAUCCACCACACAUCAUGGAAAAAUUCUCUUCUCCUAGGGAUUGUCUUGCCAUUGAGUACUACAUUUAUGAUAGUAGUUAUUUUGUUGAUCCUAAGAUAUCGACAGAGAGGAAAACAACCAUCGAAUGAUGCUAAUAUGCCACUAGUAGCAACGUGGAGAAUGUUUCCAUACCUAGAACUUUGUCGAGCAACAGAUGGAUUCAGUGAAAACAAUCUAAUUGGCAAAGGAGGUUUUGGCUCUGUUUACAAAGCAAGACUUGGGGACGGGAUGGAGGUUGCAGUGAAGGUUUUCAAUUUGGAAUGUGGAAGAGCAUUUAAGAGUUUCGAUGUUGAAUGUGACAUGAUGAAAAGUAUUCGCCAUCGAAACCUUAUCAAAGUUAUUAGCAGUUGUUCAAAUGAAGAGUUUAAAGCGUUGGUAUUAGAAUACAUGCCUCAUGGAAGUUUGGAGAAGUAUCUAUAUUCAAGCAACUGCAUUUUGGAUAUUUUUCAAAGAUUGAAUAUAAUGAUAGAUGUUGCAUCGGCUUUGGAAUAUCUGCACUUUGGUUAUUCAGCUCCAGUAAUUCACUGUGACUUAAAGCCCAGCAAUGUAUUGUUAGACGAUAAUAUGGUUGCUCAUUUGAGUGAUUUUAGCAUCGCAAAAUUGUUAACUGGAGAAGAUCAAUCUAUGACUCAAACACAAACACUUGCCACAAUCGGCUAUAUGGCACCAGGUUUGUUCAAUAUAAAUAUUUUCUAUUAUUUCUUGUAAACUUCCUAGUAAGUUCUUUAUGUUUCAUUAUCUUCAUUAGAUGAGGAAAUUAUUAUUAAUGAUAUAUCUUACUAUGUAAUCGUUGCAAUUCAUAGAGUAUGGAAGAGAAGGACGAGUAUCCGCAAAUGGAGAUGUUUAUAGCUUUGGGAUUAUGUUAAUGGAAACUUUUACUGGGAAGAAACCCACAGAUGAAAUUUUUAACGAAGAAAUGACAUUAAAGCAUUGGGUUAAUGAUUGGCUACCCAUUUCUACUAUGGAAGUUGUUGAUGUUAAUUUGCUAAGUCAGGAGGACAUACAUUUUGUUGCAAAAGAGCAAUGUGUGUCAUUUGUCUUCAAUUUGGCUAUGGCGUGCACUGUGGAAUCUCCGGAGCAGAGAAUCAAUGCAAAAGAAAUUGUAACAAAACUCUUAAAAAUUAGAGACUCGUUACUUAGGAAUGUUGGAGGCAGAUGUAUAAGACAAUCAAACUUAAAUUGAUUCUACCCCUCCUUCAUUGCUUGCUAUCAUUUUCAGAGACUUGAAUAGUUAUCCUUCAUACAAGUUUUGUUGAUAUGUUUUGUUAUUUCUCUUGCUCAUGUUUAUUUCUCUCUUUCUUUAAUUUGCAUGCAUGCAUUUUCGUUCUCUUCCAUGUUUGCAUUGGUUUGUAUUUAGCUUGUUUUUUGGGGUAAGGUUCUUUAUGCCCUCCCCUAAUUAGAUGUAUCCUUUUAAUUUUUAUUCAAAAAGUUUCGCUAGUACUAUCGAGGUUCAUCGAGGUUAAUCGAAAGAAAAUUUUCAAUUGAUUUUCUUUUCUUUGGCUACUAAUGGAAAUUCUAGUCUUUAUAGUUAAUAACUUUAGUAGUUAUGGCUGUUUUCUGAACUUGGAGUCAGAGUAGUUGAACAGCAACAAACAAGUCUCUUGUAUUAUAGGCAAAAUUCUUUUCAUUAAUCUUAUUUGUCUACAUUUUCUCCUAUUUUCUCCAUUAAUCUUCGCUCAAGGUUUCAAGCUUCCUCUUUGGCAAAGGAAAAUGUUAUUUGCUACUGACCGAUUGCGAGUAUUUCAAUUUGACAUGUGAGACUGUUUUGUCGGCCAUUUGAUAAAAUGGAUAUGAGUGGAGCUUUUAAUCAAUACCUCCACCAAAAUCCUUAUAACGCCACUUUGAAAUUUUAGUUUUUAAAAUACAUUCAGUUUAAUUUAAAAAAAAUAAAUUCAUUUGUUAAAAUUAAUCUUUUUCUCAUAAAUUUCAACCUAAAAAAUAUUUUUCUUUUAAGUUUUUAUUAUAAAAUACAUACAAGUUCUAAACUAUUAAAUUAUUUUCUUCUUAUUAUAUAGUUUAUAUCUUCAUAACUCUAAACUCCUAUAAUUUUUUUUAAAAAAUAUUUUUCAAUUUAAAAUAUGAAUAUAAAAUAUAGAAUGGACUGGGUAUAAAAAGUAUGUUAAACGAAUAAUUCAUUUAAGUAUUCAACUGAAUUUUAAUUUAAAAUAAGAAAUAAAUUAAUUUAUUUUUAUUAGUUAAGUAAUUUUCAAUUGAAAAAGAGCUUAUAUUAUGGACAUAUGAUUAAAAUUCCUAUGAAUUAAACAUUUUCGUAUAAAUACCAGUGAUAAUUAUAGAGAAAGUACGAUGAACCGAAGAAAACUUGAAUAUAAAUACUCCAAUGUAAUUUUACACGUACAAAUUAUGAACCAGUGAUCUUUAGAGCAUCAUAAGACAUGAUAUCAUUUAAGACGGCUUACAAAUUAUGAAAAAUACAUUGAUCUUAUAAAUAAUAUUUAAUAUGUCAAUUAGACUGAGGUGGCGUUUGUUUUUUAACUUAAUAACUUAAAGUGACUUAACUUAAUUAAUUAAGUUAAUUAGAGGUGUUUGUUUUAUAACUUAAUGAGACUUUUUAGAUAAUUUUGACUUAAUAAAAUAAGCCAAUUUUUUUGACUUUUUACUUAAUGGAGAAAUCUGAAUUAAGUCAAUUACUUGCUAAUGUCAAAAAUAUCCUUAUUUUAUAAUUUAUUUUUCAUGUCUAUCCCAAACUCACCCAUAGACAUUUACCUCAUAUAAAAAUAUCUCUAUUUUUUCUUUCUUAUAUUAUAUACAAUAAAAUUUAAAAUUUAUGGUAUUUUAUAUAUUAAAAUUCUAAAAUAAUUAUGUAUUCACUUGAAUAUAAUUUUACUUAUAAAUGUUAAAAUAUUGUGUUAUUUAAUAUAUUAUUUAUUUGACAUUCAAAUUUAAUAAGGAUACAAAUGUAAAAGUACAUAUUUUUAGUUUUUUAAGUCGAAAAAACAAACAACUUAAUAUUUAUUUUCCGAGAUUCAGACGAAAAAACAAACAUAUUAUUCAGAUUCAGACAUUCAGAUAUAUUCAGAAUUCAGACUAAUUCAGGUCUAUUCAGAUUUCAGAUAAAAAAAAAACGCCACCUGAGUCUCUGCAAUAAAAUUUUCAAAUUAAACAAUAAACCCUUUAUUUUCCUUUAAUUAUAAGUGUGAUCUUAAUUAUUAAAGUCAUUCAGAUGAAAAAUGAGAAGCUUGAAGCUUCUCUCGGUUAUUUACUAUAUUCUUAUCUCUUUUCUUUUGUUGCAUUUUUCUUCUGUCGUUAUAAAUUAUUUUUUUACAGAUAUACAAAUAGAAACUAUAUAAAUUUAUAACACCUUAUCAGGGGGUUUUUAAUUAAAUACCCUUUAAUAGUUUCAAAAUUAUUGAAAUACCCCCUCCCUUUUUGGUUUUCAUGGAUACCCUAACAAAUGUGAGUAAAGUCGGAAAUACCCUUAAUGAAUGCAUCAAAUUCACUCAAUGAAUUGUCUUCAUAUUCCUUUCCUCAUUUCUUUCACCCAACUCCAUUUUUGCUGCCGAUUCUUUCAAAAUCUCUUAGAAUCUCUCAAAAUCUCUCAUAAUUUCUUACACAAAUACAAUUAUGUAGUCAUUUCUUUAACACCCACUCUUUCUUUAAAGGUGCAUUGCUUAUUAAACAACCCAAUAAGGUAUGUUAAUGUUGUUGGGUUUUAAAUUUUUUAAUUUUUAGGAAAAUUUAGAAAUUUUCCUCACAUUACAAUGUUUUAUUUUCACCAUUUUUUCUUAUAUGUAGAAAUAUAUGCAAUGUAGGUUGUUUAAUUAUUUUUUUCAGCAAUAAAACUUAUUUAUGGCGAAAAUGUUUCGCGUCGUGCAUUCUUUUGAUACCGUGUACGUCAUAUAGUUAGUCAUGUAGGUCAUGUACUUACUUGUAUAUGAAAUUUGAUAUUAUUAUUUUUAUUGUAUCAUCAGAUAUGGUUUUGGUACGUGUGCCUAUUCUCUUCAAUGGUGAAUGAAUUGAGCAAAAUGACGAGUAUAAGUUCAAAGGUUUCAAGGCUAAAGGGAUAAUGAUACCACGAUCGACAAUAUAUGCCGAAUUGAUGGAGAAGAUAGUUGAAGUUAUUGAUAUAGAUACUUCGGAAUUCGAAAUCACAAUGAAGUUCAAACUUAAGACAUCUGAUCCUAUGCCACCAGUUACAAUUCAAACCAAUGAUGAUGUGGAAUUUUUCUUAGAGGAAGUAGCUAGUGGAAUGAAGUUUAGAAACCCGCUUUGCAUUACUUUUGAACGUAGAUCAAAUCGUGUGUUCAUAAAUUACAGCAAAAAAAAAAAAAAUUGCAUAUUCGACAAUUUGAGAAAUGAUGAGAUUAAUUAUUAUAAAUAAACAAAGUUAUCAGUUUACAAUGUCAAUAUUUGGAUAUGAUACACUAAUGGAUAUCGUAAUUAAACAUAUUACAACCAUUUAAAAAGUUUUUUUUUUUUUUUUAUCUUCAAACUGCUUUCUUCCUCUGCCGAAGCAUACAUGCAUACAUGAGGAAUGCCUGCAUAUAAUAAAUCCAUGAAAUCAAUUAGAAACAACUCUUAAAUCAAAGGCUAGUUGAAAACACAGUCGCAAGUGUGGCAAUACUCGGGUUAUCAUCAAAUGUUGUCAGAAUCUGCACAGCAGCAAAUAUUAAUAACUUUACACAAUUUGUACGUAGUUAAAAAUAAUAACAUACUUAGUUAAAAAUAAUAACAAAAUGAACCUUCACAUUAUUCUUAUUGGUUCUAACGAUGACAAAUUAGUAAUUUUCAGCUUUCGGUUUGCCACAUUUCAUUUUUUCCUGAAUACUUUUCGUUGACAUUUUCUGCAUAGCAACAAAUAUAAAUUCUUAGCAAAAAUUAAGUCUUUAAACAACUAAGUUAUUAUAAUGAAUUAACAACAGUGAAAAAAGUCGUGUAAUUUUGAGGUCGUGUAAUACAUGAAGGUCGUGCAAGUGCAAUACAUGAAGGUCGUGUAAUACACAACCUUGAAUCCUAAUAACCUGACACGACCAAAUCGUGUGUUACAUAAAAAAAUUAUAAUCGGCACAAUCCAUCAAUUUUUCACAAUUUGCAUGCAGCAAAACAACUAGAAAUUUGUUUUUGAACAUGUAAUGAGAGACCCGCAACUAAUUAAUCUAUUUUUUCUAUAUAAACCCUAACUUUUUUUUUCCCUGAAUAUCAACAAGAAAACUAUUUAUAGAGAAUUACUUACCUCAACUAGUUAAAUUAUGACCAUUUUGCAGUAAAGAAUCAGCUCUCGCCGCCGAUUAUGUGGCGACGAACUAGGCUUCUCUUUCUCAGUUGUGGUAGCUUCCCCUUCUCAAGGUUAGUUUGCUCGUGUUGAAGUUCGAUUUACCAUGUAUGGAGAAUGAAUAUUUGUUUCGGUAGAUGUGAUGCCGGUGAGUAGGGAUGGCAAUGGGGCGGGGUGGGGGUGGGGAUGCCUACCCCAUUCCCCACCCCAUUAAAAAUUUUUGCCUCCACUCCCCACUCCAUUCCCCAAUAAAUUUAGUGGGUUGGGGAUGGGGAAUCCCCACGUGGGGAAUGAUUCCCCCAUCCCCACCCCAUUCCCCAUUUACUUAUUUUAUAGUAGAUAUAAAAAUAUGAUUUCAGUAAAUUAAAAAUUAGAGACUUAAAAUAAAAUCAUUAUCAUAUUAUAAAGUAUUUAAUUUUUUUUUUAAAUCUCUAAAAGUUUGAAACAAUAUCUUAAACUGAUAUUAAAAGUGAAAAAUAUUUAAAGAGAGCAGCACCUUAAAAGAGAAAAGAAAAUAUAAUAAUAUUUUAAAAUUAAAAAAUAUUGUAGGGUUUUCUUUUACUAUCAUGUUUAUAUUACAUAAAAAUUAAAAAAUUAUUAAUUGACAUUAUAGUUGAUAAAAUAAAAAUUAUUAACAUAAUUAUAUAUAAUGGGGAUUGGGGUGGGAAUGGGGUGGGGAGUGCAAUACCAAACCCCACCCCGUUAACAAUUUGGGGAUUAUUUUUCUCCCACUCCCCACCCCAUUCUCUAAAAAUUAUUAAAAAUUUUUCCCAUUUGGGGUGGGGCUCCAUGGGGCCCCAAACCCGUGGAGGAUUUUGCCAUUCCUACCGGUGAGGGAAUUGCAGAGGUGAUGCCGAUGAGGGAAUUGCAGUGUUUAUUUGUUUGAGUUUGAUAAUGGAGGGAAUUGCAGCAGAUGAGUGUUUGUUUGCUUCAGUAGAGAAGGGAGAGGUGCUGUCCGUUGAGUUGAAAUGUUUUAAAAUGAGGAUACCUUAGUAAUUUCCUAUCAGUUUUUAAAGGGUAUCGAUGAAAAUUUUGGCAAAAACAGAUUUUUGGGUAUUAAGAUAAUUUUUGAAGUAUGGAGGUGUACCGGGCGCAAUUGGCUCCCUUAUCAGUGCGGUUAAGCCGAAUAAUAUAUCAAAACGAAGCUCUCCAUAAGCUGAGCUUUCUGCCACAAAAUUAUUGUUAUCGGAGUCCCUAGGCGUCGACAAUUGCCACCGAAAAACUUUGGUUUUAAGGGAUAGAAAUGCAUCACGAUCGGGUCGGGUCAAUCCGAAUUCCUACCCGAUUGUUGAGCCUGAUUCAGGCCACAUUACUGGCCGUGGAGGGUACCAAUCAAACCGCCAAAAGUCACCUGUCAUUCUCCAAGUCAUCAUGGUUGCCGGAAAUGACUGGAAAACCGCCGAACGAAGCUCGAAUAUCCGCAACAAAUCGACCCAAAUCGGCAUGAUAUCGCCGAUUUCAGGCCACGCCACCACCUGGGCUUUACUCCUCAUGUCGUCCUCUUUAAUAUUUGACUGAAAACCGGUGCCAAAAGCCACUGGUUUGCCACAAAUCAAGCCACCAAGUUUCACGAUCGUUGGGGCCCGAUCCACUGCCGUAGCAGCGCGUCGGAGCUCACUGUCGGUAUCUUUGGAUUCAGCACGACCUGAAGUCUCUAUCUCGAGCUUCUAAGCCACCGGGGCUUGAUUUCCGGGCACCGUUGAAUGGUUAGGGUAGUUUGGUAAUUUCGAAUUUUAAGGGCAUUCUGGUAAUUUCAAAUUUUCGAGGUUAAUAUCUUUUAGAUCCCUAAAAGUUAUUUAAAUUAUGAUAAAAUCCACAUAUAUUUUUAAUGGUGUUAAAAAAAAUUAGGGAAAUUAUCAGACAUAUACCUUUAAAUGACACUAGUAUCAAACGUGUUACAACACUUUUCAAGUGUAUAACUCGUAUAUCGUAAGUUGACAAAACACUUCUGCCGUCCACCAAUCCGUUAACUACCAUUUACAAGCGCUGACAUCAUAAGGGUAAUCUAUUUUUUUUAAAAAAUGACAUGACAUCUCAUUUACCUAGUAAAAAAUGACAUGUUAUAUGAUAUAUAUUGAUAAAAAUGACAUGUCAUAUGAUAUAUAUUGAUAAAAAUGACAUGUCAUAUGAUAUAUAUUGAUAAAAAUGACAUGUCAUCCCAUUUAUCGAAUAGUUGUUCAUAAUUGCUAAAAAAAAAAAAGCUACUUUACAACCGAAUCUACUCCUCCAAACUUAACCUAAAUUUUUGAAGAUUUACUCCUCCAAGCUCCAACUAAAAUUUUUUAUGGUAUAGUAUAUAUAAUUAUAAAUAAUAUGUUGUUAAUAUUUUUUUAUGGUAUAAUAUAGAUAUUUUUUACAAAUAAUUGUUAAUAAUAUGUACCAUUAAUAAUUCAUAUAUUUUUUAAUAAAAAAAUGUAUUGUUAUUAAAAAAAUUUAAAAAAAUUGUGUAUUGAAAAUUUAUAUUAAUUUUUUAGGUAAAUUUAUCUUUUUACCUCAUUUUGAGUUUUAAGGGCGAAAUAGUCAAUUUGCCAUAAUUCUGUUAACUUUCUAACGGAAGUUAACGGAUUGGUGGAUGGCAGAAGUGUUUUGUCAACUUAGGGUAUAUGAGUGAUACACUUGAAAAAUAUUGUAACACGUUUGAUACGAAUAUCAUUUAAGGAUAUAUGACUGAUAAUUUUCCUAAAAAUUAUUAAAGUCAUUCAAUGUACAUUACUUAUUCAUUUUUUUAAUUAUCAAAUGACAUUGAAAACUCUACUCAAUAUUAUUUCAUUCAAAUGUUUUGUUUUAAAGUAAUCGGAAACUGCAAAUGAAACAAAAUAACAAAUGCUUGAAAUCACAAACGGCCUAAAAUUAGAUUUUUUUUUUAAUGUUACAGUGACUUUGAUCCUGAUAUUAAAAUAAUCUGAAAAUAAUUUGGAAUUUUGGGGAUUUUGAAAUUUUUUGGUUUUGUUUGAGUGCAAUUUCCUCUAGUUACAGUUUCAGUAAGAAGGGUUAAGUGCAAUUUCGAAUUUUUUAUAAAAUUUAAAUUAAAAUUCAUAAAAAGAUUGGGCAUCUAAUCCUAAAUUGAUGGCUAGCGAUACUACAACGGCGGCUGCAGCUCCAGAAAAAGCAGAGGCGGUGGAGGAGUAUGAUAGGGAUCCAGAUGAAAUGAAACGCUCUCUUGUGAUGCGCAGAAGGGAAGCCACUGAUGAGGAGGAGGCGGAGGAUGAGAGAGAUUCAGAGCUUCCAAUCGCUCAAAGUGUGCAUAUUCCUGCGGGAGAGGCGGAGGCUGUGGAUAAGUAUGAGAACGAUCCAGAUGAAGUGAUACACUCUCUCGUUCUGCACAGAAGGGAAACAAGCGAUGAGGAGGAGGAGGAGACAGAAUUUGAGCGUCGAAUGAAUUGAAGGCUCCAGAUUCACUCUUACGAUGAAUCUGAUGGCCAAGGUGGUGCUUCAGCUGAGUAUGAUGAUGAUGAUGAUGAAGACGAAGAGGAACAUGACAGAAUUAGAAGAAGAUGAUGAAGAAGGGGAUGUUUAUGAGGAUGAAGAGGAAGAAGAAGUUUAUGAAGAAGAGGAGAGGAAUGACGGGGCGGUUAAAGUCAAAGGAAUAGAGGGUAAUGAUGCAAGAGGAGUACGAAGGGGGCAGUGGAAGUGAGUAAAAGGAAUAAUGAUAAUGGCAAUGGUGCUAAAAGAAUGAUGUAGUGGAGGGAAUGGAGGAAGAGAAGGAGAGUAAUGAGCCUUUUGUCUCACGUUAACCCUCACCUCUGUUUAUUUCUCUUUCUUUUCUUUUAACCCAAUUUUUACUUCAAUCUUCGUUUUUCUUCUUCCCCCAAAAUUAAACAGCGAUUACAUUCCUCAACAGCUACAAAGAAAAAAAGCCACGGCACUUUCAAGAUACCGAAACAUACCCACAUUUACUAAACAAAAGAGAUUUAAUUUAAAAAAAAUUGCAGAGCGGAUUAAGCACUGACCAAGUGAAAAGCUGACCAAGCGAAGUAAGAGCAAUAGAAUGAACUCCACCAAGAGCAAUACAACGAACAUGAUCAUCCAAAUAAGGAUUCAAAGUAGGCACAAACGCAGCAUCCUCAUGCCCAAAUCCAAGCCGCCCGCCAUCUCCUUUGCCCCAAAUCCACAACUUCCCGUUCACCACCAACCCAGAAUGAAACAACCCACAUGAUGAAGAAUUUGAAAAGCGCUCUGAAGAAGACGAAUCACGAGUUCUCAGAGGUAAAAUUCCUGAUCUUUCUAUGUGGUUAACUCCUGAAUCAGUCGAUUCUUGGUUUCAAUUGGUUCACUGAGUUAGGUGAUUUUGUCUUACGUCUGAUGCAGGGAAGGAGCUUGGCUGAAGGUCACAACUCACGAGUUCGAUUUUUGCUUUUGGCUGAAGGUCACGACGAGCAGCGGCCAGCGGGAACAGAAGAAGUUAUGACGAGCAGCGGCCAGCGGGAAGUCGGGAACCGAAGAAGACAGAAGUCAGAAGUUUAGAUUUAGAUUUUAGGCUUUUAGGUUUUAACUUUAGCUUUCAAAUCGGUUUAUUUGUGAUUUCGGUUCGGUUUUGCGGUUUUUUUUAAAUCAAAAACUGAACCGAUUGGUUUUACUGGACCCUUUUUUAUAUUACUAUUUCGGUUUUUUAGAGGUAAAAAAAUCGCACAAAAACCGAACCGAACCGAUCGAUUCGAUUUUUAAUUAAUCAAUUUUUUUUGCCCAUCUCUACAGCUAGGUACGUAUUGGUGUUUGUGGAUUUCUAAAUGCUUUCUGUCAAAUGUGACUAGAUUAUUAUUAGAAGUCUAUGGAUCUUACACUUAAUUAAUUAUAUAUCCAUUUAUAAUAUUCAAAAUGAUAAUGUACUAUUGCUUAAAAUUAUGCUUUCAAGACAUCAUUAUGAAAAUCCAUGGUUGUAAUGUGUUUCUAAAUUCAGUAAUACAAGUUCUGUCAAUUACUGUUGGAUGCAGUGACCUGAAUAGUUUAAUAUUCAUUUGCAGAAAAAAGUUGAGAAAGAAAACUAAAAAUUUCCAUGCGUUCUGCUAGAAAUUUAAUUAGCUUCAUUUGAGCAUUAAUUGCCGGCAUGAUCUCUUAGACUUCUCUUGCAUUGAAUGAAUGAAUGAGUGCUAAUCCAUGCAAAGACUUCCAUGCAUGCACAAUGAAUGCUAAAUCUAAGGUAUGGUAAAAUGUCAGCAAGCUUGGCCCAAAUUAUCAAGCUGGUUUGGUGGCUGCUAGAUUUGUUCAUCCGGAUUUUGGACCAUUUUCCUUGACAAUGAGAAAAGCUCCAAGAUCUGUAAAUUGAAGACUCACUGAAAGCUCCAAGUUUCAGGUAACUCUUGAGUUGUGUGCUGGAGUAUUCUCUAUUGUAUUUUGUUUGUUUGUUAUUUAUUUGAUGUAUUGCUAGCAGGGAUCUUAGGUGGGAACCAAAAAUUCUCAAUAAUUAUCAAUUGUUUUAAACUCUAUUCUGAACCGAGCGUGAAGGGAUUCACUUAUCUAAUUAUGUCUUUUAUGCUUUAAAUUCAGUUGAUUUCAUCUUUUCCGUCACCUUUAUUAAAGUUGUAUAUGUUGGAGUAUUAGGUUAAUCAUAAGGAUCAUAUUAUGGCUAAGGAAGGAGCACAGUUUAUCAGCUGCACUCAAGUGUAGCAGAGUAUUUGGGGCUGAUGCUACAAUACCUGCAUGUAUGUGAUACAUGCAUAAAAGAUGACCGUUGGAUUGAAUAUAAUGAAUCCAACGGUUGAGAUGAGUUUAAUUAACAAAUAAUUAAAAAUUUUCACAAAACCUGAAACCUAUAGAAACGGUAACAGGCACACAUCCCAACUGGCUAUAUAUAUUUGUGGGAAAAAAAAAAGAAAAAGAAAAAGAAAAAAGCUCUCACCUCACGCAAAGCUAGUUCUUCUCUUCUCUUCUUCUUCGACAAUGGUGAACGGCACGAUGAACGGCGGCAUAGCUAAUUAGUAAUUCCUCUCCUCUUCUGCUUCCACAACAGUCAACGGCGGCAUAGCUUCCACAACAGUCAGCGACGGAUUUGAUUUUCAGGUAUUUUGGUUAACUCUAAACUGAUUUCAUAGCCUUUCAAUUCUUUUUUUUGCUAAUUUUUUUCUUUUUUUGCCCACGCUGCAGAAUCCUUGUCAGUAAACAAACCCUCACAGCCACCAGCCACCACUGACAUGCAUGAACGUCCAAUCUCUUAGCCGCAAUCGCUAUUCUUUGUCGACGUCGCGAAGAAAUUGGGUAUGAUGUUGUUAAUCAAUUACACAUGCUACCAAAAAAUUGUAAGAACCAAUUUUUUAAAUUUUGUUAAUAUGAUUAUGAAAUUGGGCUUGCUUUUGUGUGAAAUUUUAGGGUUUGUUUGCUUUUGGAUGAAAAUUAAAAAUCAGAUUUUGAAAUUGUUUGUUCCUCAUUUUGUUGAGAUAUAUCUUGUCUUCGUUUAUUGAUUUGUGCAUGUCUGGAUAGAUAUGCCAACCUAAUCGAAUGCUUAUUAAAUUCAAUGAAAUGUGAUGCAUGGCCUUAAGCUUGCGGUGAAUAGCUUUAUUCGACAUAUAUAUUUUGGAAAUUAGUUUUCUUUUGUUUGAUUUAUUUUGCUUUAAAAAAAAGAGCCUAGUCAAAAUAAGUUUAUUUAAAAGUGGAUGGCAUUUGAUUAAAAGAAGAGGUAAGAUUUAAAGCCCUCCAAGUGUUUGAUAAAAUAUCUAAAUGAAACUUCAUGUUCUUAUUUUCCUUUCGCAACUGACUUAGGUUCUUCGUAAUCAAGGUGAAGGUGCUAUAGUGUUAGUAUUGGCACCUACUAGAGACUUAGCCGAUCAAAUUCAGGAAGAGGCUUUUAAAUUUUGGUCGUGCGCAAGUGUUAUAAAUACUUGUGUUUAUGGUACUGCUCCUAAAUGAUCUCAAAUAUUCGAAGAGGUGUUUUGAAUUCUUUUUUGGAGAAUUUAAUUGUUUUUAGAUUAAAAUUACAAGUCAAGUAUUUUUAUUUGGUGUAUCUUCCUCUUUAACUACAAUAUGAAAUUGGAGAAUUUGAUAGAACUUUAAUCAUUUGUCUAUACUUUACUAUUGCUUAAUUGUAUCAUAAGAGUGUGUUAAUUUGCUCUGUAAUUCUUUCAAGAUUCUUGAGCUAUAGUCUUUAUAUUUAUAAUUUGUUUUGAUAAAUUUCUCUUGGUUCUUUAAUUUUGAUCUAUUCCCCACUUUAAAGAUAUUUUAUUUUAAACAUAAGAUGUCAUUAAUUAUAUUGAUUUAAUCUUACAGGGUGAUGAGCUAAAUUAAUUAAUUAUAUUAUAUGUAGAUUUUAGUUUGCUCAAUAAUGGUAUACUAGGAAUGCAGUUUUAUUUUAAGCAUAAUAUGCAAUUUGUUUUGCUAUUGUUUAUGCAUAAAAACAGCACCUGAAAGUUUCCAGGUGCUGCUUAGCUGCUGUUAUGUAAUAAACAUAAACACAACACAUGGAAACUUUGGGGUGUUGUUUAUGCACAAAAAUAGCAUGUAGAAGCUUGAGGCGCUGCUUAGCUGCUGUUAUGUAGCAAAAACAAAACAUGGAAGUUUCUAGGUGCUGCUUAGCUGCUGUUAUGCAGCAAAAACAACAGCCGGAAGUUUCUAGGUGUUGUUUUGUUGCUGUUUGUGCAGAAAAACUACACUUGGAGAUUUCCAGGUGCUGGUUAGCUGUUGUUAUGCUGCAAAAACAACACCAGGAAAUUUACCGGUACUGUUUUACUAAUGUUUGUGUAGAAAGACUUUAACUGUUGCUUUAUAUACCUAUAAUUUGUAUUUCAAUAUGAUCUCCAUUUUGCUUUUAUUGUUUAAUUUUUAAAAUGGGAAGAUUCCCUUGUAUUUUAUCUCAAAUGCAAUUUUGUCUAGUAAUCGUUCUUGGGAUUAUAUCUUCUUUUACUUGUUUUUAGGGUGCGGCUCUCAGUUUCAAGUACUACCAACAUUGUUUCCCUUCCAUGAAAGAAUCUGUAGUUUUACCCAGUUAUGAACUGAGUUAGCCAUUGGUUAUUAGCAGUUUCUGGACAAGGAGCAAGAAGAUACCAAUGAGGACCUGGAUUUCAGAAGCAAUUCUCUUAUUUUUCUUUUAUUUUAAAUCAUUAGCAUUUUCUUUUUCUCGUUUGGUUUCAGAUAUUGGUGGUAUUGGGUAGUGGGUUUGUUUCUCGAAUCAUCAUGAUACCAAAUGUAAUUGCAAACAGCAGGGUCUAAAAUUUAUACGACCUGAUGAUUUGUCCUAUAUUUUUUUACUGAUGUUUGCUUAAUUUUCUUUUCCUUUUUGUUUUUUUAAGUGAUCUCCAUAAUUAAUCAAGAACCAAAAUAUCAAGUUUGUUAAUCUUUUAAUUUAAUAGUAUUUUGAGAAUUAUUGGCUUCCAUCUUACAUUAAAAUAAUCCCUCAAUGAAAAAUCAUUGUUUUAGCAUUAAAUUUAAUUUUGCAAUAUGUAAAUUACCAGAAUAAAAUUUUCAAAAUUAAAAAUUUUUUGUUAGAAGAAUUAUAAUGUUAUAUUUUAUAUAUCUAAAAAUUAACCAAAAAAAGUUUGUGUAUUUUAAAGUUAUAAUAAAUGUACCAUUAAAAAAAUCUAUAUCUAUCGUAAAAUACGAUUUUAUGAAAUGAGUUAUUAUGAAAGCUUAUGGACAAAAUAGAAAAUAUUUUAGAAAUUAACAAGUAUUAUUUGAAAUUUUGGAAAAUAGGUUUGAUUGAGUUUCAUAAUGUUUUUAAUAAAAUUGUAAUUUUUGGGGCACAAACGGCGAACUGCUAACACUUAAAUUGGCUAAUUGAUUCCAAUUUGGAGAGUUUUCAGAAUUAAAAAGGCGAACCACUAACUUUAAAUGGCAAAACGACUACGGUUGGGUGAGUUUAUUGUAUGGUGUGCGUUGAUCAUCCCCGAUCCUCCGAGUAAGAAAAUGUGCUAGUUCUUCCAUGUAAUAAGAAACUUAGUGGUAUUUGGGUUGGGUUUUUAAAGCAUUUAAUGUCACCAUUAAUGAAAGGAUUUGGUUGGUUUCUGAGUUGGUGUACAAAUAAAUUAACUGCGCUCAUAUGUUACGUAGAGCUAAAUCGACUAGUCUGUAGUGAAAAGGCGGUUAGCCAUUUGGAGUUGCAUGCUCUCUGGAAUGAAAGAGGCUAGCCUCUUUGUAGGAAACAAGUAGCCCUUUUCACGCCAGAGAGCAUGUUUCUCGAAAAGGGCUAGCCGUUUCCCACGAAGAGGCUAGUCCUUUCACUUCGCAUGCUCUCUGGAAUGAAAAAGGCUAGCCUCUUCGUGGGAAACAGCUAACCCUUUUCACUCCAGAGAGUAUGUUUCCCGAAAAUGGUUAGCCAUUUCAAUAAAGAGGAUGGGCGUUUGGAGUUGUAUGCUUUCUGGAUUGAAAAAGGUUAGACGCGAUAAAGCAAACGGCUAGCCCUUUUUACUCCAAAAAGCAUUUUGAUCGAAAACGGCUAGCCGCUUAUUUUAAAGAGGCUAGCCGUUUUCGAUCCAGAAUCUGUUACAUUUGUAAUGGCUAGCCUCUUUAACAAAAUGGCUACCUGUCUCCCUCACUAUUCAACUUCAACCCACGACCACCUCUCUCACCGUCGCAUGAAAUUCACGGCUUCUUCAGCCAUUAACGAGAAAAUAUACAACUCCUCAUCAUUUUCCUUCAUUUACGCAUCUAAAUUUCAUUAGCUAAAUACUCUUUAACCCUAUUUCACCGAAAAACCCAAUUAAAAACCCUAGGUUCGGCCGAGGUUGUUUCUCUAAAAUUGAGUCCUUGUUCACUUCUUAUUGCUGAAAUUACUCACCCACAUUGAUUUUAAACCCAUUUGCGUGCUAUUUAAUUGGUUCAUCUUGACCCAAAACACAAUAUUUGUUAUUCAAAGAAAGAUUUUGGUUUCCAUGGCAGGUGGUGAAACUUCUCGGGGGAAGCAAGGGAAACUAAAGGAACAUUACAUCAUUAACUUGAAACAAGAGAUAAUUUUCAUGGCAGGACCAUUAACUUGAUACCUGGACCACUAAACUUGAAACCUAGGGCAAUAAACAUGAAACAUGAGAUCAUUAACUUGCAACCUGAAAAUCAUUUACUUAAUGGACUAAUAAAUAUGAAAUCAUGACCAUUAACUUGAUACAUCGGCUAUUAAACAUGAAACCAAAAGAACUUGAAACUUAGGGCAAUAGACAUGAAACAUGUUAUCAUUAACUUGCAACCGUGAAAAUCAUUUAAUUAACGAACUUGAAACUUAGGGCAAUAAACAUGAAACAUGAGAUCAUUAACUUGGAACCUUGAAAAUUAUUUAAUUAAUGGACCAAUAAAUAUGAAAUCAUGACCAUUAACUUGAUAUCUAGACCAUUAAAGGUGAAACCAAUGGAACUUGAAAAUAAUGGCAAUAGACAUGAAACAUGUUAUCAUUAACUUGCAACCAUGAAAAUCAUUUAAUUAAUGAACUUGAAACUUAGAGUAAUAGACAUGAAACAUGAGAUCAUUAACUUGCAACCAUGAAAAUCAUUUAAUUGAUGGACCAAUAAACAUCAAACUGUGACCAUUAACUUGAUACCUCGACCGUUAAACUUGAAAUCAAAGGAACUUGAAACUGAGGGCAAUCAACAUGAAACAUGAGAUCAUUAACUUGCAACCAUGAAAAUCAUUUAAUUAAUGGACCAAUAAACAUGAAACCUUGACCAUUAACUUGACACCUGAACCAUUAAACUUGAAACCAAAAGAACUUGAAACUUAGGACAAUAGAUAUGAAACAUAUUAUCAUUAACUUGCAACCAUGAAAAUUAUUUAAUUAAUGAACUUGAAACUUAAGGCAAUAAAUAUGAAACAUGAGAUCAUUAACUUGCAACCAUGAAAAUUAUUUAAUUAAUGGACCAAUAAAUAUGAAAACAUGCCCAAUAACUUGAUAUCGGGAACAUUAAACUUGAAACCAAUGAAACUUGAAACUAAGGGCAAUAAGCAUGAAACAUAAGAUCAUUAACUUGCAACCAUAAAAAUCAUUUAAUUAAUGGACCAAUAAACAUGAAACUAUGACUAUUAACUUGAUACCUCGGCCAUUAAACGUGAAAUUAAAGGAACUUGAAACUUAGGACGAUAAAUAUGAAACAUGUUAUCAUUGACUUACAAUCAUGAAAAUCAUUUAAUUAAUGAACUUGAAACUUAGCGCAAUAAACAUGAAAAAUGAGAUCAUUAACUUGCAACCAUGAAAAUUAUUUAAUUAAUGGGCCAAUAAACAUGAAACCAUGACCACUAACUUGAUACCUAAACCAUUAAACUUGAAACCAGUGAACUUAAAACUUAAGGUAAUAAACAUGAAACAUGAGAUCAUUAACUUGCAACCAUGAAAAUUAUUUAAUUAAUGGACCAAUAAAUAUGAAACCAUAACCAUUAACUUGAUACCUGAACCAUUAAACGUGAAACCAAAGGAACUUAAAACUUACGGCAAUAAACAUGAAACAUGUUAUCAUUAAUUUGCAACCAUGAAAAUCAUUUAAUUAAUGAACUUGAAACUGAGGGCAAUAAACAUGAAACAUGAGAUCAUUAACUCGCAACCAUGAAAAUCAUUUAAUUAAUGGACCAAUAAACAUGAAACCAUGGCCAUUAACUUGAUACCUGAACCAUUAAACUGGAAACCAAAGGAACUUGAAAUUUAUGGCAAUGAAUAUGAAACUUGAGAUCAUUAAUUUGCAACCAUGAAAAUAAUGAAAUUAAUGGACCAAUAAACAUGAAAUCAAAACCAUUAACUUGAUACCUAUACCAUUAAACUUGAAAUUCUUUUUUUAUUAUUAUAAAAAUAAUUUUUUAUUUUUAUGUGUCCUUUAAUAUUAAAAUAAUAAUUAUUUUAUUAUUAUUUUAUUUAUUAUAAUUGAAUAUUAUUAUAUUUAUUAUUAUUUAAUUCAUUUAAGGGGCAAAAACCGGUUGCUCCCAGUUUUUUUUUUUUUUUCCAUUGCUCUAUUUUCUUUCUUUUUUUAUUGCUUGCAUGUAUCACAUACAUGCAUGUACUGUAGCCGUGCCCAGUAUUUGGUUGUUACAGAUGCAAGGUUGUUGCUGUGUAAUUGUCAUUUGAGCUUAGAACCUUUGAGCUUAGAACCUUUAAAGUGUAUCAUACGUUUCUGUUACUUCUAAUACAAAUUUUCUCUAUUCCUUUUUCUUUCACUUUCUCUUCCAUUUUCAUGAUCGCCAAACACCAUCAAUCCAUGAUUUUCUAGAGUAUUAGCCGUCUAUUUCUACAUACAUAGAAUCAUUGUUUUAAGAAAUAAAGUACUCUGUCCUGUCCCCGUGGUCUCCUCGUUUAUUGACUUCUGAACUAGGCUAAAUAAAGGGCAAAUAAGAUAUUAGACCAGUGGGCCUAACGUGACAAGUUCUGGAAUUGUUUGCCUCUUUCUUUUCUCCACAAAUCUUUGGUUAAUUUUUAUGUUCCCUCAACUUUUUUCCCCUUUAGCACUAGAAUUCAUUUUUGAUACUUUAUGCAAAAAUUAUGAGGAAAAUGAGUCACUUUAGAACAUCAAUAAAUUUUUUUUACAUCCAAGAUAAAGACAAUUACACUUAGAUCACUCUUAUUUAGUUGAAUUAUAUGUAAUAAAAUUAGUUCAACAAAAUCUAACCCGUCAAUAUUCCAUAUCAUAUGAUUAACGUAUUUAAAAAAUCUUUAUUGUUCGGUCGCUUGUUUUAUAAUUCUUUUAUAUAAUAUCUUUGAAACUCAUCAUAUUGUUCUCAAUUCGUCUAAAUUAUUUUUUUCUUCAAACACUGCGGCAACAACCGGUAUAAAAUAGAAUGAACUCAAUUAAUGGAACUUUUUCUAGAUGCUUUCAUGGCAGAAUCUCAUUGGUCUAUUUCUCUUCGCACCCUAGGUUCCUCUAACAAACCUGCCUCUUAACUCUCAUGUCCGAAUUUAAACUUAAAAGAUGUUCCCCAUCCCACGUGUCCCCGAAUCUUCGUAUUUCCAAACAAACCCCUGCCAAAUUGAGAAGAGGAUGAUUCCUACAAAGCCACGUAAGUCAAGUGAUAGGAUGGCUUUUAUUACAAACUGUAUGAACGUUAUGGCCAUGGGACAUUGGAUAAAGCCAAUGGAAUGAAAAGCAAAAUUACCGACUAGACUAAAAUGAAAAUCCAACCAAUUGAAUCGGUUCAGUGUCACUGUAUAUAUAUAUAUAUAUAUAUAUAUAUAACACAACACAACUAUCAUAUUAACGAGGCACUGUUAAAUUCAUUCCGUGAAUAUUUUUCUUUCUUUUCAAUGAAUGUUUAAUAUGACAAACAAUUUGUCCCAUUGAGCACUGUUUUAGUCAUCAAUGAAAAUGAAUACUUCUAUAACAAAACAAUAAUUCCCUUGUUUAUUUGACACGCAAAGAAUUUUCUUGCUCAGCUCGGCGGCCAAUCCUUUAAAAUUUGUUGAAAUUCAGUUAAUUGAUGAACGAGACAUAACCGGUAAAUCGUUUAAUUUGUAUAAUUGAUAAAAAUUUGAACUUCAAAUGAUAUAGAUAGAAUGAUUAAUUUUUUUAAUAUUUAGAUAAUUGAUAUAUGUCAUGUUACUAUGAGUAAAAGAAUCAAGUGUCUGAUAGAAAACACAAUGUUUAUAUUUGUAUUAAAAAUUUUAAGUGCGAAUCUAUUUAGUGUAAGUUAGACAUAAAAAUAGUUACCAACUUGUCUUGUUUCUCAUUUUGUUUAAUUUUCCUAAUUUGAAUAACGAUUAAUUACGAGUCAAGGGUUUAUUAGAAAAAUAUGGUCUUCCAUUUACUAUAAAAUUAUGAAUACUUUGGCAAAUAAGAUAAUUAUAAACACCAUUUUUGAAAAUUCAUGGCCAUGGUUGUGAUGUGUCUUUAUCAAUCACACAUACAAAAGUUAAUCAAAAUUAUCGAUUGUUUUAAAUUCUGUUUUUAACAGAGCAUGAAGAUGUCAAUUAUCUAGAUUUACUUUUUAUGCUUUGACUUCACUUAAUACAGGUUCUUCCUCCUUUAUCUGUAUGCCAUGCCGGCAAGUGUAUUGUACAGAUUUCUAGAGUAUUACCUGUCUAUUUUUUUCACCGAUGACGAAGCUAAUUAUUAGUAAUCAAUCUAAAGUCUACCUAUAAAUACAAUAGGUUGCUUAGGUGGCACCAAUAUCCUAACUUUAUGCCAUGUUUCUGGUGUGUCUUCACAAAUUCACCGAUACAAAUUAAUUUCCACCAAUAUUACCAAAUGAUUGUAUUUUACGUUUCUAUUUACUUGUAAUAAAGAUCUUCAAUUUUAUUGGUUACAAAAUUCUCUAGGAUUGCAUGUACAUUAUACUUUUAUAUACAUAUUUUCUUCUUUCUCAUUCGUUUUCUGGGUGAACAUAUUAUUUUCGUCAUCAUCUCUAUAACAAUGAAGUGAAAAUAGUCCUCAUUUAAAGUAUUGACAGCAAUGUUAUACUCAAUAUAACGCAUAAAGCACGCAUAAUUUAAUUAAUGGGGUAGCUGCUAGUACCUUCUUUAGAAGAGAAUUAUUGCAGCAAGGUAAUUGGAAGCUCAAAGAGUUUCCGUAUUAGCCGAAUCUAAGCGAUAAGUGUUUCCAUGUGAGCCAUAAUUUGGGAAAAAGACCAAUUCGAGUUAAAGAUCAGAAAACAGACACUGUCAACAAGCAUUAAUAUCAUUUGAUGCAUGAAAGACAGUUAGUCCCAUUUUUUUGUCCGGUUUACUUGAGUUGGGCAAUUUGCCGUCAACUUUUCUCAUCCACGUCAGGUAAUGUGGCUUUUAUUUGGUAUGAAAAAGCCAAUGCUUUACGAUAAAACUGUCACACACAUAUUAUCCAUCUGUAAUGUUCAAAUGACACUGAAGUAUUACCUAAAUUAGGCUUUCAAAAAUUCAUUUUCAAAAACCCAUGGUUGUGAUGUGUCUCUAUAAAUUAAGAUCUAUCUGUUACCUACUGUUUUAACUCUGUUCUGAACAGAGCUUGAAAGGGUACAUUCACUCUUUUAAAACAAUUGUACUAUAUGUUCUGAACAGAGCUUGAAAGGAUUAGCAAUAACUACUGUUUUAUCCCUCUUUUUAAAACAAUUGUUCACUAGCUGCACUCAGUUGACAGAAUAUUUUGGGAUUCAAGACUGUUGGUUGUUACGGAUGCAACUUGCAAGGCUGUUGCCAUGCUGGCAAGUGUGCUGGAAAAUCAUGAGUUUGAUGAUGAAGAGGACGAAAAAUAUUAUUUUAUUAUUUAAAAUAAGACUAUCAAUUAUUUCCAUGGUCAUCUUUUUUUUUUUUAAUUAAUUGGCCUAAAUAUUGUAUUUUUUGUCAGGAGUCUUGCAAUGUUGCGUAGCACCGUAAGUAAGAAGAACUAGUGAACUUUAAAGCAUCAUAAAAUUGUUUCAACAUAAGUAAUUAGUUUGAAAAAUUGCCAAUAAUGUUUAAAGUAGGAACGAAAAGGUUAUACUAUAUGAGACACGAUAUUAUUUAAGACAGCUUACAAAUUAUGGGAAAUGUAUUGAUCUUACAAAUAAUAUUUAAUAAGUACAAAUUUCAAAUUAAAUAAUAAACCUUAAUUUCCUUUUAAUCAUAAUUAUGAUCUUAAUAAUUAAAGUCAUUCAAUCUUAAUCACUUUUUCAUUUUUUUAAACUACCUAAAUGACGUUGAAACUUCUAAUCAACAUUAAUUUUUUUGAAUGUUCUGUUUCAAAAUAAUUGAAAACUAUAAAUGAAACAAAUGCUUGCAAUCACAAAAGGCCUAAAAUGGGAUUUUUAUUUUUUAAUAUUGCAAUGACUUUGAUCUUGAUAUUGGAAUUUAUUUGUAACUUAUACUAAGUCUUCAAUUUUAUCAAAAUUAGUUUCUAAAGAUGCAUUUGCCAUACUGUGUAGUUGUAUUGUAUGAUGAUAUAUUACAUUAGGGUGCAUUGUAUUGAGCUGUAAUGCAAUACUAUUUUAUAUUAAUGUUAAAACUAAAUCAACCUUAUUUAAAUUUAUUAAUAUUUUAGGUUUUUAUUAGUAAUAUCUGAAAUUAAGUAUUAAAUAAUUAUUUUUAUAAUAUACAAAUUAUUUAAUAAUAUUCUACUAUUAAAUAAUAAAAUAUUACAAUAUUAUGUUAUAUUAUUAACAAUUAUUCUGUUAUAAUAUAAUUUAUUUUUAUAUAUUAGUUAUUAUAAUUUAUUAUAAUCAUAUUAUAAUAAUAUUAUAUUGUAAAAAUAUAAUACUAUAUAAUUGUAUAACAGAAUAUGAAUUAAUUUAUAAUUUAACAAUAAAUUAUAAAUUUAUUUUAUUUAUUAAUGUCAAAUAUAAUUGUACAGGUGUAGAAUUAUGAGGAGGAGGUGGAGAAAGAAUUUGAGCGUCGAAUAGGAUCUACAUGUACUCUUAAGAUGAAUCUGAUGGCGAUGGUGCUCCUUCAGCUGAGUAUGCUGAUGAUGAAUUAGAACAUGACAUAUAAUUAGAAGAAGAAGAUGAAGAGGAAGAAGUUUAUGAACAAGAGGAGAGAAACGAUAGGACAGUUAAAGUCGUUGGCUGCAGACUAUUAGAAGGUUGUUACAGAUGUAACGCUGUUGCUGUGUAACAGUAUGCCAUGCUGGCAAGUUUGCUAUAACAGAUUGCCAAGCUGGCACUAAUUAUUUUAAACUAAUAUUAGUAAUUAGUCUAGAGUGCUCUAAUUUAUUUUAUUCUAUAAAUAGCUCAUUUGAGCUUUGAACCUGUAACGUGUACUGUACUUUUCUAUUACUUCUAAUAAAGAUUUUCUCUAUUCUUUUUUCUUUCACUUUCUCUUCCAUUUUCCCGACCCUCAAACAGCGUCAAUCCUUGAUUUUCUACAGUAUUAGCUGCCUGUUUCUAUAAACAUAGAACUGGUCGUUUUAAAGGGCAAAUAAGAUGUUGGGCCAAUGGGCCCAACGUCACAGAUCUUGAAUUGAUUGUCUCUUCUUUUCUCCAUAAAUCUUCACUUAAUUUUUAUGCUCCCUCAACUUUUUUCCCCUUUUUGUGCUAAAUUUAUUUUUUUGAUACUUUAUGCAAAAAUUAUGAUGAAAAUUAAUUAGUUUAGAACAUCAAUAAAUUUUUGUUACAUUCAAGAUAAGGACAAUUACACUUAGAUCACUCUUAUUUAGUUGAAUUAUAGGUAAUAAAAUUGGUUUUAACAAAAUAUGAUUCUUAACCCUCGUAAUUAAAGGCUCGUGUUAUUUAGUUUAGUUAUAACACCAUGCAACAGGUCGUCUUGGUGGGUUCAAAUUAAUAUACGAUCAUUCUCAAUUUUUAAUAGUUCGUAAUUACAAAGUCCUAUAUCACAAUUAAAAUUUGCAAACAUGUCAAAGUAAGUUAAAUCAAAAUCUAUAAAUUUGAGGUCUACUACAAACUUCUGACAAAUUAAAAUUUAAAAUGAUUAAUUAAAUGCUAGACAAAAUUUAGCUUAUAAAUGUUCCCGACCACAUGAUGAAUGUACUUAAAACAUCCUAAUUCGUCACUAAUUGAUUGGUUGUUAUUUUUUCAAUUUCUUUUUAUAUAUCUUUGAAACUUCUAGUUUCGUUACAUGUUAUUCUCAAUUCGUGUAAAUUAUUAUUUUUAAAUAUUAGAGCAACAACCAGUAUAAAAAUAAAAUGCACUCAUCUAAUGGAAAUUUUUCUAGAUGCUUCAAUGGCAGAAUCUCAUUGGUCUAUAACUCUCACACCUUAGAUUCAAGAUUCAAUUUCAAACCAACGCCGAACAAACAGUUUAAACCUUAAUAAGUCUGUGGCUGUAGCCCAACAAACCUACUUCCGGCUCACCGAAUAAUCAUCUCUUACGUCGGAAUUUAAACUUAAACAAAGCUGCGUCCCACAUGUCCCCAACUUUCUUCAUAUUUCCAUAAAACCCCUACCAGAUCCAGAUAAUUACCUUCACUCUUCUCGUAUAAAUAGAGAAGACAACGAUUCCCGCAAAGCCAGGUGAGUCACGUGAACGUUACGGCCAUGGGACAUACGGUUCUCAAUUGGUCUAAUUAUACUGUAAAUUGUUUUUUAAAUAUAAAUAAAAUGAAUUUAUUUAAUGGAAAUUUGAAAAAGGGACACUUAUCUACGAAAGCAAAGUUGCAUUCUCUUUGUGGGGACCCUAAAAAAAAAAAAAAAGAGAGCCAGAAUGAUACACCGAUGACGAUAAUCCUUAAGCUUAAGCAUUAAUUUUCUUUGCUUACAAUUUGGUUUGAAGGGUUAAGUUCAAGUUCGAAUUGGUACACUGAUGAUGAUGAUGAUGAAGAGGGGGAUGUCUUUGAGGAUGAAGAGAAAGAAAGUUCUAAAAAAAAAAUACAGCUUUGUGGAAAUUAAAUUAAAAGCAACUAAUUAAGCAUUAUAAAUUACUUAACAGAGUAAUGCUGAGCUAAUUAAAUUUGUUUUUGAAGAAGGUAUCUUUAAAUCUCUUGGAGUUAAAGAUAAAUAUCAUAUCACCAUAUCAAGCGGACCAAUUAAAAAAUAAAUUUAAAUAUUAUUUAAAAUCAUUUAAAUUUAACUUAAUAUAAUUCAAUCUAAUAUUGUACCAAACAUGCACAAUACUAUAUAUAAUCCAGUCUAAUCAAAUUCAAUCUUAAUAAAUAAUACAAUCCAAUCUUGCGAGACAAAAUUGGCCUAAGGGUACCAAUUGCGCAAUAAUCUUUGUAGCCCGUUUCCCAGCCACGCACCCUUUUGUAUUAGUAUUCUCACAGCCAUUGGAAUUAUGGCUCGUAAUCCAAUAAAUGACAUUAUAUGGCUGUUGCUUGCUAGUUUUUGUAAGGUGGCCAAGGCCUUUUAUCAAACACUAUAGGAUCAACAAGUACAAAAUGAAUUCAUUUGGGAUGAAUUAUGAUGUAUUGCAUUAACAUGCAUUAUAUUAAGUUAUAAUGUUAUAUUUUGAUAUAGUAUAAAUUGUAUUAUAUAAGGUAAUGUUUUAUAUUAAUGUUAAAACUAAAUUAAUAUUAUUUAAAUUUAUUAAUAUUUUAGGAUUUUAUUAUUAAUUUUUUAAUUAAGUAUUAAAAAUUAUUUUAUAGUAUAGAAAAAUUAUUUUAUAGUAUAUAGACUAUUAUUAAAUGAUAAAAUAUUAAAGUACUAUGUUAUAGACUAUUAUUAAAUAAUAAAAUAUUAAAGUACUAUGUUAUAUUAUUAAAAAUUAUUAUAUUAUAAUAUAAUUUAUUUCUAGAUAUUAAUUAUUAUAAUAUAGUAUAAUCAUAUAAUAAUAUAAUAUAAGUUAAUAUUAUAUUGUAAAAAUAUAAUACUGUACAAUUAUUUAAUAUAACGUAAAUUAAUUUAUAAUAUAAUAUUAAAUUAUAAAUUUAUUAAAUUAAAUUAAAAUACUUUUUAUGUAUUUAAAGUAAAAUAAUUAAAAUAAUUUAUGUAAUAGAAGUAUGAUAAUGUAUUAUCAUUUUCUCAUUAAAUAUUUUAGGUUUAUUAAUUUGUUAAAUUAUUAUUGAAAUUAAAAUUAAUUUUUUAAAUGUAAAUAUAAAUAUAAAUGAAUGUUUAAUAAAAUCUACUCCUAGGGAUCUAUUUUAUACACUUUUUAUUCUCUAAAUCACGCAUAAUGUAGUUGUAUAAUAGAAACUGGAUAUUUAAUGGAAGCAAAAUUGCGCACGGUUUGUGGGUCUGUCAAAAUAUGAUAAAAAGACCAACAUGAUACACUGACUCUGUCCUCUUUAAUAUUUUUCUAGAUGCUUCCGUGGCAUAAUCUCAUUGGUCCAUUUUACUUCACGGCUUAGAUUCAACUUCAAAAAUCAAUUUGAAGCACACACAACAAUUCAACAAAUAUAAUAAGCGUCGAUAAACUUGUAGCUGACUGGCUGUGGCCAAGCAAAAAUGUACCUCAUGGUUACCGAAGGGUAAUUAUUAGAAAUCUCCCCUAAGGUUUGGCGUAUUUUCAGUUUGAUAGAUUGUAUUCGUGUAUUUUCAAAAACCUCCCCUGACAUUGAUAUACUGUUAAUUUGACCGUUUGUUGCAUGAUAAAAUGACAAAUAUAACCCUAAUUCAAAAAAGGGUAAUUAUCAUAAAAUUCUGUUGUAGCCUUAUAGGAAUAGAAUUUAAAAUUCUGUUGCAUCUCCUGUACCAAAUACUAAUUUGCUGGCUAUAUAUAUGGGAAAUGGCAGCUUCAUCAUCUCAUUUCUUUGACGUGAGUAGUGUAACAUUAUCUAAAUUCAAAAGUAUUUCUAUCACUUGUGUAAAAAACAACCUACUAAAAAAAAAACAAAAUCUUCACCAAGAUUGAAAGAAGUUUGAUGAAGAAAGCUAAGCAAUGAGGCAAAGUGCAAAAAGCUUCCUUCUAAUUCUGCGAUAUUUGACUCAAAUCUUUUCUUUGUUUCAUUCAUCAAAGUCAUUUUGGAAAGUAACAGGGAUGAUUUGGUAUUUUCAUUCCUUGGUGCCAGAACAAACAUGCUAGUACGAACCAACAAUUUUUUAUUUUCAGUAUACAAACUAUGUUUUUUGAAUUAGGGGAGGCAUCUGAAUUAUCCUCACCAACCAAAUUAUACGAAACGGUAUACUAAUGUUAGGGGAGGCAUCUGAAAAUAGGUGAAUACAAUCUAUCAAACUGAGAAUAUGCUAAACUUCAGGGGAGGUUUAUGAUAAUUACCCGGUUACCGAAUCAUAUCUUACGUCAGAAUUUUGAACUUAAACAAUGUUCUCAUUCCACGUGUCACUCUCUAACCAGUCCCCAAACUUUUAUCAUAUUUCCAAAGAAACCCCUACCAAAUCAAGGUAAUUACCGUCACUCGGCUCAAAUGAAUAGUCUCCUCGAUUCAACUGAUGACGACAUAUCCUCAUAGCCUUUAUUUAGAAGGGGAAAUUAUAAAAAAAUCCCCUCGUUCUCUAAAAAUAUGGGGUUUCUCAAGAAUAGCUAAACCUACAUCCCAAUCCUGAAAAAUCUCAAUUUAACCUCUCUAGGGUUUCGAUUGUUGAUGAUUCGCUUCAAAAUUUUGUAUUCUUUUAGUGGAUUUUGCUUGUCUCGUAUCCUUCAAUUGUUAGUUCAGUUCUGAUAAUAAUUUCGAAAUUUUUUAUACAAUAUAAAUUAAUUUAAAUUAAAAUUGAUAGAACAAUUGGGCGGUUAAUAAUUAAUUGAUGGCUAGUGAUACUACAACGGCGCCCGCGCCCGCAGCUCCGGAAAAAGCGGAGGCGGUGGAGGAGUAUGAUAGCAAUCCAGAUGAAGUGAAACGCUGUCUUGCGACGCGCAGAAGGGAAGCCAGCGAUGACGAGGACGUGGAGGACGUGGUGGAGGAGUACGAGAGCGAUCCAGAUGAAGUGAAACACUCUCUCGUGAUGCGCAGAAUGGAAGCAAGCGAUGAUAAGGAGGAGGAGGAUAAAGAAUUCGAGCGUCGAAUGAACCGUAGGGUCCACAUUCAUUAUUACGAUGAAUCUGAUGGCCAAGGUGGUGUCCUGCUGAGAAUGAUGAUGAUCAUCUCUCUCGACCAGUUCAGGUUCAAGGGAAGGGUGCUCGAGGGGUACUUGUCUUGUUUAUCAUUUUUGUUUAAUUUUCAUAAAUUCAACGACCCACAAUUCAAUUAUGAGUGAAGAAUUUGUUAAAAAAAUGUGGUCUUCCAUUUACUAUAACUAAGUCCGUGUGAUGUAAUUAUUUUUCUGUCACUUAAUGUCUUGAAAAUUAUGAAUACAUUGUAGGAUUUAGAAGGAUUUUAAGUUUUAAUGCAUAUGGGUUUUUUAUGUCCGUCCACUUAUGCGUAUACUGCAUUUUAUGAUUAUCGUAGUUGGUAGAUUGACAAAUGGACCUUAAUUACAAGUCAAAUAACCUAAAUACUUAUCGGCCAAAGGAAACCAUUUAUAGUACUUUCUAGUGAAGCAAAGUAAAAUGAUUCAUACUGGCAAAGAAAAUUAGAAAGAAAAGGAGGAUUACUGAUCCACACAGUGUCGUUUACUAAAAGUACGUUGAUCUUACACUUAAUUUAUUAUAUAUCCAUUUAUAAUGUUCAAAAUGAUAAUGUACUAUUUCUUAAAUUAGGCUUUCAAAACAUCAUUUUGAUAAUGCAUAGUUGUAAUGUGUCUCUAAAUUCAGUAAUACAAGUUAUUUCUGUUACUAAUGGAUGAAGUGACUUGAAACUUGCGUGGUCAUUAAAUGCUGGCAUAAUCUCUUUGACUUCUCUUGCAUUUGAAUGAAUGGAUGAGCGUUGCAUUUGAAUGAAUGGAUCAGUGUUAAUGCAGGCAAAGAUUUUCUGGACUUUCAUGGAUGCACAAUAAAUGCUACGUCAAAGGCCUGGUAAGAUGUCAGCAAGCUGGUCGAAGAUAUCAACCUGAUUUGGUGGCUGCAAGAUUUGUUCAUCCAGGACCGUUUUCUUUGACAAUGAGAAAGCCCCAAUGUCUAUAAAUUGAGAACUCACUGAAUUGUAGAGAGAGAGAGGAAAGUGAAUAACGGGAGAGGCAGUGAAAAGAGAGUGUGGGAAGAUUUGGGCGUAAUUGGGGUUUGGGUGUGAGAUAAAAUAAUCAGAGAGUGGUUGUAAUAAUUUUUUAUACGGUGAAAUUUUUUUGUCUCGUUGUUUUUUGCAGUGGUGGUUUUUUACUCUAAUAAAAUAGUCUUCCAAGUAAAUUUUGUGUGUUAUGAUUGGGAUAUUCACCAUUUUAGUUUUCUAUUUAUUAUUUGUUUUACAUAUUGCUAGCAAAAAUCUGGGGCGGGAACCGAAAAUUCCCAACAAUUAUUAAUUAUUUUAAACUCUGUUCUGAACAGAGCAUGAAGGGUUUCACUUACCUAGUUACGUUUUUCAUUCUUUCACUUCACUUGAUUUCAUCACAAGGAUCAUAUUCUGGCUAACGAAGGAGCAAAGUUCAUUGGCUGCACUCAUGUGUAGCAGAGUAUUUGGAUUCAAGACUGUUAGAAGGUCGUUACAGAGUAUUUGGAUUCACUCUCCAAUUUUCAUUAAUUUAGUGUAGAUAACGUGGUCAUGAAAACUUGAUUAAGAGUUUAAUGCAAUCAAAUCUACUUUAAUGAUUAUUUAAUGCACGGAGAUUUAACAUCAAUUAUCAUCACGUUAGUCUAACAACGAAAUUGCAGAGCUUGGAUCUUUACUCGAACAGUUUCACUGGCUCUAUUUCUGACACAUUGGGCAAGCUGAUGGAAUUGCAAUUCCUGUAUGAUCAUUUCCCCAACUAUUAUUUGAAUAAUUAUUUAAUGCCGUUCAUUCCAGCUCUGUUUGGCUGUUAACUUUAUUUAGUUAUAUAUGAGGAGAUUCAUUUCUCACCUGAAGCUAGAAAUUUACGGAUCAAUGACUUUUUAUUUUUUCUUUUAUAUGAUAGCUUGCAAUCCCUGGUGUGUGUUGAUAGAGCCUUACAUGAUUACAAAAAUGAAUUUUUUUUUGGGGGCCAAUUGCAGUUUUGAUAACAACUAAAAUCUGUGUGGCCCAGUUACCACAAAGCCUUGCUCCAGAUCCCUGCCAUUUUCUCCUCCACCUCCAUUUGGGGAAAUUACCACUUACUUUUUGCAAGUUUUUCGUGAAAUAUUUAUUUUGAGAAGAAAACCAACAAUACAUUUUAUGAUUUGGGCUGUUUCAAAGAUCUUCGCUUGAUGUCUCUGCUACUGGUUUUCAGCAGAGUGCCCAAAAAUAAUCAGUGCACGCACUAUAGGCUCUAUUAUUAUCAGUAAAAAGCAUUAAUGAUAUAUUGGGAUCGACUUUUUUAUUUGGGAGUGGAAGGAUGCUUGAAAGAGUAGAGUGGUGCAUCUUGUUCAAACAUGCACCGUAGAGAAAUUAGUUUAGGCUCUAACCAUUGUUAUAGUAGAGAAAAAGAAAAUUAAUCAAGAGUAAUUUUAUGACUUUUUAGAAAAUAGUGAAUUAAAAUAAUAAGUUAUAAUUUCAUAAUUAUCUUAAUUAAAAAAAUGGGGGUUUGAAAUAAAAUUAGUGAAUUUAAAUAGCCUGCCCAAAAUCCAAACUUGCAUAUCAAUUAUUUUCUAAUUUACAUAAAGUUUUUCUAUAUGUUUGAUAACAUUUGAUUCUCAAUUGGUCUAAUGGAGAAACAACCAGCAAAAAAAUAAAAUGAAUGCAAUUAAAUGGAAAUUUGAAAAGAGCAGUAGAUGACAUUUAUGUGCAAGCAAAAUGCAAAAUUGCAUUCUGUUUGUGGGAUCCUGGAAAAAAUAAAAGAAAGGAAACAGAGUAAGACGCUGGUACUGUGGGCUUUAAUAUUUUUCUAGAUGCUUCAAUGGCAGAUUCUCGUUGGUUCAUUUUUCUUUACGCCUUAGAUUCUAUGAUUCAAUUUCAAUCAAAUACGACAAACAAAAGAAGCUUUUAAGCCUGCAGCUCAAAAAGAUGGCACUUUAAUUUUCGGCUGAACAUACAAAUGGCAAGAUUAUUAUUAUUGAGCUUGAUAAGUGGGAUAGCAAAAUCCGAAUUCGGAUGUGGGUGUAUUUGGAUUUGGAUCCGGAAAAAAAUAUGUAGAUGUGGAUUCGGAUGCGGGUAAUAUCUGCACGGAUUGCGGGUGAAUAUUCCGGAUAUUCAGAUCCGCAUAAUAAUAAAUUUGAUUUUAAUUUUAAAUUUAAUAAUUUACAUAAUAAUAUUAAAUAAAAUUCAAUUAUAAUUUAACAAUCAAUAAUUUAACAUCAAUUCAACAUAAAUAACAUACAACAACACCAUAAAUUCACAAACAAUAAUUUCACAAUAUAAAUCAAACAUAAAAAAUAAAAAAUAAUCUAUGGUAAACCGAUUUAUUAUAAUAUUCUCUAAUUAUUAUUAUUAUUUGUUUUUUAAUAUAUUCAUAGUUAAUGAAGAUUAUAGAGUUAAUUAUGCUUAUAAAUUUAAAUAAAUAAUUUAAUUUAUAUAUUUUCAAUUAAAAUUUAAUUACAUAAAUAAUUUAAUUAUAAAAUAAUUGAUAAGUGCAUAUUUUCCACAUAUUUUGCUUUUAAUUUCUCCAUCUUUUUCUUAUUUUGAUCUUAAAUAUUCUAGUUAUUUUAGUUAAUUUUUAAUUUAAUAGGGAAUUAAUUAAUAUACAUAUUUUAUUUUUUUAUAUAUUUGCUAGUUAUUUUUAUUUCUUAUUUUUAAUUCAUUGUAUUAUUUUAUUGAAUAGGAAAUUAAUUGGAGAUUGUGGAUAAUAAAAAGGCAUGAAGAAAUUCAAAUUGAGAAGGAAUGAAGAUUAAAUUGGAAGACAAAAAUCAAAGCAAUUAAUCCAAUUGAGAAAUGUUGAAUAAUUAAAAGAUUUAAUUUUUUCCAAUUGGCAAAUUGGAGUACACGUUCAUGGCAUUGCAAAAGUGGAAAGCAUUUAAACGGGCCCACAAUUGACUUUCAAAAGUUGGAAUUAAUGGCUUUGGGUGGCGUUAAAUUGGAAAAGGAUUUCAAUUAGAAUUGAAAAAGGAUUUCUUUGGAUUUGUUGGAGAAGAAUUCGGUCAACUAGCAUUAUAAAAAGAGAGCAGCUGCUGGACGGAAGAAAAAAAAAAGACAGGAGAGAGAGCAGGGGCUGAUCCAAUUCGGCAAGAAGAAGAAAAAAAUCAGCAGCCGGAAUUCAAUUGAAGAAAAACGCUGCCGCUUGAAUUAAUCUCCAUGAUUGGUUUUGUCAAUUCUCUUAUUCUCAAUUCAAUUAUGUUAGGCUAAAUUUUUAUUUGGUUGAGGGUGAAUUCAAAACCCUAAACAUGCUAUGCAAUUAAAUUUAAAUUCUAUCAUUCAAUUUAUUUAAUUGAGAUUGUCUAUAAUUAAUUUUCAUGGUUUAUUCUUGUUUUAUUUAAGUGGCCAAUUAGAUAGGACUUGAAUAAAUUUUAUUGCUAGAUUAAAAUUCUUGAUCCGUAAUUGUCUUGAUAUUUUAAUCAUUAGUAGCAGGUUGGAAUCAGUGAUUUCAAUUGAAGAACAUAACCUAGGUUAAAUAAUCCGAGCUUGUGUGUUUAUUGCCUAGAUCAACCUAAUAUCUUUCUCUGUUUAAUGCUUCCAUUAUCUUAAAUUUAAAGAGCUUGUUUUAAAUUAUUUAAUGGUUAGAGAUUAUGUGAAGAGCUUAUUUUGCCUAACGACACACUAAGGAAAGAUUGAGACUAACAGAGCUUAUUGUUGUCUACGGUUGAUAGUUUUAAUAUAAAUUGAUGGUAGAAUUGAUAUAUUAUGUGCAUGUUUGGUGGUGGCGAAUGAUCCUUUAACCAAAGUUUUCAUCAUUAUUAUUUCCUUCUCAUUUAAUUAGAGUUUUUAUUAAAUUCUUGUUCGUAGUUUUAAUUUCUUUAUUUCUUACUAUUUAGUUAAAAAUUCAUAAACCCCCAUUUUAUUUAUAAUUGGCAUUUUCUUUAGUUAGAUUAAUUUAUAUUAUUAUUACUAUUAUUAUUAUUACUAUUAUUUUAUUUUAAAUCUUGCUUUGGAGUUAAUAAUAAAUAUAACUAGCAUAGUCUCUGUGCGAUCGAUCCUUACUCGCUCUGUACUAAUUAUUUAUAUUAGUGGUAAGGUUUUAAAUUUGGUGCACCUUAACGACACUACCAAAUUUUUGGCGCCGUUGCCGGGGACUAGCGUCUAGUUUGUUUAUUAUCACUCGUUUUAUUUUUAUUUUUUUUUAUUUCUUUUCUCAUUUUAUUUAUUUAUUUUAUUUUAAUUAGUUAAUUUUUGUUCUAUAUUUAGAUUUUCAUGAGCAUAGAGGACAUUCGAUUGAAACUCGAACAACUUAGAGCAACCUCAUCAUAUUCAGAACUCGAUUUUGCCAUCCACAUUCCACUCCCGAAGACAGAACCAAGCAGCCCAGAACCCGAACCAAUGGCUCAGAAUAACAACCGAACACUUAAAGAGUUGGCAGCUCCUAACUUGGACCAGCAACCCUUAUGCAUUGAGAAUCCAAACCCUCAGGUAAACUUUGAACUCAAAUCUGGGAUGAUUCAUCUUCUUCCUACUUUUCAUGGUCUUGCAGGAGAGGAUCCAAAUAAGCACUUGAAGGAGUUCCAUGUGGUCUGCUCCACAAUGAAACCAGCCGGAGUUUCUGAAGAGCAAGUUAAGCUAAUGGCCUUCCCAUUCUCUUUGGCGGAUUCAGCCAAGGAAUGGUUGUACUAUCUUCCCUCCGGUACUAUCACUACAUGGAAUGAGAUGCGUCAGCUAUUUUUGGAGAAAUAUUUCCCAACAUCAAAAGCUGGCAGCAUUCGAAAAGAAAUUUGUGGAAUCCGACAGUAUAAUGGAGAGUCGCUCUACGACUAUUGGGAACGAUUCAAAAAGCUAUGUGCUAGUUGCCCUCACCAUCAGAUAAGUGAUCAACUUCUUAUUCAAUACUUUUAUGAGGGUCUACUACCUAUGGAUAGGAGUAUGAUUGAUGCCGCUAGUGGAGGAGCACUCGUGGAUAAGACACCAGAAGCAGCCCGAAAUCUCAUUGCUAACAUGGCUGCUAAUUCCCAACAGUUCAACACUAGGAACGAUCUACUGCCGCCACCUAAGCGAGUCAAUGAGGUAAGUACUACUUCUCUAGAAAAACAAGUUUCAAAUCUUACUUCUUUGGUGCAACAAUUAGCUCUAGGGCAACAAAUGAGACCGUGUGGCGUAUGUUCUAUGGUCGGGCAUGCAACUGAUAUGUGCCCUACUCUCCAAGAGGGUUCACAUGAGCAGACCAACGCAGUUGAGGGGUUCCUAGGCCAAUCAAGACAAAGGUAUAAUCCAUAUUCUAAUUUUUACAAUGAAGGGUGGAAGGAUCACCCUAAUUUUAGGUAUGGGAACCAACAACAAGGCAUUCCUAAUGUGGCACCAUCUCGACCACCGGGCUACCCCCAACAGCGGGUGCAACAACCUUAUCAAGAUCGGUCACCUCCACCUUCUCAAAAUCAAGGUACGUCUUUGGAAGAUCUUGUAAAAGCUCUCGCUACUAACUCUAUGCAAUUCCAACAGACUACCCAGACACAGCUCCAACAUUUAGAGAAUCAAAUUGGCCAAUUGGCCACAUCUAUGAGUAGGAUAGAGGCUAGAACUUCAGGAAAGCUACCUUCUCAACCAUAAAUUAAUCCAAAGGAGAAUGCUAGUGCUAUGUCUCUUAGGAGCGGAAAGCAAUUGGAACCAUUAUUAGCUAAGCCAUCAAAAGUGUCCACAACAUCAUCGCCCUCUGUGACAAUUCCUCCCCUGAGGCUCUUCCUUUAACAAGGAAAGACGAUUCCCACUCGGCAUUGCCAGUCGAUCCAUCUAGCCAGGUAAGUACCCCCUCACCUCGAAUUAAGACUCUUUCCAUUCCUCCACCAUUUCCUAGCAGAUUUAAACAAUCCAAGAAAGAGGAGCAAGAAAAAGAGAUCCUUGAGACCUUUCGUAAAGUAGAGGUAAAUAUUCCUCUACUUGAUGCUAUUAAACAAGUGCCACGUUAUGCAAAGUUUUUGAAGGAAUUAAGCAGCAACAAGCGAAAGUUGAGCGGUAACGAAAAAGUAAGUGUAGGAGAGAACAUUUCUGCUGUACUUCAAAGAAAACUUCCUCCUAAGUGCAAGGAUCCAGGUACUUUUACUAUCCCCUGCACUAUUGGCAAUACCAGAUUCGAAAGAUGUAUGCUAGAUUUAGGGGCCUCAAUUAAUGUUAUGCCAUAUUCGAUUUAUAACUCCUUGAAUUUAGGUCCAAUGGAAGAAACUGGUAUAAUUAUUCAAUUGGCUGAUAGAUCUAACGCUUACCCGAAGGGGGUUGUGGAAGAUGUUCUUGUGCAGGUCAAUGAAUUGGUCUUUCCAGCUGAUUUUUAUAUCCUUGAAAUGGACGAUGAAUCAUCGCCCAAUCCCACUCCUAUUCUGUUGGGGCGACCAUUCCUUAAGAUAGCCCGAACCAAGAUUGAUGUUCAUGAUGGAACCCUUACAAUGGAAUUUGAUGGUGAAGUGAUCCGCUUCAAUAUCUUUGAGGCAAUGAGGUAUCCUAGUGAUGUUCAUUCUGUUUUUGCCAUGGAUGAUAUUAAUACUUUGGUGCAAGAUUUCUUUGAAUUAUCCGGUAAUGACAGUUUUGAAAUUGCCAUAAGCAAAAAUCUUACGAAAGAUGAUUCUAAGGAACAUGCAAAUUUGAUAAAGUUGGAUGAUGAGGCACCUACCUUAGAACUUAAACCACUCCCAGAACACCUGCAAUAUAUUUACUUGGGUGAGAAUGAAACACUUCCAGUCAUAAUUGCUAAAACCCUCACCCCAGUUCAACAAGAAAAGUUAAUUAGGGUGCUUCGGGAUCACAAAACGGCGAUUGGCUGGACCAUUGCCGACAUUAAGGGAAUUAGUCCUUCCAUGUGCAUGCAUCGCAUUUUGCUAGAGGAAGGGUCUAAACCAACGAGAGAUGCACUUUGGGCAUGUAGGACCGCAUACAAAACUCCUAUUGGUAUGUCACCCUACAGGUUGGUAUAUGGUAAGCCUUGUCAUCUUCCAGUGGAACUUGAACAUAAAGCAUGGUGGGCUGUGAAACAAUGUAACAUGGAACUGGACGCCGCCGGCCAACACAGAAAGCUCCAAUUGCAAGAAUUAGAGGAAAUUCGAAAUGAUGCCUAUGAGAGUUCACGAAUCUAUAAGGAAAAGACUAAGGCUUUUCAUGAUAAGCAGAUCUUGAGAAAGAAUUUUGAAGUUGGACAGAAAGUUCUGCUAUUCCAUUCUCGCCUUAAGUUGUUUCCAGGUAAGUUAGGUUCUCGAUGGGUUGGGCCUUUUGUUGUUAUUAAUGUUUUUCAUCAUGGUGCAGUUGAGAUCAGGAGCUUAAAGACAGGUAAAGAGUUCAAAGUUAAUGGUCAUAGGUUGAAGCCUUACUAUGAAAAUUUUCAAACACUCAAUGUAGAGGAGGCUCCACUUUAUGAACCUGCGUACGUUGAUGAGUGAAACUUGAGAACCAGGUCAGGCUGAGGACAAUAAACCAAGCGCUUAUUGGGAGGCAACCCAAUGGUUGGAGAAAAGAAUUUGAGAGCACGCCAUAACAGAUUUGAUCUUUCUCCCUUUCAUUCUCAUUUACUUUAUCCACUAUGUUGAAUUUUGUUUGUUUCUGUUUGUGUGUCUCAUCUCCUUUCCCCAUGUUUAAUUCUUUUGUUAGUUUAGGCUUACAUUGAGGACAAUGUAAGAAUUAAGUGUGGGGGGGUGGAUUUCGAACUUAGUUUUUGUUGCUUUGUCUUUUUCUUUUUUAAAAAAAAAAAUUUGAAUAUUAGCCAGUGAUAAGAAUUUGAUUGACAAUAAAUAUGGUUCUUAGAAAGGGUUGAAUAUUACCUUAGUUUAUACUUGAUUCUUGUGUUGAUUUCCUCUUAAUUGAGAUUCUUUAAACCAUGAGCACUAAUAUCAAUUCUUUCAUAAUUUUGACUUAGAAUUUGAGAUUGACGCAGCCUGAGUUGAGAAUUUUAGAUUGAGUAAAUGACUGUUUGUCUUGAUUCUUAUCUCCACAAUACAGUGUAGUAUACACAGGCACCAUAGUCAGAAAUAGCUACCUAUAACCCUUAAGAGUGAAGCUAUCCUUGAGUAAUUUGGGCCUAUGUACCACCAGUAUGUAGAGGAUAAUCUACCAUGAGAAGAAGGCUACCUUAAGGGGUAGAGUGAAAGCUCCUGACUAAAAAAAAAAAAAAAAACCAAAAAAAAACCAAAAAAAAAAACAAAAAAAAAGAGAACUUCAAAAGAAAAUGCACACAAAUGCCUGUGAAAGAAAGAAAAUUUUUUUUUUGGAGAUCAAGAUGAUAAGAUUAGUUUGACCUACUCUUUUCUUUGUUCGAGGCAAAGGCUGUUGAUAUUGAAGAUUUUGGGAAUGGAUUUUAAUUGAAUUGAUUCACACACACACACAAUGAGAAUCAAAAGAGAGAUGUGAUUGAGUAUUGAAUUAAAGUUAGAACUUCGAUAAUAUUUGAAAUUUUCUUUGAGCUAUAUGAUUUAUGCAAUCUUUGAGGCUAGUUUUAUUUUAAAAUAAAAAAAAAAACAAAAAAAAAAAAAUUGCAAUGAUGUUUGUGGGUAUCAUCGUUGAAGCCCUCACGAGACUAUAACUCGUCCACUAGGGCCGCCUAGGGGUUUAAAGGCUUGUUGCAUACGCUAAAUGCAAUCGUGAUUUCCUACGAAAGUGGACUAGUUUAGGUUUUCUUUUUAUUUUUGUUCUAGGUUUACUCGAGGACGAGCAAAGGGUAAGUGUGGGGGAAUUUGAUAAGUGCAUAUUUUCCACAUAUUUUGCUUUUAAUUUCUCCAUCUUUUUCUUAUUUUGAUCUUAAAUAUUCUAGUUAUUUUAGUUAAUUUUUAAUUUAAUAGGGAAUUAAUUAAUAUACAUAUUUUAUUUUUUUAUAUAUUUGCUAGUUAUUUUUAUUUCUUAUUUUUAAUUCAUUGUAUUAUUUUAUUGAAUAGGAAAUUAAUUGGAGAUUGUGGAUAAUAAAAAGGCAUGAAGAAAUUCAAAUUGAGAAGGAAUGAAGAUUAAAUUGGAAGACAAAAAUCAAAGCAAUUAAUCCAAUUGAGAAAUGUUGAAUAAUUAAAAGAUUUAAUUUUUUCCAAUUGGCAAAUUGGAGUACACGUGCAUGGCAUUGCAAAAGUGGAAAGCAUUUAAACGGGCCCACAAUUGACUUUCAAAAGUUGGAAUUAAUGGCUUUGGGUGGCGUUAAAUUGGAAAAGGAUUUCAAUUAAAAUUGAAAAAGGAUUUCUUUGGAUUUGUUGGAGAAGAAUUCGGUCAACUAGCAUUAUAAAAAGAGAGCAGCUGCUGGACGGAAGAAAAAAAAAAAGACAGGAGAGAGAGCAGGGGCUGAUCCAAUUCGGCAAGAAGAAGAAAAAAAUCAGCAGCCGGAAUUCAAUUGAAGAAAAAGGCAGCCGCUUGAAUUAAUCUCCAUGAUUAGUUUUGUCAAUUCUCUUAUUCUCAAUUCAAUUAUGUUAGGCUAGAUUUUUAUUUGGUUGAGGGUGAAUUCAAAACCCUAAACAUGCUAUGCAAUUAAAUUUAAAUUCUAUCAUUCAAUUUAUUUAAUUGAGAUUGUUUAUGUUCUUCUAUAAUUAAUGUUCAUGGUUUAUUCUUGUUUUAUUUAAGUGGCCAAUUAGAUAGGACUUGAAUAAAUUUUAUUGCUAGAUUAAAAUUCUUAAUCCGUAAUUGUCUUGAUAUUUUAAUCAUUAGUAGCAGGUUGGAAUCAGUGAUUUCAAUUGAAGAACAUAACCUAGGUUAAAUAAUCCGAGCUUGUGUGUUUAUUGCCUAGAUCAACCUAAUAUCUUUCUCUGUUUAAUGCUUCCAUUAUCUUAAAUUUAAAGAGCUUGUUUUAAAUUAUUUAAUGGUUAGAGAUUAUGUGAAGAGCUUAUUUUGCCUAACGACACACUAAGGAAAGAUUGAGACUAACAGAGCUUAUUGUUGUCUACGGUUGAUAGUUUUAAUAUAAAUUGAUGGUAGAAUUGAUAUAUUAUGUGCAUGUUUGGUGGUGGCGAAUGAUCCUUUAACCAAAGUUUUCAUCAUUAUUAUUUCCUUCUCAUUUAAUUAGAGUUUUUAUUAAAUUCUUGUUCGUAGUUUUAAUUUCUUUAUUUCUUACUAUUUAGUUAAAAAUUCAUAAACCCCCAUUUUAUUUAUAAUUGGCAUUUUCUUUAGUUAGAUUAAUUUAUAUUAUUAUUACUAUUAUUAUUAUUACUAUUAUUUUAUUUUAAAUCUUGCUUUGGAGUUAAUAAUAAAUAUAACUAGCAUAGUCUCUGUGGGAUCGAUCCUUACUCGCUCUGUACUAAUUAUUUAUAUUAGUGGUAAGGUUUUAAAUUUGGUGCACCUUAACGACACUACCAAUAAUACAGAUCCGGAUAUCCGGUUUUCCGAAUGUAAGUGCAUCCGGAUCCGCAUGGAUCUUAAUUUUUAAGAUCCGGAUUCGCAUUUUUUAACGUACAGAUCUGAAUUUUUUGAAUUCGAAUCUUCUGAAUAUUUGCUGAUCCAGAGUUUAUUGCCAACCCUAAAUUGAUAAGGCUAUAGAAAAUUCAAUAUCCAGAUCGGAUAAGGAUCCAAUAAAUUAUAAAAUAUUGCGGCUCAAAGCCCAUAUGAUCAUGGGCCACCGCUUGCUCAUGCUUUGAAUCAAAAUUUUCUAAUGAAGUGAGGUUGGAAGCUAAAAGGGGCAAAUGAUGAAAUGGGGUUCAUCAUUUAUUGAGCCCAACGGGACAAGAUCAUCAUUUAAUUCCCUCCUCUUGUCGAUAGAUAUUUGCCGAAUUUUUUCAUUUAAAAAAUAUUAUAUUGGUUAAUAGAAUUUGAAGUUUUACAAAAUAUAAGUUUAAUUUUAGAAAAAAUUAUAUUUGUUAAUUUAAAAUUUUCAUUUGGUGGUUGUGUUUGAGAAAAAUUUUAGGUAUACUCGGAUAUACUCUCUUAUUAUUCAUUGAAUUUGGGCAUUUAAACAUACUAGUAUAGUAUGCAGUAUUUUUAGGUAAUUAGCGGAGAAGUAUACGUGACAAAAAUAUAACACGUGAAACAAUACACAAUGAAAUUAUCUACAAUUUUCCAUUGACUUAGUCAACUCUUCAUUAAUUUCAUUGACUUGAUCAACUCAUGAAUCAUGAUCUAACUUGACAACUUGAAAAUUAAAAUAUGCUAGUAAUUCCGUAAAAUUAAAAUUUAUCUCCCAAAAUUGAUAAAUACUGUGUCACUUUGUCAAAUUACUUAGGGUAAAAACUCUGUGGCUAAAAACUUUUAACAUUAGUUGUAUGCUAAUUGAGAAGGACAAGACACAAAAGAAUUCAAUGAAUGCGACAUCAUGUAACACUAACACUAUUUACUCUUAACAAAUUCUUACAAACGUGAUUCAUGAAAUUAACUUGACUUUUUGUCUAAAAAAGGCCUAAAGAAACAUGCCAAGCAACAAAUAAAGUAGUCCAAACGUGAUUCAUGAAACUUGAUAGGCACUAUCUAAAUAGUAUUAAUAUGGCAACCAAAAACAUCCGCGCAAAAUAGACUUUCUUGGACGAUCCAUGCCAAUCAACAAAUAAAGUAGUCCAAACGUGAUUCGUGAAACUUGACUUCUUGUCUAAAAAGGCCUAAAGAAACAAGACCAAAAUUUCCAUGCAAUAGCAAUAUGGUGGCCACAAUGCACUUUUUAAGCCAUUUUUCAAAACUAAGUUUCUUCGUAUCACAUGCACUAUUCAAGCAAUUUUUCAACAUUUUCUCCUUCCCCUAAAAGCUACAUGCAUGAAUCAUGUCCCAAUCAAUUUCUUGGCAAAAAUUGGAACGCAAGAACCGAUUGGAGCAUAAGGACAAUGUCACGAUUCAAGAUUCUCAGCAAGACCACGUCACAAUGCAUCACUUUUGGAAAGUAAUUUAGCAAUUUCCAAUGCCUUAGCUGAUUAAUGGCUUGAACAUGUCACGAUUGGUCCACAUUAUGCACAUGGCAAGAUCAAACAAAAUAUCACAGCUAGCUCGACGACUACUAGCCAAAAUAACAAGACAAUGACGGCCAGUUACAAACUCUUUACGAAGGAAAUACCGAAAUAUGAAUAUCCCUCCUAAUCACUUUCUUAUAUUAUAAUUAUUUUGUACAUAUAACAGAACACGUUCUCUCUUGUAAACAAGUCAAGAAAACGGUUUUAGUUUUCAUAUCAAUAAUGGAAUCCAAAAUCUUUCACAGCUUGCUUCUCCUUUGGACGCUUGAAAGACUUUCUUACCUGGCUAAGACUGAAAAUUGUUUGCGGUCAACUCGUGGCACCCUUAUUGACACGCAAAGAACUUACAUCGAGGAGUUGUUUGAUUUUAUGUUUCAAAUUAAGUACCAUAGCAUUACUACUUCUAUAAAUAACUCAUUUGAGCUUCCAGCCUGUUAUUUGUAUUUUACGUUUCUGUUUCUCUUCAUAAAUAUUUUUUUUUCCAUUCUCUUUUUCUUCCACUUUCCCGACUCCCAAACACCACCAGUCUUUGAUUUUCCUAGAGUAUUAACUGUCUGUUUACACGAACAUAGACCGACUGUUUGUCUAAUUACUGUCAAGAAACAGCAUACUCUGUCUCGGGGUCUCUUCGUUUAUUGACUUGUCACUUGUGAACGGGAUAAUUAAAGGGCAUUCCUUUCUUCAAGAAAGAUUGCCAAGAAAGUACCAUCCAUUAGACACGUUAAGAGUUAUUUUACAUUAAAAAUGAUAAUAAUCAUAAUAAUCGGUUUAGUGUUACCCCUUUAUUAGGUAAUGACUGUCCGAUUGUCUUCGCUUUCAUUGACUUCGCAACUGUGAAUUCUAAGCCGGGUUAAGGAUUGACAAAAUGUUAUAACCCAUAAAGCACGGAUAAUUAAUUAAUGGGCCACUGAUUUCUUCUUUAAAGGCUAAUUCUUGGUAAAGAUCAGAAAGUUCUCAAAUAAAAAUUCGGCUUUGUGGAAAUUAAAUUAAAAGCAAUUAAGCAUUAUAAAUUACUUAACAGCUUAAUCGAGUUUGGUUUUGAAAAAUAUAUCUUUAAAUCUCUUGUAAUUAAAGAUAAUUAUCAUAUUACCGUCUCAAAUGGACCGAUUUCAAUCAAAUGAAAUCUAGAAAAUUGAGCAGCUCAUUGAUGUAUUUGAUCGAACUUGUGUCAGAGUCUUCGUUUUAGAAGAGUGCACAGCAGCUGCCAGGUCCACUUGGCAGUUGGCACGCUAAAAAUUUUCUGUUGACCAAUAAUUUUGAAAGGGAUAUUAUUAAUUUACUAUCAAAUAUUUUCUAACACAUCACUUUACUAUCAAAAUUUUUUGACAAUAAUUUUUUGUCACUUAAUAUUUCAAUUUUUAUCAUUUUAUCAUCAAAAAAUAGUAAAUGCAUGCGUAGUGUCAGUUAUUCAUAAAAAUGGUUGUUGAAUUGUCCUGUUUCUCAUUUGGUUUAAUUUUCAUAAAUUCGACUCACACAAUUCAAUUAUGAGUGAAGAGUUUUUUUUUGGGAAAAAAUCUGGUCUUCCAUUUACUAGAAUCACGUCUGAAUGAUUUUGUUAUUUUUCUUUUGUUUGAAAUAUACGUGGAAAAUGUUGAACACUUUGUAGGAUUUAGAAGAAUUUGAAAGUUUGAAUGCAUAUAGUUUACUAUCCAUCAACUAGUGCAUAUUCUGUAUUUUAUGAAAUCAAAGCUGGUUGAUUGAGAAAUGGACCUUAUUACAUGUCAUAAGAUUUUACAGUGCUUUCUAAUGGAGCAAAAUAAAAUGAUUCUUACCUGCACAGAAAAUUAGAUGUUACACUUAAAUUUAUUAUCCAUCUCUAUUGUUUAUAUGACACUGAAGUAUUACCUAAAUUAGCCUUUCAAAACUUCAUUUUCAAAAAUCUAUGGUUGUGAUGCGUCUCUAUAAACUCACUCGUACAAAUUCUAUCUAAUGCCAAUCAUUUUAAACUCUGUUCUGAACAGAGCAUGAAAGGAUAUGUUCACUUAUCUAGUUAUGUUUUUUAUGCUUUCACUUCACUUGAUUCACCUUGUCCCUCUUUUAAAACAGCUGCAUAUGCUGGAGUGCCAAAUCCAUCACAAGGAUCAUAUUACAGAGUAUUUCGGGAUUCAAGACUGUAUGCCACGCUGGCAAGUGCGCUCUCACAGAUUGUGGAGAUGGCACCAAAGAUUGUAAACUAACUAGUACUGAAAAAUCCUAUUUGCACAUAAAAUUGCAUAAAAUAAAUAGACUGAGAAAUAAGAUUAAUAAAGUAAAUAAAUUUAUCUUUCUAGUGUUUUUGUGUACGUACAAGUAGCAUUACUCAUUAGCAAUUAGUCUAGAGUGUUCUGAUUUUUUCUAAUAAGUAGCUCACUUGAGCCUAGGACUUGUAACUAUGUUUUACGUUUCUGUAACUUUCUAAUAAAGAUUUUUUUUUUUUAAUUUUCAAUUUCUCUUCCAUUUUCCUGACUCCCAAACACCACCAAUCCUUGAUUUUCUAGAGUAUCAGCUAUCUAUUUCUACAAACACAAAACUACUAUUUACUUUCAAGAAACAACGUAUUCUGUGGUUUAUUGGCUUGUGCCUUGUGAACGGGGCUAAUGUUGGUCUAACUACUUUCACGAAACAACGUACUCCGUGGUUCAUUGACGCGCACGGGGCUAAUUGUCUCCUCUUCCAUUGACUCUGUCAAUUCAUGACUUUGACGCGCACGGUAGCUGCUAACUGCCUUCUCCAUUUGACGUGCAAAAAACUUUCUUGAGUCGGGUUAAAAUUAAUUGAUCAUUUUAUUUGGUGAUAAUGACUUAGUUGUCAAGUCAUGAGUUUGAUGAUGAAGAGGACGAAAAACAUUACUUUAUUAUUUAAAAUAAGACUAUCAAUUAAAUGGAAUCUUACGGAAUUAGAGUGCUUGACUUCUUUUUACAGAAUUAUGAAGUGAAAAAGGAAAUUAAGAAAUUAAAUACUUUUCAUGCGAGUGGAGAAGAUUGGGUAGCGAUUACAUGAAAUAAAAGAAAAAUAAUUUAAAAGUACAACACUUUAAUAAUCUCAUUCCCAAUCAUAUCGGUAUAAAAAUUAUGUAGAUUUAUUGAAUAACUAUUGAUUUUACUUUGGUAAUUUCUUUCUAAAAGUGAGGUAAACAUUUUUAUUUUCUUUGCAUUCGAGCUUUCUUUCUUUUGCGCUGGCCUUCACACUCUUGACCGUAUUUCAUGUAUUUAGUUUUUGUCAUCAUGACUGGUGAAAUAAAAAUAGUCCUCAUUUCAAGGAUUGACAAAAACGUUGUGCUCAUACCGAUUAAUGGGGAACUGAUUUCGUCUUCUUAAAAGAGAAUUAUUUGCAGCGCGGUAAUUAGAAGAUUUCUGUAUUAUAUAGCCAAACCUAAGUGAUAAGAAUUUCCAAAUGAGAUAUAAUUUGGAGGGAAACAAAAAACUAAUUCAAGUUAAAGACCAGCAAUUUCCAUAUGUGAUAUAUCCUUCACUCUUUGACGUAUCCCUGGGGCAAUGUAAGUUGACUUUAUAUUAAAACAAAACAUAAUUACAAUUAUCAUCACUGAUUUGUAUAAUUUUCAGGACUAGUAAAUUAUCUCAAUUUUUAAAAAACAUAAUUACAAUUAUCGAUCGAACACCACUAAUUCCAACAAUUCAUCCAAGUUUUUCAACUUUUUAGAUAUUUGAUAUAUGUCAUGUUUUAACUUAGUACGAGAAAAAAAUUAUAGAAUUUUUUUUUUUUCAAAUUAGUGGAAUUAUUUUACGAUAAAACUAUCACAAUCACAUUUAAAAAUAUUCUUUAAACUUUCACUAUUUCUACUGUUAUUCUUUAAACUUUUUUCUGAACAGAGCAUGGAGGGUCGCUUAUCUAAAUAUGUUUUCUGUGCUUUCACUUCACUUGAUUCAUCUUGUCCCUCUUUUAUAGCUUCUAUCUCGUGUGAGCUUAGAACCUGCAACUUGUAUUUUACGUUUCUGUUACUUUCUCUUUCAUUUUCCCGAUUCCCAAACACCAUCAGUCCUUGAUGUUAUAGAGUAUUAGCUGUCUAUUUGUUCAGACAUAGAGCUACUGUUCCCAGUCCCACUGUAGAUCUUCAGUGGUUAGCUCACUAUUGUUUGAAUAUUAAAAUUAAUUUGUUAAAUAAAUAAAGAAAACAAGAGACAAUUGCCAUAUAUAUUCCAUAUUAAUUAGUCACCGUCCGAUUGUCUCCACUUCCAUUGACUCUGUUGAUUCAUGCUUUCAUGAAGUGAAACGUUUAACACUCUGUUCUGAUCCGCAGGAGAGGAGGAAAAACAUAAUUUUAUUAUUUCAUUCCUGACACGCGCAAUGAGCUUUCUUAAUUGAUGAAUGUGACAUGAAGCUCUAUAAAUAGUUUAAUUUGUAAAAUUGUUAAAAUUUGUUAAAUUUCAUUUAAUUGAUGAAUGUGACAUGAAACUCUAUAAAUAGUUUAAUUUAUAAAAUUGUUAAAAAUUUAAAUUUCAAGUAAGGUAGAUAAAAUGAUUAACUUUUUUCAAUAUUUAGAUAAUUAACAUGUGUCAUGUAACUAUGAGUGAAUGAAUGAAAUUUUUGAAGUACGAAUCCAUUUACAAGUUACGACUUGUCUUGUUUCUCAUUUUACUUAAUUUUCAUAAAAUUGACUCAUGAUCAAUUAUGAGCGAAGAGUUUGUUGGUCUUCCAUUUAUUGUAAUCAGAUGAGUGUGAUUUAAUUAUUUUUUCCUUUUGCUUGAUGUCCCGAAAAUUAUGAAUGCUUUUGUAGGAUGCAGAAGAUUAAAAAUUUUAAUGCAUAUCUAUAGUCAAAACUGAGGAAACAGAACAUUAUUGCUUCUAUAAAUAGGUCAUUUCAGCUUAAAACUUGUUACUUGUAUUUUACAUUUUUGUUUUUUUAACUUUUUCUUCCAUUUUCCCAAACACCACCAAUCCUUGAUUCUUUUCCUAGAGUAUUAGCUGUCGAUUGUUACAAACAUAGACAUACUGUUUGUCUAAUUACUAUCAAGAAACAACAUACUCUAUCCUGGAGUCUCUUCGUUUAUUUAAUAUUUAGGUUUAUUAAUAUACUACAUUAUUAAUUAAAUUAAUUAAUAAUUUAAAUUAAUUAAAUAAUAAAAGUUAAAUGAUUAUAUUUAAAAUCCAAGUAGUAUUUUAAUGUAAUGAAACCUAAAUCCCACCUCUAUACCACAUUUGUUAUACAAUGUAAUGCAACUAUAAAUUAUAAUUAUAUGAAAAUAAUAUUUUAAUACAAUAUAAUACAAGUAUAAUAGUAUUACAAGUGUAAAGGCUGUAAUAUUAAUUAGCCUGUAUAAUAUUAUGCCGUGCUGGCAAGUGUGCUAUAACAGAUUGUCGAGCUGGCACCAGUUAUUUUAAACUAAUAUUAGUAAUUAGUCUAGAGUGUUCUGAUUUAUUCUAUAAAUAGCCCAUUUAAGCUUUUUUCUCUAUUCCUUUUUCUUUCACUUUCUCUUCCGUUUUCCCGACCCUCAAACACCGUCAAUCCUUGAUUUGAACUGCUGUUUGUUUGUCUAAUUACUUUCAAGAACAAUACCCUCCAUCCCGCGGUCUCUUCGUUUAUUGACUUGUGAAUAUCAAUAAAUUUUUAUUACAUUCAAGAUAAGGACUGACCAAAUUAUUAAAAUGUGAUGCCACGUGUGUGAGUAAUUGGAUUGGACUGACCAAUACUUUGACGUUCAUAUUGGUUUAGGACCAUUCAUAAUUAUGACUUAAAUAGUUUCCAUUAAUAUCGAUUUUUCUAGAUUCUAAUUUCUAAAUGGUUAGAAGUUUCAGCCACUUAAAGCAAAGGAAUAAUCGCCCUUCUUGCACGGAAGCACGGAUAUUCCAGGAUUAAAAUCCUAGCCUAACUCCAACGCCAGGGAUUGGCAUCUAUUCCUAAGACAAAUUAACUAAUUACAACCGCUUAAUAAUAAUAAUAAUAUAUUAUUGUUGAGAUGAUGCGCUGGCAAAUCAUACAGGUGUACGUCCUAACCAAUAUGCUACGUUUCCCCACAUUAUAUAUUGUUUGAGGGAAAUGCUUCGAUGAGACCAGAAGUGAUGAGCAGAUAUUUGGUGGCAGAGUUCUGCGAACAGGUGCGUCCUGUAAGAGCCUGGUAGCAGGGGAACAGGAGCAGGAAUAUUCUGCUCGUCCAAGAACAUGCCAUUCACGAGGACGAACUCCUGUUAGAGGCAUGAGGCCAUUCCUGCUAGGGGUCGAGGCAAGGAGGCCCGGUCAACGACAGUUGGUAAGGCGUGCAUUCCUCCCCGAGAAUCAAGGCGCGAAGUCCAUCUCCAUUUGCCCACAAUGGCGAUAAUGGGGCAUCCACAUCCGAGAGUGGGGAGAAUAACGGGCGUGGACUACAGAAGACUGGGAUUCAGAGGAAGCCUAUAAAAAGGUAGCCAACGAAGGUAAAAGGGUUGGACUUUUUGCUAUUAGAACUAAGAAAAGAAAACUCUAAGAACUGAGAUUGAAAAGACACCAUAGGAUUCGUGGCAAACAUUCCCAGAACCUUCAUAUCUGACUUGAGCGUCAGAUGGUUUACGCCGGGAAAACAACCGGCGUACUCUGACCUGCUUCUGUGUACGCAGGAACUUUUGGAGAAGAAACCUUACGAGGAGAGAUCCUGGUCGUGGUAGAGUUGAUCGAGCCGAGUUCCUGGUCUUGGUAGAGAAGGCAACCAGAAUCUCGCAUCAACAUUUUGGCGCCGUCUGUGGGGAGCUGAGAAAAAAGCUUCUGCUGAUAGCAAGAAGAGGAGUGAAGCAAGUGAAAAGCAAUGGAGACAGGAGGAAGUAGUGCACAAGGGGGUGAUAUAAGGCUUAAUGAUUCCGUGACGUUGAGGGAGAUAGCCAGUGAAGCGCGGGAAAAAGCCAUGUUCGACCGGAUGGAACGGAUGGAAAAGCAAAUGGAGACCCUGACAACCAUCCUGCAUGAGUUGCGGAGUGAACGAAGAGUAACCCAGGAGGAAAGGGUGAGAAGUGGUGGAGUGGCACCAGGUCCCGAUAGUACGAGGAGAAGUCGAACCACCGUGAGAUUUGGUGGUGAGAGAGGUAACAUACCUCUGCGGGGAGAAUUUCAUAGAGAGGAAGAGCAAUCCCCGGCGAGACAGAUUUUUGAGGAGGACGACGGGGUGGCGAAUGCAGAGGAAACAGAGUUGAGGCAACACUUGCAUGAUUUAGAGCAAGAGCGGGAUCAAGUUGCAGCACGUGACCCUGGUCGUGCAGUGCAGCUGGAGGAGGAAGUGCGCAGGCUAGCGCAGAUAAUUGACGACAUGCAAGGAAGGAGUAGAGCUCCUGGUUGGAGGAUAAUGCUGGACGGAGAAUCACCGCUCGCAGCAGAGAUCAUGAGGGCAGUUAUUCCGAGAGAUUUCCGCCUCCCAGAUCUUAGAUAUUCGGGACGAACUGAUCCGCUGGUGCACAUAGAGCGCUUCAAUGACAUAACUGGGGUACAAGGAUUAUCUCAAUCCCAAAGGUGCAGGGUGUUCCCACUAUCCCUUGAGGGACGUGCACGAGAGUGGUACAUGAAACUUCCUCGGGGGAGCAUUAAAACCUUCGAGCAGAUGUGCCAGGAAUUUGCAGAGCAGUUUCGUGGGGCAAUGGCACCAGAAGAUGACAUGAUGGAGUUGAAAAGCAUGAAGCAGAGGGAACAAGAAACACUUCGGGAAUUCAUCAAGAGGUUUCACCGUGCUGUCCUUGAUUUGGGAGCCUUCAACCAUCCUCAAGCAUUAAGGGGACUGAAAGAAGGGGUGAAGAUAGGAAGACUAUGGUACAAUUUGAGAAGCCCAGUUAUUCAGACGUAUACAGCCGCAUACGAGCAGGCUAAGAAGGACAUUGAGAUUGAAGAGGAAAAGACAGCACGAAUCAAGACAGACCAGUUAGAAGGGUUGGGGAAGAAAGAAAAGAAAGCAUUGCCAGGGAAUGGGCCGAUCAGGAGGAGGGACCACUAGGCCUCAGGUAGUGGAGCAGGAGGUCGGGUAACUACUUACCAGCCUCAUCAGAGGCCACCAUAAUAUCAGCGCAGCAGGGUGCAACCUCCUCGUUCCCCAGCUAGGGAACUUUGGAGAAGGCAUGACUCGGCAUAUGGUGGUCUUCAUCAACACUCCCACGGUAGUAGAGUGGGCAGACCAGAAGUGCUGCCACCGCCUCCAACUCAGAACGGAGCAAACAGAGAAAGGGCAGUGCACCUGAUCGACCAGAACCAAGACUAUGGGCGGUAUACUUCCUUGAAGAUGUCCCUGGACGAGGUGUACGAGGCCAUAAAGGAUCGAGGGUUGCUAUACCUCCUUGCCCCAAUAACAAAGCUACCCAGCAGGAGGGAUAAGGGACGCUAUUGUAAGUUCCAUGGCACUCAUGGCCACACCACAGUAGAUUGCAGGGAUCUCAAGACCCAGGUUGAAGAUUUGGUGAGAAAUCGGUACCUGCACGAGUUUAUAGAUGGGACCUUCCCAAUGGUAGCCUCGACAAGCGAAAGGGAGCAGAGUGACAGAAACUUGAGGCGCGAGCCGCCUGCAGUAAGGGUGAUAGCUGGGGGCCCAACAUUGGCUGGAGAUUCCAACAGGUCGAGGAAGAAUUAUGCUAGAUACGCCAUGACUAGCAAAGAUGUGUUCUUCAACACCCCAGCAGCCAAACGUGCAAGAGUCAGGCAAGUGCCAAUCAUGUGGACAGAUGAGGAUGAAGAAGGGAUUCUAUACCCCCACGAGGAUGCUUUGGUCAUCAAGGCCACUGUUGCCAGCAAGAAGUUUGACAGGAUACUGGUUGACAUAGGGAGCUCAGUUGAUGUGUUGUUUAAGUCAACCCUUGAGGAGAUGGGAAUAGCAGACCUGAAGUUGGAUUACACCAAUACCUCAUUGAAGGGGUUUGGAGGAGGAAAGUUGGUCCCUCUAGGCGUAGUCGAGCUGCCUAUCACGAUUGGGAGCUCCCCGACAGAAAGGACAAUGAUACUGGACUUUGUGGUAGUGGAUGAGGAAGGUCCUUACCAGAUGAUCCUAGGCCGGCCAUUUCUGAGGAUGAGCAAAGCGGUGCUGUCCAACCAUUAUCUAGCUCUCAAGUACCGGGUGAAUGGGGUAGUUGGACUGGUACGAGGAGACCAGAGGAUCGCAAGAAGCUGCUACUCCUCGGCAACAAGGGAAGCAAUGCAGAUAACAUCGCUUGAUACCCGAGUGGAAAACAAGAAUGGCAGACAAGAACCUGUGGAGGAUCUAGAGACAGUAAGCCUGGGACUAGAGAAUCCGGGAAAGACGAUCAGAAUCGGGUCGAAGCUUAAGGAAGAGCAAAAGCAGGAGUUGGUGAAAUGCUUACAGGCUCAUGCAGAUGUGUUUGCUUGGACACAUGAAGACAUGCCAGGGAUUAAUCCUGAGGUAGCAUGUCAUAAGCUGGCAAUAAAGAAAGGUGCUCGGGCAGUAAGGCAGAAGAGGAGGUGCUUUAACCAGGAGAGGUAUGAGGCUAUAAAUGGCGAGGUGGAAAAGCUCUUGAGAGCAGGAUUCAUUCGAGAAGUCAAUUAUCCCGAGUGGAUUUCGAAUGUGGUGUUGGUAAAGAAGGCAAAUGGCAAGUGGAGGAUGUGUGUGGAUUUUACAGAUCUCAAUAAAGCAUGCCCGAAAGACAGCUUCCCUUUGCCAAAAAUCGACCAGCUAGUAGAUUCAACAGCUGGGCACGGCCUGCUUAGCUUCAUGGACGCGUUCUCGGGAUAUAACCAAAUCCCCAUGUACGAGCAGGAUGAGGAGAGCACUGCUUUUAUCACUAACCAGGGUUUAUUCUGUUACAGGGUAAUGCCAUUUGGUCUCAAAAAUGCUGGGGCCACCUAUCAGAGGCUGGUGAAUAAAGUCUUUAAGCCGUUGAUCGGGAAAACCAUGGAGGUGUACGUGGAUGACAUGAUCACCAAGUCCAAAAUCCCGAAGGAACAUGUCGGACACCUCGAGGAGACAUUCGGGCUUUUGAGGAAGUAUAAAAUGAAGCUUAACCCGGAGAAGUGUGCUUUUGGGGUCAAGUCAGGGAAAUUCCUUGGAUUCAUUGUGAGCCAUAGGGGAAUUGAGGCAAAUCCCGAGAAGAUCCAGGCGAUCGUGCAGAUGAGGUCUCCUCAUAGCCUAAAGGAGAUGCAGAGCCUCACGGGGAGGUUGGCGACAUUGAGCAGAUUCAUAUCUAAGGCUACAGGUAAGUGUCAGCCGUUCUUUCAAGUGAUAAGGAGGGGAAAGAAAAUAGAAUGGACUCCAGAAUGCGAGGAAGCCUUCUAGAACUUGAAGCAAUACUUGCAGCAAGCACUUCUGCUGUCCACACCGAGGGUUGGGGACAAGUUAUUUCUGUAUUUGGCGGUAUCAGAUCGGGCCACAAGUUCUGUUCUGGUGAGAGAGGAAGAAAGGGUUCAAUAUCCGAUAUAUUACACUAGCAAGGCCCUGCUCGACGCUGAGACCAGAUACCCACCGUUGGAAAAAUGGGCACUUGCCCUUGUGGUUGCUGCUCGGAAGCUGAGACCAUACUUCCAAGCAUUCCCAGUCUCGGUAAUAACAAACCAGCCAUUGCGUCAAACUCUGCACAAGCCAGACGCCUCUGGUCGGCUCGUCAAGUGGGCUGUAGAGCUGAGCGAGUUCGACAUAGACUACAAACCCCGAGCAGCGAUAAAGGCUCAGGCAAUGGCCGAUUUCGUAGCAGAAUUCACAGAGCCCGAAGUAUGUUUGGACCAACGAGAGGUAGCUACAGACAGUGGCGAAGCCCAAGUAUGGCAAAUGUUUGUAGAUGGGUCAUCAGGGGAGCAGGGAUUGUCUUGGAAGGACCGGAGGGGGAGCAGAUCUCUUAUGCUGUAAAGUUAGAAUUCGCAGCCACAAAUAACCAGGCAGAGUAUGAAGCCUUGAUAGCAGGUUUGGAAUUGGCUAAGGCCGUGAAAGCAGACAGAGUGAAGAUCAGAACUGAUUCCCAGCUGGUUGCAAAUCAUGUCAGUGAAAGAUUUCAACCAAGAGAGGAGAAGAUGGAGCAGUACCUGAAGAUAGUCAGGCAGAUGAUGGGGAAAUUUGAAGCAGUGGAGGUGGUACAAAUCCCCAAGGAGCAGAAUAGUCAAGCAGAUAUUUGGCCAGGAUGGCAGCGGUAGCAGACCCAAAAAUGCCAAAGUCGAUCCCUCUGGAGGUGAAGUCCAGCCCGAGCAUCGAACAGAAUUUGGGGGUGCUACGGAUAGAACAAAAAUGCUCGUGGAUGGACCCAAUAAUUUCGUACCUUAGAGACGGGGUAUUACCACCAGAUAAACUGCGAGCUCGGAAGGUUAGAGCCCAGGCCUCGAGAUACACGAUGAUUGAUGGGGUACUGUAUCGGCGAGGAUAUACACUACCUUUCCUUCGAUGUUUGGAUGAGGACGACGCGGAUUACGUACUAAGAGAAGUACAUGAAGGGAUUUGCGGAAAUCAUUCUGGUGGGAGGUCCCUGGCCCACAAGGUUCUAAGACAGGGAUAUUUCUGGCCAACAAUGCACCAGGAUGCGCAAGGGAAGACCAGGAGCUGUGUAAGCUGCCAGAGUUUUGCAAGUUUCUCCAACCAACCACCAGAGAAGCUCACCUCUAUGGCCUCCCCAUGGCCAUUUGCUCAAUGGGGAAUUGAUCUGAUCGGCCCGUUGCCAAAGGGACGAGGAGCAGCAACGCAUGCAAUAGUUGCUAUAGACUACUUCACGAAGUGGAUAGAGGUAGAAGCCCUUAGCAGGAUCACAGAGAAGAAAACAACAGACUUUGUGUGGAGAAACCUGGUUUGUCGAUACGGGAUCCCUUAUGCCUUGAUAACGGAUAAUGGUAGGCAGUUCGAUAAUCACAGCUUCAGGGAUUUCUGCUAGAACCUCGGGAUAGAGUUGAAGUAUUGCUCGCCGGCUCACCCUCAAUCUAACGAACAAGUAGAAGCAACCAACAAGACAAUCAAGAGGCUUUUGAAAACCAGGCUUGGAGCAAAGAAGGGUGCUUGGGUUGAUGAGCUAUCAGGCGUACUAUGGGCAUACAGGACAACCCAUAAGACAGCAACGGGGGAGACACCGUUCGCCUUGGCUUUCGGACAUGAAGCGGUCAUACCAGCUGAGAUAGGAACCACCACAUACCGAACAGAUCAUUUCAACGAGCAGGACAACGACGAGCAGAUGUGUUUGAAUUUGGACUUGCUAACGGAAAAAAUGGAGCAAGCAACCGAGCGAUAAGUCAUUUACCAGCAGAGGGUUGCCCGAUAUUAUAACCAGAAGGUGAAUGUACGGCAGUUCAAGGUCAGAGAUUGGGUGUUAAAGAGAGUGAAUCAGAACACCAAAGACUCAACUCAAGGAGUGCUCGGACCGAAUUGGGAGGGGCCAUACAGGGUCAAGCAGCUAGUUGGACCAGGAGCUUACAAGUUGGUUCGCAUAGAUGGCCACGAGGUGAAGCGCCCAUGGAACGCAGCACAUCUCAAGAAAUAUUUCCAGUAAGAGUCGUUCAUAUUUUCAAGUUCUUUCUGUUCGUGUUCGUUGUUAUUUAUUUUAUGUCAAAACGAUCUCAUGUAAGCCGAAUUCAACAAUAAAGGGAUCAAUGAGGAAUUUCAGUCAGCUAUACUGUCAUCGAAGAAUUUUCUAAGGCAUGCAAAGGCUCAUCAAGUCUCAAAGCCUGUUUUAUGGCGAGACAGAAGCCAAGCGUGCCAGGGUUUGCUCGACCGCGCGAAGGUGAGCAGAACCCCCAAACAUCGAAAUAUUUUCUAAGGCAUGCAAAGGCUCACAAAGUCUCAAAGCCUGUUUAUGGCGAGACCAGAAGCAAGCGUGCCAGGAUCUGCUCGACCGCGCGAAGGCGAGCAGAAUCCCAAGCAUUGAAGAAUUUUCUAAGGCAUGCAAAGGCUCAUCAAGUCUCAAAGCCUGUCUAUGGCGAGACAGAAGCCAAGCGUGCCAGGGUCUGCUCGACCGCGCGAAGGUGAGCAGAACCCCCAAACAUCGAAAUAUUUUCUAAGGCAUGCAAAGGCUCACCAAGUCUCAAAGCCUGUUUAUGGCGAGACCAGAAGCAAGCGUGCCAGGAUCUGCUCGACCGCGCGAAGGCAAGCAGAAUCCCAAGCAUUGAAGAAUUUUCUAAGGCAUGCAAAAGGCUCACUAAGUCUCAAAGCCUGUCUAUGGCGAGACCGGAAGCCAAGCAUGCCACGAUUUGCUCGAUCGAGCAAAGGCGAGCAAAAUCCCAAGUCAUGUAGAAAGACCAUAUUCUAAGCCAAAGCCUGCUCGACCAAGUGAAGGCGAGCAAACCUUCAAAUGGAAAAAUAACUUGUAAAUACAAACGCAAGAAAGUAAUCAAAAACAGUUUUUAUUAAUUUAUCAAUAACCAACAAAGUUGUUCAUUACAACGCAAGAAAUAUGUUCAAGAAGAUGGCGGAUCAGUAAGCCGAGCAGCUUCGGUUGGCUGGACCUCCUCAGGUGCAGGGGGGUAUCACCAGUUGCGUCCGGUGGGGUGCUCGCCUCGCCAACAUCAGCAGGGAUUGUACGAGGAGGAGAGUUUUCCUCCUCAAUCACGAUUGGCUCCACCCCUUCGGCAUCUUCCUUGGCCGCCUCCUCGUCUAUAUGUUGAGCAACACCAGCUGCUAGGUCAUCCAUCUUCAUAUCAGGAUACUGCUUCCCGAGGACGGCCAUGAUGUAACGAUAGGAAUGCCGAAGUCCCUGGUCGUAUUGAUUGUCGGCCUCCUUCUCCAAGUUCUCGACCUGAACUCGGUGGGAAUCGCGGAGAGAUUCGAGCUGAGCCUCAUACAUAGCCUUCUGCCUUUGAAGAUCCUCCUUGACCUUGGUCAACUCCUCCUCGAGGGUAAUGGCUUUUGCUUGAGCAAGAGAUUCUUGCUCUAUCAGCUUCAGGUUCUCGACAUUCAGCUCCCCUGCUUUCUUCUCGGCAUGGUCAGCUCUGGUCAUCGCCGACUGAAUGUCCUCCUUCAUCUUCCUGUCAUAACGGCCAACCUUGGCCUUAUAGUAAGUGGUCAUGCAGUUGAGAUGGAAAGCGCUAUACUGCAUGGCUCCUACCAGCUCGCCCAGGGUGUAGCCAUCAAAGUCCUCCAGGUCCUUCUUGCUCACGAGUUUAGAUAACUCAUUGAGAUAGAGGACCAAGUGUUCUGCUCGGUUGUCAGGUAAGCGAGACCGAGGCCGACAGGAGGAGAAGAGGACGCAGGAUCUAUGGCUGCUCCACUAGUUUCCCCGACUUUGGCAGGAGCAGAAGGUAAAGUCUUCAAGGGAGAGACCUGCUGUACGAUGUUGGCCCGCUUUGCAGUAGGGGCGUCCUUGUUCUGGUCCGUCUUCGUGGUUUGAGGUCGAGAACGUUUCCUGUUCAGAGCCCCAAUCACAGCGUCCUCCAUCUUAUGGCCAGGGAGUAUCAAGCGAGACUCGAGCAAGUUGUAAGUAGUUAUCAGUUCUCGGCUCGAGCAGGAAUUGACUAGUACAGCCUCAACCCGUUUGAGCUGGUCAGGUUUGAGCGGGAAGUGAACACCCCACGAACCUGCAAUACAAACAGACACUUGGUUAGAGACAAACCAAUAAAGCGAGAACAAUUAUGGAUACAAGACAUCUAAAGCGAGCAGGCAACCUGGGACCGUGAAACGGGAUGGGACACGAUAAUCCUUCCCGUCCAUUUGUGCAACCUGACCCCAAGGACCCCCAGCAAAAAAGAAUUUUCUCUUCCAAGCCCCACCACCACCAGUUGGAAGAUCAGUUAUGGGUUUCAUGCUCUUGGUGCUAGAUUGGAAGUAGUACCAGCCGGCAUCUUUGGGGCUGCUCUUUAGUUGGUACAGAUGCUUAGUCAUCUGAAGUACAUGUUUUUAGGAGAUGAUGAGACACUUCCGGUGAUCAUCUCUUCAAAGCUUAGUACUUUAGAGGAAGAGAAACUUAUUAGAGUGCUAAAGGAUUACAAAAAGGCUAUUGGGUGGACAAUUGCAGAUAUUAAAGGGAUAAGUCCGUCCACGUGCAUGCAUAGAAUACUACUGGAGGAAGAUGCCAAACCUUCAAUUCAAGCUCAAUGCCGUUUGAAUCCACUCAUGAUGGAAGUAGUGAAGAAAGAAAUUCUAAAACUUCUUGAUGCAGGUAUAAUCUAUCCAAUUUCGGAUAGUAAAUGGGUAAGUCCGGUACAAGUGGUACCGAAGAAAACUGGUAUAACAAUUGUUGAGAAUUCUUAUGGUGAGUUAGUACCUACCCGAGUUCAGAAUGGGUGGAGGGUUUGUAUUGAUUUUAGAAAGCUUAAUUCACUCACUAGGAAUGAUCAUUUUCCUAUUCCUUUUAUUGAUCAGAUGCUCGAUAGGUUGGCAAGAAAAUCUCACUUGUGUUGUCUUGAUGGCUAUUCAGGUUUUCAUCAGAUACCAGUUGCGCCCGAGGAUCAGGAGAAGACUACCUUCACAUGUCCUUUUGGAACCUUUGUGUACCGACGUAUGCCAUUUGGUCUUUGUAAUGCUCCCGCCACUUUUCAGAGGUGCAUGGUCAGUAUUUUUUCAGACUAUGUAGAAAACACUAUAGAGGUAUUUAUGGACGAUUUUACGGUCUAUGCUGAUUCUUUCGAUGAUUGUCUCUAUAAUCUGAAGAAAGUGCUUGAAAGAUGCAUUGAAACAAACCUUGUCUUAAAUUAUGAAAAAUGUCAUUUUAUGGUAGAUCAAGGCAUUAUUUUGGGUCAUGUAGUCUCUGCUAGAGGAAUUGAGGUAGAUAAAGCUAAAAUAGAUGUUAUUAAAUCUUUACCUUAUCCCACAUGUGUGCGGGAAGUUCGUUCUUUCCUUGGUCAUGCAGGUUUCUAUAGACGAUUUAUCAAGGAUUUUUCGAAGAUAGCUCAGCCUUUAUGCAAGCUUCUUCAGAAAGAUGUGACAUUUGAUUUUAAUGAAGCAUGCAAGGUAGCAUUUGAUAAACUUAAGGAGUUAUUGACUUCAGCUCCAAUUAUACAGCCACCAAACUGGAGCCUCCCUUUUAAGAUAAUGUGCGACGCCAGUAAUUAUGCUGUUGGUGCUGUUCUCGGACAAAGGGUUGGAAAAGCUGCUCAUGUGAUAUAUUACGCAUCAAGGACACUUGAUAGUGCUUAGUACAAUUACUCAACAACGGAAAAAGAACUUUUAGCUAUUGUUUUUGCUUUAGAAAAAUUCCGUUCAUAUUUAUUGGGUACCAAAGUGAUUGUUUUUUCUGACCAUGCAGCUCUUAGAUAUUUGCUCGCCAAGAAGGAAGCGAAACUGAGACUUAUCCGCUGGAUCCUACUGCUUCAAGAAUUCAACUUGGAGAUCCGUGACAAGAAAGGAACAUAAAACUUAGUUGCAGACCACCUUAGUAGAUUGACCACGAGUGAAGAAGCAGCACUUUUGAAAGAUGAUUUUCCAGAUGAGCAUCUCUUUGUAACUCAAGGUAUGGUUCCUUGGUACGCUGACAAGGACACUACCUAGUGAUCUGACGAGGGCUCAAAAAGAUAAAAUUAAGAGCGAUGCUAAAUACUAUGUUUGGGAUGACCCUUACUUGUGGAAACAUUGCUCUGACCAAGUCAUCAGAAGGUGUGUAUCUGAGUUUGAAAUUCCUUCUAUUCUUCAAUUUUGUCACUCAUAUGCAUGUGGUGGUCAUUUUGGUCUCAAAAUGACAGCAUCCAAGGUGUUAGAAUGUGGUUUAUUUUGGCCUACUUUAUUUCGUGAUUCAUAUAUGUUUUGUAAGUCGUGUGAGAAUUGUCAAAAGACUGGUAAUUUAAGUCAUAGAAAUCAAAUGCCACUUACCCCUAUUCUUGUAUGUGAAAUAUUCGAUGUGUGGGGCAUUGGUUUUAUGGGACCUUUUCCCUAAUCUUUUGGCAAUGCUUACAUUCUUUUAGCAAUGGAUUACGUUUCUAAGUGGGUAGAGGCUAAGGCCACCCGGACUGACAAUGCUAAAGUUGUUGUAGAUUUUGUCAAGUCUAAUAUUUUUGCCAGGUUUGGUGUACCGAGAGCGAUGAUAAGUGAUAGAGGCACUCAUUUCUGUAAUCGAGUGGUGGAAGCUUUGUUCAAAAGAUAUCAUGUUACCCACCGAGUGUCUACCGCUUAUCAUCCACAGACAAGUGGACAAGCUGAGAUAUCAAACAGAGAAAUCAAGUCUAUUCUUGAAAAGACAGUUAGUCCAAAUCGAAAGGAUUGGAGUUUGCGAUUAGAUGAUGCAUUAUGGGCGUAUCGCACCGCUUACAAAACUCCCAUAGGUAUGUCUCCUUAUCGUUUGGUAUUUGGUAAGCCUUGCCAUUUACCUGUAGAACUUAAGCACAGAGCAUACUGGGCGGUUAAGCAAUGCAAUAUGCGGAUGGAUGAAGCGGGAAAGCAGAGGAAGUUGCAGCUGCAAGAGUUGGAGGAGAUUAGAAAUGAAUCCUACGAGAGUUCGUGAUUUUACAAGGAAAAGACGAAGACAUUUCAUGACAGAAUGAUUUUCAGAAAGGAGUUAUCUGUUGGUCAAAACGUUCUUCUUUUUCAUUCUAAACUUAAACUUUUUCCUUGUAAAUUACGUUCUCGUUGGGUAGGACCUUUUAUUGUUACUAAUGUUUUUCCUCAUGGUGCAGUUGAGAUUCGGAGUCCAACCUCUGAUAAAGCCUUUAAGGUAAAUGGUCAUCGUUUAAAACCUUUUUAUGAAGGUUUUUCGGUGAAUAUUGUAGAGGAAAUGGCUCUCGAGAGUCCUAUUUAUGGAGAUUGAUGCAUAAAUGUGUCUAGCCAAAGACAUAAAACAAAAGCGCUUUUUGGGAGGCAACCCAAAUGAUUUGUUUAUUUUGGUUUUUGUUUUAUCUUCUUUUAGUUUUGAUUCAGAUUUUUUUUAAAAUAAUGUGUUUGCUUAUUUUGGCCAGAAGAAAAUUUUUGAUAAGGCGUGCCCACGUUUUAACUAAUAAGUACUUCUGUAAUUUUUAAAGUAAAAUAGUUUUAAGGCGUGCCCACGUACUUAUUAGAAAAGUACUUCUGAAAUUUUUAGUUCUCAAAGUGAAAAAAAAAAAAAUUAAUGUGUUUGCUUAUUUUGGUCAGAAGAAAAUUUUUGAUAAGGCGUGCCCACGUCAUAACUAAUAAGUACUUCUGUGAUUUUUAAAGUAAAAUGGUUUAAAGGCGUGUCCACGUGCUUAUUAGAAAAGUACUUCUGAAAUUUUUAGAGUCUCAAAGUGAUUCAUUAAAAAAAUAUAUAUUUUUUAAAAAAAAUAAUUUUAUUUUAUUUUUUAAAAAACAAAAAAUGAAAAAAAGAGCUUUUCUUUUGUUCUUCUUUUAUAUAUUUAUUUAUUUAUUUAUAAUAAAAAAAUCAUCAUUGUUCAAAAAAAAAAAAUUUACUGUUCACAAAAUCCCUAAUUUUCCAGAUCUUGUUUUCUUCUCCAGCCGCUUGCAGCACACCAGCAGCAAACCAGCCCGCCGGAAAAUGCAAGCCCCGCAACGCAGCGCGAACCAGCAACGCAAACCACCAGAGCGCAACGCAAGCCCCCGCGCGCGCAGCACCAACAGCCCACGAAGCAGCCGCAGCAACACGAAGCAUCUCUCACGCACAACAGCCCCGCAGCGCAACGAACCAGCAACGCGAACCAGCUCUCGCGUGCAACAGUCCCGCAGCAACAAGCCGCCCCGCGCGCGCAACACAGCCACGCACCAGCAUCCCGCACGCAACCAGCAGUGCGCAACCAGCCCCAAGCUGCGCAGCAAGCUCAAGCCGAGCAGCAAUGCAACGCAACUAGCCUACGCCCUGUAUUCCAGCCGGGUAAAUUGAAAUCCGUGAGUGCAAUUAUUGUAACAAUGCCAAAGAGGAAAGCAUCUACUUCCAAGUCAUCGAAAAAGACACCCGUCGCAAAGAAAUCUAAGAUUGCCGCUCCCACUACGGUUCCAUGGAACACAAUUUCAUAUUCACGCCAAGCCGUGAGACAAAGAUCGAAACAUGGAAAAGGCAUGAGUGUUUUGCCACUUACGGAAUCCAAUCUCGGAGGGUGCCUCGCAUUCGCGACUCAACAAGAGAAAGAGAGGUACAAAGAUAUUUCCACGCGCAAAAUACUUCCAGCUAAGUAUAUUCAUUACCCGACUCUUGAAAAAUUGAAUGUUAAGGAUAAUUUUGAUUCUUUGAUAGAUAAGAUUGGGUUGCGUAAAUUUUUUGAUGUUGAUUGUUUGGGUUAUGUUGAGUUGAUUAGGGAGUUUUAUGCUACUUUUCAAUUUAAUAUGCCGAAUGAUUUUACUUUGCAUACCCUGGAUGUCAUUAAGUUUAGGUUAAUGGGAUGAAAUUUUUCACUCUAUCACGGAUUUUAACUAGCUUUAGGAUUCAUUGAUGAUGAUUAUUCUUCUAGUGAUGCAUAUUUAGGAACAACUUGUGACUUUAGCGAAAAUUUUGAGCCUUAUGGUCUUUGGCGUAAUUUAUCUGUUGAUCACAAUGCCUAUGACCCGAGCAAAUCAAAGAGUUCUUUCUAACGUGAUCCUGUUUUGAAAUGUGUGCAUCGAUUCUUAGCAUAUAAUUUUUUAGGCAAGAAAGAUCACUCAUGAGUUUUCUCUAAAACUGAAUUUUAUUUUAUCUGGUGCAUGUUAAAUGAUGUGAGGCCUAAUUUAGGUUUUUGGUUAGCGGAUCAAUUUCAAAGUGUGCUUAAACGGUAUAGGACUUUAUUUCUUGGUCCAUACAUUACUCUGUUAGCUAUAAACCUAUGUGUGCUUGAUCCCAAUAAUAAUGAUUUGCAUCCUGCUUGCAAAAAGGAAUUUUUUGAUAUGUCUGUGUUUGAAAGAACAGGUGUGGUCGAAUUCAAGGAGGGGAGAUUUCAAUUUACUGAACCAGGACCCACUCAAAUUCCAAAGAAGCUUUAUGCUAGGAGUGCUGCUACCUCUAAUGACGAGUUUGACGACGACACUGCUGCCCCGCCAACUAUUCCUUCUACAUCCGCACCACCUUUGAGCAUUCAGUUAGAGAAAAUGGAGCACAAGCUGAACAAGAUGGAGCAUAAUUUGGCCGCAUACUUCGAGAGUGUGGGAUUUACCCCACCAUUUCCGCCAAGCCCAUAAACGUUAUGUGGAUCAAAGCUCACAAUUCAGGGAAGUUUCUUUUUGCCUUUAAUCUUUUAUCCUUACGCUUUAAUUUUUAUGUGAGCUUUGAUUAUCUUACAUUAGGGACAAUGUAAGUUCUUGGUGUGGGGGAGGGAUUUUUGCAUUAUUGAUGUCUAGAAGUAGUAUUUUCACUCUACUCAUCCUUAAAUGAUUUUGGAGUUAGUAUGCUUCAUAUAUUAUUAUUUUUUUUCUUUUCUUUUCUUUCUCACUACUCUUUUCCCAUCUAUCUCAAAUUAUUUACAUCUAUUUUUAUUCUAUCAUGCUCUUUCAUCACUCACAUUUUAUCUUUCACUUUUCAUAUUACUACAUACAUCUUUCUCACUUCUUAUCAUUUUUACAUUUUUUUUUAUAUAUCACUCAUACCUUCUUCUCAUUCUACACCACUAUUGAUGGUUGAUUCAUUUGAAGAGUGUACAUGAUUUGAUGGCAAAUUUACCAACUUUGUGAGGAUUUGAGCCUAUGAGCAACCACUUUGCUCUAAUAUUUUUGUUAUGUGAAUAUCAAUCUUAGUUUGUUUAUUCUAGAACUUGCUUUGUUAUGCAUGUUGAAGCCGCAUUACGGGAUUUUAUGCAUUAAAAUGAUAAGGGCAAACCCUUUUCCAUUUUUCUAUUCUCGCAUUUUUUUUUUCUCUACCCGAAGACCUUUAUUUGCUAUCUUUGUUUGAGCCUUAACCAUUACCCAUCUAAUUUUCUCCGUCUACUUAACCAUUUUUCUUCUUUUUUAGCCUCAAUUUAAGGAGAUUUUUGGACUCAUUGUGUGGAUAUAUUUUGUUGCUUUUUCUACCUUGUAAUAAAGUUUCUCAAUUAGAUCAACAAGCAUUAUGCUUGAAUUAAAUUGUGCAAGGUUCGUUUCUUUUGUUUGAUUCAAAAACAACAAAAAAAAGAAAAAAAAUUGAAAAAAAAAGAGAAAAAAAAUGUUUACAUUCUUGGUGACUUGAGUAGAAAUAAGCAUUUUGAUAUCAUAAGUUCAUUCAAUGAGUUCAUUCUUCUCAUUUUGAUCUCUUUUUCUUUCGUAAACCUUUCUUUUUCAUUCAACCUAUUUAACCCCAUUACAACCCUUUUAAGACCCUUAGAUUUUUGCAUUUUAUUCAUGUUUUGUGGAUUGAGAUGUGAUAUAUGAGCAAGCUUAUGGUAAUAGCAUUCUUUGAUUUGAUUUGAGUGAAUAAAUGACACCUUAAACACUUUGAGUGCAUGGAGUGAAGUUAUUGAGAGGGCUAUUAAAUCUUGUUGCACUUGAAUUUUGAAUGGAUCUUCUUGGUGGUUGAAUGUUCUUAUUCUAUCUUAUGAAAUUCUAUGCUUUAAAAUCCUUGUCUCUCGAAUGUUGAUCGACUUAAUUUCUUGAGGUAUGCUUGCUUAAAAUUGUUUUUGGAUGAGUUGAGAUGAGAAUUGAGUGGAGAUUUGAGAUUAAUCUUGAGUUAUAUGCUUGAGGACAAGCAUCAUCUUGGUGUGGGGGAAUUUGUUAGAGUGCAAUUUAUGCACUAGUUUUGCAUUGUUUACUUCUUUUAAUAUCGAUGUUUUGCACUUAAUAAUAGUGAUUUACUUGUGUUUUACUUUUGUAGGUGCAAUUCUAUUGAUUAGUGAUAAAAUUGAGCUACAAGAUGAUGUUUAAGGAUGAUUGUUCUCUUGGAGAAAUUAUGAGCGGCAGAAGAACUUUGUUGAUAAGGCGUGGGCGCAUGCUGUCAACUGUAAACCUGCAGUUUUUAGUUUAACGUGUUUUGUAUUUUUGGUUAUUUUUGUAAUUACGGAUUUAAUAUUUCAGAUAUUAGUAUUUUAUUUUAAAUAGAAUUCUAGAGGAGAAGAGAGAGAGAGUAUUUAAGGGAGUAAUCUAUUGUGAAAAAGGGGGGAUUUUGAUUGGAGAAAAAGAAAGAAACCCUAGAUCUAAUUUUUCUCUUCUCUCUAUAAAGAACUAAACUUAUUUUUCUAGUUGAAGGUUAAUGAAGCUUUGAUUCAUCACUACUGUGAGAUCUUUCUUAUGCUUUAAUUAUUUUAUUACUUUUUGGGUAUUUGUUUAUUCUCUGAAUUAGUUUCAUGAUUAUGUUUGUUAAUUAGGUAAUUGGCCACUAUUUAAUUAUCAACUUAAUCUAUUGUCAAUUAAAGGAUUCAUCGUAUGAAGAUUUUAAUGUUUGUGACAAAUAACAUAGCAGAGAGUUGUGUUGUGAGAAUAAACAAUCUAAUUUAAAUGAAUCAUCAUAUGUGUUGAUUAGGAUUUGGGUCUCUCUGGUUUUUCAGGCUGUCAAUUGAUUAAUUCCUAUGAUCGUAUCUAGGGUUGUCUAUUGAUUAGGGAAAUAACCAACGGUCGUACCUUGGUUAUCGACUAGUUAAGGAGAGAUUGGCUAUUAGAGGGUCUCAAUAGCUAUAACCGGUCUAUUCAUAAGUAAUAAUAAUCUAUAUUUGAAUCAAUGAUCAGUAGUCGAAUCAAGCUGAGUUAAUUCCUUCAACCAGAGCUUUCUUCAAUUUGAAUUACAACUUUAAUUUGCAUUCUUGUUAUUUUAAUUUGAUUUUUAUUAUUGUCAACAAUUCCCCCAUUUUAUGUUUUGCGUUUCAAAAGGAUUUAAAUAAUUACCAAUCUCUGUGGACACGACCCUGCUCAAUCACUAUACACAAUUUAUUUAGAGUAGGAAUUUAUUUUUGUUGGCUUCAACAACCAUCAGGCAUUCCCUUCUUGAAGAAAGAAUGCAAAGAGCCCAAGAAAGCACUAUCCAUUAGACACGUUAAGAAUUAUUUUGCUUUUCAUUAAAAAUGAUAAUAAUUAUAAUAAAUUAGAUUGAAUUAAUAAUAUUUGCAUGUGGUAUAUAAAUAAUCAGUUUAGUCACUAAUUAGUCACUGUCCGAUUAUCUUCUCUUUCAUCGACUUCGAAACUGGGACUUCUGAGUUGGAUUAAGAAUUGAAAAAAAUGUUGCAACCCAUAAAGCGCGUAAAAUUAAUUAAAGGGCGCGUAAACUAAUUCUUCUUCUUAAAAGAAAAGUUUUGCAGGGAGAUUGAAAAAAGGCUAAUUCGUAUUGAAGAUCAUAAAUGAGUAUCUGUCACAAAUAGAUCCUUCUGGGCAAAAAUAUUAUUUUAUCAUCUAUCACUAUAAGAAUGAGAUGAAAAUUGUCCUCAUUUAAAGUAUUGACAACAAUGUUAUACUCAAUAUAAUGUAUAAAGCACGCAUAAUUUAAUAAUUGGGGCUGCUAAUAUCUUCCACGUAAUUGGAAGCUCAAAGAGUUUCCGUAUUAGCCGAAUCUAAGCGAUAAGUGUUUCCAUGUGAGCCAUAAUUUGGGAAAAAGACCAAUUCAAGUUAAAGAUCAUGGAAAGAGAUCCUUCUGUCUUUGGCGUAAUGCUUGGGCAACGUAAAUUGACUUUACAUUAAAACAAAACAAAACAAACACUGUCAACAAGCAUUAAUGUCAUUUGAUGCAUGAAAGACAAUUAGUCCCAUUUUUUGUCCUGUUUACUUGACUUGGGCAAUUUACCGUCAACUUUUCUCAUCUACGUCAGGUAAUGUGGCUUUUAUUUGGAAUGAAGAAGCCAAUACUUGGACCGAGUGUAGCAUCACUGAUUUGUAUAUUUUUCAGGACUAAGUAAAUUAUCUCAAUUUAAAAAAAUAUAUAAUUACAAUUAUCGAUCGAACACCACUGAUUCCAACAAUUUAUCCAAAACUAUCUUUGAGUUUUAAGGAAUGUAACAUUUAUGAUAGAAUGGUCAAGUCUUUCAACUUUUUAGAUAUUUGAUAUAUGCCAUGUUCUAACUUACAAUGAGAAUAAAAUUAUAGUAUAAUUUUUUUAAAUUAGUGGAAUUAUUUUACGAUAAAACUAUCACAACAACAUUUAAAUAUAAAGUUAUUCUUUAAUUUUUCACUACUUUUAGUGAUAUUCUUAAACUCUUUUCUGAAUGGAGCAUGAAAGGACUACUUAUCUAGAUACGUUUUUUAUGCUUUCACUUCGCUUGAGCCUAGAACUUACAACUCGUAUUUUACGUUUCUCUUACUUUCUCUUCCAUUUUCCCGACUCCCAAACACCAUCAAUCCUUGAUGUUGUAGAGUAUUGGCUGUCUAGUUCUACAAACAUAAUAAAGAAAACAAGAGACAGCUGCCAUAUAUAUUCCAUAUUAAUUAGUCACCGUCCGAUUGUUUCCACUCCCACUGACUCUGUCGAUUCAUGCUCUGAUGAAGUGAAACGCUUAACGCACUAUUGUGAUGCGGAGGAGAGGAGGAAAAACACAAUUUUAUUAUUGCAAUCCUGACACGCGCAAAGAGCUUUCUUACUCGGCUCGGCGGCUAAUUCUUUAUAAUUUGUUAAAACUCAUUUAAUUGAUGAAUGUGACAUGAAGCUCUAUAAAUAGUUUAAUUUGUAAAAUUGUUAAAAUUUUAAAUUUCAAGUAAAGUAGAUAAAAUUAUUAACGUUUUUCAAUAUUUAGAUAAUUGAUAUACGUCAUUUACUGUGAGCGAAUGGCUGAAAUUUUUCAUAGAAAACACAAUGCUUGUAUUAAAAAUUUUAAGUGCGAAUCCAUUUAUUGUAAUCAGAUGAUGUGAUUUAAUUAUUUUUUCCUUUUGCUUGAUGUCCUGAAAAUUAUGAAUGCUUUGCAGGAUGUGGAAUAUUAAAAUUUUUAAUGCAUAUUCAUAUUGAAAACUGAGUAAACAUAACAUUAUUGCUUCUAUAAAUAGAUCAUUUCAACUUAAAACCUGUUACUUGUAUUUUACAUUUCUGUUCCUUAUCAUAAAGUUUUUCUCUGUUUUUUUUUUUUUUGGGUUUCACUUUUUCUUCCACUUUCCCGACCCACAAACACCACCAAUCCUUGAUUCUUUUCCUAGAGUAUUAGCCGUCUAUUGUUACAAACAUAGACAUACUGUUUGUCUAAUUACUAUUAAGAAACAACAUACUCUGUUCUGGGGUCUCUUCGUUUACUGACUUAUGUGACACGUUAAGAAUUAUUUUGCUUUUCAUUAAAAAUGAUAAUGAAAGAAUGCAAAGAGCCCAAGAAAGUACUAUCCAUUAGACACGUUAAGAAUUAUUUUGCUUUUCACUAAAAAUGAUAAUAAUUUUAAUAAAUUGGAUUGAAUUAAUAAUAUUUGCCUGUGUGAUAUAAAUAAUCGCUUUAGUGUCGCCCCAUCAUUAAUGAGUGACUGUCCGAUUGUCUUCUCUUUCAUUGACUUUGAAACUGUGACUUCUGAGUUGGAUUAAGAAUUGACAAAAACUGUGACUUCUGAGUUGGAGAUCAAUAAUUUUGUAAACAAGCCACCGUCUACGACCGUGGGUUGAAAGGAAAGAGGAUUAUGUUUUCAUUGUUUUGUACUUUGUUUCUGUUAAAGUAAGGUAAACAUCUUUCUUUUGCUUUGGCCUUUACUCUUGACUGUAUUUCAUGGUCAUAUUCAAUCUCAAUCUUCUGUAGGUUUGUGGCUGUUUUAUGAGUUACGAUUUUUUAUAGGGUUGCAUGUAGAUGAUACAUUUAUAUACAUUUUUUCUUUUUUCUUUUCUUCUUCGGUGAAGAUACUAAAAUUUAGUUUUUGUUAUCAUGUGAAAUGAAAAUAGUCCUCAUUUCAAGGAUUAAUGGGCCACUAAUUUCGUCUUCUUAAAAGAAAAUUUUUUGCUGCGAGGUAAUUGGAAGCUCGAAGAUUUCUAUAUUACAUAGCCAAACCUAAGUGAUAAGAAUUUCCGUAUGAGAUAUAAUUUGGAGAAAAAAAAAAACCAAUUCAAGUUAAAGAUAAAAAAAUCUGUGUUCCUUAAAAAACAUAAUUCAAGCCACACAAUUUUUCUUGUUUUAUUUGAAAAAAAGAAAAUUGUGUUCCUCACAAAAACACUUUAACAUUUGUUGUCUCAUAGAGGGAAAUGUCCUUCACUCUUUGACGUGUCCCUGGGGCAAUGUAAACAUUAAAACAUUGUCAUGUAGUUAAAACAUUGUCCACAAACAUUGUCAUGUAGUUAAGAAAAAUUUAAAUUUGACAAGUGCAAGAGAUUGGUGGGACUCAUUUGAUUCAAGAAAAACAAUCAGUCUCAUUUGAUACGCAAAGGGCUUUUUUACUCUGCAGCCAAUAUUUUGAUGAAUGUCACAUUACUGGUUUGUAUAAUUUUUCGGACUAAUAUAUUAUCUCAAUUUUAAAAAAAAAAUGCAAUUGCGAUUAUCAAACACGACUAAUCCCAACAAUUUAUCCAAAAAUUUGAGUGUCAAGAAAUGUAGUAUUUAUGAUAGCAUGGCUAGUUUUUUCAAUCAAACUUUUUAGAUAAAUGAUAAAUCAAUAUAUGACAUGUUACUAUCUUACUAUAGGAAGAAAAUUAUGGAAUAAUUUUUUGAAUUAAUAGAAUUAUUUUACGACAAAACUUUCACAAUCUAUUUUUAAAAAUAAACUUAUUCUUUAAAUUUCUCGUUACUACUCCUACUUGUCCUGUUAUACUACUUAAUGGCACUGGUGAAGCCUUGAAUUAUCAAACAAAAAGCAAAAACACUUCAACAUCUGUUCCACUGAGCACUGUUAAAAUCAUACGAUAAAAUGAGUACUUAUGUUAAAAAAAAAAAAAAGAAAAACAAUCAGUCUCAUUGCGUCCUCUUUCAUUGACAUAGGCAAUUUGCGGUCAACUUGUGGUACCCUUAUUGACACAUAAAGAUCUUUCUUACACUACGGCCAACACUUACUUUCAGGACUGGUAAAUUUUUCAAAUGUAACAGAAAAAAAUACAGAAAUAUAAUUUCAAUUUAUCCAAAAAUUUGAGUUUCAAGGAAUAUAGCAUUUCUUAUGUGUCAUGUUAAUAUAGAGAAGAAAAUUUUAAAAUUUAUUUUUUGAUAAAAAAACUCACAAUCAUAUUUACAAAAAAAAAGUUUUAUUUAAAAAAAAUUCACUCCUCUUCCUACAUAAUUUAAGAAUUUAACAUUAUAAAUUAAGCUUUUUAAUCAAAGUAAUAAUCUCUCCUUCGGUGCGCAAAUGCUAAAAUUUAAUAUUAUAUCCGUUGACGAUAUUUGAUCCAAAUUCAGAGAAUAAAAAUUCUAACAGAAUUAUGAAAUUCGUUACUAGAAAUUUGUAUAAAAGUCACGAGAAUAGAAGGUUUGAUCAUAGGAAAUUAAUAUGUCCCUAUCCGAUGCAAAAAUGAUUAAAAAGAAAAACAAAAGUCAUGGGCUUAUUUAGAAAAAAGAAAAAAUUACAUUUCAGCUUAACGCAUGCCAGUCUUUUUCUCCUCUACUUUCUUAGAAAUUUUGGUUUCACUAUAAAUUCUUGGUAUAUAGCAAUCUUAAGAGUGUCUUGCAUUACCAAUCCAAUUAAGCACACACUUACAAUCUAAAAUACUCUCAUCUCAUGGAAAAGCGUCAUUCACUCAGCAUUAUGAGCAGAUUUCUCUUACUCCGUUGUUUGAUUCUUAUUUCCUUAUUUAUCGCAGCUGCAACAGCCAACACAAGUACUAUUACCACAGACCGAGAUGCUCUGCUUGCCCUGAAAGCUCACAUAACUCAUGAUCCAACCAAUUUCUUCGCCAAAAAUUGGAAUACAAGUACUCCGGUCUGCAACUGGACAGGCGUCACUUGUGAUGUCCAUAGCCAUAGAGUCACAGUUUUGAAUAUUUCUCGCUUAAAUCUCACCGGCACCAUCCCUUCUCAGCUUGGGAAUCUUUCUUCUCUGCAAUCACUCAAUCUCAGUUGUAACCGACUUUCUGGUUCCAUUCCCUCUGCCAUUUUCACCACGUACACACUGAAAUAUGUUAGUUUCCGUAAAAAUCAGCUCUCCGGCGCUUUUCCUUCUUUCGCCUUCAACACGUCCUCUUUACAAUAUCUUGAUUUUGGUUUCAAUACACUGUCUGGUGAAAUUCCUGCAAAUAUUUGCAGUAACCUUCCUUUUCUGGAAUACCUUGCUUUGUCCCAAAACAUGUUUCAUGGAGGAAUACCGUCCGCUCUAUCAAAUUGCGCAUAUUUGCAACGAUUAGGUUUGUCAAGCAAUGAUUUCUCGGGGGUCGUACCUAAAGAAAUCUGCAAUUUGACCAAACUUAAGGGAUUAUAUCUUGGCGGUAACAGACUCCAAGGUGAGAAUAAUCACGGAGUUUAAUUAUGAAAAUUGUUCCAUAAGUUGUGAUAUGAAUAAUGUUCCAUACGACAAUUUGCACGCGUUGAUUAAUUUGCAGGAGAAAUUCCUCGAGAGUCUGGCAAUCUUGCCGAAUUGGAGCUGAUGUCGUUAUCAGAAAACGAACUCCAAGGUAUGAUAAUGAACUUUUUGCAAUUUCAUUCUAGCCUCUGGUUGCUUCUGUAUUCAUUCGUUUGUUCGUCAAUUAUGCUCCAUGUUUUAUUGCUCAGUCUAGUGGAUAAUGUUCAGUCUCAGAAUUUAUAAUACCUUGAAGGUUAGUAGCUUUGAAAAUAAGAAACUGCUCAUCUGCUAAAAAGUUAACUUAGUAUUUAAGUUUUUGAAUUGAACAUUUUGAAAAAAGUCUUGAGAACUGGCCCUCCUUAGUAUUUCAGCUGAUAAAUAUGAAAAAUAGGCUAGAAGAAAUUAUUGCUGUGUGUGCUUAACUGCUUAUUCUACUUGGGCUUCUGGCUUGAUUACAUGGUCGAGCACUUACACCUGUUAUAAUAAUAGGCUUUUACUCUCACCACACGUUCGAUAAUUUCUUAACCUUCCCAAUUAGGUUAUAGCAAUUUAUAUAUAAAUAAUUAAAGCAUACUAAAGCUAGCAUACAAUACUCAUGACUUAGGCUUGCUGCGUUACCCAUUACACACGGUCGAACACUUACACCUGUUAUAAUAAUAAUAGCAUCCGCCGAUCGACUAUGAGUGAUCAAAUUGUUUGCACAUAUGUAAUUUGCAGGAGCAAUUCCACGGGAGUGGGGAAAUCUUACAGGAUUGGGGAUCUUACAGCUGUCUGAUAAUUUUUUAACCGGUAUCACUCCUUCAUCUAUCUACAAAUUGCUUUUCUCUAUUAAAUUUGGAACUGUCAUUUAAUAACUUAAUAGGUAACUUCCCUUACAACAUGUCUGUGUGACAUGUUUUGCUUCUCAAUUAAAAUAUUUCACUUCUCUCAUUAUAAAUUCUCAUAUGAGGAUGUGUUGUUAUUACUAUUUAACAUUAUCUCGUUUUUUAUUAGAAAUUAAUUUGUGUUUAUGCAAAAAAAAUUGAGCAUUUAAAAAAAGUAUAAAAACACGUGGAAUAAAUCGAAAAUCUUUCUUCAUUCGUGAAUUUGGAUUUCUAAAAAAUUAUCAUGACAGCUAUGUUAGUGUCUUACUAAUGAUAUGCAUGUGUGACAGCUUCAUAAAUUAUUUUACAUGGAAAAUAUGAAAAAUAGACUUGAAAAAAAAAUUAUUUUACUGAAAUAAUAGUUAAAAAGGGAGGAGAAGUACAGUACUCAUGAAUUAGGCUUGCUGUGUACUUAUUUUACUUGGGCUUCGGGCUUGAUUACACACGGUUGAAUAUUUACAUCCCCCGACAUAGGCUUUUAGGGAUGAGUGGCGUCAAAUGUGUAUCUGCUUUUAUGUAUUAUUAUUCUUUGAAACAAAUCUGAUUAUAAUUCUUUUAAAAUACAGAUUAAAUAGCACGUGAAAUCGGAAAAUAUUUUACUGCGAUAAGAAUUCAUAUAUUCAUUGUACUAGCACAUAUAAAAUAGACUAUAAAUUUAGUUCCAAAAUACAUUCUUAUCUUCAUAUAAAUUUUACAUUAUUAAUUUAAAUUAAUAUUAAAAUAUAUUGUUUCUUUCACUAUGUUAUUUUAUUUACACAAUGAUGUGACAAUUGGAAUGAAUAAUACUUAUAAUUAUUUUGUAAAAAUAUAAAUUUAAUACUUUGUUAACAUUUUAUCUACAUAUAAUAAUUAAACUGAAACUUGUAUUUAAAAAAUUCUAGUUACGCAUAUUCAUUUCAUGACAUAAAAGUGUAUAUUUAUGCUAAUUUACCAUUAUCAACAAAAUGCUUUGAGAGACAAAUAAUCUAAUUUAUAUUUUUAUAUUUAAAAUACUUGCAUUUAUUAUAUUUUGAAAAAAAUUUAUUUGCAAUUAUUUUAAACCGUUGGAUUCAAAUUUUCGUAGCUAUUAAAGUCAAAGGGUAUAAAUGUAUAAUAGUCAAAAACAGAUUUGUAUGAUCAUUUUUCAAUGUAUAAAUUUUCUUAGUUAGUAGGAAAAUUAGAAAUUGUUGAUUUACUCAUAAAUAAAUUUCAUGUUUAGCAUUUCAAUUUUGGAAAACUUGAGCUAAACGUUGAUAACUUCGAAUCGGUCGAGCCGAGUUUCGCUUCCUUGACCCACGGACCCAUUGAAAGUUCUAUUUGAAUUGAGUUUCCCGGUGCUUAUAAAAACCAUUUCUUUUCCUUGUCGCAGUAAUUUAUUCACAAAUGAGUUGAUUAGCAUCAAAGUUACCUGAGAGUCUGAGACCAUGCUAGUAGGAGAAAUUUGAAAAGAAAUUAUUUUACUAAAUUAAUUUAUUUUAUCUUGUUGUAACUGAAAUACUACUUUUUUUUUUGGGCUGUCACUUGGGCUUGAUUUACUUUAAUAGUAGCAGCCACCGACUUAGGCGUUUUUUACUUCUCACCACACAAUUUGAUCUUUUAAUUCGUUUUAACCACAUAAUCUAUCUAUUUCUCACCUAUUGCUUACUUAAAUCGCAUACAUAUUUUACCUACAAAUGUUUAUAAAUAUUAGUCAAAUAUAUUUUAUUACGUUUCUCUCGUAACUGCUCCAAAUGUGUACUAUUAAUACUUAACCCUCCCUUUUAAUUUACCGUGCAAUCUAUCUAUCACUUAAAUCACAUAUAUAUUUUACCUAUAUUUUACCCCAAAAAAUAUAAAAAUAAAAGAAAAAGAAUAUGUGUAGCAAUUUGCAUAUAACUAACAAAGCAUUGACGGUGUGUAGCCUUUCAAUACUUCACGAGUGGCUUUUCUUGUGUGUUAGUACUUGUAAUAAUUGUGUAGUGUAUAAAUGACAUUUUAUUAUUAAAGUGCGUCCAUUUUUAUAUAUUACUUAUUAUUUGAAAAAUAAUCUGAAUAUAAUUCUUUUAAAAUACAGGGGAGAUACCACUUGAAAUUGGUAAUCUCCAAAAUCUGGAGGAGUUGGAGCUUGGUCAAAACAAAUUAAUUGGUACUGUCCCAGUUGCAAUCUUUAAUGUGUCAACACUCAGAUUUCUUGAUUUUCAAGAUAAUUCUCUCUCGGGAAGUCUUUCGUCCAUCGCAGACGUCCGACUACUAAAUCUUCAAGAGCUUCUUUUGUGGGGUAAUAAGUUUAGUGGCACAAUUCCUCGUUUCAUCUUUAAUGCUUCUAAGCUCUCUAUACUAGAUUUGCAAGACAAUUCAUUCUCCAGUUUUAUUCCCAACACAUUUGGCAACUUAAGAAACCUUCAGCGGCUGAGAUUAUAUGAUAAUUAUUUGACAUCUUCAACUCCAGAAUUGAGCUUUCUAUCCUCGUUGUCAAAUUGCAAGUCUUUAACACAUCUUUCCUUAUCAAAUAAUCCACUAGAUGGCAUUCUUCAAAGGACGUCUGUUGGUAAUCUAUCUCAUUCUUUGAAAGAAUUUUACAUGUCCAAUUGUAAUGUUAGUGGCGGCAUCCCUGAAGAGAUCACCAACUUGACCAACUUGACAACCAUUUAUUUAGGGGGCAAUAAAUUGAAUGGAUCAAUUCCGAUUACUCUCGGCAAAUUACAGAAGCUUCAAGGUUUGGGUCUUGAAGAUAACAAAUUACAAGGAUCAAUCCCAGACAAUAUUUUUCGUUUGACUGAACUGUAUGAGUUGGAGUUGGGUGGCAAUAAGCUUUCUGGAUCAAUCCCUGCAUGCUUCAAUAAUCUGGCUUCUCUGAGGAUACUGUCGUUGGGUUCCAAUGAGUUAACUUCUAUUCCCUUAACUUUUUGGAACCUUAAGGAUAUCUUGCAACUCAACUGUUCAUCAAAUUUUUUGACUGGCCCACUCCCAUCGGAGAUUGGAAAUUUGAAGGUUUUGGUUAUAAUUGAUUUUUCGAUGAAUAAUUUUUCAGGCGUUAUCCCAACAGAAAUUGGAGGCCUAAAAAAUCUAGAAUAUCUCUUCUUAGGAUAUAACAGAUUGCAAGGAUCAAUUCCUAAUUCAUUUGGUGACUUGAUAAGUUUGAAAUCCUUGAAUUUGUCUAAUAAUAAUCUCUCUGGAGCUAUUCCUGCAUCUUUAGAGAAACUCUCAUAUCUUGAAGAUCUAAAUCUUUCUUUCAACAAGCUGGAAGGAGAAAUUCCUACGGGAGGAUCUUUUGGAAACUUCUCAGCUGAAUCAUUUGAGGGAAAUGAAUUAUUAUAUGGUACACCCAAUUUACAAGUCCCGCCAUGCAAAACUAGCAUCCACCGCACAUCAUGGAAAAAUUCUCUUCUCCUCAGGAUUGUCUUGCCAUUGAGUACUACAUUUAUGAUAGUAGUCAUUUUGUUGAUCCUAAGAUAUCGACAGAGAGGAAAACGGCCAUCGAAUGAUGCUAGUAUGCCACUAGUAGCAAUGUGGAGAACGUUUUCAUACCUAGAACUCUGUCGAGCAACAGACGAAUUCAGUGAAAACAAUCUAAUCGGCACAGGGGGUUUUGGCUCUGUUUAUAAGGCGAGACUUGGGGAUGGGAUGGAGGUUGCAGUGAAAGUUUUCAAUUUGCAAUGUGGAAGAGCGUUCAAGAGUUUCGAUGUUGAAUGUGAAAUGAUGAAAAGUAUUCGUCAUCGAAACCUUAUCAAAGUUAUUAGCAGUUGUUCAAAUGAAGAGUUUAAAGCGUUGGUAUUAGAAUACAUGCCUCAUGGAAGUUUGGAGAAGUAUCUGUAUUCAAGUAACUGCAUUUUGGAUAUUUUUCAAAGAUUGAACAUAAUGAUAGAUGUUGCAUCAGCUUUGGAAUAUCUGCACUUUGGUUAUUCAGCUCCAAUAAUUCAUUGUGACUUAAAGCCCAACAAUGUAUUAUUAGACGAUAAUAUGGUUGCUCAUUUGAGUGAUUUUAGCAUCGCAAAAUUGUUGGCUGGAGAAGAUCAAUCUAUGACUCAAACACAAACAUUUGCCACAAUAGGCUAUAUGGCACCAGGUUUGUCAAUAUAAAAAUUUUCUAUUUCUUGUAAACUUCCUAAUAAGUUAUUUACGUUUCAUGAUCUUCAUUAGAUGAGGAAAUUCUUAUUAAUGAUAUAUCUUACUAUGUAACUAUUGCAAUUCAUAGAGUAUGGAAGAGAAGGACGAGUAUCCGCAAAUGGAGAUGUUUAUAGCUUUGGGAUUAUGUUAAUGGAAACUUUUACUAGGAAGAAACCCACAGAUGAAAUUUUUAACGGAGAAAUGACAUUAAAGCAUUGGGUUAAUGAUUGGCUUCCCAUUUCCACUAUGGAAGUUGUUGAUGCUAAUUUACUAAGUCAGGAGGACAUACAUUUUGUCGCAAAAGAGCAAUGUGUGUCAUUUGUCUUCAAUUUGGCUAUGGCGUGCACUGGGGAAUCUCCUGAGCAGAGAAUCAAUGCAAAAGAAAUUGUGAAAAAGCUCUUAAAAAUUAGAGACUCAUUACUUAGAAAUGUUGGAGGCAGAUGUAUAAGACAAUCAAAUUUAAAUUGAUUUUGCCCCUCCUUCAUUGCUUGCUAUCCUUUUCAGAGACUUGAACGGUUAUCCUUCAUACAAGUUUUUUUGAUAUGUUUUGUUAUUGCUCUUGCUCAUGUUUAUUUCUCUCUUUCUUUAAUUUGCAUGCAUGUAUUUUUUCAUGCUCUUUUCUGUUUUUGUUGAUUUGUAUGUAGUUUGUUUUUAGGGGUAAGGUUGAUUAUGUCCUCCCCUAAUUAGACGUAUCCUUUUUUUUUUAUUCAAUAAAGCUUCUCUAAUACUAUCGAGGUUCAUCAAAAGACAAUUUUAAAUUAAUUUUCUUUUCUAUGUUAGAUAAUGAAAUUCUAAUCUUCUUAGUGAAUAACUUCAAUAAUAGAGUGUAAGAGUAUUAGUAGUUAUGGUAGUUUUCUGAACCUGGAGUCAAGACCAAUUUAACAGCAACAAACAAGUCUCUUGUAUUAUAGGCAAAAUUCUUUUCAUUAAUCUUAUUUGUCUACAUGUUCUCCUAUUUUCUCCAUUAAUCUUCGCUCAAGGUUUCAUGCUUCCUCUUUGAUAAAGGAAAAUAUUACUUGCGAAUAUUUCAAUUUGACAUAAGAGACUGUUUUGCCAACCAUUUGAUAAAAUGGAUAUGACUGGAGCUUUCAAUCAUUGCCUCCACCAAAAUCCUUACAACGCCACUUUUAAAUUUUAUUUUUUAAAAUACAUUCAGUUUAAUUUAUAAAAAAUAAAUCCAUUUGUUAAAAUUAAUCUUUUUCUCAUAAAUUUCAACCUAAAAAAUAUAUUUCUUUUAAAUUUUUAAUUAUAAAAUACAUACAAAUUCUAAAUUAUUUUAUUAUUUUCUUCCUAUUAUAUAGUUUAUAUCUCCAUAACUCUAAACUCCUAUAAUUUUUAAAAAAUAUUUUUUAAUUUAAAAUAUAAAUAUAAAAUAUAGAAUGGAGUGAGUAUAAAAAAACUUGUUAAAAGAAUAAUGCAUUUAAGUAUUUAACUGAAUUUUAAAUUAAAAUAAGAAAUAAAUUAAUUUAUUUUUAUUAGUUAAGUAAUUUUCAAUUGAAAAAGAGCUUUUAGUAACAUUAUUGAAAUAUGAUUAAAAUUCUAUGAAUUAAACAUUUUCGUAUAAGUACUAGUGAUAAUUACAGAGAAAGUACGAUGAAGUGAAAAAACUUAAAUAUAAAUACUCUAGUAUAAUUUUACACAUGCAACUUAUGAACCAGUGAUCUGUAGAGCAUCAUAAAAUUGUUUUAACACAAUUAAUUGGUUUGAAAAAUUGCCAAUAAUGUCUACAGUGGGAUUUAAAAGAUUAAACUACAUAUAUAAGACAUGAUAUCAUUUAAGACGGCUUACAGAUUAUGAGAAAUAUUUUGAUCUUCCAAAUAUUUAAUAUGUCAAUUAGACUGAGUCUAUACAAUGAAAAUUUCAAAUAAAAAAUAAACCCUUUAUUUUCUUUUAAUCAAAAGUGUGAUCUUAAUUAUUAAAGUCAUUUAAUGUCCAUUACUUAUUCAUUUUUUUAAUUACCUAAAUGACAUUGAAAACUCUACCCAAUAUUAAUUCAUUCAAAUGUUUUGUUUUAAGGUAAUCGGAAACUGCAAAUGAAACAAAUGCUUGAAAUCACAAACGGCCUAAAAUUAGAUUUUCAUUUUUCAAUGUUGCAGUGACUUUGAUCUUGAUAUUGAAAUUUUAUUUGUAACUUAUAUAAAGGCCUCAAUUUUAUCAUAAUUGGUUAGUAAGGCUACGUAGGGAGCAUCGAUAAAUUUUGGGAUUGGAUUAUAUUUUUGGAACUAAAAAAUUAAUUUCAUCCAAUGUUAUGUUUGGCUGUUAGGACUAGCAACUUAGUCUAAAAUUAUUGAAAUUAUUGAUGUUUUAUAUUAUAAUCUUUUCAUUACCACUUUAAACAUUAUUGGUAACUUAAAUCAUUUUUUAAAUUAAAUAUAAAUUUUAAUUUAAUUAAUUAUAAAAAUUAAUUUAAUUAAAUAUAAAAAUCAUUUAAAUUAAAUAUUAACAUUAAUUUCAUAAUUUUUUACCUAGAAUUUUAUAUUAUAUUAAAUACUAAAAUUCUAUUCGAUAAUGUACUAUCAUUUAUUUAAUAAAUGUUUAGUAUGUUAUAUUAUUAUUUAAAUUAAUUUUUUAUUUACAUAUAAACAUAAAUUAAUAUUUACUAAUUAAAGUUAUUAUAAUUUGUUAAAUAAUAAAAGCUAAAUGAUUAUAUUGAAAAUAUAAAUAGUAUUCUAAUGUAUUAUAGUCUAAAUCUUACCCCUAUGAGUUUAUUUUAUACACCUUUUAUUAUAUUAACCACAUUUAUAAUGCAGUGCAAUGUAACAAAAAAUUAUAACCAAAUAUGAGUUAGCAUGAAAAUAAUAUUUUAGUGCAAUAUAAUACAAUGUAAUGUAAGCUAACAAAUGGAUAUUUAAUGGAAGCAAAAAUUGCAUAUGACUUGUGGGUCUCUUAAAAGACAACAAAAAAACCAAUAUGAUACAUUGAUUCUGUCCUCUUUAAUGGUGUCUUUACUAAAUGGGAAUAAGAAUAAGUUAGAAUUGGAGUGAGCUUGAAUCGAAAUAAGGAAUUAUAAUCAAAAUAAGUUGUUUAUUUAAGUUGUAUGAAUUAGAAUCAAAAUAAAUUUUAUUCAAAUUGAUGUGUUUAUUUUCUAUUGAAAUUAGAAUGGACUAUUACAAGUUGCUAAAAAACCAUUUGGUAAUUGUUGUCUCUAGUAUUAUUUGUAUAUGUUAUAAUGGUAACAAUAAUAAGAAUAAAAAUAGUACUAAAAAUGAAAAUAAUAAUAAUAGUAGAGACAAUAAUAAUAAAAUUAAUAAAUUAUUAUUAUUAUUAUUAUUAUUAUUAUUAUUAUUACUACUACUACUACUACUACUACUACUACUACUACUACUACUACUACUACUACUACUACUACUACUACUACUACUACUACUACUACUACUACUACUACUACUACUACUACUGAAGAUCGCUCGGUGAAGAUUGGAUAGUGAAGAUGAAGACGACGAAGAUCCCGGCAACCAACUGCUGUUCCAAAGAUGAUGUGCCCAAAUGGAGACAACCAAUGAUGACUAGCCAACUAGAUCCCAAUCUCGAUGUUGUGAUCUCGUAUGACCACAGAUAAAGCUAUGUGUGAUGUUGGCGUUAUGAUUUCUUUUUUAUUUAUAUUUUUUAAUUUAUUAGUGGUAUUUUCAAAUUUUUGUAAUUUUAAUAUGGACAAAUUGGAUAGUCCAGUAAACAGGAGACUGAUUCGCAACCAUCCUAAGAAUUAGGGCCCGUUUGGUAUCAUUUUCAAGGGCUUAUUUUCAUUUUCGUUUUUGGAGUUUAAAUGUAAUACCCGUUUGGUACGCUGAAUUCAAAAAUAAACUGUAAAACAAAUAAUUCAGAUUUCCAUUUACAGUUAUAAAAUUGAGAACGUGUUUAACACGUUCUCAGUGAAUCACAAACCAAAUUUUAGAAUAAAUCGCAAAACAAAACCCGAUCAAAAUACACCUUUCUCUCAUCUCUCUCAUCCACAGCUCUCUUUCUCUUCGUGACAGUUCUCCAACCAAAAUCAGCUACUGUUACUGCGUCUCAGCUCCAUCUCGACUAGUGGUGGUGGUGGUGGUGCGUCUCUGCUCUGCUUCGGCCAUGGUGGAUCGACUGAUACUGCUGUAUCUCUGUUGAGGAUUGAUUGGUGCUGCUGCUGUUGCGUCUCGGCUCCGUCCCGACUGGUGGUGGUGCGGCCGUUGCUGCUGCAUCUCUGCUCUGCUUUAGGGAGGGCUUAAUUUCAUUUUCUGCUUAACCGAUCGAAUCUAUUUUUCGUUUUGAAUGAUUGCUCGAAGCAUGCCUUCGAUUUUGCAUUUAAUUGGGCAAACAAAACAAAAAAAAAAAUUUAUGGAUUCAUUCGUCAUUUUCACAUGGAUUGAGAUUGACCAUUACAUUUCUUAUUAUUUGUUGGCAGUACAUUAUAAUGAUGACACAUAUAUAAAUCAUAUAAUUAACAUUAUAUUAAUAAUAAAUUUAUACCUAAUAAUAAUAUUGAUACCAAUUAACAUUUUAUAUCAAUUUUUAAAAAUUUUAAAAUUAACAAUUUUUGGGCAAACUAACAAUUGUUAAAAAAAGAACAAAAAGUUACUGAUUAGAUAGAGUUGCUUAAUGCGCAUGGUGUGUUUGUGUAUGUAUUAGUUAAAUUUUUUAGUAAAAAUUAUUUCUGAAAAAAAUAUUACCAAACGCAUAUUUUCUGUUUUUAUCAUUUUCAAUUGUGUCUACCAAACGCAUAUUACUGUUUUCAAUUUUAAAAUAUAGGAUAUAGAAAAUGAUACCAAACGCAUAUUUAAAUUCGAAAUACAGUAACUGUUUCGUUUUUAUUCUCAGAAAAUACAGAUUCAAAAACAAUACCAAACAUGCCCUUAGUCUCUCAUUUUCUAUUUCUAAUUUGAUGUGAGUUCUACUAUUUCGAUUCCAAUUCUUACAUUUAUUUGUGAGACAAAACUAUGGUGCAACUGUAGACUGUAGUACCAUUGGAUCCAGCCACAAUAUCAUCAUGACUGGAUCUAAUGGCUGAAACCUGAAAGUAAUUGUGGUAUGGUACCACAGUUGCACCAUAGUUGAACCUUUAUUUGUGAAGUAAAAUGAUGUUAAUAAUUUCGAUUUUCAAUUCGAGAAGUAAACACAUCAUAAUAUUUUUUUAGAUGCUUCCAUGGCAUAAUCUCAUUGGUCCAUUUUUCUUCACGCCUUAGAUUCAACUUCAAGAUUCAAGAUUCAAUUUGAAGCAAACACAACUGCAAAACAAAUAUAAUAAGCGUUAAUAAGCCUGCGGCUGACUGGCUGUGGCCAAGCAAAUGUAACAUAUAGUGACCGAAUCAUAUCUUAUUAUCUUACGCCUGAAGCAAAACAAUGUUCCCAUUCCACGUGUCACUCUUUGACCAAUCCCCGAACUUUCUUCAUAUUUCCAAAGAAACCCUUACAAAGUCAAGAUAAUUACCUUCACUCUACUCAUCCUUACGGUCUUCAUUUAAAAGGAAAAAUUAUAAAAAAUUCUCCUCAUUCCUUAAAAAUCUAGGGUUUCUCAAGAAUCGCUAAACAUAUAUCCCAAUCAUUCAAAAUCUCAAUUUAACCUCUCUAGGGUUUUGAUUGUCGAGGAUUCGCUUGAAAAUUUAGUAUUUUUUAGUGGAUUUUGCUUGUCUCGUAUGCUUCAAUUGUUGUUCGGUUCUGAAAAUAAUUUGGAAUUUUAGGGAUUUUCAGAUUAUUUAGUUUUUUUUAGUGCAAUUUCCUCUAGUUACGGUUUCAGUUUGAAGGGUUAAGUGCAAUUUCGAAUUUUUUUAUAAAAUUAAAAUUAAAAUUCCUAAAACGAUUGGGCGCUUAAUAAUUAAUUGAUGGCUAGCGAUACUACAACUGCGGCCGCAGCUGCGGAAGAAGCAGAGGCGAUGGAGGAGUAUGAUAGCAAUCCAAAUGAAGUGAAACGCUCUCUUGUGAUGCGCAGAAGGGAUGCCAGCGAUGAGGAGGAGGCGGAGGAUGAGAGAGAUUCAGAGCUUCCAAUCGCUCAAAGUGUCUACAUUCCUGCGGGAGAAGCGGAGGCUGUGGAUGAGUAUGAGAGCGAUCCAGAUGAAGUGAAACACUCUCUCGUUAUGAGCAUAAGGGAAACAAGCGAUGAUGAGGAGGAGUGGACAGAAUUUGAGCGUCGAAUAAAUUGAAGGGUCCAGAUUCACUCUUACAUUGAAUCUGAUGGCCUAAGUGGUGCUCCAGCUGAGUAUGAUGAUGAUGAAGAGGACGAAGAGGAACAUGACAGAGAAUUAGAAGAAGAAGAUGAAGAAGGGGAUGUUUAUGAGUAUGAAGAGGAAGACGAGUUUUAUGAAGAAGUGGAGAGGAAUGACGAGGCGGUUAAAGUCAAAGAAACAGAGGGUAAUGAUGCAAGAGGAGUACAGAGGGCGCAGUGGAAGUGAGUAAAGGGAAUUAUGAUAAUGGCAAUGGUGCUAAAACAAUGAUGCAGCGAAGGAGGGAAUGGAGGAAGGGGAGAAGGAGAGUAAUGAGCCUUUUGCACAGCAGCCGGGGCUUUUUAUAUGGGACAAUGUUGCAGGUCGACACAGGUAUUAUUUGAUUUGAGUCAUCUAUAAAUAACUGAUAGCUGUACUUUCAUUAGGCUUGUCGAUUAGUCUAGUCUCGUUUUUUGGUGCUGUCUAAUGAUUGUUUGCUGGAAUCUGUGUAGAAGGCUUUUGGCGUAGUAGGUUGAAAGGAGAGAAAGUUCUCAAGUAAACAUCUGUGCUUUGUGGAAUAUAAUUAAUAGGGACAAAGUAUACUAAAUUACUUGAUAGAUAGAUGCCGAGCUAAUCAUGAGCUAUGAUAGCAUUAUCCGUGCUUUGUGUAUUUUUAUUAGGGCUUGUCUAUUUCAAAGCGUGGAGUAUAGAAUUUUUGGGUUAAGUUUGAGUGAUGAAGUGUUAGAUAGGUUUCUGUUUUGCAUAGUUAAGCCGUCAAUACGAGCUAUCGAAGCAAAUAUGGAGUAGGAUAUCUAGUUUUGGCUUUGGUCUUAGUUUGAAGAUGGCUACUGAUUAUGCAGCUAGGUACGUAUUAGUGUUUGUGGAUUUCUAAAUGCUUUCUUUUAAAUUUGACUAGAUUAUUACUAGAAGUGCAUGGAUCUUACACUUAAUUAAUUAUAUAUCCAUUUGUAAUGUUCAAAAUGAUAAUGUACUAUUGCUUGAAAUUAUGCUUUCAAGACAUCAUUUUGAAAAUCCAUGGUUAUAAUGUGUCUCUAAAUUCAGUAAUACAAGUUCUAUCAAUUGCUGUUGGAUGCAGUGACCUGAAUAGUUUAAUAUUCAUUUGCAGAAGAGUUGAGAAAGAAAACUAAAAAUUUCGGUGCGUUCUGCUGGAAAUUUAAUUAGCUUCAUUUGAGCAUUAAUUACCGGCAUGAUCUCUUAGACUUCUCAUUGCAUUGAAUGAAUGGAUGAGUGCUAAUCCAUGCAAAGACUUCCAUGCAUGCACAAUGAAUGCUACAUCAAAGGUAUGGGAAAAUGUCAGCAAGCUUGGCCCAAAUUAUCUAGCUGGUUUGGUGGCUGCUAGAUUUGUUCAUCCGGAUUUUGGACCAUUUUCCUUGACAAUGAGAAAAGCUCCAAGAUCUGUAAAUCAAAAACUCAUUGAAGUGCCAAAAGAGAGAUGGAAGUGAAUAACUAGAGAGUUAGUGAAAAGAGGGUGCAGUGAUUGUGUGGGAAUCUUUGGGUAUAAUUGGGGUUUGGAUGUGAGAUAAAAUAUUUUGAGAGUGAGGUUGUAACAAUUUUUCACGUAGGGAAAUUUUUUAUCUCGUUGUCCUUGGCAACUGUGGUUUUUUAUUUGGGUAAUAGAGUUUUUCAGGUAACUUUUUUGUUGUGUGAUCUGAGUAUUCUCUAUUGUAUUUCUUUUAUUUGUUAUUUAUUUGAUGUAUUGCUAGCAGAGAUCUUGGGUGGGAACCAAAAAUUCCCAACAAUUGUCAGUUGUUUUAAACGCUAUUCCGAACAGAGCAUGAAGGGAUUCACUUAUCUAAUUAUGUCAUUUAUGCUUUAACUUCACUUCAUUUCAUCUUGUCCGUCACCUUUACUAAAGUUGUGUAUGUUUGAGUAUUAGGUUCAUCACAAGGAUCAUAUUAUGUUUGAGUAUUUGGAUUCAAGACUGUUAUAAGGUUGUUACAGAUGCAAUGCUGUUGCUGUGUAACUGUAUGCCAUGCUCGCAAGUGCGCUGUAACAGAUUGCUCAGCUGGCACCGGAUAUUUUAAGCUAAUUUUGGUAAUUAGUCUAGAGUGUUCUGAUUUAUUCUAUAAAUAGCUCAUUUGAGCGUAGAACCUUUAAGGUGUAUCGUACAUCUCUGUUACUUCUAAUAAAGGAUUUCUUUAUUCCUUUUUCUUUCGCUUUCUCUUUCAUUUUCAUGAUCCCCAAACACCAUCAAACAUAGAAUUGCUGUUUUAAGAAACAAAGUACUCUAUCCUGUCACCCAGCGGUCUCCUCGUUUAUCGACUUGUGAACAGGGCUAAAUAAAGGGCAAAGAUAUUAGGCAAAUGGACAUAACGUGACAAGUUCUUGAAUUGAAUGGCUCCUCAUUUCUUCAUAAAUCUUUGCUUAAUUUUUUUUGUUCCCUCAACCUUUUUUGACCUUUUGCGCUAAAAUUCUUUUUUUUAUACAUUAUGCAAAAAUUGAUGAAAAUGAGUUACUUUAGAACAUCAAUAAAUUUUUAUUACAUGAUAAGACAAUAUCAAUAAAUUUUUAUUACAUGAUAAGACAAUUAUACUUAGAUUACUCUUAUUUAGUUGAAUUAUAUGUAAUAAAAUUAGUUUAACAAAAUUUAACCCGCAAAUAUUCCUCAUCAUAUGAUUAACGUACUUAAAAAAUCAUAACUGAUCGGCCGCUUGUUUUACUAUAAAAGAUUGGUGUGAUUUAAUUAUUUUUCUUUUUGCUUGGUGACUGUAAAAUUAUGAAUACUUUGGUAAAUAAGAUAAUUAUAAACACCAUUUUGAAAAUCCAUGGCCAUGGUUGUGAUGUGUCUUUAUCAAUCACGGAUACAAAAAUUAAUCAAAAUUAUCGAUUGUUUUAAAUUCUGUUUUUAACAGAGCAUGAAGAUGUCGCUUAUCUAGAUUUACUUUUUAUGCUUUGACUUCACUUAAUACAGCUUCUUCCUCCUUUAACUGUAUGCCAAAUGAUUACUACCAAAUUAAUUUCACAAAUUAAUAAGCUAACCUAAUUAAUUUGCAGCAAGGUAAUUGGAAGCUCAGAGAGUCUGUAUUAGCCGACUCUAAGCGAUAAGUGUUUCCAUGUGAGCCAUAAUUUGGGAAAAAGACCAAUUCAAGUUAAAGAUCAGAAAAGUCUGUCCCGCACGAAUACAAUAAUUCGAGCCACACAUUCAUCAAACGCUUGCAUUGCAAAUACACUUCAACAUGUUGUCUCAUAGGGAGAAAUCCUUCACUCUUUGACGUAAUGCUUGGGCAACGUAAAUUAGUCCCAUUUUUUGAUGCAUGAGAGAUAAUUAGUCCCAUUUUUGUCCUGUUUACUUGACUUGGGCUAUUUGCCGUCAACUCUUCUCAUCUACGUAGGUAAUGUGUCUUUUAUUUGGCAUGAAAAAGCCAAUACUUGCACGAGUGUAGCAUCACUGAUUUGUGUAAUUUUCAGGACUGGUAAAUUAUCUUAAUUUAAAAAAAAUAUAUAAUUACAAUUAUCGAUCGAACACCACUAAUUCCAACAAUUUAUCCAAAAAUAUCUUUGAGUUUCAAGGAAUUAAUGUAGCACGAAUGGCCAAGUUUUUCAACUUUUUCGAUAUUUGAUAUAUGUCAUGUUCUAACUUAGUACGAGAAGAAAAUUAUAGAAUAAACUUUUUAAAAAAUUAGUGGAAUUAUUUUUCGAUAAAAUUAUCACAAUCACAUUUAAAAAUAUUCUUUAGAUUUUCACUAUUUCUACUGUUAUUCUUUAAACUCUUUUCUGAACAGAGCAUGGAGGGUCACUUAUCUAAAUAUGUUUUGUGUGCUUUCACUUCACUUGAUUCAUCUUGUCCCUCUUUUAUAGCUUCUAUCUCGUGUGAGCUUUGAACCUGCAACUCGUAUUUUACGUUUCUAUUACUUUCUCUUUCAUUUUCCCGACUCCCAAACACCAUCAAUCCUUGAUGUUAUAGAGUAUUAGCUGUCUAUUUGUACAAACAUAGAGCUACUGUUCGUACUUUAGAUCUUCAGAUGGUUAGCUAACUAUUGUUUGAAUAUUAAAAUUAAUUUGUUAAAUAAAUGAAGAAAACAAGAGACAAUUACCAUUCAUAUUCCAUAUUAAUUAGUCACUGUCCGAUUGUCUCCGCUUCCAUUGAAUCUGUUGAUUCAUGCUUUCAUGAAGUGAAACGCUUAACACUCUGUUCUGAUCCGCAGGAGAGGAGGAAAAACACAAUUUUAUUAUUUCAUUCCUGACACGGGCAAAGAGCUUUCUUAGCCGGCUCGGCAGCUAAUUCCUUAAAAUUUGUUAAAUUUCAUUUAAUUGAUGAAUGUGACAUGAAGCUCUAUAAAUAGUUUAAUUUGUAGAAUUGUUAAAAAUUUAAAUUUCAAGUAAGGUAGAUAAAAUGAUUAAUGUUUUUCAAUAUUUAGUAAUGAACAUGUGUCGUGUUACUAUGAGUGAAUGAAUGAAAUUUUUGAUAGAAAAUACAAUGCUAGUAUUAAAAAUUUUAAGUGCGAAUCCAUUUAGUGUACGUUAUCCAUAAAAGCAAUUGCGAGUCUUGUUUCCCAUUUUGUUUAAUUUUCAUAAAUUUGACUCACGAUCAAUUACGAGUGAAGAGUUUGUUGGAAAAAUCUGGUCUUCCAUUUAUUGUAAUCAGAUGAGUGUGAUUUAAUUAUUUUUUUCUUUUACUUCAUGUUCUGAAAAUUAUGAAUGCUUUGUAGGAUGUAGGAGAUUAAAAAUUUUAAUGCAUAUUUAUAUUCAAAACUGAGUAAACGUAACAUUAUUGCUUCUAUAAAUAGGUCAUUUCAACUUAAAACCUGUUACUUGUAUUUUACGCCGUUUCUGUUUCUUAUCAUAAAGAUUUUCUAUGUUUUUUUUUUUUCACUUUUUCUUCCGUUUUCCCGACUCCCAAACUCCACCAAUCCUUGAUUCUUUUCCUAGAGUAUUAGCUCUCUAUUAUUACAAACAUACAGUCUGUCUAAUUACCAUCAAGAAACAACAUACCUUGUCCUGGGGUCUCUUCGAUUAUUGACUUGUGUGACUUGCGAACGGGGGGCAUUCCCUUCUUGAAGAAAGAAUGCAAAGAGCCCAAGAAAGUACUAUCCAUUAGACACGUUAAGAAUUAUUUUGCUUUUCAGUAAAAAUGAUAAUAAUUAUAAUAAAUUAGAUUGAAUUAAUAAUAUUUGCAUGUGGGAUAUAAAUAAUCAGUUUAGUCACUAAUGAGUGACUGUCCGCUUGUCUUCUCUUUCAUUGACUUUGAAACUGUGACUUCUGAGUUGGAUUAAGAAUUGAAAAAAAUGUUGCAACCCAUAAAGCGCGUAAAAUUAAUUAAUGGGCCACUAAUUCUUCUUCUUAAAAGAAAAGUUUUGCAGGGAGAUUGAAAAAAGGCUAAUUCGUGUUGAAGAUCAUAAAUGAGUAUCUGUCAUAAAUACAAGUCAAGCUACACAAUUGUUCUUGUCAUACUAUUUAUUGGCACUUGUGAUCCUUGAAUUAUCAAACGAAUAGCAACAACACUUCAACAUCUGUUGUCACAUGGAGGGAAAUCCGCUGCCUCUUUGAUGUAAUACUUGGCAAUAUACAUUGACUUUUCAUUAAAACAAGCAUUGGCAUAUUGUCAUUUUCAAAUUUUUAACGUCUUGUAAUUAAAGAUUCCUAUAUCACAUUAUAAUUUUCAAACAAAUCUAAGUGAGUCAAAUCAAAUUUAGAAAUUUGAGGUCUACUAUAGACUUUUGACAUAUUAAAUUUAAGACAAUUAAGUAAAUGCUAGACAAAAUCUAACUUGCAAAUAUACCUUACCACAUGAUGAACGUACUUAAAAAUCUUAAUUGAUUGCUCACCAAUUAAUUGUUGUUUUACAGUUUGGUUUGAAUGGUUAAGUUCAAGUUCGAAUUUUCUUUUUGUAAUUUAAAUUAAAAUUGAUAGAACAAAUGGGCUGAUCAGUAUGAUGAUGAAGAAGAAGAAGUAAAAGCUAUUAAGCAUUAUCCUAUCACCAUAUCAAAUGGACCGAAUUCAAUCAAAUGAAAUCUAGAAAAUAGAGCAGCUCAUAGAUGUACGUCGCUAAGUGGAGGUUCAUUUGGAAGUACUUGGUCGAAUUGCGACUUGCGCCGGAGGCUUCGUUUCGUUUUAGAAGAGUGCAGAGCAGCUGCCUUGUCCAUUAGGCACGCCAACGACUUUCUAUUGACCAAUAAUUUUGAAAGCGAUAUUAUUAAUUUACCGUCUAAUUUUUUUUAUAUUAUCAUUUCCCCAUCAAAAUUUUUUUAUAAUUAUUUUUUUCACUUUGUAUUUUGGUUUUUAUUAUUUUACUACCGAAAAAUAGUAAACACACCCGUAAGAUAGGUUAUCCACAAAAAUGAUUACCAAAUUGUCUUGUUUCUCCUUUUGUUUAAUUUUCACAAAUUCGACCCACGAUUUAAAUGUGAGUGAAGAGUUUUUUUUUGGGAAAAAAUAUGGUCUUCCAUUUACUAGAAUUAGGUAUUUGUGAUUUUAUUAUUUUUCUUUUGCUUAAUAUGUAUCUGGAAAAUUAUGAAUACUUUGCAGGAUUUAGAAUGAUUUGAAUGUUUGAACGCAUAUAGCUUUCUGUCCAUCAGCUAAUGCAUAUUCUGCAUUUUAUGAAUAUCAGAGCUGGUAGAUUGGAAGAUGGAUCUUAUUACAUGUCAUAAGAUACUUUGCUCAAAGCUGCAAUUGGGCAACGCCGUGCUGUUCUUAUCGGCCAAUGCAAGCCAUUUACUAUUCUUUCUAAUGGAGCAAAAUAAGAUGAUUCUUACCUGCAUAGAGAAUUAGAAAAGAAAAGGAGGAUUACUGAUCCACAGAGCUGUCAUUUGCUAGAGGCACAUAAAAUCUUACACUUAAUUCAUUAACCAUAUGUACGUUCUAAUGAUACUUAAGUAUUACCUAAAUUGGCCUUUCAAAAUUUCAAUUCGAAAAAAUCCAAGGUUGUGAUGUGUCUGUAUAAAUUCGCUAAUACAAGUUCUCUCUAUUCCCAAUUGUUUUAAACUCUGUUCUGAACAGAGCAUGAAAGGAUAUAUUUGUUUAUCUAGUUAUAUUUUUUAUGCUCUCACUUCACUUGAUUCACCUUCUCCAUCUUUUAAAACAGUUGUAUAUGUCGGAGUACAAGUUCAUCACAAGGAUCAUAUUAUGGCCUAAGGAAGGAGCACAGUUUAUUGUCUGCACUCAAGCUUAGCAGAGUAUUUUGGGAUUCAAGAGUGUUAGUAGGCUGUUGCUGUAAAACUAUAGGCCAUGCUGGCAAGCGUGCUAUGACUGAUUGCUAUUUGCACGUAAAAUUUACCCAAAACAAAUAGAAUGAGAAUACUUGUACAAAAGGACAAGAUUAAUAAAGUGAAUAAAUUUUAUCUUUUAGUGAAUGCUUCUUGUCUUUUCGAGUUUUAGUGCAUUUUCGUGUGUAAUUUUAUGUGCAAAUAGCAUUACUCGUUAGUAAUUAGUCUAGAGUGUUCUAAUUUCUUCUAAUAAGUAGCUCAUUUGAGCUUAAGACUUGCAUUUUAAGUUUUUAUUACUUUCUAAUAAAGAUUUUCUCUGUUCUUUUUUACUUUCACUUUCUCUUCCAUUUUCCCGACUCCCAAACACCACCAAUCCUUGAUUUUCUAGAGUAAAGCUAUGCAGUUCUACAAACACGAAACUACUGUUGGUCCAAUUACUUUCAAGAAACAACGUACUCUGUGGUUUAUUGACUUGUGACAUGGGCAAAUUAGUCACGGUCCGAUUGUCUCCUCUUCCACUGACUCUGUCAAUUCAUGACUUUGGCACACAGUAGACGCUGGCUGCCUGCUUCAUUUGACGUGCAAAAAACUUUCUUGAGUCGGGUUAAAAUCGAUUGAUUAGUUUGUUUGGUGAUGAUGAGUUAGUCGUCAAUUCAUGAGUUUGAUGCAGUGAAACGCUUAACGCUCUCUUGUGAUGCGCAGGAGAAAAGCCAGUGAUGAUGAAGAGGGCGAAAAACAUUAUUUUGUUAUUUACAAUAAGGCUAUCAAUUAUAUAAUCCAAAAUAAUUGGGUUUGGAUGGUCAUUUUGUUUUCUAAAAUAUCCAAAUGAAAACAGAAUUUAUAAAGUGGGAAAAUCAAGAAAUACUAUACUCUUCGUAUAGUGGAAGGAGAUUUGGUUGCCAUUAUACUAAAUAAAAGAAAAAUAAAAUAAAAUUACAAUACUUUAAUAAUCUCAUUCCCAAUCCUACUGGAAAUAAAAUUUUCUGUAUAUUUAUGAAAUAAUUACUGAUUUUACUUUAGUGAUUUUUUUUUAGGAUAAAACUGUAGUGCAACUGUGGUACCGUGCCACAGUUGCACCCAACCGUUGGAUUUCCACUUAUUCAAGUGGACCCAACUUAUUUGAGUGAAUCUAACGGCUAGUGCAACUGUGGCACAGUACCACAGUUGCACUGUAGCUUGACCUUUUUUUUUUUAAAGUAAGGUAAGCAGCUUUAUUUUCUUUGCAUACGAGCCUUCUUUCUUUUGCUUUUGCCUUUACUCUUGACUGUAUUUCAUGGUCAUAUUCAAUCUCAAUCUCCUGUAGGUUUGCGGCUGCUUUAUGAGUUACGAUUUUUUAUAAGGUUGCAGGUAGAUGAUACAUUUAUAUACAUUUUUUCUUUUUUCUUUUCUUCUUCGGUGAAGACACUAAAAUUUAGUUUUUGUUAUCAUGUGAAAUGAACAUAGUCCUCAUUUCAAGGAUUAAUGUGUUAGGAAUUUGGUGGGUGAAGCAGACACGCAGCUAAAGUAAAAUUAGAAGAAAAUAGAGAACAAACACAAAAGAGAAUACCAGAAAUUACGUGAUUCGGCUUUUAGCCUACGUCUACGAGCGAAGACAAAAGGAAAAUAUUAUACUAGUGAAAAUGAGUUACUAGUAUUGUAGUAUUUUAGAUCACUACCCAAAACCCCAAUACACCCAAACUCUCAAAUCACUAAGCACACAAAAUUCUUUACUCUGCAAGAAUUACUUCUCACAACUCUCAACUCUCUCUACAAAAUUGGAUGCUAAAUGAAAUGGGGAGCUCUCUCUUUUAUAGCCAAAAAAUGGCUAUUAAAUUAAUUUUUUUUCCUUUGGGCGGUACCAAAUUCUUCUUUUUCUUCUUUCUCUUUUGUUUCUUUCUUUGGGCAGCACCUCCCGACCAAGACUUUAACUCUUUCUUUGGGCGGCACCUCCCAACCAAAACUUUAACAUUCUCCCACUUGGAGAUUUGAUUGAGAAUCAAUCAAUCUCCACACCAUCCUUUCUGCUCCGUCAUUGUUAUGUUGCCUACGUUUCUGCUAGGCCACAAGAGGAUCUACUCCAGAAAAACUUAUCAGUAUUUAUCGGCUUGGUCAAAACAUCUGCUAGGUUCUCCUUCGUAUGGAUUUUCUAUAAAUCCACACUUCCGUCUUCCAAAACUUCUCGAAUGAAGUGAUACUGAACUCCUAUGUGCUUUGUCUUGGAAUGAAAAGCUGGACUCCUUGCAAUGUGCAAGGCACUCUGACUAUCACAAAACACAAAAAAUUUCUCUUAUUUGAGCCCGAGCUCCUCCAAUAAUCUUUGUAUCCAAAUAGCUUCCUUACAAGCUUGUGUAGCUGCCAUGUAUUCUGCUUCUGUUGUAGAUAAAGCCACAACGGUCUGCAGUUUCGAAACCUAGCUUACAGCUGCUCCCGCAAGUGUAAACAUAUAACCAGUAGUAGAUUUUCUUUUAUCAAGUUCUCCUGCAAAAUCUGAAUCCAUAUAGCCUCUGACAGUAAAUUCUGAUCCUCCAUAACAUAAUGCAACAUUUGAGGUUCCUUUGAUGUAUCUUAGAAUUCUCUUCACAACUAUCCACUGCUCUCCACCAGGAUUUGUCAUGUAUCGACUAACUGCUCCCACUGCUUGUGCAAUGUCUGGUCUUGUGUUGUGCAAAUUUUAAUGUACUCGCAAGCGCACGAAUCUAUUGUAGUGUAGAUCAAUGGUGACGAGUGUCGAUCCCACGAGGAGGAGGAUUUUAAUUGUGUAUAGAAUUAAUUUUGCAAAAUGGGUGGUUGGAAUUAUGGUGGAAGUGAUUUAAGUUAUCCCAAAAUUGGAAUUGAAAUUGCGAUAAUAAAUUCUAAAAUUGGAAUUGCAAUGGCGAGAAUAAGUUGAAGCGAAAUCUAUUGAAAUGACGUACUUGGGUAUCUGGAUCCGUAUCAACAUGCAUCAUGGGCUAAAUAAUCCGUAUUAAUGCCAAUUAAAUCAUGAGGGGGGAAUCCACACCUCAUGAACCACGCUCUAAUCAAUAUGGUGCUAAGGGCUUAUCGUGCCAAAUAAUAAUAACCUUAUACUAGAGAGCCGGUGUAACCAAGGCGGUAUCUAGACAAGAUCAGUAUUAUUUGUCGACGAUAAGUCAAAUCAUCCACAAAAACUAGAGGGGAAAAGAAAAUAAAUUUACCAAAUAAAGCCCAUGACACAUGUUGAGACUUCACCUUCAACCCAAGCUUGAAAGGAAAUUAGCUACUCAUAAUUGAACUAGGGGCAAAAUGGGAAUUUAUUAAAAUACAAAGAAAAUACAAGAUGGAGAGGGAAUUACAGAAAAUGGAUCCCAAAAAUGGAUUCAGAGCUAUCAAAUUAGGGGGGGGAGGCCCCCUUUUUAUAGAUACAUGGAGUAAAUCAUGGCCAUUGGAUUAAAAACAGUUUGGACGCUCAGGAUUGCGCCACGUCAUCAGUCAACAGUCCACUGUUUGACCACGCGGAUGAACAGUAAUGCGGUUUGACCCGGAUGAACAGUAACGCGGUUUGGUUGAAAAUAAUCCUGUGUGAUGCAUGCACCGUACGUGAGAUUUUUCGUCCACUGAUAUGCUGCCACGUCACCAUCAACAGUACAUAAGAAUUUUAGUCCAACAGGAUCGUGACACCUCAUCAGUCAAUGCCACAUCAUCGGUCAAUGCCACGUCAUCGAUUCGUUUAUGUGAACAGUGCCGUGAACAGUAACAUAUACAGUACCGUAUACGUGAAUAGUACCGUACAUGUGAAUAGUGCCAUUUUUCCUUUUAUGCUCCUCCUAAGGUUUUCGACCGUCCUGAGUUCAAAAGUGAUGUCCGUUUUGCCGUCUGAUCUCUCCUUUAUUGUGAAAUGACUAUAAUGCCCCUAAAAUACAUAAAAUACUUAAUUAAAAUAACACACGCGUAAUUACAUCACAAGAAGGUUAAAUACAUAAAAGUAAGAGUUGUUAGUAAGACUUGAAAUGUAAAAUGAUGGUUUUCUCCUUUAGAAAUAUAUAUUUUCUAACACUCAACAUCUUGUACAUAUCACAGCGAACAUCAAACUUUCCACUGCUGAUGCAUACGGUACUCAAGACAUCUCCUUCCUCUCUGCUUCAUUGCUAAGACAUAUACUUGAGGAUAAUUUGAAAUUAACAGGAAGUGGGGUAGAAAUUGACUUACAAUCUUGCAUGUUGAAGCGCCGUAAGAUUUUCUUCAAGUAAUUCUUCUGUGAAAGCCAAAUCUUCUUGUUAUUUCUGUCUCGAUGAAUUUGCAUCCCUAGAAUCUUGUUUGCUGGUCCCAAGUCCUUCAUUUCAAACUCCCUAGCCAAUUGUGCCUUCAAUUCUUGGACUCGAUCUUUGUUGGGGCUUGCUACCAACAUGUCAUCCACGUACAACAACAAAAUGAUGAAAUCAUUAUCUUCAAACCUCUUACAAUAUGCACAAUGGUCUGAACUGAGUCUGUUGUAUCCAAGGCUCAUGAUGAAGGAAUCAAAUCUCUUAUACCAACACAUUGGCGCCUGUUUGAGACCGUAUAGAGAUUUGUUCAACCUGCAAACCAAGUUCUCCUUUCCUGUUUCUACAAAACCUUUUGGUUGGAGCAUAAAUAUUUCUUCUUCAAGUUCUUCAUGAAGAAAUGCAGUUUUCACAUCUAACUGCUCUAGAUGUAGGUCAAAUGUAGCACACAUUGCCAAGACUAUUCUGAUUGUUGUGAGUCGAGCCACCGACGAAAAUAUCUCGUUGAAGUCAAUACCUUCUUUUUGAGCAUAUCCUUUCACCACCAAUCUGGCACGAUACCGCUUCACUUGGUCAUUGUCAUCACGUUUAAUCUUGUAGACCUAUUUGUUUCCAAUGGCUUUUCUUCCACAUAGUAGUGGUACAAGUUCCCAUGUCUUGUUCUUGUGUAGAGCUUCAAUUUCUUCCUGCAUUGCUGUCAUCCACAAAUCAACAUUUGAGCUUUCUAAAGCUUCAUAAAAAGUUGAUGGCUCUCCAUCCUCUAUUAGAAGACAGUACGCAACAUUGAUCUCUGUGACAUACUCUGAGUGCCACGCCGGCGGUUGUCUCUCAUGAGUUAACCAAUGAACUUCUGGAGCCUCAGACUCGACUGGUUCUUGUUCUUCGUGCUCUAGUGCUGCUUCAGAAGAAUCUGAAUCUUCUGGAUUAUUUUUGACAUAUACCGGCACAGUUUCUGACUUUUCUUUUACAGUGUCAUCAUCUCCAUCUUUCAUUUGCAGUUGAUCUUCUACAAAGAUAACAUCUCUGCUGAUGACAAUCUUGUGGGCAGUGGGGUCCCACAGACGAUACCCUUUACUCCAUCAACAUACCCCAAGAAGAUACACCUCCUAGAUUUUGGAUCUAACUUUGUUCUUUCUUGGGCAUUGUACAUUACGUACACAGGACAUCCAAAUGCAUGUAGGUAGGAAUAAUCAGCUGGCUUUUCAGUCCACAUCUCCAUCGCCGUCUUCAACCCAAUAGCUGUAGAUGGCGACCGAUUUACUAUAUAACAGGCAGUUUUGCCUGCUUCUGCCUAGAAUGAAUUGGGUAGACCAGCAGUCCUCAACAUAGCUCUUAUUCGUUAUUUAAGAGUUCUAUUCAUCCGCUCUGCCACUCCAUUUUGUUGAGGAGUGUAUGCCACCGUGAACUGCCUCUGAAUACCUUCUUGCUUACAGAAAGCAAGAAACUUGCCGUUUGUAUACUCUCCACCAUUAUCUGUCCUUAAGCACUUGAUCUUUUUACCAGAUUCAAGUUCCACCCGUGCUUUGUAUUCUUUAAACACUGGAAAUACAUCUGACUUUUUCUUAAUUAGAUACACCCAACAUCUUCUGGAAUAAUCAUCAAUGAAAGUCACCAUGUACUUUACACCUCCCAUGGAUAUAUCCGGUGAUUCCAAAACAUUAGAAUGAAUCAAGUUUAUAAUGUAUUAACUUCUAGCAAUAGAUCUACUGAAUUUUAAUCUAUACUGCUUACUUGUAACACAAUGCUCGCAAAAUGGUAAAUUUACCGAUUUAGGCCCUGGAAGCAAUUUUCGCUCAGAGAGAAUCUUCAAACCUUGUCUGACAUGUGGCCAAGUUUGAGAUGCCACAUCAUCGUUGACUCUUCUCUAUUUGAUGCGACACACGCAUCAACCUCCUGUAGUGUUUCUCCUUUAAGCAUGAAUAAAUUAGCACUGAUCUUUUCUGCUUUCAUCAAUACAAGCGCUCCUUUAACAAUCUUCAUAAUUUCAUUCUCCACAGGCGUUUUGCACCCAUGACUGUCUAUUUGUGCUAAAGACAAUAGAUUUUUCUUCAGGCCAUUAACAUGUCGUAACUCUCCAAUUGUGUGAAUUGUACCAUCAAAUAUUUUUAUUUUGAUAGUACCAAUACCAGCGAUCUCUAAGGCAUGAUCAUCUCCUAUAUAUACAGAUCCUCCUGAGAUAGGUUCAUAUGUGUGGAACCAUUCUCUCCGAGAGGUCAUGUGCCAGGUAGCUCCUGAGUCUAUAAACCAGACAUCAGAUAGUCAUUUUCUGCUUUCUGAAAUAGUUGUUGCCUCGCUGUAGAGAAUUUCGCCAUCAUCCGAGGUACUUGCUACACACCCCUGAGCAUUUGAUGACUCAGGUUCAUUACCCUCUCUUCUCUUUUGGUUACUCCAACACACUUUCUUGAUGUGCCCUUUCUUGCCAUAGUUGUAGCAUUUAACAUUUUUCUUACUUUUGAAUUUUGAUCUACCAUUAUUGUGACUCCCACUGGGGCCACGUUCCGUUGAUCUCCCUCUCGUCACCGAUAGCGCCUCCACUUGCUGCGAACUUGCUUGUCUGUUUUCCUUAUUUUUCCACCUGCUCUCCUCAUUUAAUACGGAGGCUGCAACAUCGUCGAAAACUAGACUGUCCACUGGAUUGUUGUUCGUCAGGUUAAUGAUGAGCUGAUUAUACGAAUCUGGUAGACUUUGAAGUAGAAGCUCUGCAUGUUCAUUUUCCUCUAUAUUAUGACCCAACGUUGUGAGUUGUGAAAAUAGAGUUUUCAAGGUGUUGAUAUGGUCGGUCACCAUUGUAGAUUCUGCCAUUCGAAGAGUAUAGAGUUUCCUCUUCAAAAAGAUUUUGUUGUGUAGUGACUUGGCCUCGUACAAUUUUGUGAGAGUAUCCCAUAUUUCCUUCGCUGUAUUUUUCUCUGCCACACUGGAUAAUACUCCAUCCGCAAGUGCCAAGUCUAGAUCAGAAAUGGCGUUGCCGUCUACCUCGUUCCACUUGUCAUCAGUUAUCUCCACGGGCCUUUCUCUAAUUGCUGCCAAACAAUUAUUUUUCCUCAAUACAGCUUUUAUCUUCAUUUUCCACAACGAAAAAUUAUUUCUAUUAAACUUCUCAAUUUCAUAUUUUACUGCCAUUUUGAUGAUAAAUACCGCACACAAGCUAGUGUACCACCUUGAAUAGUUGUGAGUAUGUGUAAGAAUACACACCAAGAAAGUUCCUAGUAAAGACUGGAGGGGUCACAAUGGUCCCACUUAAAACCCAGACUCCUUAAGCUCUUAUCGCCUUUGUAGCAGAACUUUCCUAUACAUGUACAAAACCACACAGUUGCUUUACUCACACCACUAUUCUGAAAUACAAGUAUGCAACCCAAGAUGGGGGUGAAUUGAGAUUCUAAAAAUUAUUCAAUUUAUAAAGAAAAACUUAAAACAAAUAUAAUCCAAAUUCAAAGCAAUAACAAUUAAGUUGAUCACAAUAUAAAAAGAUAAGGGAAGAGAAAUUCAAACACAGAGAUUUUUACGUGGUUCGGCCAACCUCGCCUACGUCCACGCCUCCAAGCUUUUCGGGCUUGAGGAUUCCACUAAACAAGCCUCCAAGGCUUCAAAUGCUUACACUUGACUUCCAAGGUGUCAAUAACCUUUACAACAAGAGAUUAUCCCAAUCUCUUUAACCCAAGUGAAUCCCAACACUUACAACCACUCAAAACAAAAGAUUUCAAAUUUGUUUUGCCUCUCACAAUAUAUAAGAUUACACAAUGAUGCCCAAUAUGUGAAUAGAUGAAGUAAGAAUGUGUUCUAAGCUAUAUGAAGAUUGUAUUCUCGAAUAUAAGCUCAAUAGUCGUGUUGUGAUCAAUCUUCUUUGAAUUUGAAUGAGCUUAUUUAUAUUUGGAGCUGAAAAACUAGCCGUUACAAACUAUCGGCCCUAAACGGUUUGCCGUUAACUAUUAACGGUUAACCGUUUAAGCUGGUCAAAAGUUACCGUUGGGCCAAAUUUUAAAUAAACGGUUUGCCGUUUUAUGAUUACCCUUUCGCCGUUAAAUUCCAGAGACCUGCAAGAUGAACAUCAGUUAUCCGUUUACAUUAAACGGUUAAGGAUUUGCAUGAAGUGACUUCUCUGGAUAUUAUCGGUUAACCAUUUGUAAUAAACGGUUCGCCGUUUGUUUUCAGUAACCUGCAAAACAAUUUAGGCUUAUUCGGUUUUGUUAAACAGUGCCAGAGGAGUACAACCUUCAAUUCUGGAUGUUAUCGGUUAACCGUUUCAAUAAACGGUUCACCGUUAAAUUCCAGUAGCUUUCCCAUCUUUUGUGUUUUCCGUUUUUCACAAACGGUUAGAGCUUAGGCAAUAUGUUGCUUUCUGGUAUUAAUCGGUUAACUAUUUAAAAGAAAACGGUUCACUGUUUAUUUUCAGAAUCACAUUUUAAACCAGUUUUUGCAGAGAAUCUUUUUCUAAUUUGAAAGUCCAUCUUUUAUGAAUAUGAAUGGAAUGAUUAUUAAGGCUUUCGUUUAUUAAGGAAUAGCUCCAACAUUUUUAUCAAAAACCAUUUAAAGUUUGUUAUCAUCAAAAUCAAUAUUAUUAAAAAAUUCAUGUUAACAAUCUCCCCUUUUUUUAUGAUGACAAACUUCAUUCAAUAUAUAGCUCCCCCUUAAUAUGUACUCCCCCUAAAUGUAUGGCCAAAUUAAGAAAUGUCCAAUAAAAAGAUUUUUGCUCAAGAAAACAUUUUUAAAUUCAUUUAAAUACAUUCUAAAUCUCCCCAUAAUUCUCUCCCCCUUCAUCAUCAAAAAGAAAAGAGAGAAAUAAAAAAAAAACAAAAAACGCAAGUCCGUUAAAGAAGUUACCCGGUUUUGGUGAGCGAAAAUUUUGGCAGAGUUUCCCUUUAAAAAUGAGCAAAACCACUAAUACAAAAUGAGAUUAAAACACUUCCAAAAUAUAUUAACAACAAUUCCAUCUUUCAACAAACCAACAACGCCAUGAACAAACAAACCAACACUUCAAUAUCCAAGAAACCAACAAUUUCAUCAACCAAUUACCAAGUCAUCCAACAUCAAGAACAUCACAAAAAUAUGUCAUCAAAAUCCAGAAAGAGCAUAUAGAGGUAACAGUGUGUAUAAAAAUAUAAAUGGAAACACGCAAACAACCAAAAUAUGAAAUGUAUGUGCGAAAAUAGAACUCAGAAACUAUGGAGGUGGAGAAGAUGUGCUCCCCGGAUCAUAGCCGAAAUAGCGGAGAAGAGUGCGCUGUCCAGCAAUAAGCUCAAGCUGCUGAUCAAUGCUCUGCUGCUGGAAGGUCUGAAAGUCAGAACGUAGCUGCUGGUGGGUGAGGCAGACAUGCAGCUAAAGUAAAAUUGGAAGAAAAUAAAAAACAAGAACAAAAGAGAAUACCAGAAAUUACGUGGUUCGGCUUUUAGCCUACGUCCAUGGGCGAAGACAGAAGGAAAAUAUUAUACUAGUGAAAAGGAGUUACAAAUAUUGUAGUAUUUUAGCUCACUACCCAAAACCCCAAUACACCCAAACUCUCAAAUCACUGAGCACACAAAAUUCUUUGCUCUACAAGAAUUACUUCUCACAACUCUCAACUCUCUCUGCAAAAUUGGAUGCUAAAUGAAAUGGGGAGCUCUCCCUUUUAUAGCCAAAAAAUGGCUAUUAAAUUAAAAAAAAAAUUUCCUUUGGGCGGUACUAAAUUCUUCUUUUUCUUCUUUCUCUUUUGUUUCUUUCUUUGAGUGGCACCUCCCAACCAAGACUUUAACUCUUUCUUUGGGCGGCACCUCCCAACCAAGAAUCUACAACUUCAGCCCCAGGAACAGAAUCGAUCCCACUUAAAAUUUCAAUUUUGCAAUGCAGCUGAGGGGCAUGUGCCCUGUAAGAAUUGAUCCUAAAAUUGCCAUUGACAUGGACCCCACGAAGCUUGAAGAUUUCUAUAUUACAUAGCCAAACCUAAGUGAUAAGAAUUUUCAUAUGAGAUAUAAUUUUGGGAAAAAAACCAAUUCAAGUUAAAGAUAAAAAAUCUGUGUUACUUAAAUUCAAGCCACACAAUUUUUCUUGUUUUAUUUGAAAAAAAGAAAAUUGUGUUCCUCACAAAAACACUUUAACAUUUGUUGUCUCAUAGAGGGAAAUGUCCUUCACUCUUUGACGUAUCCCUGGGGCAAUGUAAGUUGACUUUACAUUAAAACAAAACAAUUGAAACGUUGUCCACAAACAUUGUCAUGUAGUUAAGAAAAACUUAAUUUUGACAAGUGCAAGAGAUUGGUGGGACUCAUUUGAUUCAAGAAAAACAAUCAGUCUCAUUUGAUACGCAAAGAGCUUUUCUACUCUGCGGCCAAUAUUUUGAUGAAUGUGACAUUAUCUCAAUUUUACUUCUGUAGGUUUGUUGUUUGUAUAUUAUCUCAAUUUUUUAAAAAAUGUAAUUGCAAUUAUCAAACAUGACUAAUCCCAACAAUUUAUCCAAAAAAUUUUGUUUCAAGAAAUGUAGCAUUUAUGAUAGAAUGGCUAAUUUUUUCAAUCGACUUUCUGGAUAAAUGAUAAUUUUUUGAUAGAAAUGUUACUUACUUAUUACAAGAAGAAAAUUAUAGAAUAAUUUUUUGAAUUAAUAGUAUUACUUUACGAUAACACUAUCACAAUCUAAUUUUAAAAAGAAAUAAAGUUAUUCUUUAAAUUUCGCAUUACUAUUCCUACUUUUCUUGUUAUACUACUUAAUGGCACUGGUGAAGCCUCGAAUUAUCAACCAAAAAGCAAAAAUAGUUCAAUAUCUGCUGUCCCACUGAGCAUUGUUAAAUUCAUACGAUAAAAUGAGUACUUAUAUUAAAAAAACAAUCGGUCUCAUUGCGUGCUCUUUCAUUGACAUAGGCAAUUUGCUGUCAACUUGUGGCACUUUUACGAAUUUUCAAGACAGGUGAAUUUUUCAAAUUUAAAAGAAAAAAAUACAGAAAUGUAAUUUCAAUUUAUCCAAAAAUUUGAGUUUCAAGGAAUACGGCAUUUAUUAAAUGUCAUGUUAAUAUAGAGAAGAAAAUUUUAAAAACUUAUUUUUGGAUGAAUAAAAGUAUUUUCUGAUAAAAUAUUUCACAAUCAAAUUUAAAAAAUUUCACUCCUCUUGGUACAUAAUUUAAGAAUUUAACAUUAUAAAUUAAUCUUUCUAAUCAAAGUAAUAAUCUCUCCUCGGUCUGCAAAUGCUAAAAUUUAAAUAUUAUAUCCAUUGACAAUAUUUGCUCCAAAUUCACGAAAACAAAAUUUCAAACAGAAUUAUGAAAUUCGUUACUAGAAAUUUGUAUAAAAGUUGUGAGAAUAGAAGGUUUGAUCAUAGGAAAUUAAUAUAUCCCUAUCCGAUGCAAAAAUGAUUGUAAAGAAAAACAAAAGUCACGGGCUUAUUUAGAAAAAAAGAAAAAAUUACAUUCCAUUUUCCAGUUAUUAAAGUAAUUCUAAAAUCGCUAGGAUCACAAAGGAUAGGCUUUGGUUGACUGAGGUCAGCCUUAACGCAUGCCGGUCUUUUUCUCCUCUACAUUCUUAGAAAUUUUGGUUUCACUAUAAAUACUCGGUAUAUAGCAAACUUAUAAGUGUUCUUGCAUUACCAAUCCAACUAAGCACACGCUUACAAUAUAAAUACUCUCAUCUCGUGGAAAGAGUUCAUUCACUCAGGAUGAUGAGCAGAUUUCUCUUACUCCAUUGUUUGAUUCUUAUUUCCUUCUUUAUCGCGGCAGCAACAGCCAACACAAGUUCUACUAUCACAGACCGAGAUGCUCUGUUAGCCCUGAAAGCUCGCAUAACUCAUGAUCCGACCAAUUUCUUGGCCAAGAAUUGGAACACAAGUACUCAUGUUUGUAAUUGGACAGGCGUCGCUUGUGAUGUCCAUAGCCAUAGAGUCACAGUCUUGAAUAUUUCAAGCUUAAAUCUCACAGGCACCAUCCCUUCUCAACUUAGGAAUCUUUCUUCUCUGCAAUCACUCAAUCUCAGUUGUAACCGACUUUCUGGUUCCAUUCCCUCCGCCAUCUUCACCAUAUAUACACUGAAAUAUGUUAGUUUCCGUGAAAAUCAGCUCUCUGGCGCUUUCUCUUCUUUCAUCUUCAACAAGUCUUCUUUACAACAUCUUGAUUUUAGUCACAAUACACUGUCUGGUGAAAUUCCUGCAAAUAUUUGCAGUAGUCUUCCUUUUCUGGAUUUCCUUUCUUUGCAAGAAAACAUGUUGCAUGGAGGAAUACCGUCCACUCUAUCAAAUUGCACAUAUUUGCAAAAAUUAGGUUUGGUAUACAAUAAUUUCUCGGGGGCCAUACCUAAAGAAAUCGGCAAUUUGACCAAACUUAAGAUAUUAUAUCUUGGCGGUAACAGACUCCAAGGUGCGCAUGAUCACAGAGUUUAAUUAUGAAAGUUGUUCCAUAAGUUGUAAUAUGAAUAACGUUCCAUAAUACAGUUUACACACGUUGAUUAAUUUGCAGGAGAAAUUCCUCGAGAGUUUGGCAAUCUUGCCGACUUGGAACGGAUGUCGUUAUCAGAAAACAAUCUCCAAGGUAUGAUUUUAAACUUUUUGCAAUUUUAUUUUAGCGAUGCUUGCUUCUGUAUUCAUUCGCUUGUUCUUUGAUUAUGCGAUGAUUUAUUGUUUUUCUUUCAGAUAGAGAUAAAGCUCCAUGUCUCCCCUCACUCAUUUCAUUCUUUAAUUUAUGCAGAUAAAAAUAAAAAAAAUGUUUUCUAAUUUUCUUUUGUCAUAUUGCCACUUCCAUUUUGAAGCUCCCAAUUAAGUCGAUGAAAAUGAAUGAUGUUUCAUUCUUAUUCUUGUCAGCCUAAUUCUUAUAUAAUUGAAGAAUAAAUUGUUAUUACGAUAUUCGUCAGCCAAUAAAUUCUUCUUUUUUUUCCCCCCAAACAUGAGUGAUCAAAUUGUUUGCGCAUUUAUAAAUGUACUUAAUUUGCAGGAGGUAUUCCACGGGAAUUGGGGAAUCUUACAAAAUUGGAGAUAUUACAGCUGUUCCGGAAUAACUUGACCGGUAACUUUCUUUACAAUAUAUAUAGAGACAUCUUCCGCUUUUUAUUAGAAAUUAUAAAUUCAAGUUAAAUCUUAAUUAAAAGAUUUCAAGUCUCUCAUUAUAAAUUCUCAUAUGAGGAUGUGUCGUUACCACUAUCUAACAUUAUUCUGUUUUUUAUUAGAAAUUAGUUUGUGUUAAUUCAAAAUUCUGUAGCAUUUAAAAAAAUUAAAAACACGUGGAAUAAAUUGUUAAUCUUUCUUCUUUACUGAAUUUGGAUUUCUCAAAAAUAAUCUUGACAAGUAUGCUUCACUAAUGAUACGCAUGUGUGACAACUUCAUAAAAUAUUUUACAGGGAAUCACUAAUUAUGUUUAAAUAAUUAGAGAUGCCAGCAGUGAUACAUAAUUUCUUAACAAGCACCAUACCAAAAGAAAUCAACAAUUUUAUUAGUCUUAAAGAGUUACAUUUUCACUGCAAUUAUAACAUAAAUUUUUAGUCAUCAAUUGCAUAAUAUUUUAUCUUAACGGAUGAUGUUUAGUCUUGGAAUUUAUAAUAUCUUGAAGGUUAGUAGCUGUGAAAAUAAGAAAUUGUUCAUUUGCUAAAAAGUUAACUUAGUAUUUAAGUUUUUCAAUUGAAAAAUAGGCUUGAAGAAAUUAUUGUUGUGUGUGCUUAUUCUACUUGGGCUUUGGGCUUGAUUACACGGUCGAGCACUUACACCUGUCGUACUAAUAGGCUUUUACUUUGACCACACGUUUGAUAAUUUCUUAACCUUCCGAAUUAAAUCUGAUUAUAAUUCUUUUAAAAUACAGAUUAAAUAGCACGUGAAAUCGGAAAAUAUUUUACUGCGAUAAGAAUUCAUAUAUUCAUUACACACGGUCGAACACUUACACAUGUUAGAAUAAUAAUAGCAUCCGCCAAUCGACUAUGAGUGAUCAAAUUGUUUGCACAUAUGUAAUUUGCAGGAGCAAUUCCACGGGAGUUGGGAAAUCUUACAGGAUUGGGGGUCUUAGAGCUGUCUGAAAAUUUUUUGACCGGUAUCAUUCCUUCAUCUAUCUACAGAUUGCUUUUCUCUAUUAAAUUUGGAAUUGUCAUUUAAUAACUUAACAAGUAACUUCCCUUACAACAUGUCUGUGUGACAUGUUUUGCUUCUAAAUUUAAAGGUCUCACGUCUCUCAUUAUAAAUUCUUCUAGGAGAUGUAUUGUUACUACUAUUUAACAUUACCUCGUUUUUUAUUAAAAAUUAAUCUGUAUUUAUGCAAAAAAAAUUAUUAUCUAAAAAAGGUAUAAAAACACGUGGAAUAAAUCGCAAAUCUUUCUUCAUUACUGAAUAUGGAUUUCUCAAAAAUUAUCAUGAUAGCUAUGUUAGUGUCUUACUAAUGAUAUGCAUGUGUGACAGCUUCAUAAAUUAUUUUACAUGGAAAAUAUGAAAAAUAAACUUGAAAAAAAAUUAUUUUACUGAAAUAAUAGUUAAAAAGGGAGGAGAAGUACAAUACUCAUGACUUAGGCUUGCUGUGUACUUAUUUUACUUGGGAUUCGGGCUUGAUUACACACGGUCGAACACUUACAUCCCACGACAUAAGCUUUUAGGGAUGAGUGGCGUAAAUGUGUAUCUGCUCUUAUGUAUUAUUAUUCUUUGAAACAAAUCUGAUUAUAAUUCUUUUAAAAUACAGAUUAAAUAGCACGUGAAAUCGGAAAAUAUUUUACUGCGAUAAGAAUUCAUAUAUUCAUUGUUCUAGCACAUAUAAAAUAGACUAUAAAUUUAGUUCCAAAAUACAUUCUUAUCUUCAUAUAAAUUUUACAUUAUUAAUUUAAAUUAAUAUUAAAAUAUAUUGUUUCUUUCACUAUGUUAUUUUAUUUACACAAUGAUGUGACUAUUGGAAUGAUUAAUACUUAUAAUUAUUUUGUAAAAAUAUAAAUUUAAUACUUUGUUAACAUUUUAUCUACAUAUAAUAAUUAAACUGAAACUCGUAUUUAAAAAAUUCUAGUUACGCAUAUUCAUUUCAUGACAUAAAAGUGUAUAUUUAUGCUAAUUUACCAUUAUCAACAAAAUGCUUUGAGAGACAAGUAAUCUAAUUUAUAUUUUUAUAUUUAAAAUACUUCCAUUUAUUAUAUUUUGAAAAAAAUUUAUUUGCAAUUAUUUUAAACCCUGGAUUCAAAUUUUCGUAGUUAUUAAAGUCAAAGGGUAUAAAUGUAUAAUAGUCAAAAACAGAUUUGUAUGAUCAUGUAUAAAUUUUCUUAGUUAGUAGGAAAAUUAGAAAUUGUUGAUUUACUCAUAAAUAAAUUUAAUGUUUUGCAUUUCAAUUUUGGAAAACUUGAGCUAAACGUUGAUAACUUCGAAUUGGUCGAGCCGAGUUUCGCUUCCUCGACCCACGGACCCAUUGAAAGUUCUAUUAAAAUUGAGUUUCCCGGUGCUAAUAAAAAGCAUUUCUUUUCCUUGUCCCAGUAAUUUAUUCACAAAUGAGUUGAUUAGCAUCGAAGUUGCCUGAGAGUCUGAGACCAUACUAGUAGGAGAAAUUUGAAAAGAAAUUAUUUUAUUGAAUUAAUUUAUUUUAUCUUGUUGUAACUGAAAUACUACUUUUUUUUGGGAUGUCACUAGGUCUUGAUUUACUUUAAUAGUAGCAGCCACCGACUUAGGCUUUUUUUACUUCUCACUACACAAUUUGAUCUUUUAAUUCGUUUUAACCACAUAAUCUAUCUAUUUCUCACCUAUUGCUUACUUAAAUUGCAUACAUAUUUUACCUACUAAUUUUUAUAAAUAUUAGUCAAAUAUAUUUUAUUACGUUUCUCUCGUAAUUGCUCCAAAUGUGUACUAUUAAUACUUAACCCUCCCUUUUAAUUUACCGUGCAAUCUCUAUCACUUAAGUCACAUAUAUAUUUUACCUAUAUUUUACCCCAAAAAAUAUAAAAAUAAAAGAAAAAGAAUAUGUGUAGCAAUUUGUAUAUAACUAACAAAGCAUUGACAGCGUGUAGCCUUUCAAUACUUCACGAGUGGCUUUUUCUUGUGUGUUAGUACUUGUAAUAAUUGUGUAGCGUAUAAAUGACAUUUUAUUAUUAAAGUGCGUCCAUUUUUAGAUAUUACUUAUUAUUUGAAAAAUAAUCUGAAUAUAAUCUUUUAAAAUACAGGGGAGAUACCACUUGAAAUCGGUAAUCUCCAAAAUCUGGAGGAGUUGGAACUUGGUCAUAACAAAUUAAUUGGUACUGUCCCAGUUGCAAUCUUUAAUGUGUCAACAACACUCAAAUUACUUGGGCUUCAAGAUAAUUCUCUCUCUGGAGGUCUUUCGUCCAUCGCAAACGUCCGACUACCAAAUCUUGAAGAGCUUUAUUUGUGGGGUAAUAAUUUUAGUGGCACAAUUCCUCGUUUCAUCUUUAAUGCUUCUAAGCUCUCUAUACUAGAUUUGGACAAGAACUCAUUCUCCGGUUUUAUUCCCAACACAUUUGGCAACUUAAGAAACCUUGAGUACCUUGAUUUACAAUAUAAUUAUUUGACAUCUUUAACUCUAGAAUUGAGCUUUCUAUCCUCGUUGUCAAAUUGCAAGUCUUUAACACUUAUUGGCUUAUCAAAUAAUCCACUAGAUGGCAUUCUUCCAAGGACGUCUGUCGGUAAUCUUUCUCAUUCUUUGAAAUAUUUUAAAAUGCACAAUUGUAACAUUAGUGGCGGCAUCCCUGAAGAGAUCAGCAACUUGACCAACUUGAUGACCAUUGAUUUAGGAGGCAAUAAAUUGAAUGGAUCGAUUCCGAUUACUCUCGGCAAAUUACAAAAGCUUCAAUGGUUGAGUCUUGAUGAUAACAAAUUAGAAGGAUCAAUCCCAGAUGAUAUUUGUCGUUUGGCUGAACUGUAUUUAUUGGAGCUGGGCGGCAAUAAGCUUUAUGGAUUAAUCCCUGCAUGCUUCGGUAAUCUGGCUUCUCUGAGGAUACUGUCGUUGUGUUCCAAUGAGUUAACUUCUAUUCCCUUAACGUUUUGGAACCUUAAAGAUAUCUUGCACCUCUACUUUUCUUUAAAUUUUUUUACUGGCCCACUCCCAUUAGAGAUUGGAAAUUUGAAGGUUUUGAUUGGAAUUGAUUUUUCGAUGAAUAAUUUUUCAGGCGUUAUCCCAACAGAAAUUGGAGGCCUAAAAAAUCUAGAAUCUCUCUUCUUAGGAUAUAAUAGAUUACGAGGAUCGAUUCCUGAUUCAUUUGGUGAUUUGAUAAGUUUGAAAUUCUUGAAUUUGUCCAAUAAUAAUCUCUCUGGGGCUAUUCCUACAUCUUUAGAGAAACUCUCAUAUCUUGAAGAUCUAAAUCUUUCUUUCAACAAGCUAGAAGGAGAAAUUCCUAGGGGAGGAUCUUUUGGAAACUUCUUAGCUGAAUCAUUUGAGGGAAAUGAAUUAUUAUGUGGUUCACCCAAUUUACAAGUCCCGCCAUGCAAAACUAGCAUCCACCACACAUCAUGGAAAAAAUCUCUUCUCCUAGGGACUAUCUUGCCAUUGAGUACUACAUUUAUGAUAGUAGUCAUUUGGUUGAUCCUAAGAUAUCGACAGAGAGGAAAACGACCAUCGAAUGAUGCUAAUAUGCCACUAGUAGCAACGUGGAGAAUGUUUUCAUACCUAGAACUUUGUCGAGCAACAAGCGGAUUUAGUGAAAACAACCUAAUCGGCAGAGGAGGUUUUGGCUCUGUUUAUAAAGCAAGACUUGGGGACGGGAUGGAGGUUGCAGUGAAGGUUUUCAAUUUGCAAUGUGAAAGAGCGUUUAAGAGUUUCGAUGUUGAAUGUGAAGUGAUGAAAAGUAUUCGCCAUCGAAACCUUAUCAAAGUUAUUAGCAGUUGUUCAAAUGAAGAGUUUAAAGCGUUGGUAUUAGAAUACAUGCCUCAUGGAAGUUUGGAGAAGUACCUGUAUUCAAGUAACUGCAUUUUGGAUAUUUUUCAAAGACUGAACAUAAUGAUAGAUGUUGCAUCAGCUUUGGAAUAUCUGCACUUUGGUUGUUCAACUCCAGUAAUUCAUUGUGACUUAAAGCCCAACAAUGUAUUGUUAGAUGAUAAUAUGGUUGCUUAUUUGAGUGAUUUUGGCAUCGCGAAGCUCUUAAUUGGAGAAGAUCAGUCUAUGACUCAGACACAAACACUUGCCACAAUAGGUUAUAUGGCACCAGGUCUGUUCAAUAUAAAUAUUUUCUAUUUCUUGUAAACUUCCUAAUAAGUUAUUUAUGUUUCAUAAUCUUCAUUAGAUGAGGAAAUUAUUAUUAAUGAUAUAUCUUUCUAUGUAAAUAUUGCAAUUCAUAGAGUAUGGAAGAGAAGGACGCGUAUCCACAAAUGGAGAUGUUUAUAGCUUUGGAAUUAUGUUAAUGGAAACGUUUACCGGGAAGAAACCCACAGAUGAAAUUUUUAAUGGAGAAAUGACAUUAAAGCAUUGGGUUAAUGAUUGGCUACCCAUUUCCACUAUGGAAGUUGUUGAUGCUAAUUUGCUAAGUCAGGAGGACGUACAUUUUGUUGCAAAGGAGCAAUGUGUGUCAUUUGUCUUCAAUUUGGCUAUGGCGUGCACUGUGGAAUCUCAUGAGCAGAGAAUCAAUGCAAAAGAAAUUGUAACAAAGCUCUUAAAAAUUAGAGACUCAUUACUUAGAAAUGUUGGAGGCAGACGUAUAAGACAACCAAAUUUAAAUUGACUCUACCCCUCCAUUGCUUGCUAUCCUUUUCAGAGACUUGAACGGUUAUCCUUUAUACCAGUUUUGUUGAUAUGUUUUGUUAAUGCUCUUGCUCAUGUCUGUUUCUCUAUUUCUUUAAUUUGCAUGCAUGUAUUUUUCGUUCUCUUUUAUGUUUUUGUUGGUUUGUAUGUAGUUUGUUUUUAGGGGUAAGGUUGAUUAUGUCCUCCCCUAAUCAGGCGUAUCCUUUUUAUGUUUAUUCAAUAAAGCUUCUCUAAUACUAUCAAGGUUCAUCAAAAGAAAAUUUUUAAUUAAUUUUCUUUUCUUUGACAGGUAAUGAAAUUCUAAUCUACAUAGUGAAUAACUUCAAUAAUAGAGUGCAAUAGUAUUAGUAGUUAUGGUUGUUUUUUUAACCUGGAGUCAAGAGCAAUUUAACAGCAACAAACAAGUCUCUUGUAUUAUAGGCAAAAUUCUUUUCAUUAAUCUUAUUUGUCUACAUGUUCUCCUAUUUUCUCCAUUAAUCUUCGCUCAAGGUUUCAUGCUUCCCCUUUGAUAAAGGAAAAUAUUACUCGUGAAUAUUUCAAAUUUUCAAUUUGACAUGAGCGACUGAUUGUCAGCCAUUUGAUAAAAUGGAUAUGAGUGGAGUUUUCAAUCAUUACCUCCACCAAAAUCCUUACAACGCCACUUUUUAAUUUUAUUUUUUAAAAUAUAUUUCUUUUAAAUUUUUAUUAUAAAAUACUUACAAAUUCUAAACUAUUAAAUUAUUUUCUUCUUAUUACAUAGUUUAUAUCUCCAUAUCUCUAAACUCCUAUAAUUUUUUAAAAAAUAUUAUUUAAUUUAAAAUAUAAAUAUAAAAUAUAGAAUGGAGUGAGUAUAAAAAACUUGUUAAAAGAAUAAUUCAUUUAAGUAUUUAACUGAAUUUUAAAUUAAAAUAAGAAAUCAAUAAAUUUAUUUUUUAUUAGUUAAGUAAUUUUCAAUUGAAAAAGAGCUUUAUGAGUAAUAUUAUUGAAAUAUGAUUAAAAUUCUUAUGAAUUAAACAUUUUCGUAUUAAUACUAGUGAUAAUUAUAGAGAAAAUACGAUGAAGUGAAAAAACUUAAAUAUAAAUACUCUAGUAUAAUUUUACACAUGCAACUUAUGAACCAGUGAUCUUCAGAGCAUCAUAAAAUUGUUUUAACACAAUUAAUUGGUUUGAAAAAUUGCCAAUAAUGUCUACAGUGGGAUUUAAAAGAUUAAACUACAUAUAUAAGACAUGAUAUCAUUUAAGACGGCUUACAGAUUAUAAGAAAUAUUUUGAUCUUCCAAAUAUUUAAUAUGUCAAUUAGACUGAGUCUAUGCAAUGAAAAUUUCAAAUAAAAAAUAAAUCUCUUAUUUUCUUUUAAUCAUAAGUGUGAUCUUAAUUAUUAAAGUCAUUUAAUGUCCAUUACUUAUUCAUUUUUUUAAUUACCUAAAUGACAUUGAAAACUCUGAAUAUUAAUUCAUUCAAAUGUUUUGUUUUAAGGUAAUUGGAAACUGCAAAUGAAACAAAUACUUGAAAUCACAAACAGCCUAAAAUUAGAUUUUCAUUUUUCAAUGUUGCAGUGACUUUGAUCUUGAUAUUGAAAUUUUAUUUGUAACUUAUAUAAAGGCCUCAAUUUUAUCAUAAUUGGUUAGUAAGGCUACGUAGGGAGCAUCGACAAAUUUUGGGAUUGGAUUAUAUUUUUGGAACUAAAAAAUUAAUUUCAUCCAAUGAUAUGUUUGGCUAUUAGGACUAGCAACUUCGUCUAAAAUUAUUGAAAUUAUUGAUGUUUUAUAUUAUAAUCUUUUCAUUACCACUUUAAACAUUAUUGGUAACUUAAAUCAUUUUUUAAAUUAAAUAUAAAAUUUAAUUUAAUUAAUUAUAAAAAUUAAUUUAAUUAAAUAUAAAAAUCAUUUAAAUUAAAUAUUAACAUUAAUUUCAUAAUUUUUUACCUAGAAUUUUAUAUUAUAUUAAAUACUAAAAUUCUAUUCGAUAAUGUAUUAUCAUUUAUUUAAUAAAUGUUUAGUAUGUUAUAUUAUUAUUUAAAUUAAUUUUUUUAUUUACAUAUAAACAUAAAUUAAUAUUUACUAAUUUAAAGUUAUUAUAAUUUGUUAAAUAAUAAAAGCUAAAUGAUUAUAUUGAAAAUAUAAAUAGUAUUCUAAUGUAUUAUAGUCUAAAUUUUACCCCUAUGAGUUUAUUUUAUACACCUUUUAUUAUAUUAACCACAUUUAUAAUGCAGUGCAAUGUAACAAAAAAUUACAACCAAAUAUGAAUUAGCAUGAAAAUAAUAUUUUAGUGCAAUAUAAUACAAUGUAAUGUAAGCUAACAAAUGGAUAUUUAAUGGAAGCAAAAAUUGCAUAUGGCUUGUGGGUCUCUUAAAAGACAACAAAAAAAACCAAUAUGAUAUACUGAUUUCGUCCUCUUUAAUGGUGUCUUUACUAAAUGGGAAUCAGAAUAAGUUAGAAUUGGAAUGAGCUUGAAUCGAAAUAAAGAAUUAGAAUCAAAAUAAGUUGUUUAUUGAAGUUGUAUAAAUUAGAAUCAAAAUAAGUUGUUUAUUUAAGCUGUAUGAAUCAGAAUCAAAAUACAAAUUGAUGUGUUUAUUUUCUCUUGAAAUUAGAAUGGACUAUUACAAGUUACUAAAAAAUCAUUUGGUAAUUGUUGUCUCUAGUAUUAUUUGUAUCUGUUAUAAUGGUAACAAUAAUAAGAAUAAAAAUAAUACUAAAAAUGAAAAUAAUAAUAAUAGUAGAGACAAUAAUAAUAAAAUUAAUAAAUUAUUAUUAUUAUUAUUACUACUACUACUACUACUACUAGUGCUGAAGACCGCUCGGUGAAGAUUGGAGAGUGAAGAUGAAGAUACGAAGAUCCCGGUAACCAACUGCUGUUCCAAAGAUGAUGUGCCCAAAUGGAGACAACCAAUGAUGACUAGCCAACUAGAUCCCAAUCUCAAUGUUGUGAUCUCAUAUGACCACAGAUAAAGCUAUGUGUGAUGUUGGUGUUAUGAUUUCUUUUUUAUUUAUAUUUUUUAAUUUAUCAGUAGUAUUUUCACAUUUUUGUAAUUUUAAUAUGGACAAAUUGGAUAGUCCAAUGAACAAGAGACUGAUUCCCAACCAUCCUAAAAAUUAGUCUCUCAUUUUCUAUUUCUAAUUUGAUGUGAGUCCUGCUAUUUCGAUUCCAAUUCUUACAUUUAUUUGAGACAAAACUAUAGUGCAACUGUAGUAUCAUUGGAUCCAGCCACAGUUAUCACCAUGACUGGAUCUAAUGGUUGAAAGUAAUUGUGGUAUGAUAUCACAGUUGCACCAUAACUGGACAUUUAUUUGUGAAGUAAAAUGAUGUUAAUAAUUUUGAUUUCCAAUUCAAGAAGUAAACACAUCAUAAUAUUUUUUUAGAUGCUUCCAUGGCAUAAUCUCAUUGGUCCAUUUUUCUUCACGCCUUAGAUUCAACUUCAAGAUUCAAGAUUCAAUUUGAAGCAAACACAACUACAAAAAAAAUAUAAUAAGCGUUAAUAAGCAUGUGGCUGAAUGGCUGUGGCCAAGCAAAUGUAACUCAUAGUGACCGAAUCAUAUCUUAUUAUCUUACGCCAGAAGCUAAACAAUGUUCCCAUUCCACGUGUCACUCUCUGACCAAUCCCCGAACUUCUUCGUAUUUCCAAAGAAACCCUCACCAAGUCAAGAUAAUUACCUUCACUCUACUCAUAUAAAUGCUGUCCUCGAUUCGACUGAUGUCUGAUGACGACAUAUCCUUAGUCUUUAUUUAAAAGGGGAAAUUAUAAAAAAUUCUCCUCGUUCCCUAAAAAUCUAGGGUUUCUCAAGAAUCGCUAAACCUAGAUCCCAAUCCUUCAAAAUCUCAAUUUAACCUCUCUAGGGUUUCAAUUGUCGAGGAUUCGCUUCAAAAUUUAGUAUUUUUUAGGGGAUUUUGCUUGUCUCGUAUCCUUCAAUUGUUGUUCGGUUUUGAAAAUAAUUUGGAAUUUUAGGGAUUUUCAGAUUAUUUGGUUUUGCUUGAGUGCAAUUUCCUCUAGUUACGGUUUCAGUUUGAAGGGUUAAGUGCAGUUUGAAGGGUUAAGUGCGAUUUCGAAUAUUUUUAUAAAAUUAAAAUUAAAAUUCAUAAAACGAUUGGACGUUUAAUAAUUAAUUGAUGGCUAGCGAUACUACAACGGCGGCCGCAGCUGCGGAAGAAGCAGAGGCGGUGGAGGAGUAUGAUAGCGAUCCAGAUGAAGUGAAACACUCUCUUGCGAUGCGCAGAAGGGAAGCCAGCGAUGAGGAGGUUGAGGAGGAUAAAGAUUCAGAGCAAAACCAAAUCAAGGUAAUUACCGUCACUCGGCUCAAAUAAAUAGUCUCCUCGAUUCAACUGAUGACGACAUAUCUCAUAGUCUUUAUUUAGAAGGGAAAAUUAUAAAAAAAUCCCAUCGUUCUCUAAAAGUAUGGUGUUUCUCAAGAAUAGCUAAACCUACAUCCCAAUCCUGCAAAAUCUCAAUUUAACGUCUCUAGGGUUUCAAUUGUCAAGGAUUCGCUUCAAAAUUUAGUAUUCUUUUAGGUGGUGUUUGGUUGGAAGGAGAGGAAGGAGGAAAGUGAAGUAAUUUAAUUUUUUUUUUAUUUCUUUUGUUUGAUUUACCAUAAUUUAUAAGAAUUUAAUUUUCAUUAAAAUUUAAUAUACAUCAUGAUGUAGAAUUUAGAUUCCACCCCAAAGAGUGAUGAAUUUGAAUUCCUCCUCUAUUGAAAGCCAAAAUAUCCAAAAUUGCCCUUUCAAUUUUUUAUUAACUUGUUUAAUAUUAUCAAAUUAUUAUUAUUUACAAUUUUAUUUUAUCAAUUUAAUAUUGUAAAUAAUUAAUUUUGUAAUAGUAAAAGUUAAAUAAUUAAUAAAAUCACUUUAUUUAUUUAAUUAAUUUUAAAAAUAGAAAUACAAAUUUAACAGUCGCCGGAUCGCCGCUGCUGCUGCUAACAACCUCGCGUGAGACGUCACCACCUGUACUGUUGGAGUCGUUGGACGACAAGAAACGUCAUUUUACCGUCACGUAAGUGAAAAAAUGAAUUUAUGUUCCUCAAAUUCGGUUAACAUAAAUUUAAAAACUUUCUAACUAUCUCAGAUCCGGAUAGCAUUCGAGUUUUUUGGCCAAAUAAGUUGUUUCAAUCCAUAGAUCGUCAAGUUCUGAAAAUUUUCAUGUAAUUAGCGAGUUGAAAUGACAUGAUGCAGUGGUGGCCGACGGCGAGAGGCGGCAGCUCCGACAGCGGCGGCAACUCUUUUUUUUUUGUUGUUCAAAUAAAAUUUUAAAAUUAUAAUAUAUUAAUUAAGAAAUUAUUUGUAUUAUGUCAUAAUUUAUUUAGAAAUAAAUUAAAUUAAACUAAUUUUAAAAUAAAAUUAUGUUAAUAAACUUUUUAAAUAGAGUUUAAUUAUAAAUAUAAUUAUACUACUUAAAUAAAAUUUUAGUAGUUAUUUAUAUAAUAUAUUAAAUAAAUUUAUUGUUUAAUUUUUGAAUUAUAUUUUAUGAUAAAUAUUGAAAGUUUAACCCUAAAGGGUGAAAUUGUCCAAAUAAAAGUUAAGACAUUUUCUUUCUUUGUAUAAUUUUAUAACAAAUCAAACAUUAGAAAAGAAUUUUAAUGUACUCUCUCCUCUCCUCUCCUCUCCUCUCCCUCUUUUUCUUAAAACCAAACACCACCUUAGUGGAUUUUGCUUGUCUCCUAUCCUUCAAUGGUUAGUUCAUUUCUGAUAAUAAUUUGGAAUUCAGUUUGAAGGGCUAAUAAUUAAUUGAUGGCUAGUGAUACUACAUCGGCGCCCGCGCCCGUAGCUCCGGAAAAAACGGAGCCGGUGGAGGAGUAUGAUAGCAAUCCAGAUGAAGUGAAACGCUGUCUUGCGACGCGCAGAAGGGAAGCCAGCGAUGACGAGGACGUGGAGGAGGAGAGAGAUUGAGGGCUUCCAAUGGCGAAGUUUCCACAUUCCUCCGGGAGAAGCGGAGGCUGUUGAUGAGUACGAGAACGAUCCAGAUGAAGUGAAAUACUCUCUCGUGAUGGGCAGAAUGGAAGCAAGCGAUGAUAAGGAGGAGGAGGAUAAAGAAUUUGGGCGUCGAAUGAACCGUAGGGUCCACAUUCAUUCUUACGAUGAAUCUGAUGGCCAAGGUGGUGUCCAGCUGAGUAUGAUGAUGGUGAUGAUGAAGAACAUGACAGAGAAUUAGAAGAAGAAGAUGAAGAGGGGGAUGUGAUAUGACUUCAUAUCAUUUAAUUUGUAUAACCGUGACGCCAAUCCCAUUCAUCCUGGUCCGAUCCGAACGGAUCUUGUUGAAUGAAUUGAUCCAUUGUUGUAUGCCUUACUUCUUAGUGAUUUUUUUCCUACUUGGAGCCGCCUUUGAGUACUCCUGAGAGAUAGAGUGGAAGCAUUUUGUUAUGGUGGAGAGUGGGGAGUGAAAAAGCCCAAUUCAGCAGAGAACGACAGCAUGAAUCGGAAUCCACUUAUAUUAUUAAGACAGACGACCGAGAAAGAAAGGCUCCACGUUCUCCAAGUGAUUGAUCUUAGCGUAGCGCGCUAGCCGCUGCUUCAUUUCGUAUAGUGACAACGCUUUCUUAGCGCUCCGCCCCCCCCCGGCGCAUAGUAAGGGGGACUCUGGUUGCGCGGCUUUCUCUUACAGUGGUCUAUUUUCUCUGACUUUACUCAACUUGUGUCGGUUAGAGUAUCGCUUUCGUACGGCGAGAGUUAUUGAUUCAAAUCCAAUAGUAGUUAAAACCGGGGGAAACCCCUGCUUUUGCCAGCAUGACAGCAAGCACGGACUGGCAGCAAAUGUGGUGCGGGUUCAUCUCUCUCGAGCAGUUCAGGUUCAAGGGAAGGGUGCUCGAGGGGUACUUGUCUUGUUUAUCAUUUUUGUUUAAUUUUCAUAAAUUCGACGACCCACAAUUCAAUUAUGAGUGAAGAGUUUGUUAAAAAAAUGUGGUCUUCCAUUUACUAUAACUAAGUCCGUGUGAUGUAAUUAUUUUUCUUUCACUUAAUGUCUUGAAAAUUAUGAAUACAUUGUAGGAUUUAGAAGGAUUUUAAAGUUUUAAUGCAUAUGGGUUUUUUAUGUCCAUCCACUUAUGCGUAUCCUGCAUUUUAUGAUUAUCGUUGUUGGUAGAUUGACAAAUGGACCUUAAUUACAAGUCAAAUAACCUAAAUACUUAUCGGCCAAAGGAAGCCAUUUACAGUACUUUCUAGUGAAGCAAAGUAAAAUGAUUCAUACUGGCAAAGAAAAUUAGAAAGAAAAGGAGGAUUACUGAUCCACACAGUGUCGUUUACUAAAAGUACGUUGAUCUUACACUUAAUUUAUUAUAUAUCCAUUUAUAAUGUUCAAAAUGAUAAUGUACUAUUUCUUAAAUUAGGCUUUCAAAACAUCAUUUUGAUAAUGCAUAGUUGUAAUGUGUCUCUAAAUUCAGUAAUACAAGUUAUUUCUGUUACUAAUGGAUGAAGUGACUUGAAACUUGCAUGGUCAUUAAAUGCUGGCAUAAUCUCUUUGACUUCUCUUGCAUUUGAAUGAAUGGAUGAGCGUUGCAUUUGAAUGAAUGGAUCAGUGUUAAUGCAGGCAAAGAUUUUCUGGACUUUCAUGGAUUCACAAUAAAUGCUACGUCAAAGGCCUGGUAAGAUGUCAGCAAGCUGGUCGAAGAUAUCAACCUGAUUUGGUGGCUGCAAGAUUUGUUCAUCCAGGACCGUUUUCUUUGACAAUGAGAAAGCCCCAAUGUCUAUAAAUUGAGAACUCACUGAAUUGUAGAGAGAGAGAGAGGAAAGUGAAUGACGGGAGAGGCAGUGAAAAGAGAGAGUGGGAAGAUUUGGGCGUAAUUGGGGUUUCGGAGUGAGAUAAAAUAAUCAGAGAGUGGUUGUAAUAAUUUUUUAUACGGUGAAAUUUUUUUGUCUCGUGUUGUUUUUUGCAGUGGUGGUUUUUUACUCUAAUAAAAUAGUCUUCCAAGUAAAUUUUGUGUGUUAUGAUUGGGAUAUUCACCAUUUUAGUUUUCUAUUUAUUAUUUGUUUUACAUAUUGCUAGCAAAAAUCUGGGGCGAGAACCGAAAAUUCCCAACAAUUAUUAAUUAUUUUAAACUCUGUUCUGAACAGAGCAUGAAGGGUUUCACUUACCUAGUUACGUUUUUCAUUCUUUCACUUCACUUGAUUUCAUCUUGUCCCUCUCCUUUAUAAAAGUUGCAUAUAUUGGAGUAUCAAGUUCAUCACAAGGAUCAUAUUCUGGCUAACGAAGGAGCAAAGUUCAUUGGCUGCACUCAUGUGUAGCAGAGUAUUUGGAUUCAAGACUGUUAGAAGGUCGUUACAGAGUAUUUGGAUUCACUCUCCAAUUUUCAUUAAUUUAGUGUAGCCAAGCUUUAACUAGAUAGGUAGAUAACGUGGUCAUGAAAACUUGAUUAAGAGUUUAAUGCAAUCAAAUCUACUUUAAUGAUUAUUUAAUGCACGGAGAUUUAACAUCAAUUAUCAUCACGUUAGUCUAACAACGAAAUUGCAGAGCUUGGAUCUUUACUCGAACAGUUUCACUGGCUGUAUUUCUGACACAUUGGGCAAGCUGAUGGAAUUGCAAUUCCUGUAUGAUCAUUUCCCCAACUAUUAUUUGAAUAAUUAUUUAAUGCCAUUAUUCCAGCUCUGUUUGGCUGUUAACUUUAUUUAGUUAUUUAUGAGGAGAUUCAUUUCUCACCUGAAGCUAGAAAUUUACGGAUCAAUGACUUUUUAUUUUUUCUUUUAUAUGAUAGCUUGCAAUCCCUGGUGUGUGUUGAUAGUGCCUUACAUGAAUACAAAAAUGAACAAAUUUUUUUUUUUUUUUUGGGGCCAAUUGCAGUUUUGAUAACAACUAAAAUCUGUGUGGUCCGGUUACCACAAAGCCUUGCCCCAGAUCCCUGCCAUUUUCUCCUCCACCUCCAUUUGGGGAAAUUACUACUUACUUUUUGCAAGUUUUUCGUGAAAUAUUUAUUUUGAGAAGAAAACCAACAAUACAUUUUAUGAUUUGGGCUGUUUCAAAGAUCUUCGCUUGAUGUCUCUGCUACUGGUUUUCAGCAGAGUGCCCAAAAAUAAUCAGUGCACGCACUAUAGGCUCUAUUAUUAUUAGUAAAAAGCGUUAAUGAUAUAUUGGGAUCGACUUUUUUAUUUGGGAGUGGAAGGAUGCUUGAAAGAGUAGAGUGGUGCAUCUUGUUCAAACAUGCACCGUAGAGCCAAUUCCAUUUUAUGAAAUAGGAGUUAGACUGAACAACGUUAUGUCUUCGUUAUCAUUUCAGAAGGAAACAAAUCAAAUGCAGCAAUUGAUGUAGGAGUUGCUGUUGGCGCUGCUAUAUUUUUUACGGACUCUCAUACCAUGGAAAAACUCAGCUUUAAAGAAUGGUAUGAUGCUUUGAUAUAUGAAGUAAUUGGUAUAUAUUUUGUACCUUGCAUACAUUUUGCUCUGUUAAUGUUAUUAUUUGAUAACAUGUUUGUCGAGUUGCACAGUGUCUAGAAUUUUGAGAUUAAGAAGAGUAUAAAUGUUAUACAAAUACACUCCUUUCAUUUUAUACAACUUUGAUUGAUCAAGUUGUAUCUCUUUGAUAAAAGAGCAGUAUGACAUUUAUGUGCAAGCAAAGUUGCAUUCUGUUUUGGGAUCCUGGAAAAAAUAAAAGAAAGAAAACGCGGUACGACGCUGAUACUGUGCUCUUUAAUAUUUUUCUAGAUGCUUCAAUGGCAGAUUCUCGUUGGUUCAUUUUUCUUUACGCCUUAGAUUCUAUGAUUCAAUUUCAAUCAUAUACGACAAACAAAAGAAGCCUUUGGGAAAUUUACAAUAAUAACCAUUAAAGUUUUGCCUUUUUUCAUCUUAACCCCCCAAAAAUAUUUCUAUCAACAUUAGCCAUUAAACAACUUUUGAGACGAAAACACCCCUCCCUCAUCUCUCCCCCAACACUCCCUUUCACUCAUCUCUCCCAAACCGAUCCAACUUCCAUCAUCGGCGGCGACAUUAACCCUCGUCGGCGGCGGCUCCAUCUCUCACCGGCAUCCGAUCUACGAUCUACAACCUUCAACAAAACCUAGGUUAGUUAUUUUUCUUAUUUUCAUUAAUUUAAAAUGAAAUUUUAGAAUAAUAAUAGUUAUAGCUUGAGAAUAAUGGUGGUGGUGGUGGUGUUUGUGGUGGUUGGUGGUGUUUGGGAGUAUUGUUUUUCGAUUUUGUUGUGGCUUAAUUUUGGGGGUGGAGAGGGAGGGGGGCAGGGCGCGCGCCCAUGUGCGCCCCACUGUCGCACCAGCUUUGGUGCGACAGGCGCCUGUCGCACCAAAAAUUAUAGUGUCUUUUUUUUUUUAAACGAGUAUUUUUUUUUCUGUAAACGUAAUGUAAUAAUUUUAUAAAUAUUACAGAUACAUGGUGAAAUCAGAUUCACCGGAUAUUGAUGUAGGCAAGAUGUAUUUUAGUUAUGCCGAUCACUUUCCUGGUCGAAUUUCGAGCAUGUGUAAGUUAUCUUCGGUCAUAAAAGCCAUCGAGGAAAAAUUAACAAAGCGACAGUUGACUAUGUUCAAAAAGGAUAUAUUUGGGCAUUUCUUGGAGUGUCGAAGUUUUCCAUUUAGUGGGGUAAUUUUGCACAAUCUUUUACUGAGGCAAGUGGCCCAUGAAGAAGAUAGCCGUGAGGAUCAGUUAUGGUUUCAAAUUGGUGAGCAUUUGAUUCGCUUGUCAAUUGUCGAAUGGUGCUUGGUUACUGGACUUUCAUUUGGUGUUGAUACCAAUCAAAAAAAUGAAGAAAUGGAGCAGAGGCUACGGAAUACGUAUUUUGGUGGUGUUCAUCGUAAGAUUAAUGUGAAGGAAUUCGAUGCAAUAUUUAAGGAGUUGAAAUUCGAGGAAAUGGACGAUAUGGACGCAUUAAAGAUUGCGCUGUUUUAUUUUGCGGACCAAGUACUAAAUGCAAGAAAAAAUCACUGUCAAAUCAAUUUCGAUUGGCUUGACAAAGUUGAUGAUAUACAGUACUUCUGAAAGCGUCCAUGGGGUCUGUUGUCAUGGGAAAUGAUUUACGAGAGUCUUGACAAUGCACUGUUCGAGAAAGACGAGAAAUUUAAGAAGACUCGGUUGAAAAAUCCAGAUCAUAACAUUGAAAAAUACAAUCUUUACGGCUUUACGUCUAGGGUUCAAGUGUGUUUUUGUUUUUGUUUAUUAAUAAGUUUUAUAGUAUUAAAUAUUUGAUAUGUUGUUUUAUUUGAUUUUUCAAUUUGGUUGUUGUAGGCUUGGAUUUACGAAGCAAUCGGAGGGUUGCCAUCAACAUGGGUCGUCAAAACGAAGAAUAAGAUUCCCCGCAUUUUGCAAUGGAAGCCCAUGGCGUCUUCGAGAAUCAAUUUUGCGGAGGUUUAUUCGUUCUUCAAUGACGAAUCUCGUCUUGUAAGCAAUAUGUAUUACUUAUUUUUUUAACUUUACUAAAUAUAAGUUAUGUAUACUUACUUAAAAUUUUCAAUUUAAUUUAUGGCAGGGGGACGUUUUACAAACUCUUGAGCCAAAUUCAAAGGAGAGUAGCAGAAAUUAUUGGGUCUCUGUGAAGGAUUACUUGCCAAGCAUUCCAGGCUGGGUUCUUAAGGUUGGUAUACUCUAAGUACUAAAAAUUAUUUAAUUGAAAUUUUUGACUUUUCAUUUACAAAUUUUAAAUGAUACUUUAUACAGCACCAACCCUCAAUCAACCCGAUGCCGUCGGUUACAAGGCAAUCAGACGAGCAUGACGAUCAUGACGACAUACUAAACCCAAUACCAGAGCAGCGUCAUGACACUUAUGAGGAUGAGGUGGCUGUUGAUGACCAGCAGCAGCAAACAAACAACUCUGAUGACGCACGGGAUUCUGAGGUUAUAAAUAAUAUACGAUAUUUUUUCUUUAUAAAUUAUUAAUUUUUUUUUGUUUUUCUAAAGUUUUCUGUUUUUUCUUUUGUAAUAGUCGAGGACAAAGCAGUUUAAUGAUUACAUACGACGACGGCUGGAUAAGAUUGAUCGUAACGUGUACGAAAUAAAGUCAGAAUUAAAAGAUUUUAAAGAAACCGUUGUUGGCUUUAUCGACACAUUUUCUAAAUGUCCAAAUAAGGAUUCUCCCACUGCACACUCGUAUGCGGUGAGAAAAUUUUUAUUUAAUAAUUAUGUUCGUUUAACGUUUAAUUUGAUAGUUGUUUAAUAUGUUCUUCUUGGCGAAUGGACAGGCCCCGGAUGACUAUGGAGUGUAUACUAACGUGGGCAAUGAAAAUUUGUCUACGCCCACGUCAUUGUAUAGUUUCUACGGGGAUGUUAGUGGGGAGAGCGUGCAGGUGUUCUCUGAGGUGCCUCCCGGCGUUAGUAAGUUCGGCCGCGCGUACAUACCGUCGUAUGUUUAUAACAUUCCUUACAUGAUUCCUCCAGUCAAGCGAAGACAGAACAUCCGGCCUUUGCCUCGACCCCAAAUUUUGGAGCAUGCGAUUGUCAUGAGUACGACUGUGGAUAUAAAUCCACUGAGAGGAUUGGAAGACUCUAGUAUGUUUGCUGAGUUUGAUCGAUGGUUCGCUGGUGAUAUGAUAGUGGUUCGGAGAGUCCGGCACCCGCGGUCAUUCUUUGAAAUACUUUUGGGUUUAACUUCGAUGGGAUGGCUAGGCGAUGAGGUAAUUAUAUUUUCGAAGUGCUUUGAGUAAUGUGGAUUUGUAAAUAAAUAUUUUCUUUUAAAUCGUAAUGUUUAUGUUUCUCUACAGCAUAUUCACGAGUAUUUUUGCUUGAUUAGCGAGAAACAACGGCAGUAUCCGAAUGCCUUACUUCAACGUGUCACACAUACCGACACAUUUUUUUGGGUAACGUGCCAACAUAACGAACAUAAAUACUAUUUAUGUUUUUUUUAAUUAUCGCCUUUAAGUUUUGUUAAUUAAUGCAUUUUUUUGGUUAUCUAUGUAUUAGGUGUUCUUGACUCAGUUAUGGAACAAUGGGCAUUGUGCGGUCAAUUCAUUAGAAUUUGACGACCGCUUGAAUAGCUAUCUCUGUGGGCGACAGCACACAAUGUCCAAAUCGAUGACGGAUGUCGAUAUGGUAUGUAGUUUAUUGUAUUUCGUAUACAAGUUGUCGAUUUUUCUUAGUUGUUUUUCAAUUUCAUAUAUAACGAAGAUGUUUUUGAAUUUUUAUAUACAGUUACUCAUCCCUGUUAACUUGGACGGCGAGCAUUGGGUACUAGCACGAGUAGACUUUCAGAAAAACAAAGUCUGGAUUUAUGACUCAUUACUCACAUGCCGCGACGACAAAAGAUACAGGUUGAAAUUCAAGCCACUUGAAGUUAUCUUCCCUCGAUGGUUGGAAUAUGUUGGGUUCUACAACAUCCGACCUAAGUUGCAGAGUGCUGACCCCUGGAAAGUUCUCGCAGUUAGGAGUGCGCCACAACAAGAGCGCGGAACUGGCGACUGCGGUGUUUUUGUAUUGAUGGUUACGAUGUAUUUAAUGGUCGGGCUUACAUUAGAGUUUACCGCUAGUCAUGUCGAGUACUUUAGAAAGAAGAUUGCGGUUGACAUAUUUAAUGACGAUAUUGUAUUGUAAAAUGUUGUAGUAAUUUCAAUGUUGAAAUUUAAAUUUUUAUUCUAAUUUGCGCACUUAAGUUUAUAUAAUUUGAAUGCUCACAUUUUAAUAUUAAAAAAAAAUACACUCACAUAUAAGUGUACAAUACACUAAAAAAAUAUAGCAGUUUUAACCAACGAAUUAUUGAAACAAUACAACUAACUUCGAUUCGACGCAAUGGGAUUCUUACACCGCUUGCGAUUAUGGCCCAGUUCAUGACACCGCCCGCAUCUUACAGUCCGCCGGUUAACGUCCUCGCCAGCCAAGGGUAUUCUACGCUCUUUACGACGGUCAGGUGGUGGUGCCUCAACUGGAGGGUAUACUUGCAUCUCCUGAAUUUCAUCUGGAACUUCCCAAUCAGCCACAUCGCCAACUGGCUCCACUGGUUGUGCAUAAGCCAUUGCCAACCAUUCUGUAGUGUAAAAGUCCAAGCAAAGGUUAAUAUAAUCCACCCGGUGUGUUAGACACGCCGCAAUUGCAUGAGCACAUACAAGCUGAUCAAGCUGAAAAACUCUACAGGAGCAAGUUUUCUUUUGCAAGUCAACCAAACCUUCCUUAAGCCCACCACCUAUAACUUGAAAUCGAUGCGGAGACACCGGCCGAACUAUCAUUCUUUCAGCUAUAGUUCUCCGCUCAGUGACUAUUUCAUCUACCCAUGUUGUUAGCCGAGUACUCAUUGAUUCAGCCAUAAUUUUUCUAUCAUAAAACCAUUGCUGCAGCGUUUUCCUAAAGUGAUCAACAAGAUGAGUAACAGAAAAUUUUCGCGGUUCUCUCAUGAAAGAAUUAACACUCUCCGCGAUGUUGGUGGUAAGUAUGUUGUACCUCCUACCUUCAAACUGAGACCUUGCCCAAUUACACGUACCGACAUUAUUUUCUAGGUAGUCAGCCGCACCCGAGUGGAUCAUCCACAACCCUUCAAGUUGUCUCUUAAAUUCCUCGUGGCCAUAUGCUUUUGCUGCAUUAAUAAAGGCAGGCUCAAAUUGAUCCCAAAGAACUUUUGACAUUCUAAACUGUGACUUAAUGUUACCUUUCACGUGGUAAAAACAAACUCCAUGAGUUGCAUUCUGAAAUACUUUAAGAACGGCUCUCCUUAUGGCAGUGCAUCGAUCAGAUAUAAUUACCAACUCAGAUCUAUCGCCAAUCACUCCAUGUAACUUCAUCAUAAACCAUUCCCAAGCAUCAUUGUUUUCUGAAUCCAUGAUCCCAAUGGCUAACGGAUACAAUUGAUUGUUACCAUCAAGACAUGUUGCCAUGAACAUGCUUCCACGAUAUAGCCCCUUGAGAUGAGUACCAUCUACAACAAUGACAGGCCGAAUGUACUGCAUAAAACCCUUGAUGGAAGAUCCGAGUGCUACAAAAUAGUACAAGAAAUUACCAUCUCCAUCCUGCUCGAUGUGAGUGACUGUACCCUCAUUCGCUGCAGUUAGUACGUGAGAGUAUUUAGGGAGCAAGUUGUAUGACUCUGCAGGGUUGCCUCGAACUAUUUCAAGACCAACUUCUCUCGCCCGAUAUGCCUGCUGGUAUGUUAACUGAACACCGUAUUCUUGUUGCAUAUCUGCUCUUAUGUCAUUCGGAGUAUAAAUUCUCUUGUCUUGAAUAUAUUUAUCUGCAAUAAUAUGACCGACAACCCGGCUCCUGACUUGAUGACGUCCAGCAAACAAUACCUCAUUAUGACAAGUGUGCACAUUAUCAACUCUCCGCACCACACAAGGAACAUUUUCCUCGUUCGAACAUCUAGUUGCUCGAAUAUGCCAUUUACAUGAUUCUGAACUACAGUGAGCCUCGAAACGUGUCGUAGUAGACCGUGCAAUCUUGAAAUCAAACUUAUCCCGGAAGGCAACCUUGCGUAGUUGUAAUAUAAACUCAUUCUUCUCAGCAAAUAGCUUACCCACACUGAUAUCAUCUGAGUCACAACUGCUAAUAAAGCUUGGAGCAACCAUGUUCGAAGGCAAAGUUGGAGCAAGACUUGUGAGAGGGUCAAUUCUCCUUCUCGAUCGAACCAUUGCUGGAAUAGGUCUAUUGCCUCUGUUAUUCACUGGAGUAUUGUCUUCACACUCAUCCUCAUGCUGAAACGACGGAACAUUCGAAGGACCGGCUCCUCCAUCAUCACCAUCAUUAUUGAAAUGAGUGCCCCUCAUAUUAUUAGAAGGUUCUGCACAAACAUUAUCCCCCUCUGUCUCAGCAUGAAAAUCAUCAUUGUCCCGAAAAUCAUUAUUGUGAUACGGAGAAUACCGUUGCUCCAACGACGUCGUUAUUGAAAAUACCGUCGCUCCAACAUCCUGUAACGUAACGCCAUCAUCAUCAAUGUUGUCAUAAUUGUCGUGGAUUGGAGAGUAAUAUUGCUGCAGUGAUAUUGUCCUUGGAAACACCUCUUCUUUAUUAUCGGGGCCAGACAUAUUUGCUCUAAACGAAGUUUCUGUAUCGACAUGUGGCUCAAUACCUCCACUCGGAACUCGAGGUGAUGUGGUAAUAAAUAUAGGAAUGCAUCCAAAAUUAGCUACGUCGGAUGCCAUAUGUAACACAACCCUCACCAUUUCAUCAUCAAAUAUAUCCAUGGGCAGUGCACAUACACGAUAUAAUGUGUUACUAGACCUCAAAGUUGUCUUCAUUGUGAUAUUAUAUUCAUUAGGAUUAAUUUGUAACACAUCGUAUACUCUUGCCAAUAACUGAUCAAAAAGAUAAUUUUUUCCAACCAAAAAAGCUCUAUUUUUACCGUUGACAUACUCCAUACGCCCAUCCUCUAAUGUCUCCCAGCAACCAUCGUAACACAAUUCAAGUACAACUGAAUCCAUUAAGCUUGAAAUUAUAAAAAAAUAAAUUAUUUCAGCCCUAUCAAAUUAAUAGUUAAUUAUAAUGAAUCUGGCUUUUGGUGCGACAGACUGACUGUCGCACGAAACUUGGUGCGAAAGGGAGCCUGUCGCACCAGGCCUGGUGCGACAGACAACCUGUCGCCAGAUUCACCCAUGAAAUCAUCCGCAGUUCAGUCAAACUCACAAGCAAGAAAAUAACUCAUACCACUAUGUGAUGCCGAUUAGUGUUGGAUCCGAAUAAAUUAUGAUCGGAUUUCACUUUUUAUCGUUGCCUUUUGCCGUUGCCGUUGGUUGAUGAUUCAAGAGUGGAAGCUGCCUUUGUUUGACGAAAGGGGAGAAAGAAUGUUGCUUUUGGUUUGUAAAGAAGGGUAAUUUAGGGAGAACAGCAUGUGUUUGGCUAAUGUUGAUAGAAAAAAGUUGAGAGAGUUAAUUGUGAAAAUAAUAAAAAUUUUAUAAUUAUUUUUGUAAAUUUCCCGAAGCCUUUAAGCCUGCAGCUGAAAUAGAUGGUACUUUAAUUUUCAGCUGAACAUAUAUAUGGUAAGAUUAUUAUUAUUGAGCUUGAUGAGGCUAUAGAAAAUUCAAUAUCGAGAUCGGAUAAGGGUCCAAUAAAUUAUAAAAAUAAAGCAGCUCAAAGCCCAUAUGAUCAUGGGCCAGGCCACUACUUGCUCAUGCUUUGAAUCAAAAUUAGUGACGUUGGAAGCUGAAAGGGGCAAAUGAUGAAAUGGGGUUCAUCAUAUACUAUGCCCAACGGGAUAAGAUCAUCAUUUAAUUGCCUCCUCCUCUCCUCGAUAGAUAUUUGCCGAAUUUUUCUAUUUCAAAAUUAUUAUAUUGGUUAAUAUAAUUAGAAGUUUUACAAAAUAUAAAUAUAAUUUAAAAAAUUUAUAUUUAUUAAUCUAAAAUUUCCAUUUGGUGUUUGAGAAAAAUUUUAAGUAUAUUCGGAUAUACUUUCUCAUUGUUUAUUGAUUUUGGACAUUUAGACAUAUUAGUAUUCAGUAUUCUUAGGUAAUUAGCUAAGAAGUAUACGUGACAAAAGUAUAACACGUGAAAAAAUACACAACAAAAUUAUCUACAAUUUUCCAUUGACUUAGUCAACUCUCCAUUGAUUUCAUUGACUUAGUCAACUUAUGAUCUAACUCAACAACUUGAAAAUUAAAUUAUGCUAGUAAUUCCGUAAAAUUAAAAUUUAUCUCCCAAAAUUGAUAAAUACUAUGUCACUUUGUCAAAUUACUUAGGGUAAAAGUUCUGUGGCUAAAAACUUUUAAGAUGAGUUGUAUGCUAAUUGAGAAGGACAAGACACAAAAGAAUUCAAUGAAUGCUACAAACUUCUAAAAAAUAUUUUCUCUGCUCUUUUUUCUUUCACUUUCUCUUCCAUUUUGCCAAUCCCCAAACACCACCAAUCCUUGAUUUUUUGAGUAUUAGCUGUCAAUUUCUACAAACCUAGAACUGCUGUUUGUUUGUCUAAUUACUUUCAAGAAACAAAACUCUUUGUCAUGUGGUCUCUUCGUUUAUUGGCUUGUGAGCAAAUAAGAUAUUGGGCCAAUGGGCUUAACGUGACAAGUUCUUGAAUUGAAUGGCUCCUCUUUUUUUCAUAGAUCUUUGCUUAAUUUUUUUGUUCCCUCAACCUUUUUUGGCCUUUCGCGCUAAAAUUCUUUUUUUGAUACAUUAUGCAAAAAUUAUGAUGAAAAUGAGUUACUUUAGGACAUCAAUAAAUUUUUAUUACAUCUAUAAUAAGACAACUAUAGUGAGAUUACUCUUAUUUAAUUGAAUUAUAUGUAAUAAAAUUAGUUUAACAAAAUCUAACCCGUCAGUAUUCCAUAUCACAUGAUUAACGUAUUUAAAAAAUCUUAGCUAUUCCGUCGCUUGUUUUACAAUUCUUUUAUAUAUCUUUGAAACUUUCAGCUUCCCAACACAUCAUAUUGUUCUCAAUUCGUCUAAAUUAUUUUUUUCUUCAAACACUGCAGCAACAACCGGUAUAAAAUAGACUGAACUCAUUUAAUGGGAAUUAAAUGAUAUUUCUCUUCUCACCUUAAGAGACGAUAUUUCUCUUCUCACCUUAGGUUCCUCUAACAAACUUAAAAGAUGUUCCCCAUCCCACCUGUCCCCAAAUCUUCGUAUUUCCAAAAUAGAGAAGAGGAAGGCUUUUAUUGCAAACUGUAUGAGCGUUAUGGCCAUGGGAGGAUCAAAAUCAAACCAAUGGAUUGUAAAGCAAAAUUACCGAUUAAAAAUUCAACCAAUUGAAUCGGUUUGGUGUCACUUAAAAAAUAAAUAAUAUAUAAAACAACACAAUUAUCAUAUUAAUGAGCCUCUGUUAAAUUCAUUCAGUCAGUAUUUUUCUUUUCCCAUUUUCAAUGAAUGCUUAAUAUGGAAAACAAUAUGUCCCAUUGAGCACUGUUUAAAUCAUUCCCUAGUUUGUUUAACACGCAAAGAAUAUUCUUAUUCGGCUCUGCAGCCAAUCCGUUAAAAUUUGUUAAAAUUCAUUUAAGUGAUGACUGUGAUAUGACUCGAUCAGUAGUUUAAUUUGUAUAAUUUAUAAAAAUUUGGGCUUCAAGUAAUGUAGAUAGAAUGGUUAAUUAUUUUAAUAUUCAGAUAAAUUGAUAUAUGUCAUUAUAUUAUGAGUGGAUGAAAUAUCCAAUAGAAAAAAAAAAUGUUUGUAUUCGUCAUUUUUAGUGGGAAUCUAUUUAGUGUAACUUAUCCACAAAAAUGGUUGCCGACUUAUCUUGGUUCUCAUUUUGUUUAAUUUUCAUAAAUUUGAAUCAUGAUUAAUUGUGAGUGAAGUUUUUUUGGAAAAAAUCUGGUCUUCCAUUUAUUUUGUAGGAUUUAAAAGAUUAAAAAACUUUAAUACAUAUAAUUUUAUGUUCGAAACUAAAUACUCGUAGCAUUGCUGCUUCUAUAAAUAACUCAUUUGUGCUUCCAACCUGUUAUUUGUAUUUUACGUUUUUGUUUCUCUUCAUAAAGAUUUUCUUUUUUUUUCUUUUUUCCAUUCACUUUUUCUUCCAUUUUCCCGACUCCCAAACACCACUAAUCCUUGAUUUUCUAGAGUAUUAACUGUCCGUUUCUACGAACAUAGACCUACUGUUUGUCUAAAUACUAUCAAGAAACAACAUACUCUAUCGCGGGAUCUCUUCGUUUAUUGACUUUUGACUUGUGAACGGGGCUAAUUAAAGGGCAUUCCUUUCUUCAAGAAAGAAUGCAAAUAAAGUACUAUCCAUGAGACACGUUAAAAAUUAUUUUACAUAAAAAAUGAUAAUAAUCAUAAUAAUCGGUUUAGUGUAACCCCGUUAUUACUUAGUGACUGUCCGAUUGUCUUCUCUUUCAUUGACUUCGCAACUGUGACUUCUAAGUUGGGUUAAGGAUCGACAAAAAUGUUAUAACCUAUAAAGCAUGGAUAAUUAAUUAAUGGGAAUGCACCUCUCAUCUUUACCAUUCUCUUUGUCAUUUUCAUAAUUCAGCUGUUUAUUAAUAAAGUGAAUAAAUUUGUCUUUUAAUAAUAUGUUUCUUGGCUGUUUUUUGUGUAUUUUUGUGUACAAUUUUGUGUGCAAAUAGCAUUAUUCAUUAGUAAUUAGUUUGGAGCGUUCUAAUUUCUUCUAACAAGUAGCUCAUUUUAGCUUAGGACCUGUAACAAGUAUUUUAUGUUUCUGUUAAUCUUUAAUAAAGAUUUUCUCUUUUUUUUUUUUCCUUUCACUUUCUCUUCCAUUUUCCCCGACUCCCAAACACCACCAAUCCUUGAUUUUCUAGAGUAUUAGCUCUCUAUUUCGACAAACGCAGAACUGUUGUUUGUCUAACUACUUUCAAGAAAUAACGUAGUCUGUGGUUUAUUGACUUGCGAACGGGGCUAAUUAGUCACGGUCCGAUUGUCUGACUUCUCCAUUGACUCGGUCAAUUCACGACCUUGACCUGCACAGUUGAUACAAACGGCCUUCUCCAUUUGAGGUGCACAAAACUUUCUUGAGUCAUUUUGUUUGGUGAUGAUGAAUUGGAUGUCAUGAGUUUCAUGAUGAAGAGGACCAAAAACAUUAUUUUAUUAUUUAAAGAAGACUAACAAUUAUUUCGAUGGUCAUUUUAUUAUUAUUUUUAAAUAUCCAAAUGGUGAAAUUUUAAAGAAUUAAGGUGCUUGACUUCUUUACACAGAAUUACAAAGCAAAACAAUUAAGAAAUUAAAUACUCGUCAUCCAAGUGAGAAGAGAUUGGGUUGUUGAUACAUUAAAUAAAAGAAAAAUCAAUUAAAAGCACAACAAUUCAAUAAUUUCAUUCUCAAUCAUAUCAAAAAUAAAAUUUACUGUACAUUGUUUUUCGGUUCUGUAAAAAAAAAAAUUAUUAGGGAUUUGCAGUUUUUUUUAGUGUAAUUUUCGUUAAUUAGAGUUUGGUCUGAAGGGUUAAGCACAUGGAUCAUAAUCAUGUUAUGGCCUAAGGAAGGAGCAAGUUCAUUGGCUGCACUCAGUUUACAAAAUAUUUUGGGAUUCAAGACUUUAGGUUGUUAAAAAUGCAACUUGCAAGGCUGUUGCUGUGUAACUGUAUGCAAUGCUGGCAAGUGUGCUAUUAUUGGGAAAAUAUGCUCUUUAAAAGCAUAUGUGUUUAUUUAAUUGUAAUAAACAAUUUUUCUGAUUAAUAAAAUAAAUGAGGUAUUCUAUUCAAAUAUCUUAAUUGCAUUAAUAAUUUUAUUAAAGUCCAUUUAAUCAUAUUAUAUGUAUUUAUGUGAUCACCAUGUGGAUUCACAGAAGACAUAAAUACAAGUUAUCUUAUAAUUAAAUAAAUUUAGUUCGCAGUUGAUAAAUAAAGUUGGGCACUUUAUUUAGGUAUAGACUGUAAUAAAUUCAUUGAAUGAUUUGUCUUAAUCAUGUAUGAAUUUAUUGAUGUAGUACGACUACAUUGAACAGGAUCACAUAUGAGAUUUAAUUUUCUUUGUAAUAACUGUCAGACUUAUUAAAUCUCAUAGGCAUUGAUUUUACUGCAAUCUUAAUCUUGAGUUAAUUAUGAUUUCAUUAUUGUAAUUGUUAUUCUAUUUGAGUUACCAAUGGGCACGACACAUCCUUGUGGUCAAGAUUACCCGGUAUCUUGGUGGGAGCAAUUAUAAGUAUUGGAGUUAUGGAUUAACAAUAUAGAAUUUGUACAACACAUCUCUUGAUGGGUUUUCGGCACUUGAUCAUAGAAUUCUCUUGCCAGAGUGUGUCAACAUAUUUAGUAUGUUGAAAAUGAUUAUUAGAGAAAACUAGUAAGGAUCAAGGAAUAAGAUGUUAUUAAAUUGAUUGGACAGUUGAGAUAUCAAUUUAAUUAACAAUGUGGUACAAAGGAUUGUGCAGUAAAAAAAAUCAAUGUGGCUUGGGACGAAUUAUUAUUCGAGCAUACAAUUAUGGAAGUCAGUUCCAAUCUUUUAGUGGAGGAGAUUUAGAAUUAAAUAAUUGGGCUAGUUUAAUUACAGGCCUAAUUAUUGUAGCCACUAUUGUAUGUUCCCAAAUGAUCCCCGGGUUAGCUCAUUUACUUGACUGCACCACUACUGGACUAAAAAGUAAGAUAACUAGCUAUUUGGGUCAAAAGCCUAAAUAUAUCAUUUAGUGGGAGGCUCCAUUUAAUUAGCUUUUGUGUAAGGGACCUUAUGUUAUUUUACAAGGUGGGUCCCCUAUAGAAAAAGCAAAUAACGUGAAUUUUGUUUUUUAUUUAUUUGGAGCCUAGGGUUUUCACUAAUGGGUGAUAUAAAAGGCUUAUUUUCUCUAAAGAAAAGAGAGCAGCCACUUUAUACAGAUCAGAGAAAAAGAUUUUUCUCUCUAUUGUUGAGAGAAAAAUUUUCUCGUACUAGUUGCUUUGGUAGUGAUAAAGGCGCCCACAUGUCAAGUGCAGAUCGAACCUGAGUCAUAACCUGGAAGAUCAUUGGUGACAGUUCGUGAUCUAACAAGCGUGGUGGUGAUGGAUCGUGAUCCAAAAGGAGUGGUGGUGGCGGAUCGUGAUCUAGGAGCCUAAAUCACUUCAACGGAAAAAGCUAAAUCGGAUUUUCAAGGUACGAUUUCUAGAUUACAAAUUCUUAUAUAUUAUAUGAGAGCGAUCUUCAAAAGGUUUUAUAAAAAAUUUAAAAACCUGAUUUUUUCCCAACAGCUAUAACAUAUUGUUGAGAUGGCACCAAAGAUUGUAAACUAAUUAGUACUGGAAAAUCCUAUUUGCACAUAAAAUUGCACAAAAUAAAUAGAAUGAGAAUACUUGUGCAAAAAAAAAAAAAAGAUUAAUAAAGUGAAUAAAUUUAUCUUUUAAUAAAAUAUUUAUAGUCUUUUAUUUUUUUGUGUAUUUUUGUGUAAGUACAAAUAGCAUUACUCAUUAGUGAUUAACGUAGAGUACUCUGAUUUCUUCCAAUAAGCAGCUCGUUUGAGCCUAGGACCUGCAAUUAUGUUUUACCUUUCUGUUACUUUCUCUUAAAUAUUAUCUCUGUUCUUUUCUUCUUUGCUUUCACUUUCUCUUCCAUUUUCCUGACUCCCAAACAUCACCAAUCCUUGAUUUUCUAGAGUAUCAGCUAUAUAUUUGUACAAACACAAAACUGCUAUUUACUUUCAAGAAACAACGUAUUCUGUGGUUUAUUGGCUAAUGCCUUGUGAAUGGGGCUAACUAUUUCCAUGAAACAACGUACUCUGUGGUUUAUUGACCUGUGCCUUGCGAACGGACCUAAUUGUCUCCUCUUCCAUUGACUCUGUCAAUUCACGACUUUGACGCGCACAGUACGUAGAUGCUAACUGCCUUCUCCAUUCGACGUGCAAAAACUUUCUUGAGUCCGGUUAAAAUUAAUUGAUCAUUUUAUUUGGUGAUAAUGACUUACUUGUCAAGUCAUGAGUUUGAUGAUGAAGAGGACGAAAAAUAUUAUUUUAUUAUUUAAAAUAAGACUAUCAAUUAUUUCCAUGGUCAUCUUAUUUUCUAAAAUAACUAAAUGGAAUCUUACAGAAUUAGAGUGCUUGACUUCUUCAUACAGUGCUUGACUUCUUUUUACAGAAUUAUAUAGUGAAAAAAGAAAUUAAGAAAUUAAAUACUUUUCAUGCUAGUGGAGAAGAUUGGGUAGCGAUUACAUGAAAUAAAAGAAAAAUAAUUUAAAAGUACAAAACUUUAAUAAUCUCAUUCCCAAUCAUAUCAGUAUAAAAAUUCUGUAGAUUUAUUGAAUAAGUAUUGAUUUUACUUUGGUAAUAACAUUUUUAUUUUCUUUGCAUUCGAGCUUUCUUUCUUUUGCGCUGGUCUUCACUCUUGACCGUAUUUCAUGGGGCACAUUCAAUCUCAAUCUUCUUCGGCAAGUUUGUUGCAGUUUUGUUAAUUACGAACUGUUGUAGGAUUUUAUGGAGAUGAUACUUUUAUAUACAUUUUUCUUUUCUUUUUUUCUUCGGUGAACAAAUUAAAAUUUUAGUUUUUGUCAUCAUGACUAGUGAAAUAAAAAUUGUCCUCAUUUCAAGGAUUGACAAAAACGUUGUGCUCAUACCGAUUAAUGGGGAACUGAUUUCGUCUUCUUAAAAGAGAAUUAUUUGCAGCGUGGUAAUUCGGAGAUUUCUGUAUUAAAGACCAGGAAAUCUAAUUUGGAGGGAAAAAAUUCAAGCGGCGCAUUUUUUUUGAUUUAUUUAAAAAAAUUGUUUUCCUCCCAAAAACACUUCAACGUAUAUUCUGUCAUAGAGGGAAAUGUCCUUCACUCUUUGACGUAUCCCUGGGGCAAUGUAAGUUGACUUUACAUUAAAACAAAACAUAAUUACAAUCACAUAAUUACAGUUAUCAUCACUGAUUUGUAUAAUUUUCAGGACUAGUAAAUUAUCUCAAUUUUUAAAAAAACAUAAUUACAAUUAUUGAUCGAACACCACUAAUUCCAACAAUUCAUCCAAAAAUAUCUUUGAGUUUCAAGGAAUUAAUGUAGCACGAAUGGCCAAGUUUUUCAACUUUUUAGAUAUUUGAUAUAUGUCAUGUUUUAACUUAGUACGAGAAGAAAAUUAUAGAAUACGUUUUUUUCAAAUUAGUGGAAAUAUUUUACGAUGAAACUAUCACAAUCACAUUUAAAAAUAUUCUUUAAAUUUUCACCAUUUCUACUGUUAUUCUUUAAACUUUUUUUUCAACAGAGCAUGGAGGGUCGCUUAUCUAAAUAUGUUUUUUGUGCUUUCACUUCACUUGAUUCAUCUUGUCCCUCUUUUAUAGCUUCUAUCUCGUAGGAGCUUAGAACCCGCAACUUGUAUUUUACGCUUCUAUUACUUUCUCUUCCAUUUUCCCGACUCCCAAACACCAUCAGUCCUUGAUGUUAUAGAGUAUUAGCUGUCUAUUUGUACAAACAUAGAGCUACUGUUCGUACUUUAGAUCUUCAGAUGUUUAGCUGACUAUUGUUUGAAUAUUAAAAUUAAUUUGUUAAAUAAAUAAAGAAAACAAGAGACAAUUACCAUACAUAUUCCAUAUUAAUUAGUCAGUGUCCGAUUGUCUCCGCUUCCAUUGAAUCUGUUGAUUCAUGCUUUCAUGAAGUGAAACGCUUAACACUCUGUUCUGAUCCGCAGGAGAGGAGGAAAAACACAAUUUUAUUAUUUCAUUCCUGACACGAGCAAAGAGCUUUCUUAGCCGGUUCGGCAGCUAAUUCCUUAAAAUUUGUUAAAUUUCAUUUAAUUGAUGAAUGUGACAUGAACUCUAUAAAUAGUUUAAUUUGUAGAAUUGUUAAAAGUUUAAACUUCAAGUAAGGUAGAUAAAAUGAUUAAUGUUUUUCAAUAUUUAGUAAUGAACAUGUGUCGUGUUACUAUGAGUGAAUGAAUGAAAUUUUUGAUAGAAAAUACAAUGCUAGUAUUAAAAAUUUUAAGUGCGAAUCCAUUUAGUGUACGUUAUCCAUAAAAGCAAUUGCGACUUGUCUUGUUUCCCAUUUUGUUUAAUUUUCAUAAAUUUGACUCACGAUCAAUUACGAGUGAAGAGUUUGUUGGAAAAAUCUGGUCUUCCAUUUAUUGUAAUCAGAUGAGUGUGAUUAAUUGUUUUUUUCUUUUGCUUCAUGUCCUGAAAAUUAUGAAUGCUUUGUAGAAUGUAGGAGAUUAAAAAUUUUAAUGCAUAUUUAUAUUCAAAACUGAGUAAACAUAACAUUAUUGCUUCUAUAAAUAGGUCAUUUCAACUUAAAACCCGUUACUUGUAUUUUACGACGUUUCUGUUUCUUAUCAUAAAGAUUUUCUAUGCUUUUUUUUUUCACUUUUUCUUCCGUUUUCCCGACUCCCAAACUCCACGAAUCCUUGAUUCUUUUCCUAGAGUAUUAGCUGUCUAUUAUUACAAACAUACAGUUUGUCUAAUUACCAUCAAGAAACAACAUACCUUGUCCUGGGGUCUCUUCGAUUAUUGACGUUUGUGACUUGUGAACGGGGCUAAUCAAAGGGCAUUCCCUUCUUGAAGAAAGAAUGCAAAGAGCCCAAGAAAGUACUAUCCAUUAGACACGUUAAGAAUUAUUUUGCUUUUCAUUAAAAAUGAUAAUAAUUAUAAUAAAUUAGAUUGAAUUAAUAAUAUUUGCAUGUGGUAUAUAAAUAAUCAGUUUAGUCACUAAUUAGUCACUGUCCGAUUAUCUUCUCUUUCAUCGACUUUGAAACUGGGACUUCUGAGUUGGAUUAAGAAUUGAAAAAAAUGUUGCAACCCAUAAAGCACGUAAAAUUAAUUAAUGGGCCACUAAUUCUUCUUCUUAAAAGAAAAGUUUUGCAGGGAGAUUGAAAAAAGGCUAAUUCGUGUUGAAGAUCAUAAAUGAGUAUCUGUCACAAAUACAAGUCAAGCUACACAAUUGUUCUUGUCAUACUAUUUAUUGGCACUUGUGAUCCUUGAAUUAUCUAUUUAUUGGCACUUGUGAUCCUUGAAUUAUCAAACGAAUAGCAACAACACUUCAAAAUACAGUAUUGUAAUACUUGGCAAUAUACAUUGACUUUUCAUUAAAACAAGCAUUGUCAUAUUGUCAUGUUCAAUUUUUUAACGUCUUGUAAUUAAAGAUUCCUAUGUCACAUUAUAAUUUUCAAACAAAUCGAAGUGAGUCAAAUCAAAUUUAGAAAUUUGAGGUCUACUAUAGAUUUUUGACAUAUUAAAUUUAAGACAAUUAAGUAAAUGCUAGACAAAAUCUAACUUGCAAAUAUACCUUACCACAUGAUGAACGUACUUAAAAAUCUUAACUGAUUGCUCACCAAUUAAUUGUUGUUUUACUAUUUUUAUAUAUCCUUUCUUUUCCCUAAAACUUCUGGUUUCCUAACAUCUAGUUCUCAAUUGGUCUAAGUAUAAUAUAAUUUUUUAAAUAUAAAUAAAUUGAAUUUAUUUAAUGGAAAUUUGAAAAAGAGACACUUAUCUAUGCAAGUAAAGUUGCAUUCUGUCUGUGGGGACCUUAAAAAAAAAAGCAUAAUGAUACACUGAUGACGACAAUCCUUAAGUAUUUGUUUUCUUUAGUUACAGUUUGGUUUGAAUGGUUAAGUUCAAGUUCGAAUUUUCUUUUUGUAAUUUAAAUUAAAAUUGAUAGAACAAAUGGGCCGAUCAGUAUGAUGAAGAAGACGAAGAAGUAAAAGCUAUUAAGCAUUAUCCUAUCACCAUAUCAAAUGGACCGGAUUCAAUCAAAUGAAAUCUAGAAAAUAGAGCAGCUCAUAGAUGUACGUCGCUAAGUGGAGGUUCAUUUGGAAGUACUUGGUCGAAUUGCGACUUGCGCCGGAGGCUUCGUUUUAGAAGAGUGCAGAGCAGCUGCCUUGUCCAUUAGGCACGCCAACGACUUUCUAUUGACCAAUAAUUUUGAAAGCGAUAUUAUUAAUUUACCAUCUAAUUUUUUUUAUAUUAUCAUUUCACCAUCUAAUUUUUUUGAUAAUUAUUUUUUUCACUUUGUGUUUUAGUUUUUAUUAUUUUACUACCGAAAAAUAGUAAACACACCCCUAGGGUAGGUUAUCCACAAAAAUGGCUACCGAAUUGUCUUGUUUCUCAUUUUGUUUAAUUUUCAUAAAUUCGACUCACGAUUCAAAUGUGAGUGAAGAGUUUUUUUUGGGAAAAAAUCUGGUCUUCCAUUUACUAGAAUUAGGUAUGUGUGAUUUUAUUAUUUUUCUUUUGCUUGAUAUGUAUCUGGAAGAUUAUGAAUUCUUUGCAGGAUUUAGAAGGAUUUGAAUGUUUGACCGCAUAUAGCUUUCUGUCCAUCAGCUAAUGCAUAUUCUGCAUUUUAUAAAUAUCAGAGCUGGUAGAUUGAAAAAUGGACCUUAUUACAUGUCAUAAGAGACUUUGCUCAAAGCUGCAAUUGGGCAACGCCGUGCUGUUCUUAUCGGCCAAGGCAAGCCAUUUACUAUUCUUUCUAAUGGAGCAAAAUAAGAUGAUUCUUACCUGCAUAGAGAAUUAGAAAAGAAAAGGAGGAUUACUGAUCCACAGGACUACUAAAAUAUGUGUAAUUAGUUGCAUCACUAGGUGGUGUCAAUAAGCAAAAUAAGAUGUUCUAAUGAUACUUAAGUAUUACCUAAAUUAGCCUUUCAAAAUUUCACUUCGAAAAAUUCCAAGGUGGUGAUGUGUCUGUAUAAAUUCGCUAAUACAAGUUCUCUCUAUUCCCAAUUGUUUUAAACUCUGUUCUGAACAGAGCAUGAAAGGAUAUAUUCAUUUUAUCUAGUUAUGCUUUUUAUGCUCUCACUUCAUUUCAUUUAUCUCUAUUCCUUGUCCAUCUUUUAAAACAGUUGUAUAUGUCGGAGUAUCACUCAAGCUUAGCAGAGUAUUUUGGGAUUCAAGACUGUUAGUAGGCUGUUACAGAUGCAACUUGCAAGGCUGUUGCUGUAAAAUUAUAUGCCAUGCUGGCAAGCGUGCUAUGACUGAUUGCUAUUUGCACGUAAAAUUUGCCCAAAACAAAUAGAAUGAGAAUACUUGUACAAAAGGACAAGAUUAAUACAGUGAAUAAAUUUUAUCUUUUAGUGAAUGCUUCUUGUCUUUUAGAGUUUUAGUGCAUUUUCGUGUGUAAUUUUAUGUGCAAAUAGCAUUACUCAUUAGUAAUUAGUCUAUAGUGUUCUAAUUUCUUCUAAUAAGUAGUUGAUUUGAGCUUAAGACUUGUAUUUUACGUUUUUAUUACUUUCUAAUAAAGAUUUUCUCUGUUCUUUUUUACUUUCACUUUCUCUUCCAUUUUCCCGACUCCCAAACACCACCAAUCCUUGAUUUUCUAGAGUAUAGCUAUGCAGUUCUACAAACACGAAACUGCUGUUGGUCCAUUUACUUUCAAGAAACAACGUACUCUGUGGUUUAUUGACUUGUGACUUGGGCAAAUUAGUCACGGUCCGAUUGUCUCCUCUUCCACUGACUCUGUCAAUUCAUGACUUUGGCACACAGUAGACGCCAGCUGCCUGCUCCAUUUGACGUGCAAAAAACUUUCUUGAGUCGGGAUAAAAUCGAUUGAUUAUUUUGUUUGGUGAUGAUGAGUUAGUUGUCAAUUCAUGAGUUUGAUGCAGUGAAACGCUUAACGCUCUCUUGUGAUGCGCAGGAGAAAAGCCAGCGAUGAUGAAGAGGACGAAAAACAUUAUUUUGUUAUUUAAAAUAAGACUAUCAAUUAUAUAUUCCAAAAUAAUUGGGUUUUGAUGGUCAUUUUGUUUUCUAAAAUAUCCAAAUGGAAUCUUACAGAAUUAGAGUGCUCGACUUUUUUAUACAGAAAUUAUAAAGUGGGAAAAUCAAGAAAUUAAAUACUCUUCAUAUAGUGGGAGGAGAUUUAGUUGUCAUUAUGCUAAAUAAAAGAAAAAUAAAUUAAAAGUACAAUACUUCAAUAAUCUCAUUCCCAUUCAUACCGUAAAUAUAAUUUUCUGUAUAUUUAUGAAAUAACUAUUGAUUUUACUUUGGUAAUUUUUUUUUUUUAAAGUAAGGUAAACGUCUUUGUUUUCUUUGCAUACGAGCCUUUUUUUCUUUUGCCUUGGCCUUUACUCUUGACUAUAUUUCAUGGUCAUAUUCAAUCUCAAUCUUCUGUAGGUUUGUAGCUAUUUUAUGAGUUACGAUUUUCUAUAGGAUUGCAUGUAGAUGAUACAUUUAUAUACAUUUUUUCUUUUUUCUUUUCUUAUUCGGUGAAGAUAUUAAAAAUUUAGUUUUUGUUUGCACAUGAAAUGAAAAUAGUCCUCAUUUUAAGGAUUAAUGGGCCAUAAUUUCGUCUUCUUAAAAGAAAAUUAUUUGCAGCAAGGUAAUUGGAAGCUUGAAGAUUUCUAUAUUACAUAGCCAAACCUAAGUGAUAAGAAUUUCCAUAUGAGAUAUAAUUUGGAAAAAAAAUUCAAGUUAAAGAUAAAAAAUUUGUGUUCCUUAAAAAACAUAAUUCAAGCCACACAAUUUUUCUUGUUUUAUUUGAAAAAAAAAAUUGUGUUCCUCACAAAAACACUUUAACAUUUGUUGUCUCAUAAAGGGAAAUAUCCUUCACUCUUUGACGUGUCCCUGGGGCAAUGUAAACAUUAAAACAUUGUCCACAAACAUUGUCAUGUAGUUAAGAAAAAUUUAAUUUUGACAAGUGCAAGACAUUUGGGACUCAUUUGAUUCAAGAAAAACAAUCAGUCUCAUUUAAUUUUGACAAGUGCAAGACAUUUGGGACUCAUUUGAUUCAAGAAAAACAAUCAGUCUCAUUUGAUACGCAAGGGGCUUUUUUACUCUGCAGCCAAUAUUUUGAUGAAUGUCACAUUACUGGUUUGUAUAAUUUUUCGGACUAAUAUAUUAUCUCAAUUUUUUUUAAAAAAUGCAAUUGCGAUUAUCAAACACGACUAAUCCCAACAAUUUAUCCAAAAAUUUGAGUGUCAAGAAAUGUGGUAUUUAUGAUAGCAUGGCUAGUUUUUUCAAUCAACUUUUUAGAUAAAUGAUAAAUCAAUAUAUGACAUGUUACUAUCUUACUAUAGGAAGAAAAUUAUGGAAUAAUUUUUUGAAAUAAUAGAAUUAUUUUACAACAAAAAUUUCACAAUCUAAUUUUAAAAAUAAACUUACUCUUUAAAUUUCUCAUUACUACUCCUACUGGUCCUGUUAUACUACUUAAUGGCACUGGUGAAGCCUUGAAUUAUCAAACAAAAAGCAAAAACACUUCAACAUCUGUUAUCCCACUGAGCACUGUUAAAAUCAUACGAUAAAAUGAGUACUUAUAUUAAAAAAGAAAAAGAAAAAACAAUCAGUCUCAUUGCGUCCUCUUUCAUUGACAUAGGCAAUUUGCGGUCAACUUGUGGUACCCUUAUUGACACGUAAAGAUCUUUCUUACACUACAGCCAACACUUACUUUCAGGACUAGUAAAUUUUUCAAAUGUAACAGAAAAAAAUACAGAAAUAUAAUUUCAGUUUAUCCAAAAAUUUGAGUUUCAAGGAAUAUAGCAUUUCUUAUGUGUCAUGUUAAUAUAGAGAAGAAAAUUUUAAAAUUUCUUUUUUUAAUGAAUAAAAGUAUUUUUUGAUUAAAAAACUCACAAUCAUAUUUACAAAAAAAAGUUUUAUUUAAAAAAAAUUCACUCCUCUUCCUACAUAAUUUAAGAAUUUAACAUUAUAAAUUAAGCUUUUUAAUCAAAGUAAUAAUCUCUCCUUCGGUGCGCAAAUGCUAAAAUUUAAUAUUAUAUCCGUUGACGAUAUUUGAUCUAAAUUCAGAGAAUAAAAUUUCUAACAGAAUUAUGAAAUUCGUUACUAGAAAUUUGUAUAAAAUUCACGAGAAUAGAAGGUUCGAUCAUAGGAAAUUAAUAUGUCCCUAUCCGAUGCAAAAAUGAUUAAAAAGAAAAACAAAAGUCAUGGGCUUAUUUAGAAAAAAGAAAAAAUUACAUUUCAGCCUUAACGCAUGCCAGUCUUUUUCUCCUCUACUUUCUUAGAAAUUUUGGUUUCACUAUAAAUUCUUGGUAUAUAGCAAUCUUAAGAGUGUCUUGCAUUACCAAUCCAAUUAAGCACACACUUACAAUCUAAAAUACUCUCAUCUCAUGGAAAGGCUUCAUUCUCUCAGUAUUAUGAGUAGAUUUCGCUUACUCCAUUGUUUGAUUCUUAUUUCCUUAUUUAUCGCAGCUGCAACAGCCAACACAAGUACUAUUACCACAGACCGAGAUGCUCUGCUUGCCCUGAAAGCUCACAUAACUCAUGAUCCAACCAAUUUCUUCGCCAAAAAUUGGAACACGAGUAUCUCUUUCUGUAAUUGGACAGGCGUCACUUGUGAUGUCCAUAGCCAUAGAGUCACAGUCUUGAAUAUUUCUCGCUUAAAUCUCACCGGCACCAUCCCUUCUCAGCUUGGGAAUCUUUCUUCUCUGCAAUCACUCAAUUUAAGUUUUAACCGACUUUCUGGUUCCAUUCCCUCUGCCAUUUUCACCAUGUACACACUGAAAUAUGUUAGUUUCCGUGAAAAUCAGCUCUCCGGCGCUUUCCCUUCUUUCAUCUUCAACAAGUCUUCUUUACAACAUCUUGAUUUUAGUCAGAAUACACUGUCUGGUGAAAUUCCUGCAAAUAUCUGCAGUAAUCUCCCUUUUCUGGAAUACAUUUCUUUGUCCAAAAACAUGUUUCAUGGAGGAAUACCAUCCGCUCUAUCAAAGUGCACAUAUUUGCAAAUAUUAAGUUUGUCAUUCAAUGAUUUCUCGGGGGCCAUACCUAAAGACAUCGGUAAUUUGACCAAACUUAUGGAAUUAUAUCUUGGCCGUAACAGACUCCAAGGUGCGAGUAAUCACGGAGUUUAAUUAUGAAAAUUGUUCCACAAGUUGUAAUAUGUAUAAUGUUCCAUAAUACAAUUUAUACACGUUGAUUAAUUUGCAGGGGAAAUUCCUCGAGAGUUUGGCAGUCUUGCCGAAUUGGAGCUGAUGUCGUUACGGGAAAGCAAUCUCCAAGGUAUGAUUAUAAACUUAUUGCAAUUUUAUUCUAGUCUCUGCUUGCUUCUGUAUUAAUUCGUUUGUUCAUUAAUUAUGCUGUGAUUUAUUGUUUUUCUUUCAGAUAGAGAUAAAGCUCCAUGUCUCCCCUCACUCAUUUCAUUCUUUGUUUUUUGCAGAUAAAAAUAAAAAAAUGUUUUGUAAUUUUCUUUUGUCAUAUUGCCACUUCCAUUUUGAAGCUCCCGAUUAAGUCGAUGAAAAUGAAUGAUGUUUCAUUCUUAUUCUUGUCAGCCUAAUUCUUAUAUAAGUGAAGAGUAAAUUGUUAUUAUGAUAUUCGUCAGCCAAUAAAUUCUUUUUUUUUCCUCAAAUAUGAGUGAUCAAAUUGUUUGCGCAUAUAUGAAUGUACUUAAUUUGCAGGAGGUAUUCCACAGGAAUUGGGGAAUCUUGCAAAAUUAGAGAUGUUACAGCUGUUCCAGAAUAACUUGACCGGUAACUUUCUUUAUAUAUGAGACAUCUUCCGCUUCUUAAUUAAAAGAUUUCACGUCUCUCAUCAUAAAUUUUCAUAUGAGGAUGUGUCGUUACCACUGUCUAACAUUAUCUCGUUUUUUAUUAGAAAUUAAUCUGGGUUUAUGCAAAAUAUUUUAGCACCUUAAAAAAGUAUAAAAACACGUGGAAUAAAUCGAAAAUCUUUCUUCAUUACUGAAUUUGGAUUUCUCAAAAAUUAUCAUGACAGGUAUAUCGCACUAAUGAUACGCAUGUGUGACAACUACAUAAAAUAUUUUGCAUGGAAUCAAUAAUUAUCUUUAAAGAAUUGGAGAUGCCAUCAGUGAGACAUAAUUUCUUAACAAUCACCAUACCAAAAGAAAUUAACAAUUUUAUUAAUCUUAAAGAGUUACAUUUUCACUGCAAUUAUGACAUAAAUUUUUAGUCAUUAAUCACAUAAUAUUUUAUCUUAACGGAUGAUGUUCAGCUUGGAAUUUAUAAUAUCUUGAAGGUUAGUAGCUAGGAAAAUAAGAAAUUGCGCAUAUCUGCGAAUCUUAGAUUUGUCAUACAAUGAUUUCUCAGGGGCCAUACCUAAAGAAAUUGGGAACUUGACCAAACUUGAGGAAUUAUAUCUUGGCAUUAAUAGACUUCAAGGUGUGUAUGAUCCCGGAGUUUAAUUUUUAAAAUUGUUGCAUAAGUUGUAAUAUGAAUAAUGUUCCAUAAUACAGUUUAAACGCGUUGAUUAAUUUGCAGGAGAAAUUCCUCGAGAGUUUAGCAAUCUUGCCAAAUUGGAGAUGAUGUCGUUAUCAGAAAACAAUCUCCAAGGUGUGAUUAUCAAUUUUUUGCAAUUCUAUUCUAGCUCUGCUUGCUUCUGUAAUCUGUAUUCAUUCGCUUGUUCUUUAAUUAUGCUAUGAUUUAUUGUUUUUAUUUCAGAUAGAGACAAAGCUCUAUGUCUCUCCUCACGCAUUUCAUUCUUUAAUUUAUGCAGAUUAAAAAAAAAAUGUUUUGUAAUUUUCUUACGUCAUAUUGCCAAUUGCAAUUUAAAGCUCCCAAUUAAGUUGAUCAAAAUUAAUGAUGUUUCAUUCUUAUUUCUGUCAGCCUAAUUCUUAUAUAAUUGAAGAGUUAAUUGUUAUUAUGACAUUCCUCAGGCAAUAAAUUCUUUUGUUUUUAUUUUUAUUUUCAAAUAUGAGUGAUCAAAUUGUUUGCGCAUAUAUAUGUAUACAUAUUACUUAAUUUGCAGGAGAAAUUCCACAUGAGCUGGGGAAUCUUUCAGGAUUAGAGACGUUAGCGCUGUACAAUAAUUUUUUAACCGGUAUCAUUCCUUCAUCUAUCUACAAAUUACUCUUCUCUAUUCAAUUUGGAAUUUCCGUUUAAUAACUUGAUGGGAAACUUCCCUUACGAUAGAUAUAUGUGACAUGUUUCCUUUUUAAUUAAAAGAUUUCACGUCUCUCAUUAUAAAUUCUCAGGAAAAGGACAUUCACACCCCCAAGGUUUAGCAAAAUAAUCACCAACACCCCUAAGUUUUUAAAACAAGACACCAAAACCCCCUUUUUUUACCAUUAUACCCUUUAAAAAUUUGACUUUAAAAUUUUUAAUAAACAUAAGUAUUAUAUAAAAUAAUGUAAUCUAUGCAGUAGAAUAACAAUAUUAAAAAAUUUUAAAAAAUUUAAAUAUGUAAAUUGUUAUAUUUAUUUUAAUAAUAUAUUUUUAUUUAUUAUAGAUAUUUUAAAUAAAUAUUUGCAUUAGCCACUCGGCCACAGGACUUGGAGGGUAGCAGUUCGAACCCCCACAAGUGCAAUGUGGGAGUAUUUCCUUCCUUAAUUAUAUUGUAUAAUUGAAUAAAAUUGAGUGAAGGUAGUUUCUCCUUUACCCAAGAGUGAGUGGAGUAGACAUCUCUCGAAUAUUAGUGAGGGUUAAAAUCUGGGCAGAGCUCCAUUAGCAUUGAUAUAAGUUGGUCUCAGUAAUAGUCUGAUUUGUAAAUAUCAGUUAUACUCUCAUGUAAUAUGAGUUGUAGUUUGAGCAAUAGUCUCAUGUAAUCAAAUAAAUAAAUAAAUAAAUAUUUGCAUUAAAUACAUUUUACAAUUAAAAAAAAUCUCGCAUACUAAUGCUAGCAUUAUUAUUUUACAUAAUAUUCAAAUAAUUUAAUUUUUAAUACACUUGUUCUAAUAUUAUGAUUCUACUUUUUAUAAAAUUUAAUAUAAUAGAAUAUAAUAUAUCUAAUAGAUUGUAAAAUAUUAAAAUAUUUUUAAAUAUUGAAAUUAUUUUACAAUAAAUAUAUUAUUACAUUUAUUUUAAUGUUAUAUUUCUAUUAUUAUAAAACAAUAGAGUUGAUCUUUUUUGGGAUAAUAAAGGCAAAGGGUAUUAUGGUCAAAAGAGGGUCUUGGUGUCCCUUUUUGAAAACUUGGAGGUGUUGGUGACCAUAUCUCCAAAUUUUUGGGUGGGUAUGUCCUUUUUCCUAAAUUCUCAUAUGAGGAUGUACUGUUUCUACUAUCUAACAUUGUCUCGUUCUUUAUUAGAAAUUAAUCUAGGUUUAUGAAAAAAUUUUAGCAUCUAAAAAAAGUAUAAAAAAAGGUGGAAUAAAUCGAAAAUCUUUCUUCAUUACUGAAUUUGGAUUUCUCAAAAAUUAUCAUGACAAGUAUGUCUCAUUAAUGAUAUGCAUGUGUGACAACUACAUAAAAUAUUUUACAUGGAAUCAGUAAUUUUCUUUAAAUAGUUGGAGAUACCAUUACUAAUAAAUAAUUUCUUAAAAAGCAUCAUAAUAAAAUAAAUCAAUAAUUUUAAUAAUCUUGAAGGGUUACAUCUUCACUGCAAUUAUGACAUAAUUUUUUAUCUAACUAAAUUUUUAGUCAUCAAUCGCAUAAUAUUUUAUCUUAACGGAUAAUGUUCAAUCUUGGAAUUUAUAAUAUAUUGAAGGUUAGUAGCUAUGAAAAUUAUAAAUUUUUUUAUUUGCUAAAAAAAUUAUCUUAGUAUUUAAGCUUUUCAAUUGAAAAAUUUGAAAAAAAUGUUGAGAACUGGUCCUCCUUAUAAUUUCGGUGGAUAAAUAUGAAAAAUAGACUAGAAAAAGCUAUUUUACUGAAAUAAUUGUUAAAAAGAGAGAAGUACAGUACUCAUGACUUAGGCUUGCUGUGUACUUAUUUUACUUGGGGUCCGGGCUUGAUUACACACGGUCGAACACUUAGUUGCACCCAUUAUAAUAAUAGCAUCCCCGACAUAGGCUUUUACUUUCACCACAUAUUUGAUAAUUUCUUAACCUUCCCAGUUACGUUACAGCAAUUUAUAUAUAAAUAACUAAAGCAUACUGAAGCUGGCAUUGAUGUACGGAUGAGUGGUGUCAAAAGUGUAUCCGUUUUUUGUAUUAUUGUUCCCCGACACAAAUCUGAAUAAUGGAAUAUAAUUCUUUCAAAAUACCGAUGAAAUAGCACAUGAAUUCAGAAAUAUUUUACUGCGACAAGAAUUCAUGUAUUUAUCGUAGCAUCACAUACAUAUAAAAUAGACUAUAAAUUUAGUUCCAAAAUACAUUCUUAUAUUCAUAUAAAUUUUACAUUACUAAUUUAAAUUAAUAUUAAAAUAUGUUGUUUCUUUCACUAUGUUAUUUUAUUUAACAAUGGUGUAACUAUUGGAAUUAGUAAUACUUAUAAUUACUUAGUAAAAAUAUAAAUUUAACGCUUUAUUAAUACUUUGUUAACAUUUUAUCUACAUAUAAUAAUUAAACUGAAACUCGUAUUUAAAAAAUUUUAGUCACGCAUAUUCAUUUCAUGAUAUAAAAGUGCAUAUUUAUACUAAUUCACCAUUAUCGAUAAAAUGCUUUGAGCCGAGUCAUCUAAUUUAUAUUAGUAUAUUUAAAAUACUUACAUUUAUUAUAUUUUGAAAAAAAUUUAUUUGCAAUUAUUUUAAACCUUUGGAUUCAAAUUUUCUUAGUCAUUAAAGUCAAAGGGUAUAAAUGUAUAAUAGUCAAAAACAUAUUUAUAUGAUCAUUUUUCAAUGCGUAAAUUUUCUUAGUUAGUAGGAAAAUUAGAAAUUGUUGAUUUACUCAUAAAUAAAUUUAGUGUUUAGCAUUUCAAUUUUGGAAAACUUUGAACUAAAUGUUGAUAACUUUGAAUCGCUCAAGCCGAGUUCGCUUCCUUGACCCACAAAUCCAUUGAAAGUUCUAUUCGGAUUGAGUUUCUAGGUGCUUAGAAAAAACAUUUCUUUUCCGUGUUGCCAUAAUUUAUUCACAAAUGAGUUGAUUAGCAUCGAUGGUGCCUGAGAGUCUGAGACCAUUUUAGUAGGAGAAAUUUGAAAAGAAAUUAUUUUACUAAAUUAAUUUAUUUUACCUUGUUGUAACGAAGACUACUUUUUUUUUUUUUGCUAUCACUGGGGCUUGAUUUACUUUAAUAGUAGCGGCCACCGACCUAGGCUUUUUUACUUUUCACCACACAAUUUGAUCUUUUAAUUCAUUUUAACCACAUAAUCUAUCUAUGUCUCACCUAUUGCUUACUUAAAUUGCAUACAUAUUUGUCAUGAUCCAACCCAGAUCUGGCAAGAUAUUGUCCGCUUUGGGCCUUAACAAGGCUCGCACGGUUUUGUUUCUGGAGCACCCAUUCACCCCAAAACGCGUCUUGCCAAUUAAGAUGUGGAUCACCCCUUAUAAACCCAGCAUCUCUCCUGUGUUUUGCCAAUGUGGGAUUUGCCUAGAGUGUUACAUACACCCCCCUUAGGGACUUAGCGUCCUCACUGAGGUUUGCCUUACCAUUACCCAAGAGGACGCGCGGAGCCGCUCUAAUACCAUAAUGUCAUGAUCCAACCCAGAUCUGACAAGAUAUUGUUCGCUUUGGGCCUUAACAAGGCCUGUACGGUUUUGUUUCUGGGGCGCCCAUACACCCUAAAACAUGUCUUGCUAAUUAAGAUGUGGAUUACCCCUUAUAAAUCGAGCAUCUCUCUCACGAUUUCUCGAUGUGUGAUUCGCCUAGAGUGCUACAAUAUUUUACCUACUAAUUUUUACAAAUAUUAGUCAAAUAUAUUUUAUUACAUUUUCUCGUAAUUGCCCCAAAUGUGCACUAUUAAUACUUAAACCUCCCUUUUAAUUUACCGUGCAAUCUAUCUACACUUAAAUCACAUAUAUAUUUUACCCAAAAAAAUAAAAAUAAAAGAAAAAGAAUAUGUGUAACAAUUUGUAUAUAAUUAACAAAGCAUUCACGAUGUGUAGCCUUUCAUUACUUCAUGAGUGGCUUGUCUUGUGUGUUAGUACUUGUAAUAAUUGUGUAGUGUAUAAAUGACCUUUUAUUAUUAAAGUGCGUUCGUUUUUAGAUAUUAUUUGUUAUUUGAAAAAUAAUCUAAAUAUAAUUCUUUCAAAAUACAGGGGAGAUACCACAUGAAAUCAGUAAUCUCCAAAAUCUGGAGGAGUUGGACCUUGGUCAUAACAAAUUAGUUGGUACUGUCCCAGCUGCAAUCUUCAAUGUGUCAACGCUCAAAGGAUUCUCCGUUUCAAACAAUUCUCUCUCGGGAUGUCUUUCGUCCAUCGUAGAUGCCCGACUUCCAAAUCUUGAAGUGCUUUAUUUGUGGGGUAAUAAUUUCAGUGGCACAAUUCCUCGUUUCAUCUUUAAUGUUUCUAAGCUCUCUAAGCUAUCGUUGGAAAAGAACUCAUUCUCGGGUUUUAUUCCCAACACAUUUGGCAACUUAAGAAACCUUAAGUGGCUGAUUUUAUAUGAUAAUUAUUUGACAUCUUCAACUCCAGGAUUGAGCUUUCUAUCCUCGUUGUCAAAUUGUAAGUCUUUAACAUAUAUUGACUUAUCACAUAAUCCACUAGAUAGCAUUCUUCAAAGGAUGUCUAUCGGUAAUCUUUCUCAUUCUUUGGAAGAAUUUCAAAUGUACAAUUGUAACGUUAGUGGUGGCAUCCCUGAAGAGAUCCGCAACUUGAGCAACUUGACACUCAUUGAUUUAGGAGGCAAUAAAUUGAAUGGAUCAAUUCCGAUUACUCUCAGCAAAUUACAAAAGCUUCAAGGUUUGGGUCUUGAAAAUAACAAAUUAGAAGGAUCAAUCCCAGAUGAUAUUUGUCGUUUGGCUGAACUAUUUAGAUUGGAGUUAGGUGGCAAUAAGCUUUCUGGAUCAAUCCCUACAUGCUUCAGUAAUCUGGCUUCUCUGAGGAUACUGUCGUUGGGUUCCAAUGAGUUAACUUCUAUUCCUUUAACUUUUUGGAACCUUAAGGAUAUCUUGCAACUCAACUUUUCAUCAAAUUUUUUGACUGGUCCACUCCCAUUAGAGAUUGGAAAUUUGAAGGUUUUGGUUGGAAUUGAUUUAUCGAUGAAUAAUUUUUCAGGCGUUAUCCCAACAGAAAUUGGAGGCUUAAAAAAUCUUGAGUAUCUCUUCUUAGGAUAUAACCGAUUGCAAGGAUCGAUUCCUAAUUCAUUUGGUGAUUUGAUAAACUUAAAAUUCUUGAAUUUGUCUAAUAAUAAUCUCUCUGGGGCAAUUCCUGCAUCUUUAGAGAAACUCUCAUAUCUUGAAGAUCUAAAUCUUUCUUUCAACAAACUAGAAGGAGAAAUUCCUAGGGGAGGGUCUUUUGGAAACUUCUCAGCUGAAUCAUUUGAGGGAAAUGAAUUAUUAUGUGGUUCACCCAAUUUACAAGUCCCGCCAUGCAAAACUGGCAUCCACCACACAUCAUCGAAAAAUUCUCUUCUCCUGGGGAUCGUCUUGCCAUUGAGUACUAUAUUUAUGAUAGUAGUCAGUUUGUUGAUCCUAAGAUAUCGACAGAGAGGAAAACGACCAUCGAAUGAUGCUAAUAUGCCACUAGUAGCAACAUGGAGAAUGGUGUCAUACCUAGAACUCUGUCGAGCAACAGACGGAUUCAGUGAAAACAAUCUAAUCGGCAAAGGAGGUUUUGGCUCUGUUUACAAAGCAAGACUUAGCGACGGGAUGGAGGUUGCAGUAAAGGUUUUCAAUUUGCAAUGUGGAAGAGCAUUUAAGAGUUUCGAUAUUGAAUGUGAAAUGAUGAAAAGUAUUCGCCAUCGAAACCUUAUCAAAGUUAUUAGCAGUUGCUCAAAUGAAGAGUUUAAAGCGUUGGUAUUAGAAUACAUGCCUCAUGGAAGUUUGGAGAAGUAUCUGUAUUCAAGCAACUGCAUUUUGGAUAUUUUUCAAAGAUUGAACAUAAUGAUAGAUGUUGCAUCAGCUUUGGAAUAUCUGCACUUUGGUCAUUCAGCUCCAAUAAUUCACUGUGACUUAAAGCCCAGCAAUGUAUUGUUAGACGAUAAUAUGGUUGCUCAUUUGAGUGAUUUUAGCAUCGCAAAAUUGCUAAUAGGAGAAGAUCAAUCUAUGACUCAUACACAAACACUUGCAACAAUAGGCUAUAUGGCACCAGGUUUGUUCAAUAUAAAUAUUUUCUAUUUCUUAUAAACUUCCUAAUAUGUUAUUUAUAUUUCAUGAUCUUGAUUAGAUGAGGAAAUUAUUAUUAAUGAUAUAUCUUAUUAUGUAAUUGUUGCAAUUCAUAGAGUAUGGAAGAGAAGGACGAGUAUCCACAAAUGGAGAUGUUUAUAGCUUUGGGAUUAUGUUAAUGGAAACAUUUACCGAGAAGAAACCCACAGAUGAAAUUUUUAACGAAGAAAUGACAUUAAAGCAAUGGGUUAAUGAUUGGCUACCCAUUUCCACUAUGGAAGUUGUUGAUGGUAAUUUGCUUAGUCAGGAGGACAUACAUUUUGUUGCAAAGGAGCAAUGUGUGUCAUAUGUCUUCAAUUUGGCUAUGGCGUGCACUGUGGAAUCUCCUAAGCAGAGAAUCAAUGCAAAAGAAAUUGUAACAAAGCUCUUAAAAAUUAGAGGCUCAUUACUUAGAAAUGUUGGAGGCAGAUGUAUAAGACAAUCAAAUUUAAAUUGAUUCGGCCCCCCAUUCAUUGCUUGCUAUCCUUUUCAGAGACUUCAACGGUUAUCCUUCAUACCGGUUUUGUUGAUAUGUUUUCUUAUUGCUCUUGCUCAUGUUUAUUUCUCUAUUUCUUUAAUUUGCAUGCAUGUAUUUUUCGUUCUCUUUUAUGUUUUUGUUAGUUUGUAUGUAGUUUACUUUUAGGGGUAAGGUUGAUUAUGUCCUCCCCUAAUUAGACAUAUCAUUUUUAUGUUUAUUCAAUAAAGCUUCUCUAAUAUUAUCGAGGUUCAUCAAAAGAAAAUUUUUAAUUAAUUUUCUUUUCUUUGACAGGUAAUGAAAUUCUAAUCUUGAUAGUGAAUAACUUCAAUAAUAGAGUGUAAGAGUAUUAGUAGUUAUGGUUGUUUUUUGAACCUGGAGUCAAGAGCAGUUUAACAGCGACAGACAAGUCUCUUGUAUUAUAGGCAAAAUUCUUUUCAUUAAUCUUAUUUGUCUACAUGUUCUCCUAUUUUCUCCAUUAAUCUUCGCUCAAGGUUUCAUGCUUCCUCUUUGAUAAAGGAAAAUAUUACUUGUGAAUAUUUCAAUUUGACAUAAGAGACUGUUUUGCCAACCAUUUGAUAAAAUGGAUGUGAGUGGAGCUUUCAAUCAUUACCUCCACCAAAAUCCUUACAACGCCGCUUUUAAAUUUUAUUUUUUAAAAUACAUUCAGUUUAAUUUAUAAAAAAAUAAAUCCAUUUGUUAAAAUUAAUCUUUUUCUCAUAAAUUUCAACCUAAAAAAUAUAUUUCUUUUAAAUUUUUAAUUAUAAAAUACAUAUAAGUUCUAAACUAUUAUAUUACUUUCAUCUUAUUAUAUAGUUUAUAUCUCCAUAACUCUAAACUCCUAUAAUUUUUUAAAAAAUAUUUUUAAUUUAAAAUACAAAUAUAAAAUAUAGAAUGGAGUGGGUGUAAGAAAACUUGUUAAAAGAAGAAUUCAUUUAAGUAUUUAACUAAAUUUAAAUUAAAAUAAGAAAUAAAUAAAUUUAUUUUUUAUUAGUUAAAUAAUUUUCAAUUGAAAAAGAGCUUUAUGAGUAAUAUUAUUGAAAUAUAAUUAAAAUUCUUAUGAAUUAAACAUUUUUGUAUAAAUACUAGUGAUAAUUAUAGAGAAAGUACGAUGAACCAAAGAAAACUUGAAUAUAAAUAUUCCAAUGUAAUUUUACACAUGCAAAUUAUGAACCAAUGAUCUUUAGAGCAUCAUAAAAUUAUUUUAACACAAUUAUUUAUUUUGAAAAAUUGCCAAUAAUGUUUAAAGUGGGAUUGAAAUGAUUAUGCUACUUAUAUAAGACAUGAUAUCAUUUAAGACGGUUUACAGAUUAUGAGAAAUAUUAUGAUCUUACAAAUAUUUAAUAUGUCAAUUAGACUGAGUCUAUGCAAUAAAAAUUUCAAAUUAAAAAAUAAACCCUUUAUUUUCUUUUAAUCAUAAGUGUGAUCUUAAUUAUUAAAGUCAUUCAAUGUCCGUUACUUAUUCAUUUUUUUAAUUACUUAAAUGACAUUGAAAACUCUACUCAAUAAUAAUUCAUUCAAAUGUUUUAUUUUAAAGUAAUCGGGAACUGCAAAUGAAACAAAUGCUUGAAAUCACAAACGGCCUAAAAUUAGAUUUUCAUUUUUCAAUGUUGCAGUGACUUUGAUCUUGAUAUUGAAAAUUUAUUUGUAACUUAUAUAAAGGUCUCAAUUUUAUCAUAAUUGAUUAGUAAGGCUAUGUAGGGAGCAUGGAUAAAUUUUGGGAUUGGAUUAUAUUUUUGGAACUAAAAAAUUAAUUUCAUCUAAUGUUAUGUUUGGCUGUCAAGACUAGCAACUUAGUCUAAAAUUAUUGAAAUUAUUAAUCUUUUAUAUUAUAAUCUUUUUGUUCCCACUUUAAACAUUAUUGGUAACUUAAAUCAUUUUUUAAAUUAAAUAUAAAAAUCAUUUAAAUUAAAUAUUAACAUUAAUUUCAUAAUUUUUUUACCUAGAAUUUUAUAUUAUAUUAAAUACUAAAAUUCUAUUCGAUAAUGUAUUAUCAUUUAUUUAAUAAAUGUUUAGGUUUUUAGUAUGUUAUAUUAUUCUUUAAAUUAAUUUUUUAUUUACAUAUAAACAUAAAUUAAUAUUUACUAAUUUAAAUUUAUUAUAAUUUAUUAAAUAAUAAAAUCUAAAUGAUUAUAUUUAAAAUAUAAAUUGUAUUUUAAUGUAUUAUAGCCUAAAUCUUACCCCUAUGAAUUUAUUUUUUCCACCUUUUAUUCUAUUAACCACAUUUAUAAGGCAGUGCGAUGCAACUAAAAAUUAUAACCAAAUAUGAGUUAGCAUGAAAAUAAUAUUUUAGUACAAUACAAUACAAUGUAAUAUAAACUGACAAAUAGAUAUUUAAUGGAAGCAAAAAUUGCAUAUGGCUUGUCGGUCUCUCAAAAGACAACAAAGAAACCAAUAUGAUGCACUGAUUCUGUCCUCUUUAACAGUGCCUUUACUAAAUGGGAACAUAAUGGAUUAGAAUCGGAAUAGAAUGGAAUCGAAAUAAGGAUUUAGAACAAGAACAAGAUAUAUAAUUAAGCUGUAUGAAUUAGAAUCAGAAUAAACUUUAUUCUAAUUGAUGUGUUUAUUUUCUCUUGAAAUUAGAAUGGACUAUUACAAGCUACUAAAAAAUCAUUUGGUAAAUGCUGUCUCUAAUAUUAUUUGUAUAUGUUAUAAUGUUAACAAUAAUAAGAAUAAAAAUAAUACUAAAAAUGAAAAUAAUAAUAAUAAUAAUAGAGACAAUAACAAUAAAAUUAAUAUAUUAUUAUUAUUAUUAUUAUUAUUAUUACUACUACUACUACUACUACUAUUACUACUACUACUAGUAGUAGUACUGAAGACCACCCGGUGAAGAUUGGAUAGUGAAGAUGAAGACGACGAAGAUCCUGGCAACCAACUGCUGCUCCAAAGAUGAUGUGCCCAAAUGGAGACAACUAAUGAUGACCAGCCAACUAGAUCCCAAUCUCAAUGUUGUGAUCUCGCAUGACCAUUAAUAAAGCGAUGUGUGAUGUCGGUGUUGUGAUUUCUUUUUUAUUUAUAUUUUUUAAUUUAUCGGAGGUUUUUUCAAAAUUUAAUAAUUUUAAUAUAGGUAAAUCGGAGUCUAGUGAACAGGAUUCCUAACCAUCCUAGGAAUUAGUUUCUCAUUCUCUAUUUUUAAUUUAAUGUGGGUUCUAUUAUUUCGAUUCCAAUCUUAUAUUUAUUUAUGAAGUAAAUGAUGUUAAUGAUUUCGAUUUCCAAUUUGAAAAGUAAACACAUCAUAAUAUUUUUUUAGGUGCUUCCAUGGCAUAAUCUCAUUGGUCCAUUUUUCUUCACGCCUUAUAUUCAACUUCUAAGAUUCAAGAUUCAAGAUUCAAUUUGAAGCAAACACUACUACAAAACAAAUAUAAUAAGCGUUAAUGAGCCUGUGGCCAAGCAAAUGUAACUCGUAGUGACAGAAUCAUAUCUUAUUAUCUUACGCCAGAAGUUAAACAAUGUUCCCAUUCCACGUGUCACUCUCUGACCAAUCCCCAAACUUUCUUCAUAUUUCCAAAGAAACCCUUACCAAGUCAUGAUAAUUACCUUCACUCUGCUCAUAUAACUACUGUCCUCGAUUCAACUGAUGACGACAAAUCCUUACAGUCUUUAUUUAAAAGGGAAAAUUAUAAAAAAAAUUCUCCUCGUUCCCUAAAAGUCUAGGGUUUCUCAAGAAUCGCUAAACCUAGAUCCCAAUCCUUCAAAAUCUCUAUUUAACCUCUCUAGGAUUUCGAUUUUCGAGGAUUCGCUUCAAAAUUUAGUAAUUUUUAGUGGAUUUUGCUUGUCUCGUAUCCUUCAAUUGUUGUUCGGUUCUGAAAAUAAUUUGGAAUUUUAGGCAUUUUCAGAUUAUUUGGUUUUGUUUGAGUGCAAUUUCCUCUAGUUACGGUUUCAGUUUGAAGGGUUAAGUGCAAUUUCGAAUUUUUUUAUAAAAUUUAAAUUAAAAUUCCUUAGACGAUUGGGCGUUUAAUAAUUAAUUGAUGGCUAGCGAUACUACAACGGCGGCCGCAGCUGCGGAAGAAGCAGAGGCGAUGGAGGAGUAUGAUAGCAAUCCAAAUGAAGUGAAACGCUCUCUUGUGAUGCGCAGAAGGGAUGCCAGCGAUGAGGAGGAGGCGGAGGAUUAGAGAGAUUCAGAGCUUCCAAUCGCUCAAAGUGUCUACAUUCCUGCGGGAGAAGCGGAGGCUGUGGAUGAGUAUGAGAGCGAUCCAGAUGAAGUGACACACUCUCUCGUUCUGCGCAGAAGGGAAACAAGCGAUGAUGAGGAGGUUUUUGUUUGGCAUAGUUAAGUGGUUAGUUUGAAGAUGGCUACUGAUUAUGCAGCUAGGUACGCAUUAGUGUUUGUGGAUUUCUAAAUGCUUUCUGUCAGAUGUGACUCGAUUAUUACUAGAAGUAUAUGGAUCUUACACUUAAUUAAUUAUAUAUCCAUUUAUAAUGUUCAAAAUGAUAAUGUACUAUUGCUUGAAAUUAUGCUUUCAAGACAUCAUUUUGAAAAUCCAUGGUUGUAAUGUGUCUCUAAAUUCAGUAAUACAAGUUCUGUCAAUUAGUGUUGGAUGCAGUGACCUGAAUAGUUUAAUAUUCAUUUGCAGAACAAAUUUCCGUGCGUUCUGCUGGAAAUUUAAUUAGCUUCAUUUGAGCAUUAAUUAGACUUCUCUUGCAUUGAAUGAAUGGAUGAGUGCUAAUCCAUGCAUGCACAAUGAAUGCUAAAUCUAAGGUAUGGUAAAAUGUCAGCAAGCUUGGCCCAAAUUAUCAAGCUGGUUUGGUGGCUACUAGAUUUGUUCAUCCGGAUUUUGGACCAUUUUCCUUGACAAUGAGAAAAGCUCCAAGAAAUUGAAGACUCACUGAAAGCUCCAAGUUUCAGGUAACUCUUGUGUUGUGUGCUCGGAGUAUUCUCUAUUGUAUUUUUUUGUUUGUUAUUUAUUCGACGUAUUGCUAGCAGAGAUCUUGGGUGGGAACCAAAAAUUCCCAACAAUUGUCAAUUGUUUUAAACUCUAUUCUGAACAGAGCAUGAAGGGAUUCACUUAUCUAAUUAUGUCUUUUAUGCUUUAACUUCACUUGAUUACAUCUUUUCCAUCACCUUUAUUAAAGUUGUAUAUGUUGGAGUAUUAGGUUCAUCAUAAGGAUCAUAUUAUGGCUAAGGAAGGAGCACAGUUUAUCAGCUGCACUGAAGUGUAGCAUAGAAUUUGGAUUCAAAACUGAUGCAAGGCUGUUGCUGUGUAAUUGCAUGCCAUGCUUGCUAGUGCGCUCUAACAGAUUGCUGAGCUGGCACCGGAUGUUUUUAACUAAUAUUAGUAAUUAGUCUAGAGUGUUCGAUUUAUUCUAUAAAUGGCUCAUUUGAGCUUACAACCUUUAAAGUUGUAUCACACGAUUCUGUUACUUCUAAUACGGAUUUUCUCUAUUCCUUUUUCUAUCACUUUCUCUUCCAUUUCAUGAUCCCCAAACACCAUCAAUCCAUGAUUUUCUAGAGUAUUAGCCGUCAUUCCAUGAUUUUCUUGUUAUUUUUUCUUUCACUUUCUCUUCCAUUUUCCCACUCCCCAAACACCACCAAUCCCUGAUUUUUGGAGUAUUAGCUGUCUAUUUCUACAAACAUAGAAGUGCUGUUUGUUUGUCCAAUUACUUUCGAGAAACAAAACUCUCUGUCCUGUGGUCUUUUCGUUUAUUGACUUGUGAGUAAAUAAGAUAUUGGGCCAAUGGACUUAACGUGACAAGUUCUUGAAUUGAAUGGCUCCUCUUUUCUCCAUAAAUCUUUGCUUAAUUUUUUUGUUCCCUCAACUUUUUGGGCCUUUUGAGUUAAAAUUCUUUUUUUGAUACAUUAUGCAAAAAUUAUGAUGAAAAUGAGUUACUUUAGAAGAUCAACAAAUUUUUAUUACAUGACAAGACAAUUAUACUUAGAUUACUCUUAUUUAGUUGAAUUAUAGGUAAUAAAAUUAGUUUAACAAAAUCUAACCCGUAAAUAUUUCUUAUCACAUGAUUAACGUACUUAAAAAUCUUAACUGAUUGGUCGCUUGUUUUACAAUUCUUUUAUAUAUCUAUGAAACUUUCAGCUUCCUAACACAUCAUAUUGUUCUCAAUUCGUCUAAAUUAUUAUUUUUUUUUCGAACACUGCGGCAACAAUCAGUAUAAAAUAGAAUGAACUCAUUUAAUGAAAAAAUUUCUAGAUGCUUUCAUGGCAGAAUCUCAUUGAUCUAUUUCUCUUCACACCUUAGGUUCCUCUAACAAACUUACCUCUUAACUCUCAUGUCCGAAUUUAAACUUGAAAGAUGUUCCCCAUCCCACGUGUUCCCAAAUCUUCGUAUUUCCAAACAAACCCCUGCCACAUAGAGAAGAGGAUGAUUCCUACAAAGCCACGUAAUCAAGUGAUAGGAUGGCUUUUAUUGCAAACUGUAUGAUUCCUCUAACAAACCCAUUAAUUAUACUCACCUUAUGCCAUGUUUCUGGUGUGUCUUCACAAAUUCACCGAUACAAAUUAAUUUCUACCAAUAUUACCAAAUGAUUGUAUUUUACGUUUCUAUUUACUUGUAAUAAAGAUCUUCUGUGUGUGUGUGUGUGUGUGUGAUAUAAGUGUUGAUUUUAAAGUAAGGUAAACAUAGGAGCUUUCUUUCUUUUACUCUGUAUUUCAUGGUCAUUCAAUUUUAUUGGUUACAAAAUUCUCUAGGAUUGCAUGUAGAUUAUACUUUUAUAUACUUUUUUUUUUCUUCUUUCGCAUUAUUUUUCUGGGUGAACAUAUUAUUUUCGUCAUCAUCUCUAUAACAAUGAAGUGAAAAUAGUCCUCGUUUAUAGUAUUGACAGCAAUGUUAUACUCAAUAAAACGCAUAAAGCACGCAUGAUUUAGCCGAAUCUAAGCGAUAAGUGUUUCCAUGUGAGCCAUAAUUUGGGAAAAAGGCCAAUUCAAGUUAAAGAUCAGAAAAGUCUGUCCCGCACGAAUACAAUAAUUCGAGCCACGCAUUCAUCAAACGCGCGCAUUGCAAAUACACUUCAAUAUGUUGUCUCAUAGGGAGAAAUCCUUCACUCUUUGACGUAAUGCUUGGGCAACGUAAAUUAGUCCCAUUUUUUUAUGCAUGAGAGACAAUUAGUCCCAUUUUUUGCCGUCAACUCUUCUCAUCUACGUCAGGUAAUGUGUCUUUUAUUUGGCAUGAAAAAGCCAAUACUUGCACGAGUGUAGCAUCACUGAUUUGUGUAAUUUUCAGGACUGGUAAAUUAUCUCAAUUUUUAAAAAAAUAUAAUUACAAUUAUAUAUCGAACACCACUAAUUCCAAUAAUUUAUCCAAAAAUAUCUUUGAGUUUCAAGGAAUUAAUGUAGCACGAAUGGCCAAGUUUUUCACCUUUUUAGAUAUUUGAUAUAUGUCAUGUUCUAACUUAGUACGAGAAGAAAAUUAUAGAAUAAUUUUUUUUUUUAAAUUAGUGGAAUUAUUUUUCGAUAAAAUUAUCACAAUCACAUUUAAAAAUAUUCUUUGGAUUUUCACUAUUUCUACUGUUAUUCUUUAAACUCUUUUCUGAACAGAGCAUGGAGGGUCACUUAUCUAAAUAUGUUUUGUGUGCUUUCACUUCACUUGAUUCAUCUUGUCCCUCUUUUAUAGCUUCUAUCUCGUGUGAGCUUAGAACCUGCAACUCGUAUUUUACGUUUCUAUUACUUUCUCUUUCAUUUUCCCGACUCCCAAACACCAUCAGUCCUUGAUGUUAUAGAGUAUUAGCUGUCUAUUUGUACAAACAUAGAGCUACUGUUCGUACUUUAGAUCUUCAGAUGGUUAGCUAACUAUUGUUUGAAUAUUAAAAUUAAUUUGUUAAAUAAAUAAAGAAAACAAGAGACAAUUACCAUACAUAUUCCAUUAUAAUUAGUCACCGUCCAAUUGUCUCCGCUUCCAUUGAAUCUGUUGAUUCAUGCUUUAAUGAAGUGAAACGCUUAACACUCUGUUCUGAUCCGCAGGAGAGGAGGAAAAACAUAAUUUUAUUAUUUCAUUCCUGACACGGGCAAAGAGCUUUCUUAGCCGGCUUGGCAGCUAAUUCCUUAAAAUUUGUUACAUUUCAUUUAAAUGAUGAAUGCGACAUGAAGCUCUAUAAAUAGUUUAAUUUGUAGAAUUGUUAAAAAUUUAAAUUUCAAGUAAGGUAGAUAAAAUGAUUGAUGUUUUUCAAUAUUUAGUAAUGAACAUGUGUCAUGUUACUAUGAGUGAAUGAAUGAAAUUUUCUAUAGAAAAUACAAUGCUAGUAUUAAAAAUUUUAAGUGCGAAUCCAUUUAGUGUACGUUUUCCCGACUCCCAAACUCCACCAAUCCUUGAUUCUUUUCCUAGAGUAUUAGCUGUCUAUUAUUACAAACAUACAGUUUGUCCAAUUACCAUCAAGAAACAACAUACCUUGUCCUGGGGUCUCUUUGAUUAUUGACUUGUGUGACUUGUAAACGGGGGGGCAUUCCCUUCUUGAAGAAAGAAUGCAAAGAGCCCAAGAAAGUACUAAUAUAUUAUCUCAAUAUUUUGAUGAAUGUGACAUUACUGGUUUGCAUAAUUUUUUGGACUAAUAUAUUAUCUCAAUUUUAAAAAAAAUGUAAUUGCAAUUAUCAAACACGACUAAUCCCAACAAUUUAUCCAAAAAAUUUUGUUUCAAGAAAUGUAGCAUUUAUGAUAGAAUGGCUAAUUUUUUCAAUCGACUUUCUGGAUAAAUGAUAUUUUUUUGAUAGAAAUGUUUCUUACUUAUUACAGGAAGAAAAUUAUAGAAUAUUUUUUUGAAUUAAUAGUAUUACUUUACGAUAACACUAUCACAAUCUAAUUUUAAAAAAAAAAAGUUAUUCUUUAAAUUUCGCAUUACUAUUCCUACUUUUCUUGUUAUACUACUUUUCUUGUUAUAGUUCAAUAUCUGCUGUCCCACUAAGCAUUGUUAAAUUCAUACGAUAAAAUGAGUACUUAUAUUAAAAAAACAAUCAAUCUCAUUGCGUGCUCUUUCAUUGACAUAGGCAAUUUGCUGUCAACUUGUGGCACUUUUAUGAAUUUUCAAGACAAGUGAAUUUUUCAAAUUUAAAAGAAAAAAAUACAGAAAUGUAAUUUCAAUUUAUCCAAAAAUUUGAGUUUCAAGGAAUACAGCAUUUAUUAUGUCAUGUUAAUAUAGAGAAGAAAAUUUUAAAAACUUAUUUUUGGAUGAAUAAAAGUAUUUUCUGAUAAAUAUUUCACAAUCAAAUUUAAAAAAUUUCACUCCUCCUGGUACAUAAUUUAAGAAUUUAACAUUAUAAAUUAAUCUUUUUAAUCAAAGUAAUAAUCUCUCCUCGGUCUGCAAAUGCUAAAAUUUAAUAUUAUAUCCAUUGACGAUAUUUGCUCCAAAUUCACGAAAAUAAAAUUUCUAACAGAAUUAUGAAAUUCGUUACUAGAAAUUUGUAUAAAAGUUGUGAGAAUAGAAGGAAUGGUCAUAGGAAAUUAAUAUAUCCCUAUCCGAUGCAAAAAUGAUUGUAAAGAAAAACAAAAGUCACGGGCUUAUUUAGAAAAAAGAAAAAAUUACAUUCCAUUUUCCAGUUAUUAAAGUAAUUCUAAAAUCGCUAGGAUCACAAAGGAUAGGCUUUGGUUGACUGAGGUCAGCCUUAACGCAUGCCGGUCUUUUUCUCCUCUACAUUCUUAGAAAUUUUGGUUUCACUAUAAAUACUCGGUAUAUAGCAAACUUAUAAGUGUUCUUGCAUUACCCAUCCAACUAAGCACACUGUCACGGGACAAGAGGUUUCGAGCCCGUGCGGCACUCUCGCAUCCCAUACUACGAGAGUAAGCCUAGUGGAAGUGGCACAAUUUCGACUGGUUUUGCCCUGCCUUAGGCUCGUCAGGAGAACGGCUUCAGUUCCCAACCAGUGUGCGUCAGGAUUUUCCUAGACCCCUCUUCAGCGUUAAGUCCUCGACUAGCGACAAGCUCCCCAAACUCAACCGGGUCGGCCUGCCUGAACUCCAAAGAGUCUAGGGCGUUGUAUUCCCCACACACACAUUCCUGAAGCACGUCUCCAACAAUCAGCACAACUGUCAUCGACACUAGCGUACAAGCGCAUAUCUUGGGUGUCACGAUUGCGGUCCGUGACAUUCUCCCACCGCCAUAACCAUGCACGUCCUCGUGCAUGCAGAGUACGCCUCGCAAGUGUGCACUUCCGCGCGAAAACGUGAAGAUCGGCUUGCCAAUCUCAACCCAUGAACUCCCUGCCUACUCGUCCUUGAUCCGUGGAGAGGACCCGCGUGCAGACACUAUCCACUUAGUGCGAAUGCUUGGGGGUAUGAGAACCCGCCUGUUCGUCCCGCUUGUCGACCCUUGCGCUCAAAAGGGUGGGGACCUGCGUGGUGCGGCAUUGGAGCGCUUGGCGAGCUCGCGACGAGGGCUUCGAGAGAUGACAAGCGCGGCUCUGAUACCAUUUGUCACGGGACGAGAGGUUUCGAGCCCGUGCGGCACUCUCGCAUCCCAUACUACGAGAGUAAGCCUAGUGGAAGUGGCACAAUGUCGACUGGUUUCGCCCUGCCUUGGGCUCGUCAGGAGAACGGCUUCAGUUCCCAACCAGUGUGCGUCAGGAUUUUCCUAGACCCCUCUUCAGCGUUAAGUCCUCGACUAGCGACAAGCUCCCCAAACUCAACCGGGUCGCCCUGCCUGAACUCCAAAGAGUCUAGGGCGUUGUAUUCCCCACACACACAUUCUUGAAGCACGUCUCCAACAAUCAGCACAACCGUCAUCGACACUAGCGUACAAGCGCAUAUCUUGGGUGCCACGAUUGCGGUCCGUGACAACACGCUUACAAUAUAAAUACUCUCAUCUCAUGGAAAGAGUUCAUUCUCUCAGGAUGAUGAGCAGAUUUCUCUUACUCUAUUGUUUGAUUCUUAUUUCCUUAUUUAUCGCGGUAGCAACAGCCAACACAAGUUCUACUAUCACAGACCAAUAUGCUCUGUUAGCCCUGAAAGCUCACAUAACUCAUGAUCCGACCAAUUUCUUGGCCAAGAACUGGAACACAAGUACUCCUGUCUGUAUUUGGACAUGCGUCACUUGUGAUGUCCAUAGCCAUAGAGUCACAAUCUUGAAUAUUUCUGGCUUAAAUCUCACGGGUACCAUCCCUCCUCAACUUGGGAAUCUUUCUUCUCUGCAAUCACUCAAUCUCAGUUGUAACCGACUUUCUGGUUCCAUUCCCUCCGCCAUCUUCACCAUAUAUACACUGAAAUAUGUUGGUUUCCGUAGAAAUCAGCUCUCGGGGCAAAUUCCUGAAAAUAUUUGUAGUAAUCUUCCUUUUCUUGAAAUUCUUUCUUUGUCCCGAAACAUGUUCCAUGGCGGAAUACCGUCCACUCUAUCAAAUUGCACAUAUUUGCAAACAUUAGGUUUGGUAUACAAUAAUUUCUCGGGGACCAUACCUAUAGAAAUCGGCAAUUUGACCAAACUUAAGGAAUUAUAUCUUGGCGGUAACAGGCUCCAAGGUGCGCAUGAUCACGAAGUUUCAUUAUGAAAUUUGUUGCAUAAGUUGUAAUAUGUAUAAUGUUCCAUGAUACAGUUUACACACGUUGAUUAAUUUGCAGGAGAAAUUCCGCGAGAGUUUGGCAAUCUUGCCGACUUGGAGCAGAUGUCGUUGGCGAUAAACAAUCUCCAAGGCAUGAUUUUAAACUUUUUGCAAUUUUAUUUUAGCUAUGCUUGCUUCUGUAUUCAUUCGCUUGUUCUUUGAUUAUGCGAUGAUUUAUUGUUUUUCUUUCAGAUAGAGAUAAAGCUCCAUGUCUCCCCUCACUCAUUUCAUUCCUUAAUUUAUGCAGAUAAAAAAAAAAAAAAAGAAUGUUCUGUAAUUUUCUUUUGUCAUAUUACCACUUCCAUUUUGAAGCUUCCAAUUAAGUCGAUGAAAAUGAAUGAUGUUUCAUUCUUAUUCUUGUCAGCCUAAUUCUUAUAUAAAUGAAGAGUAAAUUGUGAUUACGAUAUUCGUCAGCCAAUAAAUUCUUCUUUUUUUCCCCCCCCAAACAUGAGUGAUCAAAUUGUUUGCGCAUAUAUAAAUGUACUUAAUUUACAGGAGGUAUUCCACGGGAAUUGGGGAAUCUUACAAAAUUGGAGAUAUUACAGGUGUUCCAGAAUAACUUGACCGGUAACUUUCUUUACAAUAUAUAUACGAGACAUCUUCCGCUUUUUAUUAGAAAUUAUAAAUUCAAGUUAAAUCUUAAUUAAAAGUUUUCAAGUCUCUCAUUAUAUAUUCUCAUAUGAGGAUGUGUCGUUACCACUAUCUAACAUUAUUCCGUUUUUUAUUAGAAAUUAGUUUGUGUUAAUUCAAAAUUCUGUAGCAUUUAAAAAAAUUAAAAACACGUGGAAUAAAUUGUUAAUCUUUCUUCUUUACUGAAUUUGGAUUUCUCAAAAAUAAUCUUGACAAGUAUGCUUCACUAAUGAUAUGCAUGUGUGACAACUUCAUAAAAUAUUUUACAUGGAAUCACUAAUUAUCUCUAAAGAUGCCAUCAGUGAUAUAUAAUUUCUUAACAAGCACCAUACCAAAAGAAAUCAACAAUUUUAUUAAUCUUAAAGAGUUAAAUCUUCACUGCAAUUAUGACAUAAAUUUUUAGUCAUCAAUCGCAUAGUAUUUUAUCUUAACUGAUGAUGAUGUUCAGUCUUGGAAUUUAUAAUAUCUUGAAGGUUAGUAGCUUUGAAAAUAAGAAAUUGUUCAUUUGCUAAAAAGUUAACUUAGUAUUUAAGUUUUCCAAUUGAAAAUUUUGAAAAAAGCGUUGAGAACUGGCACUCCAUAGUAUUUCAGCGGAUAAAUAUGAAAAAUAGGCUAGAAGAAAUUAUUUUACUUUAAUAAGAGUUAAAAAGAUAGGACAAGUACAGUACUCAUGACUUAGGCUUGCUGUGUGUGCUUAUUCCAAUUGGGUUUUGGGCUUGAUUACACCUGUUAUAAUAAUGAGCUUUUGCUUUCACCGCACACUAAUAAUUUCCUAACCUUCCAUUUAGGUUAUAGAAAUUUAAAUAUAAAUAAUAAAGCAUACUAAAGCUAGCAUUGAUGUACGGAUGAGUGGCGUCAAAAGUGUAUCUGUUUUUAUGUAUUAUUUAUUCUCUAAAACAAAUCUGAAUACAAUUCUUUCAAAAUACCGAUGAAAUAGAACAUGAAAUCGGAAAUAUUUUAUUGCGAUGAGAAUUCGUAUAUUAAUUGUAGUAGAACAUAUAAAAUAGAGUAUAAAUUUAUUAUUCUUUGAAGCAAACCUGAUUAUAAUUCCUUCAAAAUUAAGUUUGUCAUUAAAUGAUUUCUCAGGAGCCAUACCAAAAGAAAUCCGGAAUUUGACCAAACUAAAGCAAUUAUCUCUCUACAGUAACAGGCUCCAAGGUGCGCAUGAUCACAGAGUUUAAUUAUGAAAAUUGUUGCAUAAAUUAUAUGGAUAUCCUUAAUAACCGCAGCAAGCAAACAAAAUCAAAUAAAAGCUAACUGAGACUCGAAUAUCCUAAACCCUGAAAAGGAAUGGUAAUGGUAUAAUAUGGAUUCUGUAGGCAUAUUUCACUGGACUCAACAUUUAUGGUUAAUUUACAACUCUUUGUUGGAAAGUCUGAGAAAUUGCUCUAUAUUAGGGGUGGGGAAAAUAAUGCUAGGCCACGAAUUUCAGGCAGAAUCCAGAUUGGGCCCAAUUAGACUUAUAGCUCAGCUCUGUGUCGAUAUCUGGGCCUUUACAAAUAAUUAAUGGGCCAAUUAAUAAUAAUAGAUAAAUUGAGAAGGGUGCGAGUGAAAUUAGAUAUGAAUGAAUCUGCCAGUGUAUGUACACAUUUUUCUAAUUAAUGCAUUAUGAGCCUGCCGCUGCCAGCAUGGAAAUUACAGAAACUAAGGAGAGAAUUGACCCAUUAAUUAAAUUAAAAAGAAUACUGAAUAUAUAAGCAGUCAAAAUAUAGGUGAAGUAGGCAUGAAUUGUCACAUAACUAAAUUUGAGAGUAAAACCGUGACUUGGGUUUGAAUGUUUGAUUAAGUUACUUCUAUUUCUAAGUUGCUUAUUUUGCGUGGGCUUCGGGCUUAGUUACACACGGUCGAACACUUACACAGUUCCCCUGACAUAGGCUUUCACUUUCACCACACAUUUGAUAAUUUCUUAGCCUUCCCAAUUAGUUUAUAGUAAUUUAUAUAUAAAUGACUAAAGCAUACAAAAGCUACCAUUGACGUACGGAUGAGUGGUGUCAAAAGUGUAUCUUCUUUUAUUUAUUAUUGUCCUAUGAUACAAAUCUGAAUAAUGGAAUAUAAUGCUUUGAAAAUACCGAUGAAAUAGCACAUGAAAUCGGAAAAUAUUUUACUGCAAUAAGAAUUCAUAUAUUCAUUGUAGUAGCACAUAUAGAAUAGACUAUAAAUUUAAUUUUAAAAUACAUUCUUAUCUUCAUAUAAAUUUUACAUUACUAAUUUAAAUUAACAUUAAAAUAUGUUGUUUCUUUCACUAUGUUAUUUUAUUUACACAAAGAUGUGACUAUUGGAAUUAAUAAUACUUAUGAUUAUUUUGUAAAAAUUAAAUUUAAUACUUUGUUAACAUUUUAUCUACAUAUAAUAAUUAAACUGAAACUUGUAUUUAAAAAAUUCUAGUUACGCAUAUUCAUUUCACGACAUAAAAGUGUAUAUUUAUGCUAAUUUACCAUUAUCAACAAAAUGCUUUAGACAAAUAAUCUAAUUUAUAUUUUUAUAUUUAAAAUACUUGCAUUUAUUAUAUUUUGAAAAAAAUGUAUUUGCAAUUAUUUUAAACCGUUGGAUUCAAAUUUUCGUAGUUAUUAAAGUCAAAGGGUAUAAAUGUAUAAUAGUCAAAAAUAGAUUUGUAUGAUUAUUUUCAAUGUAUAAAUUUUCUUAGUUAGUAGGAAAAUUAGAAAUUGUUGAUUUACUCAUAAAUAAAUUUAAUGUUUAGCAUUUCAAUUUUGGAAAACUUGAACUAAAUGUUGAUAACUUCGAAUCGGUCGAGCCGAGUUUCUCUUCCUUGACCCACGGACCCAUUGAAAGUUCUAUUCGAAUUGAAUUUCCCGGUGCUUAUAAAAAGCAUUUCUUUUCCUUGUCGCAUUAAUUUAUUCACAAAUGAGUUGAUUAGCAUCGAAGUUACCUGAGAGUGUGAGACCAUGCUAGUAGGAGAAAUUUGAAAAGAAAUUAUUUUACUGAAUUAAUUUAUUUUAUCUUGUUGUAACUGAAAUAUUAUUUUUUUUUUGGGCUAUCACUGGGGCUUGAUUUACUUUAAUAGUAGCAGCCACCGACUUAGGCGUUUUUUAAUUCUCACCACACAAUUUUAUCUUUUAAUUCGUUUUAACCACAUAAUCUGUCUAUCUAUCUCUCACCUAUUGGUUACUUAAAUCGCAUACAUAUUUUACCUACUAAUUUUUAUAAAUAUUAGUCAAAUAUAUUUUAUUACGUUUCUCUCGUAAUUGCUCCAAAUGUGUACUAUUAAUACUUAACCCUCCCUUUUAAUUUAACCCAAAAAAUAUAAAAAUAAAAGAAAAAGAACAUGCAUAGCAAUUUGCAUAUAACUAACAAAGAAUUGACAGUUUGUAGCCUUUCAAUACUUCACGAGUGGCUUUUCUUGUGUGUUAGUACUUGUAAUAAUUGUGUAGUGUAUAAAUGACAUUUUAUUAUUAAAGUGCGUACAUUUUUAGAUAUUACUUAUUAUUUAAAAAUAAUCUGAAUAUAAUUCUUUUAAAAUACAGGGGAGAUACCACUUGAAAUUGGUAAUCUCCAAAAUCUGGAGGAGUUGAGUCUUGGCCUAAACAAAUUAAUUGGUACUAUCCCAGUUGCAAUCUUUAAUGUGUCAACACUCAAAAUGCUUGAGCUUCAAGAUAAUUCUCUCUCGGGAAGUCUUUCGUCCAUCGCAGACGUCCGACUACCAAAUCUUGAAAAGCUUCAUUUGUGGGGUAAUAAUUUUAGUGGCACAAUUCCUCGUUUCAUCUUUAAUGCUUCUAAGCUCUCUAUACUAGCUUUGGGAGACAAUUCAUUCUCCGGUUUUAUUCCCAACACAUUUGGCAACUUAAGAAACCUUGAGUGGCUUAAUGUACAUGAUAAUUAUUUGACAACUUUAACUCCAGAAUUGAGCUUUCUAUCCUCGUUGUCAAAUUGCAAGUCUUUAACAUUUAUUGGCUAAUCAAAUAAUCCACUAGAUGGCAUUCUUCCAAGGACGUCUGUCGGUAAUCUUUCUCGUUCUUUGAAAGAAGUUUACAUGUCCAAUUGUAAUGUUAGUGGCGGCAUCCCUAAAGAGAUCACCAACUUGACCAACUUGACAACCAUUUAUUUAGGGGGCAAUAAAUUGAAUGGAUCAAUUCCGAUUACUCUCAGCAAAUUACAGAAGCUUCAAGGUUUGGGUCUUGAAUAUAAUAAAUUAGAAGGAUCAAUCCCAGACAGUAUUUAUCGUUUGACUGAACUGUAUGAGUUGGAGUUGGGUGGCAAUAAGCUUUCAGGAUCAAUCCCUGCAUGCUUCGGUAAUUUGAUUGCUCUGAGGAAACUGUCGUUGGGUUCCAAUGAGUUAACUUCUAUUCCCUUAACUUUUUGGAACCUUAAGGAUAUCUUGUACCUCAACUUUUCUUCAAAUUGUUUUACUGGCCCACUCCCAUUAGAGAUUGGAAAUUUGAAGGUUUUGGUUGGAAUGGAUUUUUCGAUGAAUAAUUUUUCAGGUGUUAUCCCAACAGAAAUUGGAGGCCUAAAAAAUCUAGAAUAUCUCUUCUUAGGAUAUAACAGAUUGUAAGGAUCAAUUCUUGAUUCAUUUGGUGACUUGAUAAGUUUGAAAUCCUUGAAUUUGUCUAAUAAUAAUCUCUUUGGGGCUAUUCCUGCAUCUCUAGAAAAACUCUCAUAUCUUGAAGAUCUAAACCUUUCUUUCAAACAAGCUGGAAGGAGAAAUUCCUAUGGGAGGAUCUUUUGGAAACUUCUCAGCUAAAUCAUUUGAGGGAAAUGAAUUAUUAUGUGGUUCACCCAAUUUACAAGUCCCGCAAUGCAAAACUAGCAUCCACUGCACAUCAUGGAAAAAAUUUCUUCUCCUCGGGAUUGUGCUGCCAUUGAGUACUAUAUUUAUGAUAGUAGUCAUUUUGUUGAUUCUAAGAUAUCGACAGAGAGGAAAACGACCAUCGAAUGAUGCUAGCAUGCCACUAGUAGCAAUGUGGAGAACGUUUUCAUACCUAGAACUCUAUCGAGCAACAGACGAAUUCAGUGAAAACAAUCUAAUCGGCAAAGGGGGUUUUGGCUCUGUUUAUAAGGCAAGACUUGGGGACAGGAUGGAGGUUGCAGUGAAAGUUUUCAAUUUGCAAUGUGGAAGAGCGUUUAAGAGUUUCGAUGUUGAAUGUGAAAUGAUGACAAGUAUUCGCCAUCGAAACCUUAUCAAAGUUAUUAGCAGUUGUUCAAAUGAAGAGUUUAAAGCGUUGGUAUUAGAAUACAUGCCUCAUGGAAGUUUGGAGAAGUAUAUGUAUUCAAGUAACUGCAUUUUGGAUAUUUUUCAAAGAUUGAACAUAAUGAUAGAUGUUGCAUCAGCUUUGGAAUAUCUGCACUUUGGUUAUUCAGCUCCAAUAAUUCAUUGUGACUUAAAGCCCAACAAUGUAUUAUUAGACGAUAAUAUGGUUGCUCAUUUGAGUGAUUUUAGCAUCGCAAAAUUGUUAGCUGGAGAAGAUCAAUCUAUGACUCAAACACAAACAUUUGCCACAAUAGGCUAUAUGGCACCAGGUUUGUCAAUACAAAAAUUUUCUAUUUCUUGUAAACUUCCUAGUAAGUUAUUUAUGUUUCAUGAUCUUCAUUAGAUGAGGAAAUUCUUAUUAAUGAUAUAUCUUACUAUUUAACUAUUGCAAUUCAUAGAGUAUGGAAGAGAAGGACGCGUAUCCGCAAAUGGAGAUGUUUAUAGCUUUGGGAUUAUGUUAAUGGAAACUUUUACUAGGAAGAAACCCACAGAUGAAAUUUUUAACGGAGAAAUGUCAUUAAAGCAUUGGGUUAAUGAUUGGCUACCUAUUUCCACUAUGGAAGUUGUUGAUGCUAAUUUACUAAGUCAGGAGGACAUACAUUUUGUCGCAAAAGAGCAAUGUGCGUCAUUUGUCUUCAAUUUGGCUAUGGCGUGCACUGUGGAAUCUCCUGAGCAGAGAAUCAACGCAAAAGAAAUUGUAAAAAAGCUCUUAAAAAUUAGAGACUCAUUACUUAGAAAUGUUGGAGGUAGAUGUAUAAGACAAUCAAAUUUAAAUUGAUUCUGCCCCUCCUUCCUUGCUAUCCUUUUCAGAGACUUGAACGGUUAUCCUUCAUACAAGUUUUGUUGAUAUGUUUUGUUAUUGCUCUUGCUCAUGUUUAUUUCUCUCUUUCUUUAAUUUGCAUGCAUGUAUUUUUCGUGCUCUUUUCUAUUUUUGUUGGUUUGUAUGUAGUUUGUUUUUAGGGGUAAGGUUGAUUAUGUCCUCCCCUAAUUAGACGUAUCAUGUUUAUUUUUAUUCAAUAAAGCUUCUCUAAUACUAUUGAGGUUCAUCAAAAGAAAAUUUUAAAUUAAUUUUCUUUUCUAUGUUAGAUAAUGAAAUUCUAAUCUUCAUAAUGAAUAACUUCAAUAAUAGAGUGUAAGAGUAUUAGUAGUUAUGGUUGUUUUCUGAACCUGGAGUCAAGAGCAAUUUAACAGCAACAAACAAGUCUCUUGUAUUAUAGGCAAAAUUCUUUUCAUUAAUCUUAUUUGUCUACAUGUUCUCCUAUUUCUCCAUUUAUCUUCGCUCAAGGUUUCAUGCUUCCUCUUUGAUAAAGGAAAAUGUUACUCGUGAAUAUUUCAAAUUUUCAAUUUGACAUGAGCGACUGUUUGCCAGCCAUUUGAUAAAAUGGAUAUGAGUUGAGUUUUCAAUCAUUACCUCCACCAAAAUCCUUAGUCCUUACAACGCCACUUUUUAAUUUUAUUUUUAAAUACAUUCAGUUUAAUUUAAAAAAUAAAUCCAUUUGCUAAAUUUAAUCUUUUUCUCAUAAAUUUCACCCUAAAAAAUAUAUUUCUUUUAAAUUUUUAUUAUAAAAUACUUACAAGUUCUAAACUAUUAAAUUAUUUUCUUCUUAUUAUAUAGUUUAUAUCUCCAUAACUCUAAACCCCUAUAAUUUUUUAAAAAAUAUUUUUUAAUUUAAAAUAUAAAUAUAAAAUAUAGAAUGGAGUGAGUAUAAAAAACUUGUUAAAAGAAUAAUUCAUUUAAGUAUUUAACUGAAUUUUAAAUUAAAAUAAGAAAUAAAUAAAUUUAUUUUUUAUUAGUUAAGUAAUUUUCAAUUAAAAAAGAGCUUUAUGAGUAAUAUUAUUGAAAUAUGAUUAAAAUUCUUAUGAAUUAAACAUUUUCGUAUAAAUACUAGUGAUAAUUAUAGAGAAAGUACGAUGAAGUGAAAAAAAAAAACUUAAAUAUAAAUACUCUAGUAUAAUUUUACACAUGCAACUUAUGAACCGGUGAUCUUUAGAGCAUUAUAAAAUUGUUUUAACACAAUUAAUUGGUUUGAAAAAUUACCAAUAAUGUCGACAGUGGGAUUUAAAAGAUUAAACUACAUAUAUAAGACAUAAUAUCAUUUAAAACGGCUUACAGAUUAUGAGAAAUAUUUUGAUCUUCUAAAUAUUUAAUAUAUCAAUUGGACUAAGUCUAUGCAAUAAAAAUUUUAAAUAAAAAAAAACCCUUUAUUUUCUUUUAAUCAUAAGUGUGAUCUUAAUUAUUAAAGUCAUUUAUUGUCCAUUACUUAUUCAUUUUUUUAAUUACCUAAAUGACAUUGAAAACUCUACUCAAUAUUAAUUCAUUCAAAUGUUUUGUUUUAAGGUAAUCAGAAACUGCAAAUGAAACAAAUGCUUGAAAUCACAAACGGCCUAAAAUUUUAUUUUCAUUUUUCAAUGUUGCGGUGACUUGGAUCUUGAUAUUGAAAAUUUAUUUGUAACUUAUAUAAAGGCCUCAAUUUUAUCAUAAUUGGUUAGUAAGGCUACGUAGGGAGCAUGGACAAAUUUUGGGAUUGGAUUAUAUUUUUGGAACUAAAAAAUUAAUUUCAUCCAAUGAUAUGUUUGGCUGUUAGGACUAGCAACUUAGUCUAAAAUUAUUGAAAUUAUUAAUCUUUUAUAUUAUAAGCUUUUCGUUCCCACUUUAAAUAUUAUUGGUAACUUAAAUCAUUUUUUAAAAUUAAAUAUAAAAAUUAAUUUAAUUCAAUAUAAAAAUCAUUUAAAUUAAAUACAAAAAUAUUUAAAUUAAAUAUUAACAUUAAUUUCAUAAUUUUUUACCUAGAAUUUUAUAUUAUAUUAAAUACUAAAAUUCUAUUCGAUAAUGUAUUAUCAUUUAUUUAAUAAAUGUUUAGUAUGUUAUAUUAUUAUUUAAAUUAAUUUUUUAUUUACAUAUAAACAUAAAGUAAUAUUUACUAAUUUAAAGUUAUUAUAAUUUGUUAAAUAAUAAAAGCUAAAUGAUUAUAUUGAAAAUAUAAAUAGUAUUCUAAUGUAUUAUAGUCUAAAUCUUACCCCUAUGAGUUUAUUUUAUACACCUUUUAUUGUAUUAACCACAUUUAUAAUGCAGUGCAAUGUAAUAAAAAAUUAUAACCAAAUAUGAGUUAGCAUGAAAAUAAUAUUUUAGUGCAAUAUAAUACAAUGUAAUGUAAGCUAACAAAUGGAUAUUUAAUGGAAGCAAAAAUUGCAUAUGGCUUGUGCGUCUCUUCAAAGACAACAAAAAAACCAAUAUGAUACACGAUUUUUGUCCUCUUUAAUGGUGUCUUUACUAAAUGGGAAUCAGAAUAAGUUAGAAUUAGAAUGAGCUUGAAUCGAAAUAAGGAAUUAGAAUCAAAAUAAGUUGUUUAUUUAAGUUGUAUGAAUCAGAAUCAAAAUAAAUUUUAUUCAAAUUGAUGUGUUUAUUUUCUCUUGAAAUUAGAAUGGACUAUUACAAGUUACUAAAAAAUCAUUUGGUAAUUGUUGUCUCUAGUAUUAUUUGUAUUUGUUAUAAUGGUAACAAUAAUAAGAAUAAAAAUAAUACUAAAAAUGAAAAUAAUAAUAAUAGUAGAGACAAUAAUAAUAAAAUUAAUAAAUUAUUAUUAUUAUUAUUAUUAUUACUACUACUACUAUUACUACUUCUGAAGACCACUCGGUGAAGAUUGAAUAGUGAAAAUGAAGAUGAUGAAGAUCUCGACGAACCAACUGCUGUUCCAAAGAUGAUGUGUCCAAAUGGAGACAACCAAUGAUGACUAGCCAACUAGAUCCCAAUCUCGAUGUUGUGAUCUCGUAUGACCACAGAUAAAGCUAUGUGUGAUGUUGGUGUUAUGAUUUAUUUUUUAUUUAUAUUUUUUAAUUUAUCAGUAUUUUCAAAUUUUUGUAAUUUUAAUAUGGGCAAAUUAGAUAGUCCAGUGAAUAGGAGACUGAUUCCUAACCAUCCUAAGAAUUAGUCUCUCAUUUUUUAUUUCUAAUUUGAUGUGGGUCCUGCUAUUUCGAUUCCAAUUCUUACAUUUAUUUGUGAGAUAAAAUUAUGGUGCAACUGUAGUACCAUUGGAUCCAGGCAUAGUUAUCACCAUGACUGAAUCUAAUUGUUGAAAGUAAUUGUGGUAUGAUACCACAGUUGCACCAUAGCUGGACCUUUAUUUGUGAAGUAAAAUGAUGUUAAUAAUUUCGAUUUCCAAUUCGAAAAGUAAAUACAUCAUAAUAUUUUUUUAGAUGCUUCCAUGGCAUAAUCUCAUUGGUCCAUUUUUCUCCACGCCUUAGAUUCAACUUCAAGAUUCAAGAUUCAAGAUUCAAUUUGAAGCAAACACAACUAAGUGCCUGUUUGGUAUGGCUUAUUUAAGAGUCAUAAGUGCUUAUUUAAUCGCAUAAGCACUUUUUAAAAAAUUUUAUGGUGUUUGGUUAUUUUUUUAGUAGAGUUUUUUUAGCUUAAAUAAGCUAAUUUACCUCUACUAGUAAAAGCCCAAAAUUUGAGCUUUUGGGAGUAGAGGUUAGAGAGCUUAUCUAAAAAAUAUAUAAUAAAAAAAAUAUCAUACAGUUUAAUGAUUCAAAAGUGUUUUUUUUAUUGACAACCAAACACCCAAUGACUUUUUGUCCAAAAACUCUAUUGGUAUAAACUCUACUGCUAUAAGCUCUAUUGUUAUAAGCUCUAUUUAAUAAGCUGUACCAAACGGAGCCUAAAAAACAAAUAUAAUAAGCGUUAAUAAGCCUGUGGCUGACUGGCUGUGGCCAAGCAAAUGUAACUCAUAGUGACCGAAUCAUAUCUUAUUAUCUUACGCCAGAAGCUAAACAAUGUUCCCAUUCCACGUGUCACUCUCUGACCAAUCCCUGAACUUUCUUCAUAUUUCCAAAGAAACCCUCACCAAGUCAAGAUAAUUACCUUCACUCUACUCAUAUAAAAACUGUCCUCGAUUCGACUGAUGUCUGAUGACGAUAUAUCCUUAGUCUUUAUUUAAAAGGGGAAAUUAUAAAAAAUUCUCCUCGUUCCCUAAAAAUCUAGGGUUUCUCAAGAAUCGCUAAACCUAGAUCCCAAUCCUUCAAAAUCUCAAUUUAACCUCUCUAGGGUUUCAAUUGUCAAGGAUUCGCUUCAAAAUUUAGUAUUUUUUUAGGGGAUUUUGCUUGUCUCGUAUCCUUCAAUUGUUGUUCGGUUCUGAAAAUAAUUUGGAAUUUUAGGGAUUUUCAGAUUAUUUGGUUUUGCUUGAGUGCAUUUUCCUCUAGUUACGGUUUCAGUUUGAAGGGUUAAGUGCGAUUUCGAAUAUUGUUAUAAAAUUUAAAUUAAAAUUCAUAAAACGAUUGGGCGUUUAAUAAUUAAUUGAUGGCUAGCGAUACUACAACGGCGGCCGCAGCUGCGGAAGAAGCAGAGGCGGUGGAGGAGUAUGAUAGCGAUCCAGAUGAAGUGAAACGCUCUCUUGCGAUGCGCAGAAGGGAAGCCAGCGAUGAGGAGGUUGAGGAGGAUAAAGAUUCAGAGCUUCCAAUAGUUCAAAGUGUCCACAUUCCUGCAGGAGAAGCCGAGGCUGUGGAUGAGUAUGAGAGCGAUCCAGAUGAAGUGAAACACUCUCUCGUGAUGCGGAGAAGGGAAACAAGCGAUGAUGAGGAGGAGGAUAAAGAAUUUGAGCAUCGAACAAAUCGUAGGGUCCACAUUCACUCUUACAUUGAAUCUGCUGGCCAAGGUGGUGCUCCAGCUGAGUAUGAUGAUGAUGAUGAUGAAGAAGAGGAACAUGACAGAGAAUUGGAGGAAGAAGAAGAAGAUGAAGAAGGGGAUGUUUAUGAGGCCGUAGAGGAAGAAGAAGUUUAUGAAGAAGAGGAGAGGAAUGAUGGGGCGGUUAAAGUCAAAGGAAUAGAGGGUAAUGAUGCAUGAGGAGUACGGAGGGUGCAGUGGAAGUGAGUAAAGGGAAUAAUGAUAAUGGCAAUGGUGCUAAAAGAAUGAUGCAGCAGAGGAGGGAAUGGAGGAAGAGAAGAAGGAGAGUAAUGAGCCUUUUGCACAGCAACUGGGGCUUUUUAUAUGGGACAAUGUUGCAGGUCGACACAGGUAUUAUUUGAUUUGAGUGACAAUUUAUAAAUAGCUAAUAGCUGUACUUUCAUUAGGGCUUGUCAAUUAAUCCAGUCUUGUUUUUUGGUGCUGUAUAAUGAUUGUUUGCUGGAAUCUGUGUAGAAGGCUUUUGGCCUAGUAGGUUGAAAGGAGGGAAAGUUCUCAAAUAAACAUCUGUGCUUUGCGGAAUAUAAUUAAUAGGUACAAAGCAUACUAAAUUACUUGACUGAUAGAUGCCGAGCUAAUCAUGAGCUAUGAUAGCAUUAUCCGUGCUUUGUGUAUUUUUAACAGGGCUUGUCUAUUUCAAAGUGUGUAGUGUAGAAUUUUUGGGUUUAGUUUGAGUGAUGAAGUGUUAGAUAGGUUUCUGUUUGGCAUAGUUAAGUGGUUAAUACGAGCUAUUGAAGCAAAUAUGGAGUAGGAUAUCUAGUUUUGGGUUUGGUCUUAGUUUGAAGAUGGCUACUGAUUAUGCAGCUAGGUACGUAUUAGUGUUUGUGGAUUGCUAAAUGCUUUCUGUCAAAUGUGACUAGAUUAUUACUUGAAGUGCAUGGAUCUUACACUUAAUUAAUUAUAUAUCCAUUUGUAAUGUUCAAAAUGAUCAUGUACUAUUGCUUAAAAUUAUGUUUUCAAGACAUCAUUUUGAAUCCAUGGUUGUAAUGUGUCUCUAAAUUCAGUAAUACAAGUUCUGUCAAUUGCUGUCGGAUGCAGUGACUUGAAUAGUUUAAUAUUCAUUUGCAGAAAAAAUUUGAGAAAGAAAACUAAAAAUUUCUGUGCGUUCUGCUGGAAAUUUAAUUAGCUUCAUUUGAGCAUUAAUUGCUGGCAUUAUCUCUUAGAUUUCUCUUGCAUUGAAUGAAUGGAUGAGUGCUAAUCCAUGCAAAGACUUCCAUGCAUACACAAUGAAUGCUUCAUCAAAGGUAUGGUAAAAUGUCAACACGCUUUGCCCAAAUUAUCAAGCUGGUGUGGUGGCUGCUAGAUUUGUUCAUCCGGAUUUUGGACCAUUUUCAUUGACAAUGAGAAAAGCUGCAAGAUCUGUAAAUCGGAAACUCAUUAAAGUGCCAAAAGAGAGAUGGAAUUGAAUAACUAGAGAGUUAGUGAAAAGAGGGUGCAGUGAUUGUGUGGGAAGCUUUGGGUAUACUUGGGGUUUGGAUGUGAGAUAAAAUAAUUUGAGAGAGAGGUUGUAUCAAUUUUUUGGUAAUAGAGUUUUUCAGGUAACUCUUGUGUUGUGUGAUUGGAGUAUUCUCUAUUGUAUUUUUUUAUUUGUUAUUUAUUUGACGUAUUGCUAGCGGAGAUCUUUGUCAAUUGUUUUAAACUCUAUUUCGAACAGAGCAUGAAGGGAUUCACUUAUCUGAUUAUGUCUUUUAUGCUUUAACUUCACUUGAUUUCAUCUUGUUUGUCACUUUUAAUAAAGUUGUAUAUGUUGGAGUAUUAGGUUCAUCACAGGGAUCAUAUUACGGCUAAGGAAGGGGCACAGUUUAUCAGCUGCACUCAAGUGUAGCAGAGUAUUUGGAUUCAAGACUGUUCGAAGGUUGUUACAAUGCAAGGCUGUUGCUGUGUAACUGUAUGCCAUUCUCGCAAGUGCACUCUUAACAGAUUGCUGAGCUGGCACCGGAUGUUUUUAGCUAAUAUUAGUUAUUGGUCUAGAGUGUUCUGAUUUAUUCUAUAAGUAGCUCAUUUGAGCUUAGAACCUUUAUAGUGUAUCAUACGUUUCCGUUACUUCUAAUAAUGAUUUUCUCUAUUCUUUUUUCUUUCACUUUCUCUUCCAUUUUCAUGAUCCCCAAACACCAUCAAUCCAUGAUUUUCUAGAGUAUUAGUUGUCUAUUUCUACAAACAAAGAAUUGUUGUUUUAAGAAACAAAGUACUCUGUCCUGUCACCCGCGGUCUCCUUGUUUAUCGACUUGUGAAUGGGGCUAAAUAAACGGCAAAUAAGAUAUUGGGUCAAUGGGUCUAACGUGACAAAAUAUUGAAUUAUUGCCCUUUUCUUUUCUCCACAAAUCUUUGGUUAAUUUUUAGGUUCCAUCAACUUUGUUCCCCUUUAGCACUAAAAUUCAUUUUUGAUACUUUAUGCAAAAAUUAUGAUGCAAAUGAGUCACUUUAGAACAUUAAUAAAUUUUUAUUUUUACAUCCAAGAUAACGACAGUUACACUUAUAUCACUCUCAUUUAGUUGAAUUAUAUAGGUAAUAAAGUUGGCUUAACAAAAUAUGAUUCUCAACUGUUGUCAUUAAGGGCUAGUAUUCUUUGGUUUUAGUUGUAGGGCUUAUAAUGCCGUGGCUCAGUUCUUGGUGGGUUUGAAUUAUUAGACGAUCAUUCUCAAUCCUUUACUAUUCGUAAUAAAAAAUUCCUAUAUCACAAUUAGAACUUACAAACAAGUCAAAGUGGGUUAAAUCAUAUGUAUAAAUUCGAGGUCUAUUACAAACUUUUAAAAAAGAUUUUCUCUGUUUUUUUUUUUCUCUUUCACCUUCUCUUCCAUUUUCUCAAUCCCCAAACACCACCAAUCCCUGAUUUUUUGAGUAUUAGCUGUCUGUUUCUACAAACAAGUUCUUGAAUUGAAUGGCUCCUCUUUUAUCCAUAGAUCUUUGCUUAAUAUUUUUGUUCCCUCAACCUUUUUCGGCCCUUGGCUCUAAAAUUCUUUUUUGAUACAUUACGCAAAAAUUAUGAUGAAAAUAAGUUACUUUAGAACAUCAAUAAAAUUUUAUUACAUCUAAGAUAAGACAAUUAUGCUUAGAUUACUCUUAUUUAGUUGAAUUAUAUGUAAGAAAAUUAGUUCAAUAAAAUCUAAUCCGUAAAUAUUCCUUAUCACAUGAUUAACGUACUUAAAAAUUCUUAACUGAUCGGUCGCUUGUUUUACAAUUCUUUUAUAUAUCUUUGAAACUUUCAGCUUCCCAACACAUCAUAUUGUUCUCAAUUCGUCUAAUUUUUUUUUUUCAAACACUGCAACAACAACCAGUAUAAAAUAGUAUAAACUCAUUUAAUGGAAAUUUUCCUAGAUGCUUUCAUGGCAGAAUCUCAUUGGUCUAUUUCUCUUCGCACCUUAAGGUUCCUCUAACAAAACUACCUCUUAACUCUCAUGUCCGAAUUUAAACUUAAAAGAUGUUCCCCGUCCCACGUGUCCCCAAAUCUUUGUAUUUCCAAACAAACCCCUGCCAACUAAGUCAACUGAUAGGAUGGCUUUUAUUACAAACUGUAUGAACGUUAUGGCCAUGGGACAUUGGAUAAAACUAAUGGAAUGUAAAGCAAAAUUACCGAUUAAACUAAAUUGAAAAUCCAACCAAUUGAAUCGGUUCAGUGUCACACAAAAUAUGUGUGUGUAUGUGUAAAACAACACAAUUAUCAUAUUAAUGAGGCAUUGUUAAAUUCAUUCAGUGAAUAUUUUUCUUUUUCAUUUUCAAUGAAUACUUAAUAUGACAAACAAUCUGUCCCAUUGAGCACUUUUUAAGUCAUUCAAUGAAAAUGAAUACUUCUAUAACAAAACAAUAAUUCCUUAUUUAUUUGACACGCAAAGAACUUUCUUGCUCAGCUCAGCGGCUAAUCCUUUAAAAUUUGUUAAAAUUCAGUUAAUUGAUGAACUAGACAUAACCCAAUAAAUCGUUUAAUUUGUAUAAUUGAUAAAAAUUUGAACUUCAAAUAAAAUGGAUAGAAUGAUUAAUUUUUUUCAUAUUUAGAUAAUUAAUAUAUGUCAUGUUACUAUGAGUAAAAGAAUGAAGUGUAUGAUAGAAAACAUAAUGUUUAUGUUUGUAUUAAAAAUUUUAAGUGCAAAUCUAUUUAGUGUAGGUUAGACAUAAAAAUAGUUACCAACUUGUCUUGUUUCUCAUUUUGUUUAAUUUUCCUAAUUUGAAUAACUAUUAAUUAUGAGUCAAGGGUUUAUUGCGAAAAUAUGGUCUUCCAUUUACUAUGCAAAGAUUAGUGUGAUUUAAUUAUUUUUCUUUUUGCUUGGUGUCUGUAAAAUUAUGAAUACUUUGGUAAAUAAGAUAAUUAUAAAUACCAUUUUGAAAAUUCAUGGCCAUGGUUGUGAUGUAUCUUUAUCAAUCAUGGAUACAAAAAUUAAUCAAAAUUAUCGAUUGUUUUAAAUUCUGUUUUUAACAUAGCAUGAAGAUGUCGCUUAUCUAGAUUUAAUUUUUAUGCUUUCACUUCACUUAAUACAGCUUCUUCCUCCUUUAAAUGUAUGCCAUGGCGGCAAGUGUAUUGUACAGAUUACUGAGCUGGCACCGAUGACUAAGCUAAUUAUUAGUAAUCAAUCUAGAGCGUACCUGUAAAUACAAUAGGUUGCUUAGGUGGCACCAAUAUACUAACUUUAUGCCAUGUUUCUGGUGUGUCUUCACAAAUUCACCGAUAAAAAUUAAUUUCUACCAAUAUUACCAAAUGAUUGUAUUUUACGUUUCUAUUUACUUGUAAUAAAGAUCUUCAAUUUUAUUGGUUACAAAAUUCUCUAGGAUUGCAUGUACAUUAUACUUUUAUAUACAUAUUUUCUUCUUUCUCAUUCGUUUUCUGGGUGAACAUAUUAUUUUCGUCAUCAUCUCUAUAACAAUGAAGUGAAAAUAGUCCUCAUUUAAAGUAUUGACAGCAAUAUUGUACUCAAUAUAACGUAUAAAGCACGCAUAAUUUAAUUAAUGGGGCAGCUGCUGGUACCUUCUUUAGAAGAGAAUUAUUGCAGCAAGGUUAAUUGGAAGCUCAAAGAGUUUCCGUAUUAGCCGAAUCUAAGCGAUAAGUGUUUCCAUGUGAGCCAUAAUUUGGGAAAAAGACCAAUUCGAGUUAAAGAUCAGAAAACAAACACUGUCAACAAGCAUUAAUGUCAUUUGAUGCAUGAAAGACAAUUAGUCCCAUUUUUUGUCCGUUUAUUUUGCAAGGCUGUUGCCAUGCUGGCAAGUGUGCUGCUAUAACAGAUUGUUGAGAUGGCACCAAAGAUUGUAAACUAAUUAGUACUGGAAAAUCAUGAGUUUGAUGAUGAAGAGGACGAAAAAUAUUAUUUUAUUAUUUAAAAUAAGACUAUCAAUUAUUUCCAUGGUCAUCUUUUUUUUUUAUUAAUUGGCCUAAAUAUUAUAUUUUUUGUCAGGAGUCUUGCAAUGUUGCGUAGCACCGUAAGUAAGAAGAACUAGUGAAACUUUAAAGCAUCAUAAAAUUGUUUCAACAUAAGUAAUUAAUUUGAAAAAUUGCCAAUAAUGUUUAAAGUGGUAACGAAAAGAUUAUACUAUACGAGACACGAUAUUAUUUAAGACAACUUAUAAAUUAUGGGAAAUAUAUCGAUCUUACAAAUAAUAUUUAAUAAGUACAAAUUUCAAAUUAAAUAAUAAAUCCUUAAUUUCCUUUUAAUCAUAAUUAUGAUCUUAAUAAUUAAAGUCAUUCAAUCUUAACCACUUUUUCAUUUUUUUAAACUAUCUAAAUGACAUUGAAAACUCUACUCAAUAGGGGAUUUUUAUUGAAUUGUUUAAUAAUAUACUACUAUCUAAUAAAUCAUUAAUUUCCUUUUAUUCGAAUUUUUUGUUUCAAAAUAAUUGAAAACUGUAAAUGAAACUGCAAUCACAAAUGGCCUAAAAUGGGAUUUUUAUUUUUUAAUAUUGCAAUGACUUUGAUCUUGAUAUUGGAAAUUUAUUUGUAACUUAUACUAAGUCUUCAAUUUUAUCAUAAUUAGUUUCCAAAGAUGCAUUUUCCAAACUGUGUAGUUGUAUUGUAUGAUGAUAUAUUACAUUAGGGUGCAUUGUAUUGACCUGUAAUGCAAUACUAUUUUAUAUUAAUGUUAAAACUAAAUCAACAUUAUUUAAAUUUAUUAAUAUUUUAGGGUUUUAUUAGUAAUAUCUGAAAUUAGGUAUUAAAUAAUUAUUUUUAUAAUAUACAAAUUAUUUAAUAAUAUUCUACUAUUAAAUAAUAAAAUAUUACAAUAUUAUGUUAUAUUAUUAACAAUUAUUCUGUUAUAAUAUAAUUUAUUUUUAUAUAUUAGUUAUUAUAAUUUAUUAUAAUCAUAUUAUAAUAAUAUUAUAUUGUAAAAAUAUAAUACUAUAUAAUUGUAUAAUAUAAUAUGAAUUAAUUUACAAUUUAACAUUAAAUUAUAAAUUUAUUUUAUUUAUUAAUGUCAAAUAUAAUUGUCUAAUUUAAAUUUAGUAUUUUUUUUAAAAUAAACUAUUAAAUAAUUAAAAUGAUUUUAUAUAAUAAAGUAAAAUAAUGUAUUAUUAUUUAUUAAUUAAAUAUUUGGGUUUAUUAAUAUACUAUAUUAAUAAAAAAUAAUGUAUUAUUAUUUAUUAAUUAAAUAUUUGGGUUUAUUAAUAUACUAUAUUAUUAAUUAAAUUAAUGAAUAUUAAUUAAUAAUUUAAAUUUAUUAAAUAAUAAAAGUUAAAUGAUUAUAUUUAAAAUAUAAAUAGUAUUUUAAUGCAAUAAAACCUAAAUCCCACAUGUAUACCACAUUUGUUAUACAGUGUAAUGCAACUAUAAAUUAUAAUUAUAUAAAAAUAAUAUUUUAAUACAAUAUAAUACAAGUAUAAUGCCACUUGAGAAAUUAAUAUUUUAAUGGAACCAAAUUUUGCAUUUGGUUUGUGGGUCUCUCAAAAAAUAAUCAUAAAAACCAAUAUAAUACAAUGAUUCUGUCCUCUUUAAUAUUUUUCUAAAUGCUUCCAUGGCAUAAUCUCAUUGGUCCAUUUUGUUUCACAGCUUAGAUUCAACUUAAGAUUUUCAAUUUAAAGCAAGCUGUGGUCGACUGGCCGUGGCCAAACAAACGUGCCUCAUGGAGUCAUGGUGACUGAAUCAUCUCUUAUGUCAGAAUUUGAACUUAACUACCUUCACUCUUAUUGUAUAAAUAGAGAAGAUGAUGAUUCCUACAAAGCCACGUAAGUCAAGUGAACGUUACGGUCAUGGGACAUUGGAAUUGGAUCAAACCACCGGAAUGUAAAGCAAAAUUAACCGAAUAAACUAAAUUAGAUCCGACCAAUUGAAUCGGUUUAGUGUCACUCAAAAAACAAAUAAAUAUAUAAAACAACACAAUUAUCAUAUUAAUGGGGCACUUUUUUUUUUCAUUUGUAAUGAAUGCUUAAUAUGAAAAACAAUCUGUCCCAUAGAACAUUGUUUAAGUCAUUCAAUGAAAAUGAAUACUUCUAUAAGAAACUAUCAUUCACUUGUUUAUUUGACACGCAAAGAACUUUUUUACUUAGCUCAGCGGCCAAUCCUUUAACAUUUGUUGAAAUUCAGUUAAUUGAUGAAUGUGAAAUAACUCAAUAAAUCGUUUAAUUUGACUGUAAACUAAUUAUUGGUGUACAAUAAUAGAUUGCUUAAGUUAGCUGGCACCAAUCUACUAAUCUUAUGCCAUGUUUCUGAUGUGUCUAUAAAUUCAGUAACACGAAUUAAUUUCUACCAACAUUACCGAAUAAUUUUAUCGAUUUUUAAGCACGUAAACAUACCAGCUUUCUUUCUUUUACUCUCUAUUUCAUGUUUAUUCAAUUUCAAUCUUCUGCAAGUUUUUGGCUGUUUUAUUAGUUACAAAAUUCUCUAGGAUUGCAUGUAGAUUAUGCUUUUACGUGCAUUUUUUUUUCUUUCUCUUUUUUUUUUUGUAAACAUAUUAUUUUAUCAUCUAUCACCAUAGAAUGAAAUGAAAAUAGUUCUCAUUUAAAGUAUUGACAACAAUGUUAUACUCAAUAUAAUGUAUAAAGCACACAUUUAAUAAGGUUCUGUUUGGGAUUGGGGUGCUAUAACUUUUAAGUUACAGCUGCUGUGGAAAAAAAUUGUAACUAUAGAACAAAAGUUAAUAAUAUAUAGUAAAUAUAAAUUUUAAAUAAUAAUUUUGACAAAAUUAUUAAAGAUAUAAUAGAUUUUCCAUCAUACAAGUGAAAAAUCAUAUUAAGAUAACUUGCAAGUUAUAGCAGCUAGUGUUUACCAAAUAUUCUAGUGCUGUACUUUUUCAGUUACAGCUAUCCAACCUCAAUCCCAAACGCAUCCUAAAUGGGGCUGCUAAUAUCUUCUUUGAAAGAGAGUUAUCGCAGCCACGUAAUUAGAAGCUCAAAGGGUUUCCAUAUUAGCCGAACCUAAGUGAUAAGUGUUUCCAUAUGAGCCACAAUUUGGGGAAAAAAACAACUCAAAGUUAAAGAUAAGAAAAGUGUGUCCCGGACGAAUACAAUAAUUCAAGCCACACAUUUAUCAAACGCAUGGCAGAGACGCUUCAACAUGUUGUCUCAUGGAAAGAGAUCCUUCUGUCUUUGGCGUAAUACUUGGGGCAACGUAAAUUGACUUUACAUUAAAACAAAACAAAACAAACACUGUCGACAAACAUUAAUGUAAUGUAGUUAAGAAAAACUUACGUUAAACCGUUCAAUUUAACUUUGAUAAGUGCAAGAGAGGGGUGGGACAGUUGGACUCAUUUGAUGCAUGAAAGACAAUUAGUCCCAUUUUCUGUCUUGUUUACCUGACUUGGGCGAUUUGCCGUCAACUUUUCUCAUCUACGUCAGGUAAUAUGGCUUUUAUUUGAUAUGAAAAAGCCAAUACUUCGAUGAGUGGGACAUCACUGAUUUGUAUAAUUUUCAGGACUAGAAAAUUAUCUCAAUUUCAAAAUAUGUACUUACAAUUAUCGAACAUCACUAAUUCCAACAAUUUAUCCAAAGAUAUUUUUGAGCUUCAAGGAAUGUAACGCUUAUGAUAGAAUGGUCAAGUCUUUCAACUUUUUAGAUAUUUGAUAUAUGCCAUGUUCUAACUUACAAUGAGAAUAAAAUUAUAGUAUAAUUUUUUUAAAUUAGUGGAAUUAUUAAACUCUUUUCUGAAUGGAGCAUUAAAGGACUACUUAUCUAGAUACGUUUUUUAUGCUUUCACUUCGCUUGAGCCUAGAACUUACAACUCGUAUUUUACGUUUCUCUUACUUUCUCUUCUAUUUUCCCGACUCCCAAACACCAACAAUCCUUGAUGUUGUAGAGUAUUGGCUGUCUAGUUCUACAAACAUAAUAAAGAAAACAAGAGACAGCUGCCAUAUAUAUUCCAUAUUAAUUAGUCACCGUCCGAUUGUUUCCACUCCCACUGACUCUGUCGAUUCAUGCUUUGAUGAAGUGAAACGCUUAACGCACUAUUGUGAUGCGGAGGAGAGGAGGAAAAACACAAUUUUAUUAUUGCAAUCCUGACACGCGCAAAGAGCUUUCUUACUCUGCUCGGCGGCUAAUUCUUUAUAAUUUGUUAAAACUCAUUUAAUUGAUGAAUGUGACAUGAAGCUCUAUAAAUAGUUUAAUUUGUAAAAUUGUUAAAAUUUUAAAUUUCAAGUUAAGUAGAUAAAAUGAUUAACUUUUUUCAAUAUUUAGAUAAUUGAUAUACGUCAUUUACUAUGAGUAAAUGGCUGAAAUUUUUCAUAGAAAACACAAUGCUUGAAUUAAAAAUUUUAAGUGCGAAUCCAUUUAUUGUAAGCAGAUGAGUGCGAUUUAAUUAUUUUUCCUUUUGCUUGAUGUCCUGAAAAUUAUGAAUGCUUUGUAGGAUGUAGAAGAUUAAAAUUUUUAAUGCAUAUUUAUAUUGAAAACUGAGUAAACAUAACACUAUUGCUUCUAUAAAUAGAUCAUUUCAACUUAAAACCUGUUACUUGUAUUUUACAUUUCUGUUUCUUAUCAUAAAGAUUUUCUCUGUUUUUUUUUUUUUUGGUUUCACUUUUUCUUCCAUUUUCCCGACCCACAAACACCACCAAUCCUUGAUUCUUUUCCUAGAGUAUUAGCGGUCUAUUGUUACAAACAUAGACAUACUGUUUGUCUAAUUACUAUUAAGAAACAACAUACUCUGUCCUGGGGUCUCUUCGUUUACUGACUUAUGUGACACGUUAAGAAUUAUUUUUCUUUUCAUUAAAAAUGAUAAUGAAAGAAUGCAAAGAGCCCAAGAAAGUACAAUCCAUUAGACACGUUAAGAAUUAUUUUGCUUUUCAUUAAAAAUGAUAAUAAUUUUAAUAAAUUGGAUUGAAUUAAUAAUAUUUGCCUGUGUGAUAUAAAUAAUCGCUUUAGUGUCGCCCCAUCAUUAAUGAGUGACUGUCCGAUUGUCUUCUCUUUCAUUGACUUUGAAACUGUGACUUCUGAGUUGGAUUAAGAAUUGACAAAAAUGUUGUUACCCAUGAAGCACGUAAAAUUAAUUAAUGGGCCACUAAUUCUUCAUCUUAAAAGAAAAUUUUUGCAGGGAGAUUGAAAAAAGACUAAUUCGUAUUAAAGAUCACAAAUGAGUAUCUAUCACAAAUACAAGUCAAGCUACACAAUUGUUCUUGUCAUACUAUUUUAGCAACAACACUUCAACAUCUGUUGUCACAUGGAGGGAAAUCCGCUUUCUCUUUGAUGUAAUAUUUGGCAAAAUACAAUGACUUCUCAUUAAAACAAGCAUUGUCAUAUUGUUGACAAAAACUCACGUUAAAGUGUUCAAUUUAAUUUUGAUAGGUGCGAGAGAAGGAUAGGACCGUCCAAUUAAAUUGCAAGUGGGCAUUCCCACCAUUCUUGUCUCAUGCUUGUUAUAUUUAAAUUUAGAAAUCACACCAUGUCAGUUUGGUGAUGAUGUGAAAUUGUUUCACCAAAAUUUUUAUCUUCAUAAUCUCUGUUAUAGAAAAAAUAUUGGGCGCUCCCAGUGGAUGCUUCUAUUGAGUGGCAGAAUCAGGAUUUUAUUUCGAUGGUGGCCAUAAUAAUUAAACUAUAAACUUAAGUUGGUUGUGAAAUAAAAUCAACGUUGUAAAUACUGCGUCCACAUUUUAUAAAAGUAUUUUUAUUUAAUAAACUAUUAUACCAUAGGAUAUCAAAGUGAAUCCGCAUGAAAUAUGCAUUUAGGUAAUAACUAUCAAAUAUUGAUACAUGUUUGAAAAAACUCUUGAAAAUUGGUUUCUACUUACGUUAUUACAGCUCUUGUAUAAACUAACAUGGCAACAUAUGAUUGGUUAAUAAAAGAAUAAAUAUAUAUCAAGUGGGUUCUACCAUGUUUUUAAUUCAACUAAUGCUACAUCAAUUUGUACAACAGUAUUUAUGACCAUAUCAUUACUCAUUAAUUAAUAGGAACACUAAUUUAUUUUCUUAAAAGAGAAUUCAUCAAUUUGUAUAGUAAUAUUUUAUAAAAAUAUUUGUAACCGUAUCAUUACUCAUUAACUAAUAGACCACUAAUUUAUUCUUCUUAAAAGAUAAAAACUGCAGCGAGGUUGGAGGCUCAGAUUUUCCCAUAUUAGCCAAACAUAAGAGAUAAGAGUUCAUAUGAGACAUAAUUUAGAAAAUCAAUUCCAUGCAAUAGGUCUUAGUGGGUUCGACUCUGUAUACGAUCAUAUUCAAUUUUUUAGCAUCUUGUAAUUAAAGAUUCCUAUAUCACAUUAUAAUUUUCAAACAAAUCGAAGUGAGUCAAAUCAAAUUUAGAAAUUUGAGGUCUACUAUAGACUUUUGACAUAUUAAAUUUAAGACGAUUAAGUAAAUGCUAGACAAAAUCUAACUUGCAAAUUUACCUUACCACAUGAUGAACGUACUUAAAAAUCUUAACUGAUUGCUCACCAAUUAAUUGUUGUUUUACAAUUUUUUUAUAUCCUUUCUUUUCCCUAAAACUUCUGGUUUCCUAACAUCUUGUUCUCAAUAGGUCUAAGUAUAAUAUAAUUUUUUUAAAUAUAAAUAAAUUGAAUUUAUUUAAUGGUCAAGUAUUUGUUUUCUUUAGUUACAGUUUGGUUUGAAUGGUUAAGUUCAAGUUCGAAUUUUCUUUUUGUAAUUUAACUUAAAAUUGAUAGAACAAAUGGGCUGAUCAGUCUGAUGAAGAAGAAGAAGUAAAAGCUAUUAAGCAUUAUCCUAUCACCAUAUCAAAUGGACCGAAUUCAAUCAAAUGAAAUCUAGAAAAUAGAGCAGCUCAUAGAUGUACGUCGCUAAGUGGAGGUUCAUUUGUAAGUACUUGGUCGAAUUGCGACUUGCGCCGGAGGCUUCGUUUUAGAAGAGUGCAGAGCAGCUGCCUUCUCCAUUAGGCAGGCCAACGACUUUCUAUUGACCAAUAAUUUUGAAAGCGAUAUUAUUAAUUUACCAUCUAAUUUUUUUUUAUAUUAUCAUUUUACCAUCAAAAUUUUUUAACAAUUAUUUUUUUCACUUAAUGUUUUAGUUUUUAUUAUUUUACUACCAAAAAUUGGCAAACGCACCCCUAGUGUAGGUUAUCCACAAAAAUGGCUACCGAAUUGUCUUGUUUCUCAUUUUGUUUAAUUUUCAUAAAUUCGACUCACGAUUCAAAUAUGAGUGAAGAGUUUUUUUUGGGAAAAAAUCUGGUCUUCCAUUUACUAGAAUUAGGUAUGUGUGAUUUUAUUAAUUUUCUUUUGCUUGAUAUAUAUCUGGAAAAUUAUGAAUGCUUUGUAGGAUUUAGAAGGAUUUGAAUGUUUGAACGCAUAUAGCUUUCUGUCCAUCAGCUAAUGCAUAUUCUGCAUUUUAUGAAUAUCAGAGCUGGUAGAUUGAAAAAUGGACCUUAUUACAUGUCAUAAGAUACUUUGCUCAAAGCUGCAAUUGGGCAACACCGUGCUGUUCUUAUCGGCCAAUGCAAGCCAUUUACUAUUCUUUCUAAUGGAGCAAAAUAAGAUGAUUCUUACCUGCUUAGAGAAUUAGAAAAGAAAAGGAGGAUUACUGAUCUACAGAGCUGUCAUUUACUAGAAGCACAUAAAUCUUACACUUAAUUCAUUACCCAUCUGUAAUGUUCUAAUGAUACUUAAGUAUUAACUAAAUUAGCCUUUCAAAAUUUCACUUCGAAAAAAUCCAAGGUUGUGAUGUGUCUGUAUAAAUUCGCUAAUAUAAGUUCUCUCUAUUCCCAAUUGUUUUAAACUCUGUUCUGAACAGAGCAUGAAAGGCUAUAUUCGUUUAUCUAGUUAUAUUUUUUAUGCUCUCACUUCACUUGAUUCACCUUCUCCAUCUUUUAAAACAGUUGUAUAUGUCGGAGUAUCAAGUUCAUCACAAGGAUCAUAUUAUGGCCUAAGGAAGGAGCACAGUUCAUUGUCUGCACUCAAGCUUAGCAGAGUAUUUUGGGAUUCAAGAGUGUUAGUAGGCCGUUACAGAUGCCAUGCUGGCAAGCGUGCUAUGACGUAAAAUUGCUAUUUGCAAGUAAAAUUGCCCAAAACAAAUAGAAUGAGAAUACUUGUACAAAAGUACAAGAUUAAUAAAGUGAAUUAAUUUUAUCUUUUAUCUAAUUUCUUCUAAUAAGUAGCUCAUUUGAGCUUAAGACUUGUAUUUUACGUUUUUAUUACUUUCUCUGUUCUUUUUUACUUUCACUUUCUUUUCUAGAGUAUAGCGAUGCAGUUCUACAAACACGAAACUGCUGUUGGUCCAAUUACUUUCAAGAAACAACGUACUCUGUGGUUUAUUGACUUGUGACAUGGGCAAAUUAGUCACGGUCCGAUUGUCUCCUCUUCCACUGACUCUGUCAAUUCACGACUUUGGCACACAGUAGACGCCAGCUGCCUGCCCCAUUUGACGUGCAAAAAUCGAUUGAUUAUUUUGUUUGGUGAUGAUGAGUUAGUUGUCAAUUCAUGAGUUUGAUGCAGUGAAACGCUUAACGCUCUCUUGUGAUGCGCAGGAGAAAAGCCAGCGAUGAUGAAGAGGACGAAAAACAUUAUUUUGUUAUUUACAAUAAGGCUAUCAAUUAUAUAUUCCAAAAUAAUUGGGUUUCGAUGGUCAUUUUGUUUUCUAAAAUAUCCAAAUGGAAUCUUACAGAAUUAGAGUGCUCGACUUCUUUAUACAGAAUUUAUAAAGGGGAAAAAUCAAGAAAUUAAAUACUCUUCAUAUAGUGAGAGGAGAUUCGGUUGCCAUUAUGAGAAAUAAAAGAAAAAUAAAUUAAAAGUACAAUACUUCAAUAAUCUCAUUCCCAAACAUACCGGAAAUAAAAUUUUCUGUAAACAUCUUUAUUUUCUUUGCAUACGAGCCUUCUUUCUUUUGCUUUGGCCUUUGCUCUUGACUAUAUUUCAUGGUCAUAUUCAAUCUAAAUCUUCUGUAGGUUUGCGGCUGUUUUAAGAGUUACGAUAAAUAUGUUAUCUCAAUUUAAAAAAAAAAAUGCAAUCGCAAUUAUCAAACACGACUAAUCCUAACAAUUUAUUCAAAAAUUUGAGUGUCAAGAAAUGUAGUAUUUAUGAUAGCAUGGCUAGUUUCAGAUAAAUGAUAAAUCAAUAUAUGACAUGUUACUAACUUACUUUAGGAAGAAAAUUAUAGAAUAAGUUUUUGAAUUAAUAGAAUUAUUUUACGACAAAACUAUCACAAUCUAAUUUAAAAAUAAAGUUAUUCUUUAAAUUUCUCAUUACUAUUCCUACUUGUCUUGUUAUACUACUUAAUGGCACUAGUGAAGCCUUGAAUUAUCAAACAAAAAGCAAAAACACAUCAACAUCUGUUGUCCCAGUGAGCACUGUUAAAUUCAUACGAUAAAACGAGUCUUUAAUUGACAUAGGCAAUGUGCGGUCAACUUGUGGCACCCUUACUGACACGUAAAGAACUUUCUUACACCACAGCCAAUACUUUUAUGAAUUUUUAGGACUGGUGAAUUUUUCAAAUUUAAAAGAAAAAAAUACAGAAAAGUAAUUUCAAUUUAUCCAAAAAUUUGAGUUUCAAGGAAUGUAGCAUUUAUUAUAUGUCAUGUUAAUAUAAAGAAGAGAAUUUUAAAAAUUUCUUUUUCGAAUGAAUAAAAGUAUUUUUUGAUAAAAAUUUGACAAUCAUAUUUACAAAAAAAAAUUUAAAAAAAAAUUCUCUCCUCUUCCUACAUAAUUUAAGAGUUUAACAUUUUAAAUUAAUCUUUUUAAUCAAAGUAAUAAUCUCUCCUUCCGUCUGCAAAUGCUAAAAUUUAAUAUUAUAUCCGUUGACGAUUUUUGCUCCAAAUUCACCAGAAUAAAAUUUCUAAUAGAAUUGUGAAAUUCGUUACUCGAAAUUUGUAUAAAAGUCGUGAGAAUAGAAGGUUUGAUCAUAGGAAAUUAAAAUAUCACUAUCCAAUGCAAAAAUGGUUAUAAAGAAAAACAAAAGUCACGGGCUUAUUAUAGAAAAAAAAAAUUACUCUCCAUUUUCCAAUAAUUAAAGUAAUUCUAAAAUCAUAGACUUUUGGAAAGUAUCACAAAUGAUAGACUUUUGGUGACCGAGGUCAAGCCUAACGCAUGCCGGUCUUUUUCUCCUUUACUUCCAUAGAAAUUUUGGUUUCACUAUAAAUACUCGGCAUUACCAAUCCAACUAAGCACAGACUUACAAUCUAAAACACUCUCAUCUCAUGGAAAGAGUUCAUUCUCUCAGUAUGAUGAGCAGAUUUCUCUUACUUCAUUGUUUGAUUCUUAUUUCCUUAUUUAUCGCGGCAGCAACAGCCAACACAAGUUCUACUAUCACAGACCGAGAUGCUCUGUUAGCCCUGAAAGCUCACAUAACUCAUGAUCCGACCAAUUUCUUGGCUAAGAAUUGGAACACAAGUACUCCUGUCUGUAAUUGGACAGGCGUCGCUUGUGAUGUCCAUAGCCAUAGAGUCAGUCUUGAAUAUUUCAAGCUUAAAUCUCAUAGGCACCAUCCCUUCUCAACUUGGGAAUCUAUCUUCCCUGCAAUCACUCAAUCUCAGUUGUAACCGACUUUCUGGUUCCAUUCCCUCCGCCAUCUUCACCACGUAUACACUGAAACAUGUUAGUCUCGGUGAAAAUCAACUCUCUGGGCAAAUUCCUACAAAUAUUUGUAGUAAUCUUCCUUUCCUUGAAAUUCUUUUCUUGUCCGAAAACAUGUUUCACGGAGAAAUACCGUCCGCUCUAUCAAAUUGCACAUAUUUAAUAAUCUUAAGUUUGGCAUACAAUGAUUUCUCGGGAGCCGUACCUAGAGAAAUCGGUAAUUUGACCAAACUUAGGGAAUUAUAUCUUGGCUGUAACAGACUCCAAGGUGCGAAUAAUCACGGAGUUUCAUUAUGAAAUUUUUUCCAUAAGUUGUAGUAUGAAUAAUGUUCCAUAAUACAGUUUACACACGUUGAUUAAUUUGCAGGAGAAAUUCCUCGAGAGUUUAGCAAUCUUGCCGACUUGGAGCGGAUGUCGUUGGGAGACAACAAUCUCCAAGGCAUGAUUUUAAACUUUUUGCAAUUUUAUUUUAGCUAUGCUUGCUUCUGUAUUCAUUCGCUUGUUCUUUGAUUAUGCGAUGAUUUAUUGUUUUUCUUUCAGAUAGAGAUAAAGCUCCAUGUCUCCCCUCACUCAUUUCAUUCUUUAAUUUAUGCAGAUAAAAAAAAAAAAAUGUUUUGUAAUUUUCUUUUGUCAUAUUGCCACUUCCGUUUUGAAGCUCCCAAUUAAGUCGAUGAAAAUGAAUGAUGUUUCAUUCUUAUUCUUGUCAGCCUAAUUCUUAUAUAAUUGAAGAGUAAAUUGUUAUUAUGAUAAUUCUUUUUUUUUUUUUUUACCCCAAACAUGAGUGAUCAAAUUGUUUGCGCAUACGUACUUAAUUCGCAGGAGGUAUUCCACAGGAAUUGGGGAAUCUUGCAAAAUUGGAGGGGUUACAGCUGUUACAGAAUAACUUGACCGGUAACUUUCUUUACUAUACAUAUAUGAGACAUCUUCCGUUUCUUAAUUAAUAGAUUUCAAGUCUCUCACUAUAAAUUCCGCUUCUUAAUUAAUAGACAUCUUCCUCUAUCUGCUUUUAUGUAUUAUUAUUCUUACAUACCCCGACAUAGGCUUUUAGGGAUGAGUGGCGUCAAAUGUGAUUAUAAUUCUUUCAAAAUACAGAUGAAAUAGCACGUGAAAUCGGAAAAUAUUUUACUGCCAUAAGAAUUCAUAUAUUCAUUGUAGUAGCACAUAGAAAAGAGACUAUAAAUUUAGUUUCAAAAAUACAUUCUUAUCUUCAUAAAGGUUUUACAUUACUAAUUUAAAUUAAUAUUAAAAUAUGUUGUUUCUUUCACUAUGUUAUUUUAUUUACACAAUGAUGUGACUACUGGAAUUAGUAAUACUUAUAAUUAUUUUGUAAAAAUAUAAAUUUAAUACUUUGUUAACAUUUUAUCUACAUAUAAUAAUUAAACUGAAACUUGUAUUUAAAAAAUUCUAGUUACGCAUAUUCAUUUCAUGACAUAAAAGUGCAUAUUUAUGCUAAUUUACCAUUAUCAAAAAAAUGCUUUGAGACAAAUAAUCUAAUUUAUAUUUGUAUAUUUAAAAUACUUGCAAUUAUUAUAUUUUGAAAAAACUUUAUUUGCAAUUAUUUUAAACCGUUGGAUUCAAAUUUUCGUAGUUAUUAAAGUCAAAGGGUAUAAAUGUAUAAUAGUCAAAAACAGAUUUGUGUGAUCAUUUUUCAAUGUAUAAAUUUUCUUAGUUAGUAGGAAAAUUAGAAAUUGUUGAUUUACUCAUAAAUAAAUUUAAUGUUUAGCAUUUCAAUUUUGGAAAACUUGAACUAAAUGUUGAUAACUUUGAAUCGGUCGAGCCGAGUUUCGCUUCCUUGACCCACUGGCCCAUUUAAAGUUCUAUUCGAAUUCAGUUUCCUGGUGCUUAUAAAAAGUAUUUCUUUUCCUUGUCGCAGUAAUUUAUUCACAAAUGAGUUGAUUAGCAUCGAAGUUACCUGAGAGUCUGAGACCAUGCUAGUAGGAGAAAUUUGAAAAGAAAUUAUUUUACUGAAUAUAUUUAUUUUAUCUUGUUGUAACUGAAAUACUACUUUUUUUUUUUACCUAUCACUGGGGCUUGAUUUACUUUAAUAGUAGCAGCCACCGACUUAGAUGUUUUUUACUUCUCACCACACAAUUUGAUCUUUUAAUUCGUUUUAACCACAUAAUCUAUCUAUUUCUCACCUAUUGCUUACUUAAAUCACAUACAUAUUUUACCUACUAAUUUUUAUAAAUAUUAGUCAAAUAUAUUUUAAUACGUUUCUCUCGUAACUGCUCCAAAUGUGUACUAUUAAUACUUAACCCUCCCUUUUAAUUUACCGUGCAAUCUAUCUAUCGUUUAAGUCACAUAUAUAUUUUACCUAUAUUUUACCCCAAAAAAUAUAAAAAUAAAAGAAAAAGAAUAUGUGUAGCAAUUUGCAUAUAACUAACAACACAUUGAUGGUGUGUAGCCUUUCAAUACUUCACGAGUGGCUUUUCUUGUGUGUUAGUACUUGUAAUAAUUGUGUAGCAUAUAAAUGACAUUUUAUUAUUAAAGUGCGUCCAUUUUUAGAUAUUACUUAUUAUUUGAAAAAUAAUCUGAAUAUAAUUCUUUUAAAAUACAGGGGAGAUACCACUUGAAAUUGGUAAUCUCCAAAAUCUGGAGGAGUUGCAGCUUGGUCAAAACAAAUUAAUUGGUACUGUCCCAGCUGCAAUCUUUAAUGUGUCAACACUCAAAUUUCUUGGGCUUCAAAAUAAUUCUCUCUCUGGAAGUCUUUCGUCCAUCGCAAACGUCCGACUACCAAAUCUUGAAAAGCUUUAUUUGUGGGGUAAUAAUUUUAGUGGCACAAUUCCUCGUUUCAUCUUUAAUGCUUCUAAGCUCUCUAAGCUAUCAUUGGGAAUGAACUCAUUCUCCGGUUUUAUUCCCAGCACAUUUGGCAACUUAAGAAACCUUGAGCAACUUGGUUUAGAUGAAAAUUAUUUGACAUCUUCAACUCCAGAAUUGAGCUUUCUAUCCUCGUUGUCAAAUUGCAAGUCUUUAACACUUAUUGACUUAUCAAAUAAUCCACUAGAUGGCAUUCUUCCUAAGACGUCUAUCAGUAAUCUUUCUCGUUCUUUGGAAGAAUUUUACAUGUACAAUUGUAACAUUAGUGGCGGCAUCCCUGAAGAGAUCAGCAACUUGACCAACUUGGUAGAGAUUGAUUUAGGAGGCAAUAAAUUGAAUGGAUCAAUUCCGAUUACUCUCGGCAAAUUACGAAAGCUUCAACGGUUGAAUCUUGAAGAUAACAUAUUAGAAGGAUCAAUCCCAGACGAUAUUUGUCGUUUGGCUGAACUGUAUAGAUUGGAGCUGGGCAGCAAUAAGCUUUAUGGAUCAAUCCCUGCAUGCUUCGGUAAUCUGGCUUCUCUGAGGAUACUGUCGUUGGGAUCCAAUAAGUUAACUUCUAUUCCCUUAACUUUUUGGAACCUUAAGGAUAUCUUGCAACUCAACUUUUCAUCAAAUUUUUUGACUGGCCCACUCCUAUUAGAGAUUGGAAAUUUGAAGGUUUUGAUUGGAAUUGAUUUUUCGAUGAAUAAUUUUUCAGGCGUUAUCCCAAGAGAAAUUGGAGGCCUAAAAAAUCUAGAAUAUCUCUUUUUAUGAUAUAAUAGAUUGCGAGGAUCGAUUCCUGAUUCAUUUGGUGAUUUGAUAAGUUUGAAAUUCUUGAAUUUGUCCAAUAAUAAUCUCUCUGGGGCUAUUCCUACAUCUUUAGAGAAACUCUCAUAUCUUGAAGAUCUAAAUCUUUCUUUCAACAAGCUAAAAGGGGAAAUUCCUAGGGGAGGAUCUUUUGGAAACUUCUCAGCUGAAUCAUUUGAGGGAAAUGAAUUAUUAUGUGGUUCACCUAAUUUACAAGUCCCGCCAUGCAAAACCAGCAUCCACCAUACAUCAUGGAAAAAUUCUCUUCUCCUAGGGAUUGUCUUGCCAUUGAGUACUACAUUAUUGAUAGUAGUCAUUUGGUUGAUUCUAAGAUAUCGACAGAGAGGAAAAAAACCAUCGAAUGAUGCUAAUAUGCCACUAGUAGCAACGUGGAGAACAUUUUCAUACCUAGAACUUUGUCGAGCAACAGACGAAUUCAGUGAAAACAAUCUAAUCGGCAGAGGAGGUUUUGCUCUGUUUAUAAGGCAAGACUUGGGGACAAGAUGGAGGUUGCAGUGAAAGUUUUUAAUUUGCAAUGUGGAAGAGCGUUCAAGAGUUUCGAUGUUGAAUGCGAAAUGAUGAAAAGUAUUCGCCAUCGAAACCUUAUCAAAGUUAUUAGUAGUUGUUCAAAUGAAGAGUUCAAAGCGUUGGUAUUAGAAUACAUGCCUCAUGGAAGUUUGGAGAAGUAUCUAUAUUCAAGUAAUUGCAUUUUGGAUAUUUUUCAAAGAUUGAACAUAAUGAUAGAUGUUGCAUCAGCUUUGGAAUACCUGCACUUUGGUUAUUCAGCUCUAGUAAUUCAUUGUGACUUAAAGCCCAGCAAUGUAUUGUUAGACGAUAAUAUGGUUGCUCAUUUGAGUGAUUUUAGCAUCGCAAAAUUGUUAACUGGAGAAGAUCAAUCUAUGACUCAAACACAAACACUUGGCACAAUCGGCUAUAUGGCACCAGGUUUGUUCAAUAUAAAUAUUUUCUAUUUCUUGUAAACUUCCUAAUAAGUUAUUUAUGUUUCAUGAUCUUCAUUAGAUAAGGAAAUUAUUAUUAAUGAUAUAUCUUACUAUGUAACUGUUACAAUUCAUAGAGUAUGGAAGAGAAGGACGAGUAUCCACAAAUGGAGAUGUUUAUAGCUUUGGGAUUAUGUUAAUGGAAACUUUUGCCGGGAAGAAACCCACAAAUGAAAUUUUUAACGAAGAAAUGACAUUAAAGCAAUGGGUUAAUGGUUGGCUACCCAUUUCCACUGUGGAAGUUGUUGAUCCUAAUUUGCUUAGUCAGGAGGACGUACAUUUUGUUGCAAAGGAGCAAUGUGUGUCAUUUGUCUUCAAUUUGGCUAUGGCGUGCACUGUGGAAUCACCUGAGAAGAGAAUCAAUGCAAAAGAAAUUGUAACAAAGCUCUUAAAAAUUAGAGGCUCAUUACUUAGAAAUGUUGGAGGCAGAUGUAUAAGACAAUCAAAUUUAAAUUGAUUCUGCCACUCCAUUGCUCUCUAUCCUUUUCAGAGACUUGAACGGUUAUCCUUCAUACCAGUUUUGUUGAUAUGUUUUGUUAUUGUUCUUGCUCAUGUUUGUUUCUCUAUUUCUUUAAUUUGCAUGCAUGUAUUUUUCGUUCUUUUUUAUGUUUUUGUUGGUUUAUAUGUAGUUUGUUUUUAGGGGUAAGGUUGAUUAUAUCCUCUCCUAAUUAGACGUAUCCUUUUUAUGUUUAUUUAAUAAAGCUUCUCUAAUACUAUGGAGGUUCAUCAAAAGAAAAUUUUUAAUUAAUUUUCUUUUCUUUGACAGGUAAUGAAAUUCUAAUCUUCAUAGUGAAUAACUUCAAUAAUAGAGUGUAAGAGUAUUAGUAGUUAUGGUUGUUUUUUGAACCAAGAGUCAAGAACAAUUUAACAGCAACAAACAAGUCUGUUGUAUUGUAGGCAAAAUUAUUUUCAUUAAUCUUAUUUGUCUACAUGUUCUCCUAUUUUCUCCAAUAAUCUUCGCUCAAGGUUUCAUGCUUCCUCUUUGAUAAAGGAAAAUAUUACUUGCGAAUAUUUCAAUUUGACAUAAGAGACUGUUUUGCCAACCAUUUGAUAAAAUGGAUAUGAGUGGAGCUUUCAAUCAUUACCUCCACCAAAAUCCUUACAACGCCACUUUUAAAUUUUAUUUUUAAAAUACAUUCAAUUUAAUUUAUAAAAAAUAAAUCCAUUUGUUAAAAUUAAUCUUUUUCUCAUAAAUUUCAACCUAAAAAAUAUAUUUCUUUUAAAUUUUUAAUUAUAAAAUACAUACAAGUUCUAAACUAUUAUAUUAUUUUCUUCUUAUUAUAUAGUUUAUAUCUCCAUAACUCUAAACUCCUAUAAUUGUUUUAAAAAUAUUUUUAAUUUAAAAUAUAAAUAUAAAGUAUAGAAUGGAGUGGGUAUAAAAAACUUAAAAGAAUAAUUCAUUUAAGUAUUUAACUGAAUUUAAAUUAAAAUAAGAAAUAAAUUAAUUUAUUUUUUAUUAGUUAAGUAAUUUUCAAUCGAAAAAAGAGCUGUAUAAGUUAUAUUAUUGAAAUAUGAUUAAAAUUCUUAUGAAUAAAACAUUUUCAUAUAAAUACUAGUGAUAAUUAUAGAGAAAGUACGAUGAACCAAAGAAAACUUGAAUAGAAAUACUCCAAUGUAAUUUUACACAUGCAAAUUAUGAACCAAUCCAUUGAUCUUUAGAGGAUCAUAAAAUUAUUUUAACACAAUUAUUUAUUUUGAAAAACUGCCAACAAUGUUUAAAGUGGGAUCGAAAAGAUUAUGCUUCUUAUAUAAGACAUGAUAUCAUUUAAGAUGGCUUACAGAUUAUGAGAAAUAUAUUGAUCUUACAAAUAUUUAAUAUGUCAAUUAGACGGGCCCAGCUACCUUCCACCCGCUGGAAGGUACAACUUAUUUGGUCCUCUAGUGUUUUGGUCGUUGGAUAUUUGAGAAGUUGAUCUAACGGUUCUUUUUAGGCAGCGUGAAAUUGAAUUUCAAUUGGCAACUGUUUCAUGAACUUUGCAAGAGACAAUAAUCUACAUAAACAUUAAAAAAAUAAAAAAAUAAAACAAUUUUUCCCUUUCAUCAGUCGCCGCCGCCACCCACAUCCCCUUAAUAUCAUCAUCACCAUCCCAAUCCUUAGCCGCCAUCCACAAGCUCUAACAACCACCAUGACCGCCAUCACAACCACCAUUCCUCAAAACCCCUAGCCACCACUACAAACAUUCACAAACUCUAACCAUCAUUGUCAGUUCACCAGCUUUAUCCUCCAUUGCCGCUGCCUACUGAUAACUAUAUGAAAUGAGAGUUAUCAUAACACUUUUAGAUUUAAAUCAAUAUUACUUAGAGAGUAAAUGAUUGAUGUGUUUUUAUUGCAUUUUUGUUACAUUUUGCAUAAAUAUUCAUUUUAGUUUAGUGUUAAUAAGUUUUGCUUAAUUUAAAGUAAUUCGUGCUCAAAUUGUGUGCAUAAUUGCAGGUUUUCAAAAGCUUAUAAUUCAUGAAAGGAAUGCUGAUGCAAUAGGCUUGCAAAAAUGACAAAGAACUUGGCUACAAAAGAAUUGAAACAAAUCUGGAACAGUGCAGUUGCUGUAGAUAUUGCUGUAGCAAUCAUUGUUGUAGCAACCAUUGCUGUAUCAAUCCUGGAACAACGACAGAGAAAAUUCCGCGCGGGAUACUUGCAGAAUUGCGACCUGUAGUUUCCUAAUCUGACUUAUGUGCGCCCUAGGCUUUCAUUUACCCUAAUUUUGAACUAUAAAAGAAGCACACAUCAUGAGGAAAAGGGGAGAGCCGUCACCCAAGGAGAAAAACAAGAUUCAAGAGAGAGAUUAAGGGCUGCACAAGAGGAAAAAUUACAGAAAUCAAUUGGGAGCUCAAUCCUUCUUAUUCUUCUCUUGUUUUCGUGUUUUCUAUUUAUUCAUGGGGAUGUGUUUCAUGGCUGGAACUUUGUUCUUUAUUUUUCUUUUGCAAACCAUGAACUAAAUUUAUUUGUGGUUGAGUGAUAAACAAUCUUCAUGGUUUAUUGACUAGAAAUAUAUGUUGCUGUAUGUUUGCUGUAGCAGUUUGUUUUGAUAGUAUUUAUUUUAUUCAUUAUUUCGGUUGAUCACCCAUUUAAUGAUACUAGCUAAUGAAGAGCCGCAAAAGGGUCUAUCUUAGUGGAACAUAUCAGAACAAUACUUGAUCUUAAAUUGAGUUUCCCGGAUUGAAUUUUAACUUGAGUCCCAAAAGGGCUAUGCUUGAUUUAAGAUUAGUGAUGAACUAGACAUAUGGAUUCACCUUGUAGGGUAAAUAGAACAUAAGCGUGUAAUGCUAUAUCUUAUGGUGGCAUAACAAUUGAUCACUGUUAGGUUGCAUAUAGAUAUAAGAUAUCCAACAUGCGACGGCUGAGGAUACAUAAGGAUUCUGCCCAGUGCUGUAGCAAAUACUGCAGCAACCGAGCCAACCAUUAGAAAAUAGUCAAGACCAUUAGGAGAGUUUAUUCACUCAACUACUAUAUAUUCUCAUUAGUUUUAUCCUUGAGAUUGACGUGAUAAUUUACUUUAUUGCGUUUUAUUAAUUACAUUUUUAUUUUAAUUAGUAUAUUAGUUUCAUUAAUUGUUUAUUUUAUUUUAGCAGAAAAUCUGCACUGUUAAGAUUGCUGUAGCAAAUCUGAUAACAUCAAUCCCUGUGGAGAUGAUCUUGAAUACUCAUCACUUUAUUACUUGUUGUGUACACUUGUACAUUGACACCAAUAGCAUUAGUAUUUAUACACCAACAAGUUUUUGGCGCCGUUACCGGGGACUGCUUGUUCAUUGUGAUUUGUGAAAUUAGUUUUAAUGGUUCUAAUUUUUUAUUUUAUUUUAAUUUGUUUAUUUUGUUGACAUAGGUGAUCUAGCAACCCUUGCAUGCACAAAUAUAAAUCUGUUGACUUACCGUUUGAUCCAAAAAUUGAAAGAACUGCAAGGAGAUUGAGAAGAGAGCAUCGGGAAUUACAAGCUGCUAUAGCAAUUGAUGAUUUGUAAAAUUUGAGAAACUUGAACCGUAGAGAGGGGAUACAACCAGUCAAUGUACAUGAAGGUCUGAAUGGACAAUGUGUUCAAAGGCAACCAGGGAACAACAACAUUAUUCACAUGGCGAACGAUAGAGAUAGAGCCAUUCGAGACUACGCAGUGUUAACUCCUCAAGCCAUACAUCCGGGAAUAGUUAGACCCGACGUUCAAGCUGAUAAUUUUGAACUCAAACCCGUGAUGUUUCAUAUGCUUCAAACAGUGGGGCAAUUUAAUGGUUUGCCAUCCGAAGAUCCUCAUCUACACCUUAAGUUAUUUUUGGAAGUGAGUGAUGCUUUCAAGAUUGCUGGAGCAUCGCAGGAAGCAUUGAGACUCAGACUUUUCCUGUUUUCUUUAAGAGAUCGAGCAAGAGCAUGGUUGAAUUCUCUACUACUAGAUUCUAUCACUACAUGGAGUGACUUGGCUGACAAAUUUUUGUUGAAAUAUUUCCCGCCAACCAAGAAUGCAAAGUUGAGGAAUGAGAUCACAUAUUUCCAUUAACUUGAAGAUGAGAGCUUGUGUGACGCAUAUGAGAGAUUUAAGGAGUUCCUUAGAAAAUGUCCUCAUCAUUGUAUUCCUUGCUGCAUACAGUUGGAAACAUUCUAUAAUGGUCUCAACCCAAGCACUAGAUUGAUGGUGGACGCUUCAGCAAAUGGGGCAUUAUUAUAUAAGUCUUACAAUGAGGCUUAUGAAAUUUUGGAGAGGAUAGCCAACAAUAACUAUCAGUGGCCAUCAACCAGACAAGCUGCAGCAAGAGGAACAACAGGAGUUUAUAACGUAGAUGAUGCAAUAGGCUUGCAAAAAUGAGAAAGAACUUGGCUACAAAAGAAUUGAAACAAAUCUGGAACAGUGCAGUUACUGUAGAUAUUGUUGUAGCAAUCAUUGUUGUAGCAACCAUUGCUGUAGCAAUUCUAGAACAACAACAGAGAAAAUUCUGCGCGGGAUACUUGCAGAUCAUAAGGAAAAGGGGAGAGCCGUCACCCAAGGAGAAAAACAAGAUUCAAGAGAGAGAUUAAGGGCUGCACAAGAGGAAAAAUUACAGAAAUCAAUUGGGAGCUCAAUCCUUCUUAUUCUUCUCUUGUUUUCGUGUUUUCUAUUUAUUCAUGGGGAUGUGUUUCAUGGCUGGAACUUUGUUCUUUAUUUUUCUUUUGCAAACCAUGAACUAAAUUUAUUUGUGGCUGAGUGAUAAAUAAUCUUCAUGGUUUAUUGACUGGAAAUAUAUGUUGCUGUAUGUUUGCUGUAGCAGUUUGUUUUGAAAGUAUUUAUUUUAUUCAUUAUUUCGGUUGAUCACCCAUUUAAUGAUACUAGCUAAUGAAGAGCCGCAAAAGGGCAUAUCUUAGUGGAACAUAUCAGAACAAUACUUGAUCUUAAAUUGAGUUUCCCGGAUUGAGUUUUAACUUGAGUCCCAAAAGGGCCAUGCUUGAUUUAAGACUAGUGAUGAACUAGACAUAUGGAUUCACCUUGUAGGGUAAAUAGAACAUAAGCGUGUAAUGUUAUAUCUUAUGUUGGCAUAACAAUUGAUCACUGUUAGGUUGCAUAUAUAUAUAAGAUAUCCAACAUGUGAUGGCUGAUGAUACAUAAGGAUUCUGCCCAGUGCUGUAGCAAAUACUGCAGCAACCGAGCCAACCAUUAGAAAAUAGUCAAGACCAUUAGGAGAGUUUAUUCACUCAACUACUAUAUAUUCCCAUUAGUUUUAUCCUUAAACUUGACGUGAUAAUUUACUUUAUUGCAUUUUAUUAAUUACGUUUUAUUUUAAUUAGUAUAUUAGUUUCAUUAAUUGUUUAUUUUAUUUUAGCACAAAAUCUGCACUGUUAAGAUUGCUGUAGCAAAUCUGAUAACAUCAAUCCCUGUGGAGACGAUCUUGAAUACUCAUCACUUUAUUACUUGUUGUGUACACUUGCACAUUGACACCAAUAGCAUUAGUAUUUAUACAUCAACACCUACCAAUUAUCCACAACACUUAACCACUGUCACCAACAAACCUUAGCCGCCGCCUCCUACAAGCAAGCCUCACCACCCACCAUACUAUUGCGACAGAGGCCACAAUGUAGGCAAGAUCCAAUAGAGGAGGGAUGUCUUCAUUCUCCGGCUAACUAUUAUUUUUUGUCUUUUUUAUUUUUUAAUUAUUAUAUUACUUUUAGUUAUUUUUAGUUUUUCUUUUAUUUUGUCUAUAUUUUGGUUGUUAGAUUGUUUUUGUUGUUGCCGGCGGUAAUGGAGUUGCAGCUCGUGAUGAUGAUGGUGAUGUUGGUGUCAUUUUAAUCGAGAUUUUGUUUUUUUUUACGGGUACGGCAGUCAUCUUCAUUCAUUACGUGUCCAUUUCUAACAUGUUAGAUUUAACUAUUUUUUAAUCCAAGGGUUAGACCACAAUGAGACAAAGGAUGGGGUACCUUCCAACGGGUGGAAGGUAGUUUCGGCCCAAUUAGACUGAGUCUAUACAAUAAAAAUUUUAUAUUAAAAAAUAAACCUUUUAGUUUCUUUUAAUCAUAAGUGUGAUCUUAAUUGUUGAAGUCAUUCAAUGUCCAUUACUUAUUCAUUUUUUUAAUAACCUAAAUGACAUUGAAAACUCUACUCAAUAAUAAUUCGUUCAAAUGUUUUAUUUUAAAGUAAUUGGAAACUGCAAAUGAAACAAAUACUUGAAAUCACAGACGGUCUAAAAUUAGAUUUUCAUUUUUCAAUGUUGCAGUGACUUUGAUCUUGAUAUUCAAAAUUUAUUUGUAACUUAUAUAAAGGCCUCAAUGUUAUUAGUGUUUUAUAUUAUAAUCUUUUCAUUGUCACUUUAAACAUUUUUUGUAACUUAAAUCAUUUUUUUAAAAUUAAAUAUAAAACUUAAUUUAAUUACAUAUAAAAAUCAUUUAAAUUAAAUAUUAACAUUAAUUUAUAAUUUUUUUUACCUAGAAUUUUGUAUUAUAUUAAAUACUAAAAUUCUAUUCGAUAAUGUAUUAUCAUUUAUUUAAUAAAUGUUUAGGUUUUUAGUAUGUUAUAUUAUUAUUUAAAUUACUUUUUUAUUUACAUAUAAACAUAAAUUAAUAUUUACUACUUUAAAUUUAUUAUAAUUUGUUAAAUAAUAAAAGCUAAAUGAUUAUAUUGAAAAUAUAAAUAGUAUUAUAAUGUAUUAUAGUCUAAAUCUUACCCCUAUGAGUUUAUUUUAUACACCUUUUAUUAUAUUAACCACAUUUAUAAUGAAGUGCAAUGCAACAAAAAAUUAUAACCAAAUAUGAGUUAGCAUGAAAAUAAUAUUUUAGUACAAUGUAAUGUAAGCUGACAAAUGGAUAUUUAAUGGAAGCAAAAUUUGCAUAUGGUUUGUGGGUCUCUCAAAAGACAACAAAGAAACCAAUACGAUACACUAAUUCUAUCCUCUUUAAUGGUGUCUUUACUAAAUGGGAAUCAUAAUGAAUUGGAAUUGAAAUGGGCUUGAAUCGAAAUAAGGAAUUAGAAUCAGAAUAAGUUGUUUGUUUAAGUUGUAUGAAUUAGAAUCGAAAUAGUUUUUAUUCAAAUUGAUGUGUUUAUUUUCUCUUGAAAUUAGAAUGGACUAUUACAAGUUACUACAAAAUCAUUUCGUAAUUGUUGUCUCUAAUAUUAUUUGUACCUGUUAUAAUGUUAACAAUAAUAAGAAUAAAAAUAAUACUAAAAAUGAAAAUAAUAAUAAUAAAGACAAUUAUAAUAAAAUUAAUAAAUUAUUAUUACUACUACUACUACUAGUACUGAAGACCGCCUAGUGAAGAUUGGAUAGUGAAGAUGAAGAUGACGAUCCUGGCAACCAACUGCUGCUUCAAAGAUGAUGUGCCCAAAUGGAGACAACCAGGGAUGACCAGCCAACUAGAUCCCAAUCUCGAUGUUGUGAUCUCGCAUGACCAUUGAUAAAGCGAUGUGUGAUGCCAGUGUUGUGAUUUCUUUUUAUUUAUAUUUUUUAAUUUAUUGGGGGUAUUUUUAAAAUUUAGUAAUUUUAAUAUGGAAAAAUUAGAUUGUCGAGGGAAUAGGAGACUGAUUCCCAACCAUCCUAAGAAUUAGUCUAUCAUUCUCUAUUUCUAAUUUGAUGUGCGUCCAACUAUUUCACUUCCACUUCUUACAUUUAUUUGUAAAGUAAAUGAAGUUAAUGAUUUCGAUUUCCAAUUGGAGAUGUAAACACAUCAUAAUAUUUUUUUAGAUACUUCCAUGGCAUAAUCUCAUUGGUCCAUUUUUCUUCAUGCCUUAGAUUCAACUUCAAGAUUAAGCCUGCGGCUGACUGGCAGUGGCCAAGCAAAUGUAACUCAUAGUGACCGAACCAUAUCUUAUUAUCUUACGCCAGAAGUUAAACAAUGUUCCCAUUCCACGUGUCACUCUCUGACCGAUCCCCAAACUUGCUACAUAUUUCCAAAGAAACCCUUACCAAGUCAAGAUAAUUACCUUCACUCUACUUCUAUAAAUACUGUCGUCGAUUCAACUGAUGAUGACAUAUCCUUACAGUCUUUAUUUAAAAGGAAAAAUUAUAAAAAAUUAUCCUCGUUCCAUAAAAAUCUAGGGUUUCUCAAGAAUCGCUUGAAAAUUUAGUAUUUUUUAGUGGAUUUUGCUUGUCUCGUAUGCUUCAAUUGUUGUUCGGUUCUUAAAAUAAUUUGGAAUUUUAGGGAUUUUCAGAUUAUUUAGUUUUGUUUGAGUGCAAUUUCCUCUAGUUACGGUUUCAGUUUGAAGGGUUAAGUGCAAUUUCGAAUUUUUUGUUAUAAAAUUAAAAUUAAAAUUCCUAAAACGAUUGGGCGUUUAAUAAUUAAUUGAUGGCUAGCGAUACUACAACGGCGGCCGCAGCUGCGGAAGAAGCAGAGGCGAUGGAGGAGUAUGAUAGCAAUCCAAAUGAAGUGAAACGCUCUCUUGUGAUGCGCAGAAGGGAUGCCAGUGAUGAGGAGGAGGCGGAGGAUGAGAGAGAUUCAGAGCUUCCAAUCGCUCAAAGGCAAGAGCAGAAGGGAAACAAGCGAUGAUGAGGAGGAGUAGACAGAAUUUGAACGUCGAAUAAAUGGAAGGGUCCAGAUUCACUCUUACAUUGAAUCUGAUGGCCAAAGUGGUGCUCCAGCUGAGUAUGAUGAUGAUGAAGAAGACGAAGAGGAACAUGACACAGAAUUAGAAGAAGAAGAUGAAGAAGGGGAUGUUUAUGAGUAUGAAGAGGAAGAAGAUUUUUAUGAAGAGGAGGAGAGGAAUGACGAGGCGGUUAAAGUCAAAGAAAUAGAGGGUAAUGAUGCAAGAGGAGUACGGAGGGCGCAGUGGAAGUGAGUAAAGGGAAUUAUGAUAAUGGCAAUGGGCAGCGAAGGAGGGAAUGGAGGAAGGGGAGAAGGAGAGUAAUGAGCCUUUUGCACAGCAGCCGGGGCUUUUUAUAUGGGACAAUGUUGCAGGUCGACACAGGUAUUAUUUGAUUUGAGUGACAAUCUAUAAAUAACUGAUAGCUGUACUUUCAUUAGGCUUGUCGAUUAGUCUAGUCUCGUUUUUUGGUGCUGUCUAAUGAUUGUUGGCUGGAAUCUGUCUAGAAGGCUUUUGGCCUAGUAGGUUGAAAGGAGAGAAAGUUCUCAAGUAAACAUCCGUGCUUUGUGGAAUAUAAUUAAUAGGGACAAAGUAUACUAAAUUACUUGAUAGAUAGUGCCGAGCUAAUCAUGAGCUAUGAUAGCAUUAUCCGUGCUUUGUGUAUAUUUAUUAGGGCUUGUCUAUUUCAAAGUGUGCAGUAUAGAAUUUUUGGGUUAAGUUUGAGUGAUGAAGUGUUAGAUAGGUUUCUGUUUUGCAUAGUUAAGCCGUCAAUAUGAGCUAUCGAAGCAAAUAUGGAGUAGGAUAUCUAGUUUUGGCCCAAAUUAUCAAGCUGGUUUGGUGGCUGCUAGAUUUGUUCAUCCGGAUUUUGGACCAUUUUCCUUGACAAUGAGAAAAGCUCCAAGAUCUGUAAAUCGAAAAUUCAUUGAAGUGCCAAAAGAGAGAUGGAAGUGAAUAACUAGAGUGUUAGUGAAAAGAGGGUGCAGUGAUUGUGUGGGAAGCUUUGGGUAUAACUGGGGUUUGGAUGUGAGAUAAAAUAUUUUGAGAGUGAAGUUGUAACAAUUUUGCACGUAGAGAAAUUUUUUGUCUCGUUGUCCUUGGCAACUGUGGUUUUUUAUUUGGGUAAUAGAGUUUUUCAGGUAACUCUUUUGUUGUGUGAUCCGAGUAUUCUCUAUUGUAUUUCUUUUAUUUGUUAUUUAUUUGACGUAUUGCUAGCAGAGAUCUUGGGUGGGAACCAAAAAUUCCCAACAAUUGUCAGUUGUUUUAAACUCUAUUCCGAACAGAGCAUGAAGGGAUUCACUUAUCUAAUUAUGUCAUUUAUGCUUUAACUUCACUUCAUUUCAUCUUGUCCGUCACCUUUACUAAAGUUGUGUAUGUUGGAGUAUUAGGUUCAUCACAAGGAUCAUAUUAUGGCUAAGGAAGGAGCACAGUUUAUUAGCUACACUCAAGUGUAGCAGAGUAUUUGGAUUCAAGACUGUUAUAAGGUUGUUACAGAUGCAAUGCUGUUGCUGUGCAACUGUAUGCCAUGCUCGCAAGUGCGCUGUAACAGAUUGCUCAGCAGGCACCGGAUAUUUUAAGCUAAUUUUGGUAAUUAGUCUAGAGUGUUCUGAUUUAUUCUAUAAAUAGCUCAUUUGAGCGUAGAUAUCUACAUUUCUGUUACUUCUAAUAAAGAAUUUCUUUAUUCCUUUUUCUUUCACUUUCUCUUUCAUUUUCAUGAUCCCCAAACACCAUCAAACAUAGAAUUGCUGUUUUAAGAAACAAAGUACUCUAUCCUGUCACCCAGCGGUCUCCUCGUUUAUCGACUUGUGAACAGGGGGCAAAACGUGACAAGUUCUUGAAUUGAAUGGGUCCUCUUUUCUCCAUAAAUCUUUGCUUAAUUUUUUUUGUUCCCUCAACCUUUUUUGGCCUUUUGCGCUAAAAUUCUUUUAUUUGAUACAUUAUGCAAAAAUUGAUGAAAAUAAGUUACUUUAGAACAUCAAUAAAUUUUUAUUACAUGAUAAGACAAUUAUACUUAAAUUACUCUUAUUUAAUUGAAUUAAAUGUAAUAAAAUUAGUUCAACAAAAUCUAAGCCGUAAAUAUUCCUUAUCACAUGAUUAACGUACUUAAAAAAUCAUAACUGAUCGGCCGCUUGUUUUACUAUAAAAGAUUGGUGUGAUUUAAUUAUUUUUCUUUUUGCUUCGUGUCUGUAAAAUUAUGAAUACUUUGGCAAAUAAGAAAAUUAUAAACACCAUUUUGAAAAUCCAUGGCCAUGGCUGUGAUGUGUCUUUAUCAAUCACGGAUACAAAAAUUAAUCAAAAUUAUCGAUUGUUUUAAAUUUUGUUUUUAACAGAGCAUGAAGAUGUCGCUUAUCUAGAUUUACUUUUUAUGCUUUGACUUCACUUAAUACGGCUUCUUCCUCCUUUAACUGUAUUUUUGGUUUGUCUUCACAAAUUCACCGAUACAAAUUAAUUUCUACCAAUAUUACCAAAUGAUUACUGAGCUGCUAGAACCUUCUUUAGAAGAGAAUUAUUGCGGCAAGGUAAUUGGAAGCUCAAAGAGUUUCCGUAUUAGCUGAAUCUAAGCGAUAAGUGUUUCCAUGUGAGCCAUAAUUGGGGAAAAAGACCAAUUCAAGUUAAACAAUUAUUAAUUAUUUUAAACUAUGUUCUGAACAGAGCAUGAAGGGUUUCACUUACCUAGUUACGUUUUUCAUUCUUUCACUUCACUUGAUUUCAUCUUGUCCCUAUCGUUUAUAAAAGUUGCAUAUAUUGGAGUAUCAAGUCCAUCACAAGGAUCAUAUUCUGGCUAACGAAGGAGCACAGUUCAUUGGCUGCACUCAUGUGUAGCAGAGUAUUUGGAUUCAAGACUUACAAUUGCGGAGGUAAUUAGUGUAGAGUGUUCUGUGAUUUAUUCUAUAAGUAGCUCAUUUGUGCUUAAAACCUACAUGUCUUGUACGUUUCUAUCGGUAAUUUAAUUACCUUUCCGUACUUUAUCAAUCAUCGAAUGAUUUUACUGGUUUGAUCGCUUGAUUGUUUGAUCGUCUGUCUGCAAGUAAUUUACAAUUCACUCUCCAAUUUUCAUUAAUUUAGUCUACCAAAGCUUUAACUAGAUAGGUAGAUAACGUGGUCAUGAAAACUUGAUUAAGAGUUUAAUGCAAUCAAAUCUACUUUAAUGAUUAUUUAAUGCACGGAGAUUUAACAUCAAUUAUCAUCACGUUAUUCUAACAGCGAGAUUGCACAAACUCAGAAGCACAAACUUUCAACAAUGAUAAUAGGUAAAAAUUGAUAAUCUUAUAAUAAAAAGCAAGAAAAAAAAAGUUGAUUUAGGAGGUAAGAAUAAAAAAAGAAAAAUAGAGAGAGAAAUUAGUUUAGGCUCUAACCAUUGUUAUAGUAGAGAAAAAAAAAAUUGAUCAAGAGUAAUUUUAUGACUUUUUAGAAAAGAGUGAAUUAAAAUAAUAAGUUAUAAUUUGAUUAUUAUCUUAAUUAAAAAAAUGGGGUUGAAAUAAAAUUAGUGAAUUUAAAUAGUCUGCCCAAAAUCCAAACUUGCAUAUCAAUUAUUUUCUAAUUUACAUGAAGUUUUUCUAUAUGUUUGAUAACAUUUGAUUCUCAAUUGGUCUAAUGGAGAAACAACCAGCAAAAAAAUAAAAUGAAUGCAAUUAAAUGGAAAUUUGAAAAGAGCAGUAGAUGACAUUUGUGUGCAAGCAAAAUGCAAAAUUGCAUUCUGUUUGUGGGAUCCUGGAAAAAAUAAAAGAAAGAAAACAGAGUAAGACGCUGAUACUGUGGGCUUUAAUAUUUUUCUAGAUGCUUCCAUGGCAGAUUCUCGUUGGUUCAUUUUUCUUUACGCCUUAGAUUCUAUGAUUCAAUUUCAAUCAAAUACGACAAACAAAAGAAGCUUUUAAGCCUGCAGCUCAAAAAGAUGGCACUUUAAUUUUCGGCUGAACAUACAUAUGGCAAGAUUAUUAUUAUUGAGCUUCAUAAGUGGGGAUAGCAAAAUCCGAAUUGGGAUGUAGGUGCAUUCGGAUUUGGAUUCGGGAAAAAAUAUGUGGAUGUGGAUUUGGAUGCGGAUAAUAUAUGUACGGAUUGUGGGUGAAUAUUCCGGAUAUUCAGAUCCGCAUAAUAAAAAAUUAUAAAAUAUUGCGGCUUCAAAGCCCAUAUGAUCAUGGGCCACCGCUUGCCCAUGCUUUGAAUCAAAAUUUUCUAAUGAAGUGAGGUUGGAAGCUGAAAGGGGCAAAUGAUAUAUUGAGCCCAACGGGACAAGAUCAUCAUUUAAUUCCCUCCUCUUGUCGAUAGAUGUUUGCCGAAUUUUUUCAUUUAAAAAAUAUUAUAUUGGUUAAUAGAAUUUGAAGUUUUACAAAAUAUAAGUUUAAUUUAAAAAAAUUAUAUUUGUUAAUUUAAAUUUUUCAUUUGGUGGUUGUGUUUGAGAAAAAUUUUAGGUAUACUCGGAUAUACUCUCUUAUUAUUCAUUGAAUUUGGGCAUUUAAAACAUACUAGUAUGCAAUAUUUUUAAGUAAUUACCAGAGAAGUAUACAUGAGAAAAAUAUAACACGUGAAACAAUACACAAUGAAAUUAUCUACAAUUUUCCAUUGACUUAGUCAACUCUUCAUUAAUUUCAUUGACUUGAUCAACUCAUGAUCUAACUUGACAACUUGAAAAUUAAAUUAUGCUAGUAAUUCUGUAAAAUAUGCUAGUAAUUCCGUAAAAUUAAAAUUUAUCUCCCAAAAUUGAUAAAUACUGUGUCACUUUGUCAAAUUACUUAGGGUAAAAGCUCUGUGGCUAAAAACUUUUAACAUUAGUUGUAUGCUAAUUGAGAAGGACAAGACACGAAAGAAUUCAAUGAAUGCCACAUCAUGUAACACUAAUACUAACACUACUUACUCUUAACAAAUUCUUACAAACGUGAUUCAUGAAAUUAACUUGACUUUUUGUCUAAAAAAGGCCUAAAGAAACAUGCCAAGCAACAAAUAAAGUAGUCCAAACGUGAUUCAUGAAACUUGAUAGGCACUAUCUAAAUAGUAUUAAUAUGGCAACCAAAAACAUGCGCGCAAAGUAGACUUUCUUGGACGAUCCAUGCCAAUCAGCAUAUAAAGUAGUCCAAACGUGAUUCGUGAAACUUGACUUCUUGUCUAAAAAGGCCUAAAGAAACAAGACCAAAAUUUCCAUGCAAUAGCAAUAUGGUGGCCACAAUGCACUUUUUAAGCCAUUUUUCAAAACUAAGUUUCUUCGUAUCACAUGCACUAUUCAAGCAAUUUUUCAACAUUUUCUCCUUCCCCUAAAAGCUACAUGCAUGAAUCAUGUCCCAAUCAAUUUCUUGGCAAAAAUUGGAACGCAAGAACCGAUUGGAGCAUAAGGACAAUGUCGCGAUUCAAGAUUCUCAGCAAGACCACGUCACAAUGCAUCACUUUUGGAAAGUAAUUUAGCAAUUUCCAAUGCCUUAGCUGAUUAAUGGCUUGACCAUGUGACGAUUGGUCCACCUUAUGCACAUGGCAAGAUCAAAGAAAAUAUCACAGCUAGCUCGACGACUACUAGCCAAAAUAACAAGACAAUGACGGCCAGUUACAAACUCUUUACGAAGGAAAUACCGAAAUAUGAAUAUCCCUCCUAAUCACUUUCUUAUAUUAUCAUUAUUUUGUACAUGUAACAGAACACGUUCUCUCUUGUAAUGAAGUCAAGAAAACGGUUUUAGUUUUUAUAUCAAUAAUGGAAUCCAAAAUCUUUCACAGCUUGCUUCUCCUUUGGACGCUUGAAAGACUUUCUUACCUGGCUAAAACUGUGAAAAUUGUUCAAACUAAUUUGAUUGAUAACUUUCUGACACUAUAUUGUAUAUGAAGGCUGCAUUUAAAUGUGAAAUAAAAAUGAGUGCUUAUAUUAAAAAACAAUCAGUCUCAUUGCGUCCUCUUUCAUUGACAUAGGCAAUUUUGCGGUCAACUCGAGGAGUUGUUUGAUUUUAUGUUUCAAAUUAAGUACCAUAGCAUUACUACUUCUAUAAAUAACUCAUUUGAGCUUCGAGCUUGUUAUUUGUAUUUUACGUUUCUGUUUCUCUUCAUAAAGAUUUUUUUUUUUCAUUCUCUUUUUCUUCCACUUUCCCGACUCCCAAACACCACCAGUCUUUGAUUUUCCUAGAGUAUUAACUGUCUGUUUACACGAACAUAGACCGACUGUUUGUCUAAUUACUGACAAGAAACAGCAUACUCUAUCUCGGGGUCUCAUCGUUUAUUGACAUGUCACUUGUGAACGGGCUAAUUAAAGGGCGUUCCUUCCUUCAAGAAAGAAUGCCAAGAAAGUACCAUCCAUUAGACACGUUAAGAAUUAUUUAACAUUAAAAAUGAUAAUAAUCAUAAUAAUCGGUUUAGUGUUACCCCGUUAUUAGGUAAUGACUGUCCGAUUGUCUUCGCUUUCAUUGACUUCGCAACUGUGAAUUCUAAGCCGGGUUAAGGAUUGACAAAAUGUUAUAACCCAUAAACACUACAACAAACAGUUAUAUCACCGACGAAAUAUUUCCGAGGGCGUAAAAUACCUUUGAUAAUAAGUACUUUUUUCUAAGGUGUAAGAUGGCCGUCGGAUAAGGAUGAAAAUAUGAUCAAUAUUUCCGAGGGCAAUUUGCCCUUGGUGAUAAUGAAUACUUCGUCGAAAAUGCCUGCUAGACUUAACUAGAAGCACCCCAAAAUUUACACACUUCGGGCCCGGCCUUUGGAGUAGAGUACUAAAACCACAAGCCCGCAGCCAUAACUUCCACUAAUUGUUUUUUUAAGAGUAGCGUACUUGGAAAUUUUUUUUCUUGUAAAUUUAAUUACUCUUGGUAAAAUUAAAAACCUAAAAGAAUGAAAUACAAAUAAAAAGCUAAGAAAAUACAGAAGAAACGAAAAAAUAAACAAAAGGAAAAAAAUUAAAACAGAAGGGAAAGUUCAAAAGAAAACAAAAAGAACAAAGUUAAAGAGAACGAAUAAGAAAGAAAAAGAAGGGGAAAGUUCUUCAAUCAUUGCAGCGCAAGCACUCACAUCUCUCACUUUUCAAUUUCUCAUUGUCCAUUGCUCGCCCAAUCACUUUGGUAAUUAUUUCACUGUUGCUUUCUCUAUUUGCGCUAGAUUUCAUCUUUUUUUUUCCUUCAAUUAACUUAGGGUUAGGUUAUAGUUUCCAUCAUUGAUGAUGAGUCUGAAGGCUAAUUAUUUCUCUUAAGUUUGUAAUUGUUACCAUCUCUUGCAUAAUCGCUCACUCUAUGCUUCUAAUUUUGUUUUUAAUUUGUUUUUGCUGCUUCCGAUUUUGUUUUAGGCCAAAUGGUAGCUUCCUAUAAGUUCGGUGAAGCUAUUGCAUUUUUUUUUUAAUUUUUUAAUUUUUUAAUUUUUAUUUUGGAGCUCUUACUUGUGAUGCUAAUUAUUUAGAAUUCAUUGUUUGUUAUCUGAUUUGGAUUAAUUUUAAUGAUCUUUUUGCUGGAUUUCAUUAAUUUUUUUUUUCCAUUUUUAAUGUUAUGUGAUGCUAAGUAUGGACUCUAAAGGAUGUUGAUAUUUUUUAAUUUUGAGGAGUUGUAGGGAGAUGAAGUGAAAUAAACAUUUAGGGGGUCAUGUGUAUAUAGAAUUGUUUGAUAGAGCUAACAUGACUAAAAAAUGUAAGUUAAUGCUAUACUAAAGCGAUGGUUAACUUUGUACUUUGAAUUUUGCAGCAUGAAUUUAGUAUAUUGGUAUUUUCAUUUUAUGUGUACUAAAAACUAAAAAGGAAGAUAAAAAUAGAUGAGUUACCAGGGAGAUAAAAUUCAAUCUGCGGUGAACUAGUUGUAUUUCUUUUUCUCCUUUUUUUUUUUUUUUUGCCCCACUUUCUAUGCAUCCUCAUUUUAAAUAGUUAGUAUUGCUGGUAUUGGUUUUAUCAUAAUCAUAACUUGUGAGAUGAAUUUUGUGCUUAAUUUUUUUUUUUUGUUUUGUUGAAAGGGUGUAUAAAAUUUAAUAGUAAUAUCAAGAACAAGUUUCUUAAGCUUUGAACUGAAUAUAUAUUAAGCUUUUAAACUUUUCCUGGCUUGCUGCAAUGAUUUCUUUUCUAAGCUUUUCCUUCCUUGUUAAAGCACUUAUUCACAUGUUUCAGGUUUUGAUUGUUGUACUACUAUACGAAGUAGCUCUAUGCUUUGUAGGGGAUGCCUUCUUGAUGAUAUUCUGCAGGUUAGAAUCUGAUUCUCUAAAAAUUCUUAUACAUGUAGAGAACAGGAGCUUAAAGAUGUCGUAGAACUUCAUGUAAAAAUUCGUUUUUCAGAUUGGAUGUCAGAGCUGAGGAGGGGAAUUUUUAAGAAGUAUCCAACUGUUGGAGAGCAUUAUGCACAUGCUCCUGAGAAUGUGCCUCCAAGAAUAUUGAGACAAAUGGUUGACAAAUGGAUGGAUGAGGGGUGGAAGGUACCAAUAAUGACUAUUAGCAUUAUAUUUUUCUGUCCUUUUCUUUCCUAAGCUUUGCUGUUAUUUUAAUUCAUCAGUGAAUUAUAGUUGCUAGAAUCAUUAUAGAAAUAGGAACUGAUAAAUCUUAUCCAUGUGCUUUGUACAUGAGUUGUUCUUGGCGGGUUUAGAAUAACCAAGUUGAUUUUAUGUUUUUUUUUAACUUAUUUAUAGAAAACAAGCACAACAAACAAGAGGAACCGAACCAAGUCCAAACUUAUUCACACUAUAUAUUCCCAUAUUUUUUUUUUUUGGGCAUGAUUUCAUUACUAUAUGCACUCAGACAAAUGUAUGUAUUUAUUAUAGGAAACAAUGGAAUCAAUAUGAUCAACUGUUAUAGAUCAAGGCUUGUCAGUUGAUGAAUGGAAAAUAUUUCGAGAAGUAACAGGAGAACCAGCACAUGGUCGUGUUGUUGGUUGGAGAGCCGGCAUCAAAGGCAAGGAUGUGUAUGGUUCUCCAGGUCAAGGAGGUAACAAGCAUCAAUGUACUAAUUUGGAAGUGAAAGUAAAAGACUUAGAGAAGAAGUCAAGAAGUUGAAAAGACUGAUAAAGCUCGUUCUUGGAAAAUCCGCACAAGAAUCAUCUCAAAAGGUAUAGGUUGUUUAUUUCAUUUUAUUAAUAGAUUAAGUGAAUGAGUAUGUUCUAUGUUUUGAGUUCUCAUGGAAAAUGAUUGGUGACUUGUCAUUGCUCUGUUAGUUAAUGAACUGAAGUGAUUAUGGACAAGCUUAUAAUAUAGGUGGAUGAUUGAAUAAUUAUUAGAUUUUUUUUUUUUGAAACAGAGACUGCAUUUAUAUAGAGUUUUUUUUUAUUGCACAAUUUUUCUCAUUAGUCUCAGCCUCUUUAUUAUAUUUUUUACCAGUUUUUGUUUUGGUAAUAAUAGUGAUUAAAAUUUUUUCUUUUACCUAGGAUAUUGUUUUGACGGAAGAAGAUGACAGGUAUGAGGAUGAUGAAGUUGAGCCAAACGAUUUAGAAAUUGAAGAAGUUGGUUUAGAGGAUGAUUGAACACAUUCAAGAUAUGAUGAUAUCAUUUUGUAUAUACAUUUGGUAUUUUUUUGCAUAAAAGAUACUAUAAAAUUGAAUUUUUUGUUGUAUUCUUGAAUGAUGAAUGUGAUUUUAUGAAUUUUUAAAAUUAAUGAAGUUACCUUUAGUAAUUUCGAAUAUUAUUAUUACUUUUGUUACAUCACUUCUCUAAUAUAGAUAUUUCAACAAUAAAAAUAAAAAAAUGAAUGAAAUAUUAUUACUAAAUAAAAUAAAGGGGGCCAUUAAACAACAAAAUAAGUUUAUUUUCGACGGUAUAUCUUUUAUUUCCGAGGGCAAGUUGCAGAUGAAAAUAAAAAUAACCAGGUUUAUUUAUCUUUUUUCCGAGGGCAUUUAAUUCCAUUUCCGACGGCAAUGCGCUCGGAAAUAAUUUUUUUCUCCGACGACUCGUCGGAAAUUCGACAUUUCCGAUAAGACUUAAUACGGCGACGGUCGACGGCAUACCACGCUCGAAAAUGAGUUUUUCUAAGGGUCUUUGUGUAUUUCCGACUCCGAGGGUAUUUGCCCUUGGAAAUGACCCAUUUUCUUGUAGUGAAAGCACAGAUAAUUAAUCAAUGGGCCACUGAUUUCUUCUUUCAUAAAAGAGAACUUUUCCAGGGAGAUUGGAAUAAAAGGCUAAUUCUUGGUAAAGAUCAGAAAGUUCUCAAAUAAAAUUCGGCUCUGUGGAAAUUAAAUUAAAAGCAAUUAAGCAUUAUAAAUUACUUAACAGCUUAAUCGAGUUUGGUUUUGAAAAAUAUAUCUUUAAAUCCCUUGUAAUUAAAGAUAAUUAUCAUAUUACCGUCUCAAAUGGACCGAUUUCAAUCAAAUGAAAUCUAGAAAAUUGAGCAGCUCAUUGAUGUAUUUGGUCGAAUUGUGACUUGUGUCAGAGUCUUCGUUUUAGAAGAGUGCACAGCAGCUGCCAGGUCCACUUGGCAGUUGGCACGCCAAAAUUUUUCUGUUGACCAAUAAUUUUGAAAGGGAUAUUAUUAAUUUACUAUCAAAUAUUUUCGAACACAUCACUUUACUAUCAAAAUUUUUUGACAAUAAUUUUUUGUCACUUAAUAUUUCAAUUUUUAUCAUUUUAUCAUUAAAAAAAUAGUAAAUACAUGCUUAGUGUAAGUUAUCCAUAAAAAUGGUUGUUGAAUUGUCUUGUUUCUCAUUUGGUUUAAUUUUCAUAAAUUCGACUCACACAAUUCAAUUAUGAGUGAAGAGUUUUUUUGGGAAAAAUCUGGUCUUCCAUGUACUAGAAUCAGGUCUGUUUGAUUUUAUUAUUUUUCUUUUGUUUGAAAUAUACGUGAAAAAUGUUGAACACUUUGUAGGAUUUAGAAGAAUUUGAAAGUUUGAAUGCAUAUAGUUUACUAUCGAUCAGCUAGUGCAUAUUCUGUAUUUUAUGAAAUCAAAGCUGGUUGAUUGAGAAAUGGACCUUAUUACAUGUCAUAAGAUUUUACAGUGCUUUCUAAUGGAGCAAAAUAAAAUGAUUCUUACCUGCACAGAAAAUUAGAAACGAAAAGGAGGGUUACUGAUCCACAGAGUUGUUAUUUACGAGAAGCACAUAGAUAUUACACUUAAUUUAUUAUCCAUCUGUAUUGUUUGGAUGACACUGAAGUAUUACCUAAAUUAGCCUUUCAGAACUUCGUUUUCAAAAAUCUAUGGUUGUGAUGCGUCUCUAUAAACUCACUCGUAAAAAUUCUAUCUAAUGCCAAUUGUUUUAAACCCUGUUCUGAACAGAGCAUGAAAGGAUAUGUUCACUUAUCUAGUUGUGUUUUUUAUGCUUUCACUUCACUUGAUUCACCUUGUCCCUCUUUUAAAACAGCUGUAUAUGCUGGAGUGCCAAAUCCAUCACAAGGAUCAUAUUAUAUCCUACGGAAGGAGCACAGUUCAUUGGCUGCACUCAGUUUACAGAGUAUUUCGGGAUUCAAGACUGUAGGUUGUUGCGGAUGCAACUUGCAAGGCUGUUGCUGUGUGACUGUAUGCCACGCUGGCAAGUGUGCUCUGACAGAUUGUGGAGAUGGCACCAAAGAUUGUAAACUAAUUAGUACUGAAAAAUCAUAUUUGCACAUAAAUUGCACAAAAUAAAUAGAUUGAGAAAAGUUGUACAAAGAAAUAAGAUUAAUAAAGUAAAUAAAUUUAUCUUUUAACAAAAUAUUUCUAGUCUUUUGGCGUUUUUGUGUAUUUUUGUGUAAGUGCAAAUAGCAUUCUAAUAAGUAGCUCGUUUGAGCCUAGGACCUGUAAUUAUGUUUUACCUUUCUGUUACUUUCUCUUAAAUAUUAUCUCAGUUCUUUUCUUCUUUUCUUUCACUUUCUCUUCCAUUUUCCUGACUCCCAAACACCACCAAUCCUUGAUUUUCUAGAGUAUCAGCUAUCUAUUUCUACAAACACAAAACUGCUAUUUACUUUCAAGAAAUAACAUAUUCUGUGGUUUAUUGGCUUAUGCCUCGUGAACGGGGCUAAUGUUGGUCUAACUACUCCCGUGAAACAACGUACUCUGUGGCUUAUUGUCUCCUCUUCCAUUGACUCUGCCAAUUCACGACUUUGACACGCACACUAGAUGCUAACUGCCUUCUCCAUUCGACGUGCAAAAACUUUCUUGAGUCGGGUUAAAAUUAAUUGAUCAUUUUAUUUGGUGAUAAUGACUUAGUUGUCAAGUCAUGAGUUUGAUGAUGAAGAGGACGAAAAAUAUUAUUUUAUUAUUUAAAAUAAGACUAUCAAUUAUUUCGAUGGUCAUCUUAUUUUCUAAAAUAACUUAAUGGAAUCUUACAGAAUAGAGUGCUUGACUUCUUCAUACAGUGCUUGACUUCUUUUUACAGAAUUAUAAAGUGAAAAAGGAAAUUAAGAAAUUAAAUACUUUUCAUGCGAGUGGAGAACAUUGGGUAGCGAUUACAUUAAAUAAAAGAAAAUUAAUUUAAAAGUACAACAUUUUAAUAAUCUCAUUCCCAAUCAUAUCGGUACAAAAAUUCUGCAGAUUUAUUGAAUAACUAUUGAUUUUACUUUGGUAAUUUCUUUCUAAAAGUGAGGUAAACAUUUUUAUUUUCUUUGCAUUCGAGCUUUCUUUCUUUUGCGCUGGCCUUCACUUUUGACCGUAUUUCAUGGGGCACAUUCAAUCUCAAUCUUCUGCAAGUUUGUGGCAGUUUUGUUAAUUACGAACAUUUGUAGGAUUUUAUGUAGAUGAUACAUUUUUCUUUUCUUUUUUUCUUCGGUGAACAAAUUAAAAAUUUAGUUUUUGUCAUCAUGACUAGUGAAAUGAAAAUAGUCCUCAUUGCAAGGAUUGACAAAAACGUUGUACUCAUACCGAUUAAUGGGGAACUAAUUUCGUCCUCUUCAAAAAGAAUUAUUUGCAGCGUGGUAAUUCGGACCUAAGUGAUAAGAAUUUCCAAAUGAGAUAUAAUUUGGAGGGAAACAAAAAACUAAUUCAAGUUAAAGACCAGGAAUUUGUGUUCCUCACAAAAACAAUAAUUCAAGCCUCGCAAUAAUUUUUUUGAUUUAUUUAAAAAAAAAAUUGUUUUCCUCACAAAACAUUUCAACGUCUAUUCUCUCGUACAGGGGAAUAUCCUUCACUCUUUGGCGUAUCCCUGGGGCAAUGUAAGUUGACUUUACAUUAAAACAAAAUAUAAUUACAAUCACAUAAUUACAAUUAUCAUCACUGAUUUGUAUAAUUUUCAGGACUAGUAAAUUAUCCCAAUUUUUAAAAAACAUAAUUACAAUUAUCGAUCGAACACCACUAAUUCCAACAAUUCAUCCAAGUUUUUCAACUUUUUAGAUAUUUGAUAUAUGUCAUGUUUUAACUUGGUACGAGAAAAAAAUUAUAGAAUAUUUUUUUUUCAAAUUAGUGGAAUUAUUUUACGAUAAAACUAUCACAAUCACAUUUAAAAACAUUCUUUAAAUUUUCACUAUUUCUACUGUUAUUCUUUAAACUUUUUUCUGAACAGAGCAUGGAGGGUCGCUUAUCUAAAUAUGUUUUCUGUGCUUUCACUUCACUUGAUUCAUCUUGUCCCUCUUUUAUAGCUUCUAUCUCGUGUGAGCUUAGAACCUGCAACUCGUAUUUUACGUUUCUGUUACUUUCUCUUUCAUUUUCCCGACUCCCAAACACCAUCAGUCCUUGAUGUUAUAGAGUAUUAGCUGUCUAUUUGUACAGACAUAGAGCUACUGUUCCCACUGUAGAUCUUCAGAUGGUUAGCUCACUAUUGUUUGAAUAUUAAAAUUAAUUUGUUAAAUAAAUAAAGAAAACAAGAGACAAUUGCCAUAUAUAUUCCAUAUUAAUUAGUCACCGUCCGAUUGUCUCUACUUCCAUUGACUCUGUUGAUUCAUGCUUUCAUGAAGUGAAACGCUUAACACUCUGUUCUGAUCCGCAGGAGAGGAGGAAAAACAUAAUUUUAUUAUUUCAUUCCUGACACACGCAAAGAGCUUUCUUAAUUGAUGAAUGUGACAUGAAGCUCUAUAAAUAGUUUAAUUUGUAAAAUUGUUAAAAUUUGUUAAAUUUCAUUUAAUUGAUGAAUGUGACAUGAAGCUCUAUAAAUAGUUUAAUUUGUAAAAUUGUUAAAAAUUUAAAUUUCAAGGUAGAUAAAAUGAUUAACUUUUUUCAAUAUUUAGAUAAUUAACAUGUGCCAUGUAACUAUGAAUGAAUGAAUGAAAUUUUUGAAGUGCGAAUCCAUUUACAAGUUACGACUUGUCUUAUUUCUCAUUUUACUUAAUUUUCAUAAAUUUGACUCACGAUCAAUUAUGAGUGAAGAGUUUGUUGGAAAAAUAUGGUAUUCCAUUUAUUGUAAUCAGAUGAGUGUGAUUUAAUUAUUUUUUCCUUUUGCUUGAUGUCCCGAAAAUUAUGAAUACUUUGUAGGAUGCAGAAGAUUAAAAAUUUUAACGCAUAUCUAUAGUCAAAACUGAGGAAACAGAACAUUAUUGCUUCUAUAAAUAGGUCAUUUCAACUUAAAACUUGUUACUUGUAUUUUACAUUUUUGUUUUUUAACUUUUUCUUCCAUUUUCCCAAACACCACCAAUCCUUGAUUCUUUUCUUAGAGUAUUAGCUGUCGAUUGUUAUAAACGUAGACAUACUGUUUGUCUAAUUACUAUCAAGAAACAACAUACUCUAUCCUGGGGUCUCUUCGUUUAUUUAAUAUUUAGGUUUAUUAAUAUACUAUAUUAUUAAUUAAAUUAAUUAAUAUUAAUUAAUAAUUUAAAUUAAUUAAAUAAUAAAAGUUAAAUGAUUAUAUUGAAAAUCCAAGUAGUAUUUUAAUGUAAUGAAACCUAAAUCCCACCUCUAUACCACAUUUGUUACACAAUGUAAUUAUAUAAAAAUAAUAUUUUAAUACAAUAUAAUACAAGUAUAAGGCUGUGUAAGGCUGUAAUAUUAAUUAGCCUGUGUAAUAGUAUCCCAUGCUGGCAAGUGUGCUAUAACAGAUUGUCGAGCUGGCACCAAUUAUUUUAAACUAAUAUUAGUAAUUAGUUUAGAGUGUUUCGAUUUAUUCUAUAAAUAGAUCAUUUAAGCUUUGAACCUGUGAACUUGUAACGUGUACUGUACUUUUCUAUUACUUCUAAUAAAGAUUUUCUCUAUUCCUUUUUCUUUCACUUUCUCCUCUGUUUUCCCGACCCUCAAACACCGUCAAUCCUUGAUUUGAACUACUGUUUGUUUGUCUAAUUACUUUCAAGAACAAUACCCUCCAUCCCGCGGUCUCCUCGUUUAUUGACUUGUUACUUAUGAACAGGGCUAAAUAAAGGGCAAAUAAGAUGUUGGGCCAAUGGACCCAACGUCACAGAUCUUGAAUUGAUUGCCUCUUCUUUUCUCUACAAAUCUUUGCUUAAUUUUUAUGUUUCCUCAACUUUUUCCCCCCUUUUGUGCUAAAAUUAUUUUUCUGAUACUUUAUGCAAAAAAUAUGAUAAAAAUGAAUUAGUUUAGAAUAUCAAUAAAUUUUUAUUACAUUCAAGAUAAGGACAACUACUCUUAGAUCACUUUUAUUUAGUUGAAUUAUAGGUAAUAAAAUUGGUUUUAACAAAAUAUGAUUCUUAACCCUUGUAAUUAAAGACUGGUGUUAUUUAGUUUAGUUGUAACACCAUGCAACAGGUCAUCUUGGUGGGUUCAAAUUAAUAUACGAUCAUUCUCAAUAUUUAAUAGUUCGUAAUUAAAAAUUCCAAUAUCACAAUUAGAAUUUACAAACAUGUCAAAGUCAGUUAAAUCAAACCUAUAAAUUUAAGGUUUACUACAAGCUUCUAACAAAUUAAAAUUUAAAACGAUUAAUUAAAUGCUAGACAAUAUUUAGCUUAUAAAUGUUCCCGACCACAUGAUGAAUGUACUUAAAACAUCCUAAUUGGUCGCUAAUUGAUUGGUUGUUAUUUUUUCAAUUUCUUUUUAUAUAUCUUUGAAGCUUCUAGUUUCAUAACAUGUUAUUUGCAAUUCGUGUAAAUUAUUAUUUUUUAAAUAUUAGAGCAACAACCAGUAUAAAAAUAAAAUGCACUCAUUUAAUGGAAAUUUUUCUAGAUGCUUCAAUGGCAGAAUCUCAUUGGUCUAUAACUCUCAAUAAAUUUUUCUAGAUGAUUCAAGAUUCAAUUUCAAACCAAUGCCGAACAAACAGUAUAAACCUUAAUAAGAUAGUUGAAUAACCAUCUCUUACGUCGGGUGACCGAAUAACCAUCGCUUACGUCGGAAUUUAAACUUAAACAAAGCUACAUCCCACGUGUUCCCCACUUUCUUCAUAUUUCCAAAAAACCCCUACCAGAUCCAGAUAAUCACCUUAACUUUUCUCGUAUAAAUAGAGAAGACGACGACGAUUCCUGCAAAGCCAGGUGAGUCACGUGAACGUUACGGCCAUGGGACAUUGGAAUUGGAUCAAACCACUGGAAUGCACAGCAAAAUUAACCCGAAUAAACUAGGUUGAGUUAAGAAUUACUUUUCUUUUCAUAAUAAAUUAGAUUGAGUCAAUAAUAUUUGCCUGUGUGAAAUGAAUAAUCAGUUUAGUGUCACCCCAUUAUUAAUUUGUGACUCUCCGAUUGUCUCCUUUUUCAUUGACUUUGCAACUGUGACUUCUGAACCGGGUUAAGAGUUGACAAAAAUGUUAAUGUUAAUAUGUUAUAAUUCAUAAAACACGCAUAAUUAAUUAAUGGCCCACCAAUUUCUUCUUCUCAAAAGAGAAUUUUUGCAGGAGAUUGAAAAAAGGCUAAUUCAUGUUAAAUAUCUUAGAUGAGUGUCUAUCACGGAUACAAGUCAAGCCACACGAUUUUUCUUGUUAUACUAUUUGUUGGCACUUGUGAAUCCUUGAAUUAUCAAAUGAAUAGCAACAACACUUCAAUAUCUAUUGUUACACGGAGAGAAAUCCGUUCUCUCUUUGAUGUACUACUUGGCAAUAUACAUUGAUCUUUCAUUAAAACAAGCAUUCUCAUAUUGUUGAGAAAAACUCACGUUAAACUAUUCAAUUUAAUCAUUUAUUAAACGGAUAUUUGGUUUGAUUCAUUUUAUUCAUUUAGUAGAAUUAAUAAACGAAUCGAAUCGAAUCCAGAUUCAUUUAUUCUAUUACAAAUCUACAACGAAUUGAAUCGAAUCGAAUCAGAAUUCAUUUACAGUUCGUUUAGAAAAAUAUAAUUGAUAAACAAAAUUAAGCAAAAUAAAAUAUAAAAAAAGCCGCAAAUUUAAUACCACUUCCUACACCAUAUUCCUAAUUAGCUAGGGAUAGUCUACCAUGCAAUGGCUGCUGUCUUAAUUAAAUAAGAUAUGUGCUUUUAUACGCCCUCUCAAAGAAUAUCGAUCUCCUCAAGACUUUACAUAUUUGUUUUUGAAUAUAAACACUUGUUCACUUCUACAUAUUUUUUUUUAGCUACAUCCAUAGAAUUGCUCUAGCCUCUACGUUGGACAUAGCUGCUGUCUUAAUUAAAUAAAAUAUGUACUUUCAUACGCCCUCUCAAAGAAUAUCUAUCUCGUGGAGGCUUUACAAGCUUCGGUGGGAUCUUUAGAAAACGUCUCGACGACUCAAAAGACUACACUCCCACUUUCAAAAGUGGCACGAUUUGAACUUAUCCUGCCAACCUUCUAGAAGAGUAGUGAUAAACUUCAAGAUCAUUCUUUUAAUUUUCUCCCUUUUAACAUUUUGGUUUCAGGUAAGGACCAAUCACUUGGACACUUCAAUUUUACUUUUGGACCUUUCUUAUAAUGACAACACCCUCCAUCCCUCGGUCUCUUCGUUUAUUGACUUAUUACUUGUGAACAGGACUAAAUAAAGGGCAAAUAAGAUGUUGGGCCAAUGGACCCAACGUCACAUAUCUUGAAUUGAUUGCCUCUUUUUUUCUCCAUAAAUCUUUACUUAAUUUUUAUGUUUCCUCAACUUCCCCCCCCCCCCCCCCCCCCUUUUGAUGAAUUAUUUUUCUGAUACUUUAUACAAAAAAUAUGAUGAAAAUGAAUUAGUUUAGAAUAUCAAUAAAUUUUUAUUACAUUCAAGAUAAGGAGAAAUUUGUAUAAAAGUCGUGAGAAUAGAACUUUUGGUAAAACAAAAGUCGCGGGCUUAUUUAGAAAAAAGAAAAAAUUACAUUCUAUUUUCCAAUUACUAUGGUCAGCCUUAACACAUGCCGGUCUUUUUCUCCUCUACUUUCUAGAAAUUUUGGUUUCACUAUAAAAACUCGGUAUAUAACAAACUUAUGAGUGUUCUUGCAUUACCAAUCCAACUAAGCACACGCUUACAAUCUAAAAUACUCUCAUCUCAUGGAAAGAGUUCAUUCUCUCAGGAUGAUGAGCAUAUUUCUCCUACUCCAUUGUUUGAUUAUUAUUUCCUUAUUUAUCGCAGCAACAACAGCCAACACAAGUUCUAAUAUCACAGACCGAGAUGCUCUGUUAGCCCUGAAAGCUCACAUAACUCAUGAUCCGACCAAUUUCUUGGCCAAGAAUUGGAACACAAGUACUCCUGUCUGUAAUUGGACAGGCGUCGCUUGUGACAUCCAUAGCCAUAGAGUCACAGUCUUGAAUAUUUCAAGCUUAAAUCUCAGAGGCACCAUCCCAUCUCAACUUGGGAAUCUUUCUUCUCUGCAAUCACUCAAUCUCAGUUGUAACCGACUUUCUGGUUCCAUUCCCUCCGCCAUCUUCACCAUAUACACACUGAAAAAUGUUAGUCUCGGUAAAAAUCAGCUCUCUGGGCAAAUUCCUACAAAUAUUUGUAGUAAUCUUCCUUUUCUUGAAUUUCUUUCUUUGUCCCUAAACAUGUUCCAUGGCGGAAUACCGUCCACUCUAUCAAAUUGCACAUAUUUAAGAAUCUUAAGUUUGGCAUACAAUGAUUUCUCGGGAGCCGUACCUAGAGAAAUCGGUAACUUGACCAAACUUAAGGUAUUAUAUAUUGGCGCGAAUAGACUCCAAGGUGCGUAUGGUCAUGGAGUUUAAUUAUAAACAUUGUUCCAUGAGUUGUAAUAUGAAUAAUGUUCCAUAAUACACUUCUGAGCCCGAAAUCCUUUCCUUUCCUCCUUGACUCUCCUAUCGUCGAGCUAAGUGACUCUGUCAUGCCGCUUCAAGUAAUACAAACGUUGAUUAAUUUGCAGGAGAAAUUCCUCGAGAGUUUGGCAAUCUUACCGAAUUGGAGCAGUUUUCGUUACCAACAAACAAUCUCCAAGGUAUGAUUUUAAACUUUUUGCAAUUUUAUUCUAGCUCUGCUUGCUUCUGUAUUCAUUCGUUUGUUCAUUAAUUAUGCUAUGAUUUAUUGUUUUUCUUUCAAAUAGAGAUAAAGCUCCAUGUCUCCCCUCACUCAUUUCGUUCUUUGAUUUAUGCAGAUAAAAAUAAAAAAAAAUGUUUUGUAAUUUUCUUUUGUCAUAUUGCCACUUCCCUUUUAAAGCUCCCAAUUAAGUCGAUGAAAAUGAAUGAUGCUUCAUUCGUAUUCUUGUCAGCCUAAUUCUUAUAUAAUUGAAGAGUAAAUUGUUAUUAUGAUAUUCGUCAGCCAAUAAAUUCUUUUUUUUUUCUCAAAAUAUGAGUGAUCAAAUUGUUUGCGCAUAUAUAAUUUUACUUAAUUUGCAGGAGGUAUUCCACAGGAAUUGGGGAAUCUUGCAAAAUUGGAGAUUUUACAGCUGUUCCAGAAUAACUUGACCGGUAACCAUCUUUACUAUAUAUAUAUGAGACAUCUUCCGCUUCUUAAUUAAAAGAUUUCAAGUCUCUCAUUAUAAAUUCUCAUAUGAGGAUAUGUCAUUACUACAAUCUAACAUUAUUCCCUUUUUUAUUAGAAAUUAGUUUGUGUUAAUUCAAAAUUUUGUAACAUUUAAAAAAAAUUAAAAACACGUGGAAUAAAUCAUCAAUCUUUCUUCUUUAUUGAAUUUGGAUUUCUCAAAAAUUUUCUUGACAAGUAUACUUCACUAAUGAUAUGCAUGUGUGACAACUUCAUAAAAUAUUUUACAUGGAGUCACCAAUUAUCUUUAAAUAAUUGGAGAUGCCAUCAGUGAUACAUAAUUUCUUAACAAGCACCAUAUCAAAAGAAAUCAACAAUUUUAUUAAUCUUCAAGAGUUGCAUCUUCACUGCAAUUAUGACAUAAAUUUUUAGUCAUCAAUCGCAUAAUAUUUUAUCUUAACGGAUGAUGUUCAGUCUUGGAAUUUAUAAUACCUUGAAGGUUAGUAGCUUUGAAAAUAAGAACUGUUCAUUUGCUAAAAAGUUAACUUAGUAUUUAAGUUUUUCAAUUGAAAAUUUUGAAAAAAGUCUUGAGAACUGCCCUCCUUAGUAUUUCAGCUGAUAAAUAUGAAAAAUAGGCUAGAAGAAAUAUUGUUGUGUGUGCUUAUUCUACUUGGGCUUUGGGCUUGAUUACAAGGUCGAGCCUUGAUUACAAGGUCGAGCACUUACACCUGUCAUAAUAAUAGGCUUUUACUGUCACCACACGUUUAAUAAUUUCUUAACCUUCCGAAUUAAGUUAUAGCAAUUUAUAUAUAAAUAACUAUAGCAUACUAAUGCUAGCACAAAGUACUCAUGACUUAGGCUUGUUGUGUUACCUAUUACACACGGUCGAACACUUACAUCUAUUAGAAUAACAAUAGCAUCCGCGGAUCGACUAUCAGUGAUCAAAUUGUUUGCACAUAUGUAAUUUGCAGGACCAAUUCCACGGGAGUUGGGAAAUAUUACAGGAUUGGGGAUCUUAGCGCUGUCUGAUAAUUUUUUAACCGGUAUCAUUCCUUCAUCUAUCUACGAAUUGCUUUUCUCUAUUAAAUUUGGAACUGUCAUUUAAUAACUUAACAGGUAACUUCCCUUACAAAAUGUCUGUGUGACAUGUUUUGCUUCUAAAUUAAAAUAUUUCGCGUCUCUCAUUAUAAAUUCUCAUAGGCGGAUGUAUUGUUACUACUAUUUAACAUUAUCUCAUUUUUUUAUUAGAAAUUAAUCUGUGUUUAUGCAAAAAAAUUUAGCAUCUAAAAAAAGUAUAAAAACACGUGGAAUAAAUCGAAAAUCUUUCUUCAUUACUGAAUUCGGAUUUCUCAAAAAUUAUCAUGAGAACUUCAUAAAAUAUUUUACAUGGAAUCAGUAAUUAUCUUUAAAUAGUUGGAGAUGCCAUCACUAAUAAAUAGUUUCUUAAAAAGCAUCAUACUAAAAGAAUUCAAUAAUUUUAAUAAUCUUAAAGGGUUACAUCUUCACUGCAAUUAUGACAUAAUUUUUUAUCUAAAUAUAUUUUUAGUCAUCAAUCGCAUAAUAUUUUAUCUUGACGGAUGAUGUUCAAUCUUGGAAUUUAAAAUAUCUUGAAGGUUAGUAGCUAUGAAAAUUAGAAAAUUUUUAUUUGCUAAAAAAUUAACUUAGUAUUUAAGCUUUUCAAUUGGAAAAUUUGAAAUAAAUGUUGAGAACUGGCCCUCCUUAGUAUUUCAGCGGAUAAAUAUGGAAAAUAGGAUAGAAAAAAUUAUUUUACUGAAAUAAUAGUUAAAAAUAGAGGAGAAGUACAGUACUCAUGACUUAGGCUUGCUGUGUACUUUUUUUUACUUGGGGUUCGGGCUUGAUUACACACGGUCGAAUACUUACACAACUCCCCCACAUAGGGUUUUACUUUCAUCCCACAUUUGAUAAUUUCUUAACCUUCCCAAUUAGAUUAUAGCAAUUUAUAAAUAAAUAAAUAACUAAAGCAUACUAAAGCUAGCAUUGAUGGAUGGAUGAGUGGUGUCAAAAGUGUAUCUGUUUUUAUGUAUUAUUGUUCCCUGAUACAAAUCUAAAUAAUGGAAAAUAUAAAUUUAAUACUUUAUUUAAUACUCUGUUAACAUUUUAUCUAUAUAUAAUAAUUAAACUGAAACUCGUACUUAAAAAAAUUUUGGUUACGCAUAUUCAUUUCAUGAUAAAAAAAUGUCUAUUUACACUAAUUUACCAUUAUCAAUAAAAUGCUUUGAGACAAAUAAUCUAAUUUAUAUUAGUAUAUUUAAAAUACUUGCAUUUAUUAUAUUUUUGAAAAAAAAUUAUUUGCAAUUAUUUUAAACCUUUGAAUUCAAAUUUUCUUAGUUAUUAAAGUCAAAGGGUAUAAAUGUAUAAUAGUCAAAAAACAGAUUUGUAUGAUCAUUUUUCAAUGUAUAAAUUUUCUUAGUUAGUAGGAAAUUAAAAAUUGUUGAUUUACUCAUAAAUAAAUUUAGUGUUUAGCAUUUCAAUUUUGGAAAACUUGAACUAAAUGUUGAUAACUUCGAAUCCAUCGAGCCAAGUUUCGCUUCCUUGACACACAGACCCAUUCGAAUUGAGUUUCCAAGUGCUUAGAAAAAGCAUUUUCUUUUCCAUGUCACUAUAAUUUAUUCACAAAAGAGUUGAUUAGCAUCGAUGUUGCUGCAGAGUCUGAGACCAUGUUAGUAGGAGAAAUUUGAAAAGAAAUUAUUUUACUAAAUUAACUUAUUUUAUCUUGCUGUAACUGAAAUACUACCUUUUUUUUUUUUUUUUGUUAUCACUGGGGCUUGAUUUACUUUAAUAAUAGCAGCCACAAGCUUAGGCUUUUUUUACUUUUCACCACACAAUUUGAUCUUUUAAUUCAUUUUAACCACAUAAUCUAUCUAUCUCACACCUAUUGCUUACUUAAAUCGCAUACAUAUUUUACCUUACUAAUUUUUACAAACAUUAGUGAAAUAUAUUUUAUUACAUUUCGCUUGUAACUGCUCUAGUUGUGCACUAUUAAUACUUAACCCUCCCUUUUAAUUUACCGUGCAAUCUAUCAACCACUUAAAUUACAUAUAUAUUUUAUCUAUAUAUUUUUCCCGAAAAAAAAUAUAAAAAUAACAGAAAAAGAAUAUGUGUAGCAAUUUGUAUGGAACUAACAAAGCAUUGACGGUGUGUAGCCUUUCAAUACUUCAUGAGUGGCUUUUCUUGUGUGUUAGUACUAGUAAUAAUUGUGUAGUGUAUAAAUGACCUUUUAUUAUUAAAGCGCGUCCGUUGUUAGAUAUUAUUUAUUAUUUGAAAAAUAAUCUGAAUAUAAUUCUUUUCAAAAUACAGGGGAGAUACCAACUGAAAUCAGUAAUCUCCGUAAUCUGGAGGAGUUGGACCUUGCUCGAAACAAAUUAGUUGGUAUUGUCCCAGCUGCAAUCUUCAAUGUGUCAACACUCCAGCAUCUUGGUCUUCAAGAUAAUUCUCUCUUGGGAUGUCUUUCGUCCAUCGGAGACGUCCGACUUCCAAAUCUUGAAGGGCUUUAUUUGUCGGGUAAUAAUUUCAGUGGCACAAUUCCUAGAUUCAUCUUUAAUGCUUCUAAGCUCUUUAAGCUAUCGUUGCAAAGGAACUCACUCUUUGGUUUUAUUCCCAACACAUUUGGCAACUUAAGAAACCUUAAGUGGCUGUCUUUAUAUGAUAAUUAUUUGACAUCUUCAACUCCAGAAUUGAGCUUUCUAUCCUCGUUGUCAAAUUCCAAGUCUUUAACAUUUAUUGACUUAUCAAAUAAUCCACUAGAUAGCGUUCUUCCAAAGACAUUUGUCGGUAAUGUUUCUCAUUCUUUGGAAUUCUUUGUCAUGUCGUAUUGUAACAUUAGUGGCGUCAUCCCUGAAGAGAUCACCAACUUGACCAAAUUGACAACCAUUAUUUUAGGAGGCAAUAAAUUGAAUGGAUCAAUUCCAAUUACUCUCAGCAAGUUACAAAAGCUUCAAUAUUUGGGUCUUGACGAUAACAAAUUAGAAGGAUCAAUCCCAGACAGUAUUUGUCGUUUAGCUGAACUGUAUGAUUUGGAGUUGGGUGGUAAUAAGCUAUCUGGAUCAAUCCCUGCAUGCUUCAGUAAUCUGGCUUCUCUGAGGACACUGUCGUUGGAUUCCAAUGAGUUAACUUAUAUUCCCUUAACUUUUUGGAACCUUAAGGAUAUCUUGUACCUCAACUUUUCAUCAAAUUUUUUGAUUGGUCCACUCCCAUUAGAGGUUGGAAAUUUGAAGGUUUUAGUUGGAAUUGAUUUUUCGAUGAAUAAUUUUUCAGGCGUUAUCCCAACAGAAAUUGGAGGCCUACAAAAUCUAGAAUAUCUCUUCUUAGGAUAUAACAGAUUGCAAGGAUCGAUUCCUGAUUCAUUCGGUGAUUUGAUAAGCUUGAAAUCAUUGAAUUUGUCUAAUAAUAAUCUCUCUGGGGCUAUUCCUGCAUCUUUUAGAGAAACUCUUAUAUCUUGAAGAUCUAAAUCUUUCUUUCAACAAACUAGAAGGAGAAAUUCCUAGGGGAGGGUCUUUUGGAAACUUCUCAGCUGAAUCAUUUGAGGGAAAUGAAUUAUUAUGUGGUUCACCCAAUUUACAAGUCCCGCCAUGUAAAACUAGCAUCCACCCCACAUCAUCAAAAAAAUUCUCUUCUCCUGGGGAUCGUCUUGCCAUUGAGUACUACAUUUAUGAUAGUAGUCAUUUUGUUGAUCCUAAGAUAUCGACAGAGAGGAAAACGACCAUCGAAUGAUGCUAAUAUACCACUAGUAGCAACAUGGAGAAUGUUUUCAUACCUAGAACUCUGUCGAGCAACAGACGAAUUCAGUGAAAAUAAUCUAAUUGGCAAAGGUGGUUUUGGCUCUGUUUACAAAGCAAGACUUGGGGACGGGAUGGAGGUUGCAGUGAAGGUUUUCAAUUUGCAAUGUGGAAGAGCAUUUAAGAGUUUCGAUAUUGAAUGUGAAAUGAUGAAAAGUAUUCGCCAUCGAAACCUUAUCAAAGUUAUUAGCAGUUGUUCAAAUGAAGAGUUUAAAGCGUUGGUAUUAGAAUACAUGCCUCAUGGAAGUUUGGAGAAGUAUUUGUAUUCAAGUAACUGCAUUUUGGAUAUUUUUCAAAGAUUGAACAUAAUGAUAGAUGUUGCAUCAGCUUUGGAAUAUCUGCACUUUGGUCAUUCAGCUCCAAUAAUUCACUGUGACUUAAAGCCCAGCAAUGUAUUGUUAGACGAUAAUAUGGUUGCUCAUUUGAGUGAUUUUAGCAUCGCAAAAUUGCUAACAGGAGAAGAUCAAUCUAUGACUCAUACACAAACACUUGCAACAAUAGGCUAUAUGGCACCAGGUUUGUUUAAUAUAAGUUAUUUAUAUUUCAUGAUCUUGAUUAGAUGAGGAAUUAUUAUUAAUGAUAUAUCUUACUAUGUAAUUGUUGCAAUUCAUAGAGUAUGGAAGAGAAGGACGAGUAUCCGCAAAUGGAGAUGUUUAUAGCUUUGGGAUUAUGUUAAUGGAAACAUUUACUGGGAAGAAACCCACAGAUGAAAUGUUUAAUGGAGAAAUGACAUUAAAGCAUUGGGUUAAUGAUUGGCUACCCAUUUCCACUAUGGAAGUUGUUGAUGCUAAUUUGCUAAGUCAGGAGGAUACAUUUUGUUGCAAAAGAGCAAUGUGUGUCAUUUGUCUUCAAUUUAGCUAUGAAGUGCACUGUGGAAUCCCCUGAGCAAAGAAUCAAUGCAAAAGAAAUUGUAGCAAAACUCUUAAAAUUAGAGACUCAUUACUUAGAAAUGUUGGAGGCAGAUGUAUAAGACAAUCAAAUUUAAAUUGAUUCUGCCCCUCCUUCAUUGCUUGCUAUCCUUUUCAGAGACUUGAACAGUUAUCCUCCAUAGAAGUUUUGCUGAUAUGUUUUGUUAUUGCUCUUGCUCAUGUUUAUUUCUCUCUUUCUUUAAUUUGCAUGCGUGCAUUUUAGUUCUCUUCCAUGUUUGUGUUGGUUUAUAUGUAGUUUGUUUUUGGGAUAUGGUUUAUUAUGUCCUCACCCUAAUUAGAUGUAUCCUUUUGAUUUUUAUCAAUAAAGCUUCGCUAGUACUAUCGAGGUUAAUCGAAAGAAAAUUUUCAAUUGAUUUUCUUUUCUUUGACUAUAAUGGAAAUUCUAAUCUUUAUAGUGAAUAACUUCAAUAAUAGAGUGUAAGAGUAUUAGUAGUUGUGGUUGUUUUCUGAACUUGGAGUUAGAGUAGUUUAACAGCAACAAAUAGGUCUCUUGUAUUAUAGGCAAAAUUCUUUUCAUUAAUCUUAUUUGUCUACAUUUUCUCCUAUUUUCUUCUUUAAUCUUCGCUCAAGGUUUCAUGCUUCCAUUUUGACAUGUGAGAUUGUUUGUCAUCCAUUUGCUAAAAUGGAUAUGAGAGGAGCUUUCAAUCAUUACCUCCACCAAAAUCCUUACAAUGCAACUUUUAAAUUUAUUUUUUAAAAUACGUUCAGUUAAUUUAUAAAAAAUAAAUCCAUUUGUUAAAAUUAAUCUUUUUCUCAUAAAUUGCAACCUAAAAAAUAUAUUUCUUUUAAGUUUUAUUUUAAAAUACAUACAAGUUCUAAACUAUUAAUUAUUUUUUCUUAUUAUAUAGUUUAUAUUUCCAUAACUCUAAACUCCUAUAAUUUUAAAAAAUAUAUUUUUAAUUUAAAAUAUGAAUAAAAUAUAGAAUGGAGUGGGUAUACAAGUUUUGUAAAAGAAUAAUUCAUUUAAGUAUUUAGCUGAAUUUUAAUUUAAAUAAGAAAUAAUUAAUUUAUUUUUUAUUAGUUAAGUAAUUUUUAAUUGAAAANNNNNNNNNNNNNNNNNNNNNNNNNNNNNNNNNNNNNNNNNNNNNNNNNNNNNNNNNNNNNNNNNNNNNNNNNNNNNNNNNNNNNNNNNNNNNNNNNNNNNNNNNNNNNNNNNNNNNNNNNNNNNNNNNNNNNNNNNNNNNNNNNNNNNNNNNNNNNNNNNNNNNNNNNNNNNNNNNNNNNNNNNNNNNNNNNNNNNNNNNNNNNNNNNNNNNNNNNNNNNNNNNNNNNNNNNNNNNNNNNNNNNNNNNNNNNNNNNNNNNNNNNNNNNNNNNNNNNNNNNNNNNNNNNNNNNNNNNNNNGAAAACUUGAAUAGAAAUACUCCAAUGUAAUUUUACACAUGCAAAUUAUGAACCAGUGAUCUUUAGAGCAUCAUAAAAUUAUUUUAACACAAUUAGUUAGUUUGAAAAAUUGCCAAUAAUGUUUAAAGUGGGAUUGAAAAGAUUAUACUAAAAAUAUAAGACAUGAUAUCAUUUAAGAGCUUACAGAUUAUGAGAAAUAUAUUGAUCUUACAAAUAAUAUAAAAUAUGUCAAUUAGACUGAGUCUAUGCAAUAAAAGUUUCAAAUUAAAAAAUAAACCUUUAUUUUCUUUUAAUCAUUAAUGUGAUCUUAAUUAUUAAAGUCAUUCAAUGUCCAUUACUUAUUUAUUUUUUUAAUUAUUUAAAUGACAUUGAAAACUCUACUCAAUAUUAAUUCAUUCUAGUGUUUUGUUUUAAAGUAAUCGGAAACUACAAAUGAAACAAAUGCUUGAAAUCACAAAUGGCCUAAAAUUAGAUUUUUAUUUCUUAAUGUUGUAGUGACUUUGAUCUUGAUAUUGAAAAUUUAUUUGUAACUUAUAUAAAGGCCUCGAUUUUAUCAUAAUUGAUUAGUAAGGCUAUGUACGGGAGCAUGGAUAAAUUUUGAGAUUGGAUUAUAUUUUUGGAACUAAAAAAUUAAUUUCAUCCAAUGUUAUGUAUAGCUGUUGGGACUAGCAAAUUAGUCUAAAAUUAUUGAAAUUAUUAGUCUUUUAAAUUAUAAUUUUUUCGUUCCCACUUUAAAAACAAAAAAUAUUUUGGUGGAAAACUGUACAAUGAUUAAAAACAAAAAAUUAUCAUUUUCCAAUGUUUACAAAGAAAACAAGAGACAUUUUAUUUCACUUUUACGCUCGGGCCUCACUAUCUUAACUUUUGUAACAUAGUGUAAUAAAUUACGUGGGCCCAUUUAAUAAAGAAAUAAUCUAAUAAAUAAACUAAUAUAACAAAUAUUUAAAAAUAAUAGCAAUAGUUUAUUCCAUACCUUGCAGCUUAACUACUUAAUAGAUUACCCAAAUUGUUUUAAAUAAAAAGUAAUAUCAUAUAAUUAUUAUACUAAAUUAUUACAUUGUUCGACCAAUAUGCAGUUAUUUAAAAAUUAUUACAAAUUUUCAUAUAUUAAUGAAAAUAUUUCAAUAAUAAAGUUACUUCUUGACAGCUAAUAUAAAUAAAUAUAUGAUAAUUAUGAAAUAAUUUAAAAUUUUCUCAAUUAAUAUUAUCUUAUAACUACAAUUUAUUUACAUAAUUAAAAGUUUUUAAGAAAUCAUAAAAUAUCAUCGUACCUAUAUGCAUUUAUAAUAAUAUAUAAUACAUCAUAAUAUAAUAGCUAAAUAGAUAAAUUAUUAAUGAUAUAAAAUAUAUAUUUAUAUUCACUGUAUUAUAUUAUUCUUUCAUAAUUGUUUCAUUAAAUAAUUCCCUAUUCUCUCUCUUUUUGUCUUCAUUUUUUCAGAUAAGCAACCAAAAAUUUUUUUUUUAUUUUAUUUUCAAGUACUGUUUUUAAAAUAAGGUACCAAACAUGUUUUUAUUUUUAAUAAAAACUAAUCAUUCUUAUUUCAUAAAAUAAAUUCAAAAACACCAUUUAAAAAAUAAUACCAAAUGCACCCUUAGAAACUAUGAGAAAUAUACUGAUUUUGCAAAUAUAUUUAAUACGUCGAUUAGACUGAAUCUUUGGAAUAAAAAUUUCAAAUUAAAUAAUAAACCCUUAGUUUCCUUUUAAUCGUAAUUAUAAUCUUAAUUAUUAAAGACAUUUUAUUUUGUGCUUGUCUUUUUUUAUUCACUCUUUUUUUAAUGAAAAAUAUUGCUCUGCAUGCAAGUCUUUGGUCGCGGGCCUAGGCGUCCCAAACAUCCAGCUGACAGCGACGUUUCCACUUUGAUUAUCCGCACUUCCCAGAAGUCGCAAGGAAAGACUUAUUCGAGUAGUUUGAUUGGUUUGAAGAUUCAUGAGACUGCUUUUCACUAGAAUUCCACGGCCUCAUUCAUUUUUUUUUUUAAUAAUCUAAAUGACAUCGAACACUCUACUCAAUAUAAAUUUUAUUCGAAUGUUCUGUUUCAACCUAAUCGGAAAUUACAAAUGAAACAAAUGCUUGCCAUCACAAACGGCCUAAAUGGGAUUUUUGUUUUUUAAAUGUUGCAAUGACUUUGAUCCUGAUGUUGAAAAUUUAUAAUGGCUUCAAUUUUAUCAUAAUUGGUUUAUAAUGCUCUGUUAGGAAGCAUGGAUAAACUGUUGGAUUAGAUUAGAUUUUAGGACUAAAAAUUAAUUUCAUCCAAUGUCAUAUUUAGCUGUCGUGACUAAUAAAUUAGUCCAAAAUUAAGAUAAGAUUUAUAAUAUUAAAUGAAAUAUUUUUGUUCUCUUUAUCACUCUUUUCUUUUUCAUUUAAAUUAAAUAUAAACAAUAAUUUCAUAAUUUUUUGUAGAAUUUUAUAUUAUACUAAAUAUCGAAAUUCUAUUCAAUAAUUUAUUUUAAGUUGUAUUUACUUAAGAUUAGUUAUCUAAGUUUAAUACAAUAAUUUAUUUGAAUAGUAUUGAAUAUUAAACAUUAAAAAUUAUUCAAUUAUUUGUUUAAAAUAAAAUUGAAUAUUAAAUAUUGAAAUAAUUAUUUAAUAGCAUAUUAUAUUAUUAAUAUAAUUAUUUAAUAGUCCAAUCUAAUGUUGUACAAAACAUGCACAAUACUAUAUAUAAUCCAAACUAAUCCAAUUCAAUCUUAAUUAAUAUUCAAUCCAAUCUUGUGAGUCAAAAUUGGCCUAAGGUUACCAAUUGUGCAAUAAUCUUUAUAGCCCGUUUCCCAGCCACACACCCUCCCUUUUCUAUUUGUAACUCGUAAUCUAACAAAUGACAUUAUACGGCUGUUACUUGCUAGUUUUUAUAAGGUGGCCAAGGCCUUUUAUCAAAACACUAUAGGAUCAACUAGUACAAAAUGAAUUCAUUUGGGAUGCAUUUAACGUACUGUGUUAGCUAUAUCGUAUUAUAAUGUAUUGCAUUAACAUGCAUUAUAUUAAGUUAUAAUGUUAUACUUUGAUAUAGUAUAAAUUGUAUUAUAUAAGGUAAUGUUUUAUAUUAAUGUUAAAACUAAAUUAAUAUUAUUUAAAUUUAUUAAUAUUUUAGGAUUUUUAUUAAUUUUUUAAAUUAAGUAUUAAAAAUUAUUUUAUAUAUAUAAAUGAGUUAAUAAUAUACUAUUAUUAAAUGAUAAAAUAUUAAAGUACUAUGUUAUAUUAUUAAAAAUUAUUAUAUUAUAAUAUAAUUUAUUUCUAGAUAUUAAUUAUUAUAAUAUAGUAUAAUCAUAUAAUAAUAUAAUAUAAGUUAAUAUUAUAUUGUAAAAAUAUAUAUUGUACAAUUAUUUAAUGUAAUAUAAAUUAAUUUAUACUAUAAUAUUAAAUUAUAAAUUUAUUUUUAUUAAUUAAAUAAAAUUAAAAUACUUUUAUGUAUUUAAACUAAAAUAAUUAAAAUAAUUUAUGUAAUAGAAGUAUGAUAAUGUAUUAUCAUUUUCUCAUUAAAUAUUUUUAGGUUUAUUAAUUUGUUAAAUUAUUAUUUAAAUUAAAAUUAAUUGUUUAAAUGUAAUAUAAAUAUAAUGAAUGUUUAAUAAAUCUACUCCUAUGGAUCUAUUUUAUAACUUUUUAUUCUAUAAAUCACGCUUAUAAUGUAGUUGUAUAAUAGAAACUGGAUAUUUAAUGGAAGCAAAAUCGCGCACGGUUUGUGGGUUAAAAGGGUCAGGAUUCUCUCCUGAUCUGAUCUUCAUUUGAGCAAAUUCUGUUAAUAUGAUUAGUGGUUAAUAAGUUAAAAAGAAAAAGUAGUUAAAUCAUAAUCAUCCAAUUUGAUACACUGAUUUUGUCCUCUUUAAUAUUUUUCUAGAUGCUUCCAUGUCAUAAUCUCAUUGGUCCAGUUUUCUUCACUGCUUAGAUUCAACUUCAAAAAUCAAUUUGAAGCAAACACAACAAUUCAACAAAUAUAAUAAGCGUCGAUAAGCUUGUGGCUGACUGGCUGUGGCCAAGCAAAACGUACCUCAUGGUUACCGAAUCAUAUCUUACGUCAGAAUUUUUAACUUAAACUAUGUUACCGUUCCACGUGUCACUCUCCAAAAAAUCCCCAAACUUUUAUCGUAUUUCCAAAGAAACCCCUAACAAAUCAAGGUAAUUACCGUCACUCUGCUCAUAUAAAUAGUCUCCUUGAUUCAACUGAUGUAGGGAUGGCAAUGGGGUGGGGUGGGGUGGGGGUGCGGAAUGGGGUACAUUAAAAUUUUUUGUCUCCAUUCCCCACCUAUUCCCUAAUAAAUUUAGUGGGUUGGGGAUGGGGAAUCCCACAUGGGGAAUGGUUUCCCCAUCCUCACCCAUUCCCCAUUUACCUAUUUUAUAGUAAAUAUAAAUAUAUUAUUUCAGUAAAUUAAAAAUUAGAAACUUAAAAUAAAUCAUCACCAUAUUAUGAAGUAUUUAUUUUUUUAAAAAAAAAUCUCUAAAAGUUUGAAACAAUAUCUUAAAAUGAUAUUAAAAGUGAAAAAUAUUUAAAGACAGCAACACCUUAAAAGAGAAAAGAAAACAUAAUAAUGUUUUAGAAUUGAAAAAUAUUGUAGGAUUUUCUUUUAUUCAUAUCUUGUUUAUAUUACAUAAAAAUUUAAAAAAAUUAUUAAUUGACAUUAUAGUUGAUAAAAUAAAAAUUACUAAAUAAGAAUUAAAAAUAUAUUUAUAUAUAAUGGGGAUUGGGGUAGGGGUGGGGUGGGGAGUGCAAUACCAAACCCCACUCCGUUAAUAAUUUGAGAAUUAUUUUUCCCCACUCCCACCCCAUUCCCCAAAAAUUAUUAAAAAAAAUUUCUAUUUGGGGUGGGGCUUCAUGGGGUCUCAAACCCGUGGAGGAUUUUGCCAUCCCUAAACUGAUGACAUAUCCUCAUAUAAAUAAAGACUAUGACGACAUUUAUUUAGAAGGGAAAAUUAUAAAAAAAAAUCUCCUCUUUCUCUGAAAAUAUAGGGUUUCUCAAGAAUAGCUAAACCUACAUCCCUAUCCUGCAAACUCUCAAUUUAACCUCUCUAGGGUUUCGAUUGAAGAGCAUUCGCUUCAAAAUUUAUUAUUCUUUUAGUGGAUUUUGGUUGUCGCGUAUCCUUCAGUUGUUAGUUCGGUUCGGAUAAUAAUUUGGAAUUCAGUUUCAAGGGUUAAGUGCAAUUUCUAAUUUUUUUAUACAAUUUAAAUUGAAAUUGAUAGAACAAUUGGGCGGUUAAUAAUUAAUUGAUGGCUAGUGAUACUACAACGGCGCCCGCGCCCGCAGCUCCGGAAAAAGUGGAGGCGGUGGAGGAGUAUGAUAGCAAUCCAGAUGAAGUGAAACGCUGUCUUGGGACACGCAGAAGGGAAGCCAGCGAUGACGAGGACGUGCAAUACCAAACCCCACUCCGUUAAUAAUUUGAGAAUUAUUUUUCCCCCACUCCCCACCCCAUUCCCCAAAAAUUAUUAAAAAAAUUUUCUAUUUGGGGUGGGGCUUCAUGGGGUCUCAAACCCGUGGAGGAUUUUGCCAUCCCUAAACUGAUGACAUAUCCUCAUAUAAAUAAAGACUAUGACGACAUUUAUUUAGAAGGGAAAAUUAUAAAAAAAAUCUCCUCUUUCUCUAAAAAUAUAGGGUUUCUCAAGAAUAGCUAAACCUACAUCCCUAUCCUGCAAAAUCUCAAUUUAACCUCUCUAGGGUUUCGAUUGAAGAGCAUUCGCUUCAAAAUUUAUUAUUCUUUUAGUGGAUUUUGGUUGUCGCGUAUCCUUCAGUUGUUAGUUCGGUUCGGAUAAUAAUUUGGAAUUCAGUUUCAAGGGUUAAGUGCAAUUUCUAAUUUUUUAUACAAUUUAAAUUGAAAUUGAUAGAACAAUUGGGCGGUUAAUAAUUAAUUGAUGGCUAGUGAUACUACAACGGCGCCCGCGCCCGCAGCUCCGGAAAAAGCGGAGGCGGUGGAGGAGUAUGAUAGCAAUCCAGAUGAAGUGAAACGCUGUCUUGGGACACGCAGAAGGGAAGCCAGCGAUGACGAGGACGUGGAGGAGGAGAGAGAUUGGGACACGCAGAAGGGAACCCAGCGAUGACGAGGACGUGCAAUACCAAACCCCACUCCGUUAAUAAUUUGAGAAUUAUUUUUCCCCCACUCCCCACCCCAUUCCCCAAAAAUUAUUAAAAAAAUUUUCUAUUUGGGGUGGGGCUUCAUGGGGUCUCAAACCCGUGGAGGAUUUUGCCAUCCUAAACUGAUGACAUAUCCUCAUAUAAAUAAAGACUAUGACGACAUUUAUUUAGAAGGGAAAAUUAUAAAAAAAUCUCCUCUUUCUCUGAAAAUAUAGGGUUUCUCAAGAAUAGCUAAACCUACAUCCCUAUCCUGCAAAAUCUCAAUUUAACCUCUCUAGGGUUUCGAUUGAAGAGCAUUCGCUUCAAAAUUUAUUAUUCUUUUAGUGGAUUUUGGUUGUCGCGUAUCCUUCAGUUGUUAGUUCGGUUCGAUAAUAAUUUGGAAUUCAGUUUCAAGGGUUAAGUGGCAAUUUCUAAUUUUUUAUACAAUUUAAAUUGAAAUUGAUAGAAACAAUUGGGCGGUUAAUAAUUAAUUGAUGGCUAGUGAUACUACAACGGCGCCCGCGCCGCAGCUCCGGAAAAAGUGGAGGCGGUGGAGGAGUAUGAUAGCAAUCCAGAUGAAGUGAAACGCUGUCUUGGGACACGCAGAGGGAAGCCAGCGAUGACGAGGACGUGCAAUACCAAACCCCACUCCGUUAAUAAUUUGAGAAUUAUUUUUCCCCACUCCCCACCCCAUCCCCAAAAAUUAUUAAAAAAAUUUUCUAUUUGGGUGGGGCUUCAUGGGGUCUCAAACCGUGGAGGAUUUUUUUGCCAUCCCUAAACUGAUGACAUAUCCUCUAUAUAAAUAAAGACUAUGACGACAUUUAUUUAGAAGGGAAAAUUAUAAAAAAAAUCUCCUCUUUCUCUAAAAAUAUAGGGUUUCUCAAGAAUAGCUAAACCUACAUCCCUAUCCUGCAAAAUCUCAAUUUAACCUCUCUAGGGUUUCGAUUGAAGAGCAUUCGCUUCAAAAUUUAUUAUUCUUUUAGUGGAUUUUGGUUGUCGCGUAUCCUUUCAGUUGUUAGGUUCGGUUUCGGAUAAUAAUUUGGAAUUCAGUUUCAAGGGUUAAGUGCAAUUUCUAAUUUUUUUAUACAAUUUAAAUUGAAAUUGAUAGAACAAUUGGGCGGUUAAUAAUUAAUUGAUGGCUAGUUGAUACUACAACGGCGCCCGCGCCCGCAGCUCCGGAAAAAGCGGAGCGGUGGAGGAGUAUGAUAGCAAUCCAGAUGAAGUGAAACGCUGUCUUGGGACACGCAGAAGGGAAGCCAGCGAUGACGAGGACGUGCAAUACCAAACCCCACUCCGUUAAUAAAUUGAGAAUUAUUUUUCCCCCACUCCCCACCCCAUUCCCCAAAAAUUAUUAAAAAAAUUUUCUAUUUGGGGUGGGGCUUCAUGGGGUCUCAAACCCGUGGAGGAUUUUGCCAUCCCUAAACUGAUGACAUAUCCUCAUAUAAAUAAAGACUAUGACGACAUUUAUUUAGAAGGGAAAAUUAUAAAAAAAAUCUCCUCUUUCUCUAAAAAUAUAGGGUUUCUCAAGAAUAGCUAAACCUACAUCCCUAUCCUGCAAAAUCUCAAUUUAACCUCUCUAGGGUUUCGAUUGAAGAGCAUUCGCUUCAAAAUUUAUUAUUCUUUUAGUGGAUUUUGGUUGUCGCGUAUCCUUCAGUUGUUAGUUCGGUUCGGAUAAUAAUUUGGAAUUCAGUUUCAAGGGUUAAGUGCAAUUUCUAAUUUUUUAUACAAUUUAAAUUGAAAUUGAUAGAACAAUUGGGCGGUUAAUAAUUAAUUGAUGGCUAGUGAUACUACAACGGCGCCGCGCCCGCAGCUCCGGAAAAGCGGAGGCGGUGGAGGAGUAUGAUAGCAAUCCAGAUGAAGUGAAACGCUGUCUUGGGACACGCAGAAGGGAAGCCAGCGAUGACGAGGACGUGGAGGAGAGAGAGAUUGGGACACGCAGAAGGGAACCCAGCGAUGACGAGGACGUGCAAUACCAAACCCCACUCCGUUAAUAAUUUGAGAAUUAUUUUUCCCCCACUCCCCACCCCAUUCCCCAAAAAUUAUUAAAAAAAUUUUCUAUUUGGGGUGGGGCUUCAUGGGGUCUCAAACCCGUGGAGGAUUUUGCCAUCCCUAAACUGAUGACAUAUCCUCAUAUAAAUAAAGACUAUGACGACAUUUAUUUAGAAGGGAAAAUUAUAAAAAAAAUCUCCUCUUUCUCUGAAAAUAUAGGGUUUCUCAAGAAUAGCUAAACCUACAUCCCUAUCCUGCAAAAUCUCAAUUUAACUCUCUAGGGUUUCGAUUGAAGAGCAUUCGCUUCAAAAUUUAUUAUUCUUUUAGUGGAUUUUGGUUGUCGCGUAUCCUUCAGUUGUUAGUUCGGUUCGGAUAAUAAUUUGGAAUUCAGUUUCAAGGGUUAAGUGCAAUUUCUAAUUUUUUUAUACAAUUUAAAUUGAAAUUGAUAGAACAAUUGGGCGGUUAAUAAUUAAUUGAUGGCUAGUGAUACUACAACGGCGCCCGCGCCCGCAGCUCCGGAAAAAGUGGAGGCGGUGGAGGAGUAUGAUAGCAAUCCAGAUGAAGUGAAACGCUGUCUUGGGACACGCAGAAGGGAAGCCAGCGAUGACGAGGACGUGCAAUACCAAACCCCACUCCGUUAAUAAUUUGAGAAUUAUUUUUCCCCCACUCCCCACCCCAUUCCCCAAAAAUUAUUAAAAAAAUUUUCUAUUUGGGGUGGGGCUUCAUGGGGUCUCAAACCCGUGGAGGAUUUUGCCAUCCUAAACUGAUGACAUAUCCUCAUAUAAAUAAAGACUAUGACGACAUUUAUUUAGAAGGGAAAAUUAUAAAAAAAAUCUCCUCUUUCUCUAAAAAUAUAGGGUUUCUCAAGAAUAGCUAAACCUACAUCCCUAUCCUGCAAAAUCUCAAUUUAACCUCUCUAGGGUUUCGAUUGAAGAGCAUUCGCUUCAAAAUUUAUUAUUCUUUUAGUGGAUUUUGGUUGUCGCGUAUCCUUCAGUUGUUAGUUCGGUUCGGAUAAUAAUUUGGAAUUCAGUUUCAAGGGUUAAGUGCAAUUUCUAAUUUUUUAUACAAUUUAAAUUGAAAUUGAUAGAACAAUUGGGCGGUUAAUAAUUAAUUGAUGGCUAGUGAUACUACAACGGCGCCCGCGCCCGCAGCUCCGGAAAAAGCGGAGGCGGUGGAGGAGUAUGAUAGCAAUCCAGAUGAAGUGAAACGCUGUCUUGGGACACGCAGAAGGGAAGCCAGCGAUGACGAGGACGUGGAGGAGGAGAGAGAUUGAGGGCUUCCAAUGGCGAAGUGUCCACAUUCCUGCGGGAGAAGCGGAGGCUGUGGAUGAGUACGAGAGCGAUCCAGAUGAAGUGAAAUACUCUCUUGUGAUGGGCAGAAUGGAAGCAAGCGAUGAUAAGGAGGAGGAGGAUAAAGAAUUUGAGCGUCGAAUGAACCGUAGGGUCCACAUUCAUUCUUACGAUGAAUCUGAUGGCCAAGGUGGUGUCCAGCUGAGUAUGGUGAGGUUGAUGAUGAAGAAGAUGACAGAGAAUUAGAAGAAGAAGAUGAAGAGGGGGAUGUGAUAUGACUUCAUAUCAUUUAAUUUGUAUAACCGUGACGCCAAUCCCAUUGAUCCUGGUCCGACCCGAACGGAUCUUGUUGAAUGAAUUGAUCCAUUGUUGUAUGCCUUACUUCUUAGUGAUUUUUUUCCUACUUGGAGCCGCCUUUGAGUACUCCUGGGAGAUAAAGUGGAAACGUUUUUUAUGGUGAAGAGUGGGGAGUGAAAAGACCAAUUCAGCAGAGAACGACCGCAUGAAUCGGAAUCCAAGAAAGGCUCCACGUUCUCCAAGUGAUUGAUCUUAGCGUAGCGUGCUAGCCGCUGCUUCAUUUCGUAUAGUGAUAACGCUUUCUUAGCGCUCCGCCGCCCCCCCCCCCCCCCCGGCGGCCGCGCCCGGGGUAUAGUAGGGGACUGGUUGCGCGGCUUUCUCUUAUAGGGGUCUAUUUUCCCUUACUUUACUCAACUUGAGUCGGUUAGAGUAUCGCUUUCAUACGGCAAGAGUUAUUGAUUCAAAUCCAAUAGUAGGUAAUAAUGCUGUCAAUGUCGGUUAGAGUAUCCAAGAGUUAUUGAUUCAAACGCAGUUGUCAACCACAUUCGAAUAACCCUUCUGCUACCUUCUAAAAACCCUUGCAUGGGCAUUAAUGCUGGCAUAAUCUCUUUGACUUCCCUUGCAUUUGAAUGAAUGGAUGAGCGUUGCAUUUGAAUGAAUGGAUCAGUGUCAAUGCAGGCUAAGAUUUUCUGGACUUUCAUGGAUGCACAAUAAAUGCUACGUCAAAGGCCUGGUAAGAUGUCAGCAAGCUGGUCGAAGAUAUCAACCUGAUUUGGUGGCUGCAAGAUUUGUUCAUCCAGGACCAUUUUCUUUGACAAUGAGAAAGCCCCAAUGUCUAUAAAUUGAGAACUCACUGAAUUGUAGAGAGAGGGGAAAGUGAAUAACGGGAGAGCCAGUGAAAAGAGAGUGUGGGAAUAUUUGUGCGUAAUUGGGGUUUGGGUGUGAGAUAAAAUAAUCAGAGAGUGGUUGUAAUAAUUUUUUAUAUAGUGAAAAUUUUUGUCUCCUUGUUUUUUGCAGUGGUGGUAAAUUUUGUCUCUAAUAAAGGAGUCUUCCAAGUAAAUUUUGUGUGUUAUGAUUGGGAUAUUCACCAUUUUAGUUUUUUAUUUAUUAUUUGUUUUACAUAUUGCUAGCAAAAAUCUGGGGCGGGAACCGAAAAUUCCCAACAAUUAUUAAUUAUUUUAAACUCUGUUCUGAACAGAGCAUGAAGGGUUUCACUUACCUAGUUACGUUUUUCAUUCUUUCACUUCACUUGAUUUCAUCUUGUCCCUCUCCUUUAUAGAAGUUGCAGAGCUUGGAUCUUUACUCGAACAGUUUCACUGGCUCUAUUUCUGACACAUUGGGCAAGCUGAAGGAAUUGCAAUUCCUGUAUGAUAAUUUCCCCAACUAUUAUUUGAAUAAUUAUUUAAUGCCGUUCAUUCCAGCACUGUUUGGCUGUCAACUUUAUUUUGUUAUUUAUGAGGAGAUUCAUUUCCCACCUGAAGCUAGAAAUUUACGGAUCAAUGACUUUUUUUUUUUCGGGGGCCAAUUGCAGUUUUGAUAACAACUAAAAUCUGUGUGGUCCGGUUACCACAAAGCCUUGCCCCAGAUCCCUGCCAUUUUCUCCUCCACCUCCAUUUGGGGAAAUUACUACUUACUUUUUGCAAGUUUUUCUUGAAAUAUUUAUUUUGAUAAGAAAACCAAUAAUACAUUUUAAGAUUUGGGCUGUUUCAAAGAUUUCGCUUGAUGUCUCUGCUACUGGUUUUCAGCAGAGUGCCCAAAAAUAGUUUUCAGCAGUACAAAAAGUAUAUAUUUUGUACCUUCCAUACAUUUUGCUUUGUUAAUGUUAUUAUUUGAUAACAUGUUUGUCGAGUUGCACAGUGUAUAAAUGCUAUACAAAUACACUCCUUUCAUUUUAUACAACUUUGAUCGAUCAAGUUGUAUCUCUUUGAUAAUAUGUUCAAUCUCCUUUCAUUUUAAACUUCAAUUGAGUUGCUAUCUAUUUAACAUUGGCAAGUCAGAGAGAGGGAUGGGACUGUCCAAUUAAAAUUAAGUUCCAAGUGCCAAUCCCACCAUUGUCGUCUCUUGUUUGCCAAAUUCAAAUUUGAAAAUCUCACCAAGUCAGUAUGGUGAUGUUGUGGGAUUGUCUCGCCUAGGUUUUUAGCCUCAUGACCUCCUUUAUUAGAAAAUGUCUUAAGUGUUCUUACUCAAUGGUAGAAUCAUAAUUUUACUUCAAUGGAAGCCAUAAUGAUUAAAAUAUACUCUUUUGAUUAAUUACUUAUUUGAUGUUGCUCUCUCUACCUUCAUCUCCUUCUUUAUGAAAAAUUUAUUGUAAUACAUGGAAGUAUAUAUUGCAUUGAAUAAAAUGAAAUUGUUCAAAAAUUAACAAAUUCAGCUUUAUUAUAAUCUAAAACAAAGUAAAUAAAAUAAUACCCAUCAUGUAAAAAUUAAAAAAAUAAAAAAUUUUGUACCACUUUGAAUCUAUUUUAAUUUUUUUGGUCAAAUCUCAGAAGCACAAAAUUUGACCAACAAUAAUAGGUAAAAACUAAUAAUCUUAUAAUAAAAAGUAAUAUUUAAAAAUUGAAAAUUAAAUUAUGCUAGUAAUUCCGUAAAAUUAAAAUUUAUCUCCCAAAAUUGAUAAAUACUAUGUCACUUUGUCAAAUUACUUAGGAUAAAAGUUAUGUGGCUAAAAACUUUUAAGAUGAGUUGUAUGCUAAUGGAGAAGGACAAGACACAAAAGAAUUCAAUGAAUGCUACAUCACGCAACAAUGCUUACUCUUAACAAAUUAUUACAAUUUACAAACGUGAUUCAUGAAACUUGACUUUUUUGUCUAAAGAAAGGACUAAAGAAACAUGCUAAGCAACAAAUAAAAAGUUGAUAGGCACUAUUUAAAUAGUAUUAAUAUGGCAACAAAAAACAUGCGAGCAAAGUAGCCUAUUCCUUUAUUCUAUAAAUAGCUCAUUUGAGCUUAGAACCUUUAAAGUGUGUCGUACGUUUCUGUUACUUCCAAUAAAGAUUUUCUCUAUUCCCUUUUCUUCCACUUUCUCUUCCAUUUUCACGAUCCCCAAACACCAUCAAUCCAUGAUUUUCUAGAGUAUUAGCUGUCUAUUUCUACAAACAUAGAAUUGCUGUUUUAAGAAACAAAGUAGUCUGUCCUGUCACCCAUGAUUGCCUCUUUCUUUUCUCCACAAAUCUUUGGUUAAUUUUUAUUUUCCCUCAACUUUUUUCCCCUUUAGCACCAAAAUUGAUUUUUGAUACUUUAUGCAAAAAUUAUGAUGAAAAUGAGUCACUUUAGAACAUCAAUAAAUUUUUUUUUACAUCCAAAAUAACGACAAUUACACUUAGAUCACUCUUAUUUAGUUGAAUUAUAUAUGUAAUAAUGUUGGCUUAACAAAAUAUAAUUCUUGACCGUUGUAAUUACGAGCUGGCAUUCUUUGGUUUUAGUAGUAGGGCUUAUAACGCUGUGCAACAAUUCUUGGUGGCUUCGAAUUAUUAUACGAUCAUUCUCAAUUCUUUACGGUACGUAAUUAAAAAUUCCUAUAUCACAAUUAGAACUUACAAACAAGUCAAAGUGAAUUAAAUCAAACGUAUAAAUUCGAGGUCUAUUACAAACUUCUAAAAAAGAUUUUCUCUGCUCUUUUUUCUUUCACUUUCUCUUCCAUUUUGCCAAUCCCCAAACACCGCCAAUCCUUGAUUUUUUAAGUAUUAGCUGUCAAUUUCUACAAACAUAGAACUGCUGUUUGUUUGUCUAAUUACUUUCAAGAAACAAAACUCUCUGUCAUGUGGUCUCUUCGUUUAUUGGCUUGUGAGCAAAUAAGAUAUUGGGCCGAUGGGCUUAACGUGACAAGUUCUUGAAUUGAAUGGCUCCUCUUUUUUUCAUAAAUCUUUGCUAAACUUUUUUGUUCCCUCAACCUUUUUUGGCCUUUCGCGCUAAAAUUCUUUUUUUGAUACAUUAUGCAAAAAUUAUGAUGAAAAUGAGUUACUUUAGAACAUCAAUAAAUUUUUAUUACAUCUAUAAUAAGACAACUGUAGUGAGAUUUCUCUUAUUUAGUUGAAUUAUAUGUAAUAAAAUUAGUUUAACGAAAUCUAACCCGUCAAUAUUCCAUAUGACAUAAUUAACGUAUUUAAAAAAUCUUAGCUGUUCCGUCGCUUGUUUUACAAUUCUUUUAUAUAUCUUUGAGACUUUCUGCUUCCUGACACAUCAUAUUGUUCUCAAUUCGUCUAAAUUAAUUUUUUCUUCAAACACUGCAGCAACAACCGGUAUAAAAUAGAAUGAACUCAUUUAAUGGGAAUUUUUCUCAUUGGUCUAUUUCUCUUCGCACCUUAGGUUCCUCUAACAAACUUAAAAGAUGUUCCCCAUCCCACGUGUCCCCAAAUCUUCGUAUUUCCAAACAAACCCCUGCCAAAUAGAGAAGAGGAUGGCUUUUAUUGCAACCUGUAUGAACGUUAUGGCCAUAGGACAUUGGAUCAAAAUCAAACCAAUGGAUUGUAAAGCAAAAUUACCAAUUAAAAAUUCAACCAAUUGAAUCGGUUUGGUGUCACUUAAAAAAUAAAUAAUAUAUAAAACAACACAAUUAAAUUCAUUCAGUCAGUAUUUUUCUUUUCUCAUUUUCAAUGAAUGCUUAAUAUGGAAAACAAUCUGUCCCAUUGAGCACUGUUUAAAUCAUUCCCUAGUUUGUUCAACAAGCAAAGAAUAUUCUUAUUCGGCUCGGCAGCCAAUCCGUUAAAAUUUGUAAAAAUUCAUUUAAGUGAUGACUGUGAUAUGACUCGAUCAAUCGUUUAAUUUGUAUAAUUUAUAAAAAUUUGAGCUUCAAGUAAUGUAGAUAGAAUGGUUAAUUAUUUUAAUAUUCAGAUAAAUUGAUAUAUGUCAUUAUAUUAUGAGUGGAUGAAAUAUCCAAUAGAAAAAAAAAAAUGUUUGUAUUCGUCAUUUUUAAUGGGAAUCUAUUUAGUUUAACUUAUCCAUAAAAAUGGUUGCCAGACUUAUCUUGUUUCUCAUUUUGUUUAAUUUUCAUAAAUUUGACUCACGAUUAAUUGUGAGUGAAGAAUUUUUUGAAAAAAAUCUGGUCUUCCAUUUAUUUUGUAGGAUUUAAAAGAUUAAAAAACUUUAAUACAUAUAAUUUUAUGCUCGAAACUAAAUACUCGUAGCAUUGCUGCUUCUAUAAAUAACUCAUUUGUGCUUCCAACUUGUUAUUUGUAUUUUACGUUUUUGUUUCUCUUCAUAAAGAUUUUCUUUUUUUUCUUUUUUCCUUUCACUUUUUCUUCCAUUUUCCCGACUCCCAAACACCACUAAUCCUUGAUUUUCUAGAGUAUUAACUGUCCGUUUCUACGAACAUAGACCUACUGUUUGUCUAAAUACUAUCAAGAAACAAUAUACUCUGUCGCGGGAUCUCUUCGUUUAUUGACUUUUGACUUGUGAACGGGGCUAAUUAAAGGGCAUUCCUUUCUUCAAGAAAGAAUGCAAAGAAAGUACUAUCCAUGAGACACGUUAAAAAUUAUUUUACAUAAAAAAUGAUAAUAAUCAUAAUAAUCGGUUUAGUGUAACCCCGUUAUUACUUAGUGACUGUUCGAUUGUCUUCUCUUUCAUUGACUUCGCAACUGUGACUUCUAAAUUGGGUCAAGGAUCGACAAAAAAUGUUAUAACCUAUAAAGCAUGGAUAAUUAAUUAAUGGGAAUGCACCUCUCAUCUUUACCAUUCUCUUUGUCAUUUUCAUAAUUCAGCUGUUUAUUAAUAAAGUGAAUAAAUUUAUCUUUUAAUAAUAUGUUUCUUGGCUGUUUUUUGUGUAUUUUUGCGUACAAUUUUGUGUGCAAAUAGCAUUAUUCAUUAGUAAUAAGUCUGGAGUGUUCUAAUUUCUUCUAACAAGUAGCUCAUUUUAGCUUAGGACAUGUAACUAGUAUUUUAUGUUUCUGUUAAUCUUUAAUAAAGAUUUUCUCUAUUUUUUUUUUUCCUUUCACUUUCUCUUCCAUUUUCCCCGACUCCCAAACACCACCAAUCCUUGAUUUUCCAGAGCAUUAGCUCUCUAUUUCGACAAAGGCAUAAUUAGUCACGGUCCGAUUGUCUGACUUCUCCGUUGACUCGGUCAAUUCACGACCUUGACCUGCACAGUUGAUACAAACGGACUUCUCCAUUUGAUGUGCACAAAACUUUCUUGGGUCAUUUUGUUUGGUGAUGAUGAAUUGGAUGUCAGUUCAUGAGUUUCAUGAUGAAGGGGACCAAAAACAUUAUUUUAUUAUUUAAAGAAGACUAACAAUUAUUUCGAUGGUCAUUUUAUUAUUAUUUUUUAAAUAUCCAAAUGGUGAAAUUUUAAAGAAUUAAGGUGGUUGACUUCUUUACACAGAAUUACAAAGCAAAACAAUUAAGAAAUUAAAUACUCGUCAUCCAAGUGAGAAGAGAUUGGGUUGUUGAUACAUUAAAUAAAAGAAAAAUCAAUUAAAAGCACAACAAUUCAAUAAUUUCAUUCUCAAUCAUAUCAAAAAUAAAAUUUACUGUACAUUGUUGUUCGGUUCUGUAAAAAAAAAAAAAUUAUUAGGGAUUUGCAGUUUUUUUUAGUGUAAUUCUCGUUAAUUAAAGUUUAGUCUGAAGGGUUAAGCACAUGGAUCAUAAUCAUAGUAUGGCCUAAGGAAGGAGCACAGUUCAUUGGCUGCACUCAGUUUACAGAAUAUUUUGGGAUUCAAGACUGUAGGUUGUUCCGGAUGUAACUUGCAAAGGCUGUUGCUGUGUAACUGUAUGCCAAGCUGGCAAGUGUGCUAUACACAUAUUGUUGAGAUAGCACCAAAGAUUGUAAACUAAUUAGUACUGGAAAAUCCUAUUUGCACAAAAAAAUUGCACAAAAUAAAUAGAAUGAGAAUACUUAUGCAAAAAAAAUAAGAUUAAUAAAGUGGAUAAAUUUAUCUUUUAAUAAAAUAUUUCUAGUCUUUCAGUGUUUUCGUGUAUUUUUGUGUACGUGCAAAUAAUAUUACUCAUGAGUAAUUAGUCUAGAGCGUUGUAAUUUCUUCUAAUAAGUAGCUCAUUUGAGCCUACUACCUGUAACUAUGUUUUAUGUUUCUAUUACUUUCUAAUAAAGAUUUUCUCUGUUUUUGUUUUUUUCCCCCUUUUACCUUCUCUUCCAUUUUUCCAACUCCCAAACACUACUAAUCCUUGUUUUUUGUUUUUUUUCCCCCUUUGAACGGGGCUAAUGUUGGUCUAACUGCUUUCAUGAAACAACGUACUCUGCGGUUAAAAUUAAUUGAUCAUUUUAUUUGGUGAUAAUGAAUUGGUUGUCAAGUCAUGAGUUUGAUGAUGCACAGGACGAAAAACGUUAUUUUAUUAUUUAAAAUAAUACUAACAAUUAUGUUGAUGGUCAUUUUAUUUUUUAAAAUAUGCAAAUGGAAUUUUACCGAACUAUAGUGCUUGACUUCUUCAUACAGUGAUUGACUUCUUUGUACAGAAUUAUAAAGUGAAAGAAAUUACGAAAUUAAAUACUUUUCGUGCGAGUGGGGGAGAAAUUCUGUAUAUUUAUGAAAUAACUAUUGAUUUCACUUUGGUAAUUACUUUUUAAAAGUAACGUAAACAUUUUUAUUUUAUUUGCAUUCGAGCUUUCUUUCUUUUUCGCUGGCCUUUACUCUUGACCGUAUUUCAUGGGGCAUAUUCAAUCUGAAUCCUCUGCAAGUUUGUGGCAGUUUGGUUAGUUACGAACUUUCGUAGAAUUGCAUGAAGAUGACGCUUUUAUAGACAUUUUUUCUUGUUUCUUUUUUUCUUCAGUGAACAUAUUAAAAAUUUAGUUUUUUGUCAUCAUGACUAGAACAGUAAAAUGAAAAUAGUCCUCAUUUUGACGAUUGACAAAAAUGUUGUACUCAUACCGAUUAAUGGGCCACUGAUUUCGUCUUCUUAAAAAAUUAUUAUUGCAGUGAGGUAAUUGGAUCGAAGAUGAACGAUUUCCAUAUUUGCCUAACCUAAGUGAUAAGAAUUUUCAUAUGAGACAUAAUCUGGUUUAUUUUGCUUGACUGUAUUCCAAGAGACAGUCAUAUCUACUAAAUGAAACAAAUCUUGCUUUUCUAGAGAAAUAAUGCAAUAUGCAAUUAUGCAUGAAGGUGCGCAUCCAUGUGAGAAAGUUGACGAAAGCUUCUUUUUCAGUAUUGGAAGUGCAAUCCACAGCGGAACAUUGGAUAAAACCAAUGGAAUGUAAAGCAAAAUUACCGAUUAAACUAAAUUGAAAAUCCAACUAGUUGAAUCAGUUCAGUGUCACUAAAAAAAAAAAUUAUAUAUAUAUAACAACACAAUUAUCAUAUUAAUGAGGCACUGUUAAAUUCGAAUAUUUUUCUUUUUCAUUUUUAAUGAAUGCUUAAUAUGACAAACAAUUUGUUCCAUUGAGCACUGUUUAAGUCAUUCAAUGAAAAUGAAUACUUCUAUACAAAACAAUUAUUCCCUUGUCUAUCUGACACACAAAGAACUUUCUUGCUCAGCUCGGCUGCCAAUCCUUUAAAGUUUGUUAAAAUUCAGUCAAUUGAUGAACGAGACAUAACUCAAUAAAUCGUUUAAUUUGUGUAAUUGAUAAAAAUUUAAACUUCAAAUAAUAUAGAUAAAAUGAUUUUUUUUAAUAUUUAGAUAAUUGAUAUAUGUCAUGUUAUUAUGAGUGAAAGAAUGAAGUGUCUGAUAGAAAACACAAUGUUUAUGUUUGUAUCAAAAAUUUUAAGUGCGAAUCUAUUUAGUGUGUACGAUAUAAAUAAAAAUAGUUACCAACUUGUCCUGUUUCUCAUUUUGUUUAAUUUUCAUAAUUUGACUAAGGAUUAAUUAUGAGUCAAUGGUUUAUUGGAAAAAUAUGAUCUUCCAUUUACUAUAAAAGAUUAGCGUGAUUUAAUUAUUUAAUGGUCGUUCAAUUUUAUUGGUUACAAAAUUCUCUAGGAUUGCAUGUAGAUUAUACUUUUAUAUAUAAAAACAAACACUGUCAACAAGCAUUAAUGUCAUUUGACGCAUGAAAGACAAUUAGUCCCAUUUUUUGUCCUGUUUACUUGAACACCACUAAUUCCACUAAUUCCAACAAUUUAUCCAAAAAAACUAUAGUUAGUUUGCCAGGUUCUAGGGGGGCUACUCUUCUUUUUUUUUUUUUUUUUUUCGAUCUGUUAAUGAAUGCUCCUACUCCUAUCGGUUCUAUAUCCAACUCGACCUCGGAAGCUAAUUCGCGUGGGCUUUAUUGGAAUAAUGGUAUCGAUUGGAAUUGUAAGGAAAGAGGUCUUCGUGUCGUGGACAGCUCAACCGAAGAGAGCAGAUGAGCCUUUUCCACCCUUUGCAGAAGAAGGAAAUAAGCUGCCUAAAAUAUUUUUUCACAAAAAUAUUUAUGGCUGUAUCAUUACUCAUUAACUAAUAGGCCACUAAUUUAUUCUUCUUGAAAGAGAAUUACUGCAGCGAGGUUGGAGGCUCAAAGAGUUCUCAUUUAGCCAAACAUAAGAAAUAAGAGUUCAUAGAAGACGUAAUUUGGAAAAUCAAUUCCAUCCAAUAGGCAAUAGGUCUCAGUGGGUUCGACUUAGUAUACGAUUAUUUUCAAAUUUUUAACGUCUUGUAAUUACAGAUUCCGAUAUCACAAUAUAAUUUUCAAACAAAUUAAAGUGAGUCAACUCAAAUUUAGAAAUUUGAGGUCUACUAUAGACUCUUGACAUAUUAAAUCUAAGAUAAUUAAGUAAAUGCUAGACAAAAUCUAACUUGUAAAUAUACCUUACUGCAUGAUGAACGUUCUUAAAAAUCUUAACUGAUUGCUCACCAAUUAAUUGUAAUUUUAAAAUUUUUACAUAUCCUUUCUUUUCCCUAAAACUUCUAGUUUCCUAACAUAUUGUUCUCAAUUGGUCUAAUUAUAAUGUAAAAUUUUUUAAAUAUAAAUUAAAUGAAUUUAUUUAAUAGAAAUUUGAAAAAGAGACACUUAUCUAUGCAAGCAAAGUUGCAUUCUGUUUGUGGGGACCUUAAAAAAAUUUUUUAAAAAAAAGCAUAAUGAUACACUGAUGACGACAAUCCUUAAGUAUUUGUUUUCUUUAGUUACAGUUUGGUUUGAAUGGUUAAGUUCAAGUUCGAAUUUUCUUUUUGUAAUUUAAAUUAAAAUUGAUAGAACAAAUGGGCUGAUCAGUAUGAUGAAGAAGAAGAAGAAGUAAAAGCUAUUAAGCAUUAUCCUAUCACCAUAUCAAAUGGACCGAAUUCAAUCAAAUGAAAUCUAGAAAAUAGAGCAGCUCAUAGAUGUACGUCGCUAAGUGGAGGUUCAUUUGGAAGUACUUGGUCGAAUUGCGACUUGCGCCGGAGGCUUCGUUUUAGAAGAGUGCAGAGCAGCUGCCUUGUCCAUUAGGCACGCCAACGACUUUCUAUUGACCAAUAAUUUUGAAAGCGAUAUUAUAAAUUUACCAUCUAAUUUUUUUUUCUUAUCAUUUCACCAUCAAAAUUUUUUGAUAAACAUCUUUAUUUUCUUUGCAUACGAGCCUUCUUUCUUUUGCUUUGGCCUUUACUCUUGACUGUAUUUCAUGGUCCUAUUCAAUCUAAAUCUUCUGUAGGUUUGUGGCUGUUUUAUGAGUUACGAUUUUUUAUAGGGUUGCAUGUAGAUGAUACAUUUAUAUACAUUUUUUCUUUUUUCUUUUAUUUUUCGGUGAAGAUACUAAAAUUUAGUUUUUGUUAUCAUGUGAAAUGAAAAUAGUCCUCACUUCAAGGAUUAAUGGGCCACUAAUUUCGUCUUCUUAAAAGAAAAUUUUUUGCAGCGAGGUAAUUGGAAGCUCGAAGAUUUCUAUAUUACAUAGUCAAACCUAAGUGAUAAGAAUUUCCAUAUGAGAUAUAAUUUGGAAAAAAAAAAAACAAUUCAAGUUAAAGAUAAAAAAUCUGUGUUCCUUAAAAAACAUAAUUCAAGCCACACAAUUUUUCUUGUUUUAUUUGAAAAAAAGAAAUUUGUGUUCCUCACAAAAACACUUUAACAUUUGUUGUCUCAUAGAGGGAAAUGUCCUUCACUCUUUGACGUAUCCCUGGGGCAAUGUAAGUUGACUUUACAUUAAAACAAAAUUGUCAUGUAGUUAAGAAAAAUCAGUCUCAUUUGAUACGCAAAGAGCUUUUUUACUCUGCAGCCAAUAUUUUGAUGAAUGAGACAUUACUGGUUUGUAUAAUUUUUUGGAUAUUAUCUCAAUUUUACUUCUGUAGGUUUGUUGUUUGUAUAUUAUCUCAAUUUUUAAAAAAAUGUAACUGCAAUUAUCAAACACGACUAAUCCCAACAAUUUAUCCAAAAAUUUUUGUUUCGAGAAAUGUAGCAUUUAUGAUAGAAUGGCUAAUUUUUUCAAUCGACUUUCUGGAUAAAUGAUAAUUUUUUGAUAGAAAUGUUACUUACUUAUUACAGGAAGAAAAUUAUAGAAUAAUUUUUUGAAUUAAUAGUAUUACUUUACGAUAACACUAUCACAAUCUAAUUAUAAAAAAAAAUAAAGUUAUUCUUUAAAUUUCGCAUUACUAUUCCUACUUUUCUUUUUAUACUACUUAAUGGCACUGGUGAAGCCUCGAAUUAUCAAACAAAAGGCAAAAAUAGUUCAAUAUCUGCUGUCCCACUGAGCAUUGUUAAAUUCAUAUGAUAAAAUGAGUACUUAUAUUAAAAAAACAAUCGGUCUCAUUGCGUGCUCUUUAAUAAUUUGUGGCACUUUUAUGAAUUUUCAAGACUAGUGAAUUUUUCAAAUUUAAAAGAAAAAAUACAGAAAUGUAAUCUCAAUUUAUCCAAAAAUUUGAGUUUCAUGGAAUAUAGCAUUUAUUAUAAGUCAUGUUAAGAUAGAGAAGAAAAUUUUAAAAACUUCUUUUUGGAUGAAUAAAAGUAUUUUCUGAUAAAUAUUUCACAAUCAUGUUUAAAAAAAUUUCACUCCUCUUGGUACAUAAUUUAAGAAUUUGACAUUAUAAAUUAAUCUUUUUAAUCAAAGUAAUAAUCUCUCCUCGGCCUGCAAAUGCUAAAAUUUAAUAUUAUAUCCGUUGACGAUAUUUUGCUCCAAAUUCACGAAAAUAAAAUUUCUAACAGAAUUAUGAAAUUCAUUACUAGAAAUUUGUAUAAAAGUUGUGAGAAUAGAAGGUUUGAUCAUAGGAAAUUAAUAUAUCCCUAUCCGAUGCAAAAAUGAUUGUAAAGAAAAACAAAAGUCACAGGCUUAUUUAGAAAAAAAAAAAGAAGAAAAAAUUACAUUCCAUUUUCCAGUUAUUAAAGUAAUUCUAAAAUUGCUAGGAUCACAAAGGAUAGGCUUUGGUUGACUGAGGUCAGCCUUAACGGAUGCCGGUCUUUUCUCCUGUACGUUCUUAGAAAUUUUGGUUUUCACUAUAAAUACUCGGUAUAUAGCAAACUUAUAAGUGUUCUUGCGUAUAGAAAGAGUUCAUUCUCUCAGGAUGAUGAGCAGAUUUCUCUUACUCCAUUGUUUGAUUCUUAUUUCCUUAUUUAUCGCGGCAGCAACAGCCAACACAAGUUCUACUAUCACAGACCGAGAUGCUCUGUUAGCCCUGAAAGCUCACAUAACUCAUGAUCCGACCAAUUUCUUGGCCAAGAAUUGGAACACAAGUACUCCUGUCUGUAAUUGGACAGGCGUCACUUGUGAUGUCCAUAGCCAUAGAGUCACAGUCUUGAAUAUUUCAAGCUUAAAUCUCACAGGCACCAUCCCUUCUCAACUUGGGA
RNAcentral lists this long non-coding RNA (327722 nucleotides) under Citrus maxima (pomelo). RNAcentral's name for it is "long non-coding RNA (CMAX_LNC000193)". The stretch from base 56905 to 57011 matches the Rfam family "Plant small nucleolar RNA R71". The record is from RNAcentral. Lineage: Eukaryota; Viridiplantae; Streptophyta; Magnoliopsida; Sapindales; Rutaceae.